CCCUCCAAAGCAUCUGGAUCCAUUCCCUUCCUGUAGUAUUGUUGUUUGGGAUGGCCCUGUGCACCCGCCUCUCUUUGAUUUAGAUGCAGGCCGGCCGCAUGCUGCUGGCAAUACGGUAGUUCUUACUCCAUUGAACCCAACGAGGUAAUCAUGCAUGUUUCUUCUAUGUCUGAGCAUUCAGACCCUUAAUGUUGCAUUCUAUUUCCUUCUCCUUCCUUUAUUUUUGUUCUCCGGGAUGGCCCAUCUAGUUGCCUCUCUUGAUUCAUGUUCAACCUUCCGACUGCCAGCAAUUCGGCAUUGUUGCUAGAUUUUUGCUGCAUUUGUAUUCUUGUACACAUAUUAACUCUUUGAAUUUUGUGACGAGAUAAUUCGCUGUAGAUUUCUUACGGCUAAUGUAGCUACUUCGUAAUUAUCUCUAUACUACACUGCUACUGUCCGGAUGUACUAGCAAUAACUUGGUUUGUUUGUGUAUGCUUGCAGGUAUACAGUCCAGUCUCCACUUUCUGUUAUAUUUUACCCAAAGCAAUAUGACCUCACACAACAGUGGACUGCUAUUGAAUCAUAAUCUCACAUGUGAAUGAUUGACAAUUUUUUCUCUAAUCUUGAUUGGGGCUAGUAUUUAUAACUGCAAAACUUUGCUCACUUUCAUGUUUGUUGCUUGGACUUCUCACACCUGUAAUUUGUUUUAAUUUAUAAAUUGUUUUAAUUUUCAAACAUAUCAUUCAUCAAUUAUGAAACACUAAAGUAAAGAUUGGCUUCAACAUUAUCUCUGUAUUAUCCUAUGAUCGGGGUGUUCUAGCAAGAAAAAGAUUUAUUCAUUUGUGCUUGCAUGUAUACAAUGCACUCUACACAUUUUUAUAUUAACCCAUAUCAAUAUGACACAAACACUGACCCUGAUAACCUCUCUACACUUGAAUAAGGAUGUCAAAUACAACUGACAAAAGAUUUUCCUGUACUGUAAUCUUGAUCAUUGAAAAAAUUCAGUCACUUUUAGGCAGGUACUUAACUUAAUCUUAUUCAUCUGAGUUAACUGGUACCUGUUCGCAACAUUGUACCAAUUUUGUGUCAUUGCAAAAUAACAUGUGCACUUAACUUUUGCUCACUCCUUUUACACCCAUGCAAUUCUACACAUGCUUAUUUUUAUAUACUAAUAGGUCACUGCAGGUUGGGUUAUCUGUUUGUGAACUUAUAUUUUUCUUUUAAUUCAAACUAUGUUUUCUCAAUGCUAGCAGAACUCCUUAGAUUAUACAUCUUCAGAGUCUUGUUUUUGCACACGAGAAUAUAUCUUAAGAGCCCAUUGUGAGCCAUUAACUCCGCAGAAAAUGCUAGCUGCCAAUACAAAUUCUUUAGCUAUCAACAGUGUGAUCAAUAGUAUGCACAAUCUCACCACACAGAAUUUGCUGAGAUGCCGGAUGCUCUACCUUUGUAUUUCCAUCGUCCGCACUCCAGGAUGAACGCCUCUGAAAUCCUCACGUCACUCUUCCAUUAGUUCUGCCAAAAAGGCACAGUAGAUACAUGCACGAAAUGAAUCUGCUCAAGGAUUCUACAAAACGAAAAGUAUGUGUAACUAUCACAAGGAAAUCUCAGGGUGAAGACUAUAGUAACCAGCUGCCACAUGAACAUCACAUUAUCACUAUUGGCUGCAUAAAAAAAGUGAAUGACACAUCCAAGACAUUUCCAGCAACGAGGACCCGGCAAAAGGAAUUUGAUACAUAUUUGCUCCUCUGCUAAUUAACACACAUUUAUAAACAAUAUAUUUAUUCUACAUAUAACCACAUUUAUAAUUAUACUGUACUAAGUACUUGGAUUCAAUAUAACUUUUGUUACUAUACACUUCUUAAAAUUUUCCCUCAACUCAAACCACGUGUAAUUGCAUUGCCAACUUACUAUGGUUCUCUACGAAUAUCAUGGUAUUUUAAUCUUUGAAUCGUUAACAGAUUGGUUCUCUAAAAUUCAUCCUCAAAUACCCGCAGCAACGCGCGGGGAAUCAUCUAGUAGUAUGAACAUGCGUGGCGUAUAGGCAUUUGUCUCUUACUACCACUAAAUGUUGUACGUGCAAUGCACGGUGAUGUUAUGGAGUACGUGCCUAAGUACUAUACUACUACUAUAUUAAUUGUAGGCAUAUAUUAGGUUUUAUAUUUGUUUACGUGUAUGCCCCGAGACAUUCCAACUAGACUUGUCUUUCUCUCCGGGUCGCACUUUGUAUAGUUCAUACCACUAGUAGUACUACGUGUGGUCUCCGACCCAGAAGCGGAAGAAGUUGAGACACCCUACCACGUUGUUCAUGUCCCACUUCUUUCGUUGACGUGUGGGACAUCCAGCACGUGCUGUGUUUGGCACUCCUUCAUCGUAAGAGUUGAAACGCUAGCAUUAAUCAAAAACAAAAAAUAAAUAUAAAUCAACAAUGAUACUAUACCACGCGGUUUCCUUGCUCCUCGAUAUCAGAAAGAAUACUUCUAUUCGCCGACAUGUGGGACGUCGACCAUCCUGGUCCACUUGCCAUGCACGUAGAACUCCAAGGGAGAGUCACCCCGGUCGUCGUGCUACAGUAAUAAUGACUAAUGAGCCGUCAAAUCACAGGCCCAACCUUUCCCACUGUGAAGUUGCUCGGACGAAGGAACCAUCUUGACAUCAUUGAAUUUAGCUUCUUGAAGAAAACUACUAUACCAGCAGUACUGCUAGCUACAGUAGUUACUCCAACAGAGGCCUCCUUUGGUCCAUAGGAUAGGAAUUUUAUAGGAAUAUGAAAAUCAUAGGAAGUGAGAUGACAUGUAUCUUAAUUCCUAUAGAGAAAGAGAUGUCAUUUGAUGCAUAGGAUAGGAAUUUUUCCAUUGAGUCUAGGCUAAUGUACUGGUAAUUUCCUCUAAAACCUAUAGUAGUAACUCGUACAGGUACAUGCUCAUAAUUAAUUAAACAAACGUACGGGCGACACAGACACACACACUAACUACUAGUACUACUACUUCUUACAUGAUGGUCAGACACCGUCAUUCUCCUUCCCGGCUUUGUCGGCGACACCCCACCAUGCUUGGAUCUUCGCCGACCUCUCCGCAGCAGCGCGUGCAUCCUCUUAUUUCUUGUGGCGGCGGGCCUCCCUUUUCUUGAGUGCUUUCUAACUUUUCCGCUCCCUCUAUGCGGCUUUGGCCGCCUCUUGCUCUACCGCCCAUUCAUCCAUGGCAGCUUCAAAUUCCUCCCACGUAGGUGUGAGGUCGUGAGCGGCGACACUGCGGGAUGCCAUCGCUUCCCUACCAUUUUGUGUUCGACCGUGGGCGGUGAGGAUCUCGGUGCGGUGGGAUGCCAUCGCUUCCUUACCGAUUAGUGUGCGGCACGGUGGCAUAAAUGACGUUUGGUGAGAACUAUGGGGUGGAAUGGCUGGACAACCGUAUAGUGCAUUGGUUUGUCAAGAGCUCAAGGACAGAAAACGAACGAAAUUUGGAUUCCCCUUCAAUCCUGCUCAUUUGUUACCAAGUAAAAUGCAUUGGCGGUCAUCGAACUUGUCUUGAUAGCUCACUUUGAUCAUUGUAUACAAGAUAUGGUGAUUAUACAGUCAAUGGCUCAGCGUAUAACUUUGUAUUUGUCUGGUUGACCAGUCAAAUAGUCCGCAUGCGCCUCAUCAGCUCAUGUUCUUUAUCUAUCUAUCUAUAUGGGCCUACCUAUUAGUGGCGAAAGAAAUAAAAACGAAAAUUAUGCAUAUGUGAAGAAUCAAACCACAGACUCGUCACUUCAAUGCACACUCGUCAGCCAAAUGAAAAUGAAAUACUUUGCAUUAAAUGCACAAACCAAUUUUUUUAUAUUAUACGUGAUGCACACAUUAGCACACACCUUCCAUAGAGGCAAGUAGCAUGUACGCGUGCAGACACUCACACUCACGUCGUCAAACCAUGCUAAUGCAUGCACAUCGCCCUCUCAAUCAAAGUCAUGCUCAUGGCGCAACGCAAACGGCGAGCCCGUCACAUGCGCCCCUUGGCGAUGCCUGACAUUACUGUUUAUGCGUUUGCUGGAGGCCUCCGCGAACACCGAGCAUGUAUUCACCUGGCUCAACACCCACGGUCAUACUCGUGACUUGGUGCCUUGCUCAUGUAUAUCAUCCAUAACAAUGACAAUCUAUAAAACAGCCUAGCUAGAGAGGGUACUAUGGUACCUAUAUAUGUAUCGUGAGCGACUGAUCAUAGUGCCAGUACACAUGAGUGUGUGUCUGAUCGAUUCAUCCAUUAUUCGUAAGGUAUGCAUGGUUGUGUGGUUUCUAAUGGUGGUCGUCGAAGGCUAGCUGGCGACAAGAGAGGUUGCAUGGACGCCUGGUUGUCAAUACAUUUUGCAUACGCUUCAAAGGCUCGUCAUCCAUGAGUUCACAUUUUACCGCCACGCCAGCGUCUGACCGCCCUGGCCUACCGAACGAUCCUACCAAAGAUGAUAUCUUUUGCCCUUUUGCCAUUCUUGUUUGAACCUGCUCUUGUGUAUUUUAGCCGUAGCUCAGUGUUCAUCUUUUGUCAAGCAUCUCGAGUAGAUCACUGCCAUGUGCUUUGUUGAUAUGUUGGAGUGCAGUAGCUUAGUUUCUUGUUGCAUUAUAGAUGGCAUCGUGCUGUUAAUCGCGGAAUUGUGCCAUUAUUGUUUUGCUUGCCAUUUGCAAACCGUGCAUCCGAUUCCGGUGAUCUUUAUAUCGAUUUCGACCGAAAUCAACUCAUCUUUCCAGUGGCACGCUUGACAUGCCAAGUUGAGGCCUGGUUAAAUCUUUUCCUUCCGGAGCAUGCAUAUGCAUUGCAUAUCUCAUCCCGCAUAUCAUGUCAUGUUUUGCAGCAUGUUGCUUGUGCAUUGCACCGUGGUUGAUUGUUGCUUCCUUCUCUUGUGUUCUUGCUUGGGUAGAGCUGGGACAUGAUUACGUGAUCGAGGAACCCGUUGAGUACGCUUAUGAGGAUCAAGCUUACGUCAACUCGGAGAACUUUGCAGGCAAGAUGACCAUACCCUUGAAAUCACUUCUAUCUUUGCUUGCUAGUUGCUUGCUCUUUCGCUACGCCGCGAUACCUAACACUUGCUAUAUCAUGCCUCCCAUAUUGCCAUGUCAAGCUUCUAACCCACCUUUCCUAGCAAACCGUUGUUUGGCUAUGUUACCACUUUGCUCGGCCCCUAUUAUAGCGUUGCUAGUUGCAGGUGAAGAUGAAGUUUGUUCCAUGUUGGAACAUGGAUAUUGUUGGGAUAUCAUUAUUAUAUCAUGUUUACUUUAAUGCACCUAUAUACUUGGUAAAGGGUGGAAGGCUCGACCUUAUGCCUGGUGUUUUGUUACACAUUUGCCGCCCUAGUUUCCGUCAUACCGGUGUUAUGUUCCUUGAUAUUGGGUUCCUUACGUGGUUGGGUUAUAAUGGGAACCCCUUGAAAGUUCGCUUUGAAUAAAACUCCUCCAGCAAGGCCCAACCUUGGUUUUACCAUUUGCCACAUAAGCCUUUUUCCCUUGGGUUCUGCAGACUCAAGGGUCAUCUUUAUUUUAAACCCCCCGGGCCAGUGCUCCUCUGAGUGUUGGUCCAAACUAGAGUCCUUUGCAGCGCCACCUUGAGGAAACUUGAGGUUUGGUUUUAUUUGUACGAAGUGCUCAUCUGGUGGGCCCUGAGAACGAGAUACAUGCGACUCCUAUCGGGAUUUGUCGGCACAUCGGGCGGCUUUGCUGUUCUUGUUUUACCAUUGUCGAGAUGUCUUGUAACCGGGAGUCCGAGUCUGAUCGGGUGUUUCUGGUAGAAGGAAUAUCCUUCAUUGACCGUGAGAGCUUGUGAUGGGCUAAGUUGGGACACCCCUGCAGGGUUUUGAACUUUCGAAAGUCGUUCCCGCGGUUAUGGGCAGACGGGAAUUUGUUAAUGUCCGGUUGUAGAGAACCUGGCACUUAACUAAAUUAAAAUGAAUCAACUGCGUGUGUAGCCGUGAUGGACUCUUUUCGGCGGAAUAUGGGAAGUGAACACUGUUCUUGUGUUAUGCUUGAUCGUAAGUAGUUUCAGGAUCACUUCUUGAUCAUUUCUAGUUCACGACCGUGCUUUGCUUCUCUUCUCUCUCUCAUUUGCGUAAGUUAGCCACCAUAUAUGCUAGUGCUUGCUGCAGCUCCACCUCACUACCUUUUCCUACCCAUAAGCUUAAAUAGUCUUGAUCUCGCGGGUGUGAGAUUGCUGAGUCAUCGCGACUCACAGAUACUUCCAAACAGUUGCAGGUGCCGAUGAUACUAGUGCAGGUGACGCAACCCAGCUCAAGUGGGAGCUCGAUGAAGAUCUUGAUCGUAGUCUUGUUUCGUUUCAAGUUGAUCAGUAGUGGAGCCAGUCGAGGCGAUCUGGGACCUAGCAUUAGGGGUGGUCUUUCUUUACUUUGGUUCCGUAGUCGGACCUUGAUUGUAUUCUGGAUGAUGUAAUGCUAUAUCUAUGUAUUGUGUGAAGUGGCGAUUGUAAGCCAACUCUUUAUCUCUUUCUUAUUCAGUACAUGGGAUGUGUUAAUAUUACCCCUCUUGCGACAUGCCUACUAUGGGGUUAUGCCUCUAAGUCAUGCUCCGACACGUGGGAGAUAUAGCCACAUCGUGGGUGUUACAAGUUGGUAAUCAGAGCCUUCCCCGACUUAGGAGCCCCUGCUUGAUCGACUUGCUGGCGUUCUUGAGUCCAGAAAAUGUUUUGAGUCUUAUAGGAUUAUAUAUAUCAAAGAGCAGGAUUCUUGUUACUCCUCAGUCCCUUCGUCGCUCUGGUGAGGCCUCCUGGCGUAGAGUUUUGACUUUUCUAUUCUCAAAUUUCACGAUUUUUUUAGGAUCACGCGGGUAUCUUGGAAUCGUUCCGAUAUUCUUGUGACGAGAACAUUGUUCUUGGUGCCUCCUGACAUUUAGGGGUUGUGGCAGUGUCCCGGGGAUUUGAGCUCUGAGGUGUUGUCGUCACAAUUUUAUCGUUGCAGUUCUGGAUACCUGAGUUUCACCGACAUCGAAAAUCUCCUUUAUGCAGUUGUUGGUGAGAUAACCUCGACGCCACCCAGUACUGGGGCAGGAGUUCAGGAGUAUUUCCAUAACUCGUAUAAUGGAUGCUUUUCGAAGGUUGAGGUAAACUAUUUCCAAAGGUUUCUUGGUUAUGUGUUGAAGGAUGGAUACAGCUGGAUGUAGGAUUUGUUAGUUUCGGUGAGAUAUUAUGCUUCCCCUAUAUCCCCAACACCCGAUUGCAUAACCAGAAAGUUUCGGGAGUUUAUAAGUGGGAAUUCAAGUAGCUCAUAGGAAUUCUUUCCUACAGACACAUGAUACGAUAUGGGAUCUAUCAUACAUUUGUUUUUGGCUUAUUUUGCAAACCAAUCCUUUGUUUUAUUUUGAAUUGUGGUAUUCGAGUUGCUUCAAUGUCAAGUUUUGAUUCCAUACCUUUCCUAAGCCGUGUUCUCAUACUCCUAUGUGAAUACCAAUCCUUCAUGAUAAUCGAGAUUGUCAUGUCCAUCCUUUUUCAAAUGGCGUGUUUCUCUUCAAGUGGAUCCGAUCUUUUUCAUCCGAAAGAUCAACUCUAAGUAUUCUCAACGGUGUUCGUUUCAUUCGUCCCAAGUUGUCUUUGUUUUUCCCGCCCUCCCAUCCCUUUUUCUUCAAGGACUCAGAUUUCGUAAUCAAGUAUCCAUCUUAUUGAUGUGAAGUCUCUCCAUUCUUUUCCGCCAAUAUUCUUAUCUGGAGAUUCUCAGGAAGAUACUAACGAAGCUUCAAGUUUAUCAAUUUUCGUUCUUUCUUCUCUGAUGGGAUAAGUCAAGUUUUCGGUGUUGACCAUAGUCCCUUCAUCGCUUCAAAUGCUUUCCCAUGCCGGUGCACCUCUUAAUCAUCCACUCUUGCUAUUCUAUUGUUCCUGAGUGCUGAAGAUAUCUCAGAAGGCUCGUCUUGUCAUUCAAGAUCCAUUAAAGCUCUUUUUGAGGAUGUUAUCUCAUUCAAGCCAUUUAAUUUAACCGGUGCAAUCUCCUUUUCAAGUAAUCAUUCAACAGUGUUUCUUUUGAGUGGGCCCUAACCCACAGGUCUUUUUCCCAGGAUCUUACCUAACUCUUGUAAUUUUACCGGAGCUAUUCUCAAAUCUUCUAAAGUUUGACGUAAGGAUGAAUUAUCAUCAGUCAAAUGCCUUUCUCCAUGAACUUUAAAAUUCUUUUCAUUAUUGAUUCAACAUUAUAUUCUUCAUUAUCCCGGAGUAUCUCAACAAUUCAUGGUGGUGUUUCUCAGCGUCAUUCUCAACAUUCGUGAUUCUAGCUUGUUGCCAUCCUCUCAUAAUUGUUUUCGAUUGUGGGAAUUCUUUUCACCCAUCCGGAGCAGUUCAGGAGACUUUUCGGUUUGAUUCUCUGAAGCCCAUCAUUUCAGAAUAUUUAUUCUUUCUCACCUUUCGGAUACCAUUCUCCAAAUCUUACCGGUGCAUCAUUCAAGUAUUCACUAAUCAUCUCGGGAUCUCUUUGUUCACUUGUAUCUAAAUUCCCUAAAGUAUCUUCAUUCGUUCUCUAAUACUUCCAGGUGUUCCUUUAUCUUUUCUUCAAUCAUUUUUCAAUUCUUACGUUUGUUCGUUCAAGAUUUCCCUUCCUUCUUUAUAAUAUUAAUUUAUUCGUUGUCUCAAUCCUACCGGUGGUCCAUUGAGUUUAUGCUCUAUCUCUCUUAAUCCUUUCAACGAGAAUAAGUAGUUUGGCAAACCCAUUGCUUUUCAUCAAUUUAAUUGGUGAAGGAUACGCAUAAUGUAAUUCUUAUUCUUGUUUCAUCCAAGUGAUUAAUUCCUUAUUCCGGAGGUUCAUCAAAAUUCUUGAUUUCAAUUGUUUCAUCUUUUUCUUUUCCCGGAGUUCCAACCUCUAUCAGUUAUCUCGUCGUGAAGCACCAUCUAAAUCAUCGCAAGGCUUCACCUUGCGUUUUCAAUUUCUUUUUCCUUUCGUUUGAUCAAUCUUUUAUUACCCGAGUUCUUCAUGGAGGUUCUACAUGAUGGUUCCACAAGGAUUUAAUUUCUUCUCGGAGUGUUCAAUGAGAUUCUUUCCAGAGGAGUUCAAGCAUUCUUCAUCCUGCAUCCCAAAGUGCAAUUCUUUCUAUCUUAUUUUUUCAGGUGGUGUUAUGUCUUUCUUGACAAUUUUCCCUUCAUUUUUCAUGAUUCAAAAGUUAUCAGGAAUGAGAUAUUUAAACCCAUCACUUUCCUCCUUGGAAUUAUCUUGGGUUAUAUUUCACCUAAAGCUUUCCCUAAGGAUUGUUACUAUUUAUGGUGCUUAUCAAUGAACCAAGUUCUUCAGUUACCCUCCUAGUGAAAAUAAGCUUCUCGUCUUCUUGUUCAUAUCAAUCCAAUCUUUUGUUUUCCGUUAGUGGUAGAAUUUCACCUCAUAAUUUUGAGAUGUCUUCCAUAAGCCACAUCAAGCUUAUCCUUUCGUUGUUGAUAAUCCAACAACUCCGUUCUAGCAUAUGUUGUAAGAAUGCUCUCUCAAGAUCUUGUUUCCUUCCGUUCAUUCCAUUCCAUUCAUUCAUUUCUUCUGGAGGCAUUGUGUUGUUGCUCUCUUCUCUCAUCAUCUCGAGUUGUGAGGAUCGUGUUCUUUUCAUGCUUAUCCAUUUAAUCGGAGUGUUGUGUCAUCUCUUCAAGUUCUUUUCAUCUUAUCAAGUUUCAUAUCACUUUUCAACCGGAGUGUUGUCCAAAUUUGUUCUUCCUUGUUCCUCUUUUCUAACAGAUUAUUUUCAUCUUUGCUCAUCUCCGUUGUAUUAUUUUCUCGAAGUUGUUCAACCUCUCAAGGUUCUUUGGUUUCACUCGUUUGGCAAACAAGAAACUUAGCUUACCUCUUAUCUUCCUCUUCCUUUUCCCUCUGGUGCCAUCCUAGAUCUCGGGAUGAGAUCCUCUCGUAGUGGUGGAGUGUUGUAACGCCCCGAGACUGUUGCACCAGGUGUCUUCCAGUUUCUCGAUGUUGUUGCCUUGUCAUUUGUUUGCAUGUCAUGCAUUUCAUCUCAUGUCAUCAUGUGCAUCACAUUUGCAUACGUGUUCGUCGCAUGCAUCCGAGCAUUUUCCCUGUUGUCCGUUUUGCAAUCUGACACUCCUAUGUCCUCCGGCGCCCCUCUUGCCUCUUUUCGUGUGCGGGUGUUAAACAUUCUCGGAAUGGACCGAGAUUUUCCAAGAGGCCUUGGUUCACCGCCGGUAGACCGCCUGUCAAGUUUCGUGCCAUUUGGAGUUCGUUUGAUACUCCAACGGUUAACUGGGGAACCGUAAAGGCCUCGUGUGUGUUGUAGCCCAACACCCCUCCAAAGUGGCCCAAACCCAUCCAAACCCCCUCCAUCCUCUCGGUCGUUCGAUCACGAUCGUGUGGCCAAAAACCGCUCCUCAUUUGGACUCACCUAGCUCCCUCUACCUAUAUAUUUGCACCUUCCCCCGAAAAUUCAUGGACGAAACCCUAACCUUAUUCCUCCUUGCACCGCUGGACAAAAAUCACGCGCUGGACAAGUCCGCGCCGCCGUCCGCGUCCAACCGGAGACCGCCACCUGUCCUGCCACCGCCCUACCACCGUGUGGCCCGGGGAAGCCCAUCGCGGGCCAGCUCGGGCCCGGAUCUGCGUGCCACCACCCGUGCCCGGCGACCCUCGCCGCGUCCCCGCCCGCUGGCGUCGUCUUCACCGCCGCCCUUCGCGGGCGCAACUCGCCGCACCUCCUGUCGCCCGCUUGCAUCACCUAGCCGGCCGACGCCUGCCUCGCCGCUCCACCAGGCGCUCCGCCGGUGCUGCGCUGCCCAUCCCCGUCGCGUGCCUCGCCGGCGCGCCCCGCUCCUUCCGCCGGCGAACCUCGCCACCGGCGCCGCCAUACCUCGCCGGAGGUCCCCGCCGCCUGGAUCUGGAGGUGGACCUGAUCCACCACCUCCUCCAACCAAACACCCCCGCGCCUUGGACCGCUCCAUCCCAAUCCCCUUCGUCCAACUUUUCAGAGGGUAUAUUUUCCACUAUGUCCCAGAUCUGUAAUGUUUUAUGCACCUGUUCAACAUGCCAUAACUCCUCAUCCGUAGAUCUGUUUUGCAUGCAUGAUAUAUCAAAAUGUUCAUAUGGAUGUGCUCUUCAUUUUGUUCCAUUGUCCCAUGCUUGCUUGAGUCCAUCUUGAUGCCCAAAUAGUUGAUGCAAGAGUGCUAUAAAAUGUUAGGUGCUGUUUCUUAGUAGAGUAUGAGCAUUUGUCAUUUUUGUUGCAUUUGAUGUGUGCAUCUUAUGGGCAUGAGCUCUACAUGUGUUUUGGACUAUCCCAUGGCAUCUUUACAGGGGUGUAUUCCAUGUAUUUUUUUAUCAAUGUGGUGACUAGCACAAGCAUGCAAAGUAGAUCUCGUUAUAUUGCUGAUUUCAGAGAAUUAUAAUUUCACUAAGUCAUUUCCCUACUGUUAUUUUUAUGCCAUGUAUUCAUGUUGCUACAGUGAUAUCCAUGCUUCUUUUGAGUAUGUUCCGUAAGGAUGAUUUGGACAUAUGGUUGUGCUCUAUCCAUCCAUGUUCCUGUUUGUAUUUAUGGAGUGCCCUAGCAUGACUCAAUCAUGCUCUACUUUUGCUAUAAAAUGUUCCUGGCAGGUUGUUUACGUGUUAAUCAAUUUUGCAAAGGUUGUUGUAGUUGAUCCAUGCAUGCUAUGAGAUUGUUCUUGCCAUGGUUAGCUUCUUAAUCAUGUCUUCUUGCUGGUAGUAUGAUUAUUUUGUCAUGCAAUGCCUUGUGUUGAGUGAAUCGAUCUCGCAAACAUGCCUUCAUAAUUCUGUUUACGCCAUGCCCAGUUUUCUGCAAAGUCUGAAUUUGUUAACGAAACUUGCUAUGUUUACAUGGGUGCCAUCAUAUCUUCUGAUCCUGUUUCGCUUAUGGUCAGUAAGGGACUUUUGUUAUAUGCUUUGAGUAGAUGCAUGCCAUGCCUUGUUUUGCUAUGUCAUGUUCCUAUAGCAUGUUGUUAUCUUGCUCUAAACAUUGCUUCCUGAUGUUAAUUCCUGCCAUGUUACUAUUUUGACUAAGUCUGUGAAGCUGAUAUAUUUUGCCCUUUUGCCAUGCUUGUUUGAACCUUCUCUUGUGUGUUUUAGCCAUAUCUCACUGUUCAUAUUUUGUUAAGAAUCUCGCGAAGAUCACUGCCAUGUGCUUUGUAGCUAUGUUGGAUUGCAGUAGCUUAGUUUCUCGUUGCAUUCUAGAUGGCAUCGUGCUGUUAAUCGCAGAAUUGUGCCAUUAUUGUUUUGCUUGCCAUUUGCAAACCGUGCAUCCGAUUCCGGUGGUCUUUAUAUCGAUUUCGACCGAAAUCAACUCAUCUUUCCAGUGGCAUGCAUGAUUUGCCAAGUUGAGGUCUGGUUCAAUCUUUUCCUUCCAGAGCACGCAUAUGCAUUGCAUAUCUCAUCCCGCAUAUCACGUCAUGUUUUGCAUCAUGUUGCUUGCGCAUUGCAUCAUGGUUGAUUGUUGUUUCCUUCGCUUGUGCUCUUGCUUGGGUAGAGCUGGGAGACGAUUACGUGAUCGAGGAACGCGUUGAGUACGCUUAUGAGGAUCAACCUUAUGUCAACUCGGAGAACUUUGCAGGGAAGAUGACCAUACCCUCAAAAUCACUUCUAUCUUUGCUUGCUACUUGCUCGCUCUUUUGCUACGCCGCGAUAACUACCACUUGCUAUAUCAUGCCUCCCAUAUUGCCAUGUCAAGCCUCUAACCCACCUUUCCUAGCAAACCGUUGUUUGGCUAUGUUACCGCUUUGCUCAGCCCCUCUUAUAGCGUUGCUAGUUGCAGGUGAAGAUGAAGUUUGUUCCAUGUUCGAACAUGGAUAUUGUUGGGAUAUCAUUAGUAUAUCUUGUUUACUUUAAUGCACCUAUAUAUAUUUGGUAAAGGGUGGAAGGCUCGACCUUAUUCCUGGUGUUUUGUUGCACUAUUGCCACCCUAGUUUCCGUCAUACCGGUGUUAUGUUCCUUGAUUUUGCGUUCCUUACACGGUUGGGUUAUAAUGGGAACCCCAUGACAGUUAGAUUUGAAUAAAACUCCUCCAGCAAGGCCCAACCUUGGUUUUACCAUUUGCGACCUAAGCCUUUUUCCCUUUGGUUCUGCAGACUCAAGGGUCAUCUUUAUUUUAAACCCCUCGGGCUAGUGCUCCGCUGAGUGUUGGUCCAAACUAGAGUCCUUUGCAGCGCCACCUCGGGGAAACUCGAGAUUUGGUUUUAGUUGUACAGAGCGCUCAUCCGGUGUGCCUUGAGAAUGAGAUACGUGCGACUCCUAUCGGGAUUUGUCGGCACAUCGGGCGGCUUUGCUGGUCUUGUUUUACCAUUGUCAAGAUGUCUUGUAACCGGGAUUCCGAGUAUUGUCGGGUCUUCCUGGGAGAAGGAAUAUCCUUCAUUGACCGUGAGAGCUUGUGAUGGGCUAAGUUGGGACACCCCUGCUGGGUUUUGAACUUUCGAAAGCCGUGCCCGCGGUUAUCGGCAGAUGGGAAUUUGUUAAUGUCCAGUUGUAGAGAACCUGACACUUAACUUAAUUAAAAUGAAUCAACCGCGUGUGUAGCCGUCAUGGUCUCUUUUUGGCGGAGUCCGGGAAGUGAACACGGUUCUUGUAUUAUGCUUGAUCGUAAGUAGUUUUAGGAUCACUUCUAGUUCACGAUCGUGCUUUGCUUCUCUUCUCGCUCUCAUUUGCCUAAGUUAGCCACCAUAUAUGCUAGUGCUUGCUGCAGCUCCACCUCACUACCUUUUCCUACCCAUAAGCUUAAAUAGUCUUGAUCUCGUGGGUGUGAGAUUGCUGAGUCCUCGUGACACAGAUACUACCAAACAGUUGCAGGUGACGCAACCCAGCUCAAGUGGGAGCUCGAUGAAGAUCUUGAUCGUAGUCUUGUUUCGUUUCCAGUUGAUCAGUAGUGGAGCCCAGUCGGGGCGAUCGGGGACCUAGCAUUCGGGGUGGUCUUUCUUUACUUUGGUUCUGUAGUCGGACCUUGAUUGUAUUCUGGAUGACGUAAUGAUAUAUAUUUGUAUUGUAUGAAGUGGCGAUUGUAAGCCAACUCUUUAUCUCUUUCUUAUUCAGUACAUGGGAUGUGUAAAGAUUACCCCUCUUGCGGUUAUGCCUCUAAGUCGUGCUCCGACACGUGGGAGAUAUAGUCGCAUCGUGGGUGUUACACUGAUUAAAUAAACUAAUACCUCUAUUUAAGGAAGACUACUAUGUUGCUAACUUCACCCAUUAAGAUAAUGAGGGUGCUUCUAUUUGUUAGUGUAUGUUUCAUCAACUAGUCCCACUAUUACAGUAAUCUCACUCCCUCAAUAUAUGUACCAACAGGGAUGCUCGAUUUUGGUGGAACUGCACGAAAACUUUGGGUGCUUCAUUGCCUUGACUACUUCCUUCCUUUCCUGUUAGUCGCUUAUCUCGGCUUGCUUCCUUCCUUUGCUAUCAGUAGCUUCGCUUAUCUCGGCUUCCAAGGAAAUAGUAAUUGAUAAGCUACCUCACACAGGUUGUACUAGUCUUUAUCCUGAUUAUUGUGCUUGUCAUAUGUAUUGGUAAUUUGGUAUUGUGCUACUAUUUGCCGAUUUCAUAAAGGAGUAACUUGGAGACUAAACUCGCAGGGAAAUCAUUAUAUUGGUCGAUUUCAGUAGAACUUCACAAAAAGAUUAGAUGGAUAUAUACUUAUGCUGCUGCUAUGUACUUCAAAGUUCACUCAGACAAGCAUCGAUGUUGACAAGAAAAAGUGCCUAUAUUUAUUCUAGUAUUAACCGGCGUAAACCAGUUGUCAAACUCCAAGUACUAGGAGAGUGAACAUCAAAAAUAUUGCUUGGUGCAUAGCCCAGUCUUUGGUCCCAACUUGUGCCUUUUGGUUAUCGGCACAUAUGGUAGCGAACUGUAUGGCAUGGAGUCUAAAGAUUCCAAAGAAGUUGGUUGACGCAUAUAUUCAUCUGGCACUUAAUCAGUCUGCACGCAAGGGAUGCUCCAUUUUAGUUGAACUGCACAAAAAAUUUGGAUGGUUCAUUUUCUCAACCGCCUCCUUUCUUGUCUGCAAUGUAGAAUUUUGGCGAGGUACAGGACCAAGUUGAGCCAGUAAACUAGUUGGAUGAAAGUAGUGGCCAAGUUGCUCAAACCUCCCUCGGCAUGAGGCCACUAUUUGAGGAUAAACCUACAAGGAAACUUCAUAUUGUUUGUGCUACCUCUUAUGUACUCGAAAGUUUACUCGUAUAAGCAUUAAUUUUAGCAAGAAGUACCUCUGACUGAACACCAUUUACCACUCUAGGUAAUUAAAGUUCGUCCAUGGAUGAUAUUGUCUAUGAUCUAAAUCAUUUGGAUGCAUAAACAUACUGAACAUGUGUAUAUCUGAAUCUUUUUGUGAAUUAUCUAUGCAUAUUGUCGUGUGGUCUAUCAAUCAUUUGGAUGCAUAGACAUGCUGAACUUGUGUAUAUAUGAAUCUUUUAAGUUUUUGAUUGUGAAUGUUGGCUAUGAAUAUGUACGUGUCCUACAAACCUGAGUUUGAUACUAAUGUUUUAACUUUUCUGUUGUACUUGUGUGUGAACUUGUUAGUAUGUCUAUUGUGGGAUUUGUGACGUGUGGGUGUCAACGGCACACCUUCUUCCCAAGAAGAAUUGCACCUACUUUGUUAGGGUAGGAACGGCGCAUCAACUCUUUUUAAUCUUUUUGCUCUGUCUUACCCCCUCCCCCGCUCAAAUCCUACCGUAAUGUUUUCGGCCUCAAAACAGACAUAGUACUGCAUUGUCUUUGGGGCUUGAUGAAAAAUCGAGUGCUGGUUUCUGUAGGUUGUCCCGCCCAACAAAUGGGCUGCAGGUCCACUGGGGAAUGGGAGGCUAAAAAUACAAGUUGUAUGGUGUAGAGGCAAGUAAAAAACGCCAUCGAGAGCCAUCCACUGAAGAAGAAAAAUCGCAUCUGAUGUGUUUCUCCAUCGCACCGCCGGCCCCCUCUUUCAUCCAGUUCGCUCCAUUCCCCAACCGGCACCAUGGGACGAAAGUUUAUUACCCCCUCGCGCCUGUCAAGGGAUUGAAGAAGCGCGGCAUCGAAUCCAACACCGGUGAUGGCUGCUUGUCCAUGUGAUUUUCAGAUAAGAAACUGCAUGUUUCAGAGGUAGAGCAAUUAAAUCAACAUGCACUUUUCAAACAUGGAUAACAGAAUGUUGGAAAUUUUAUUCAUGGUAAAAAAUGGAACUAACAACAAGUUAACAUCAUGCUGACCAACAUUCAUGUAUAGCACAUCUUCAUAUGAUGCAAAGUCAAAAAGAUAUGCUAUUUUCAAAAUGGCAAGAGAAUGUUUUUUUAAACUGGGAAUGGCAAGACAAUGUUGAAUGUGUGAGAAACUAGGUAAACUAGGGAUGGAAUUUUGGCAAGUGUUAGAUAUUUUUCAACUGCACCAGUUGGAAUCGAACCCGGGCAGUAUAGCUUUUGGGUGAGAGGGUUGCAGCCAUCGGGCUAGUGCGGUAUGUUCGAAAGAAUGAAGGCGGCUUCCCCGGCUCUGCUUCUUUCCCAUCCUUGUGCACUCACCGAGGCGCCACCGUAUGUCGUUGUCAACAUGCUCAACAAAUGAGAGGAAUCCGGAGAGGACUGUACACCAAGAAACUGACAGUGGGGACUCACCAGGUCCAAGCCGUACGCAAGCAAGUGCCCCAUUGGAAAAAAAGCUUCCUCCUAAUUGUAUACUGAUGUUGGGGCCCAUGGGUUUGUCAACCUUAGUCAAUAAACGAAAUAAAAUUCCAACGAUGACUAUCAUCGGGGAGUUUUUUUUCUAGGGGUAUCGAGGAUCUUUUUUUGGUUGUGCGAAAGGGAUAUCUUGGAUCUAGCUGGUAUCAAUUUUUUCAAGAGGGUGAACAAGUAUCAGCUAGGUGUAGGUUUUUUUUAAUAUGUGUAGCCCACGACAUUGGAAGACAGUGGUUUCAACUUAUUUUUUGAGGUCCAUACCGGCCUAUGGGCCUCCCAGCGUAGGUUUUACUUUUUCUUAAAGACCGGCAACCUAUUGUUUUUUAAUAAAACGAAGAUCUCUGUUCUAUUUAUCUAUAUAUAAGAAUAAUAAUGUUGUGUCCAAUUUAUGUUUUCCCUUCUAACCACAUUAUAUAUAUUUAUAUUAUUACUAUUAUCGUAUAUUUUAUAGAGACUUACAUAUACAUUAUAAAAACAUCCCACGUGUCAUUAACUUAUAAAAGUAGAUGUUUAACAGAAGUUGGCAAGGAAAAUCCUGGUUGUUUUUGACUCACAGGCAAGGAAAAUCCUGGUGAUUGCGUACAAAAGCUUGCGAAGAUUUUAAGGACCAAUGUAAUAAUAACACACUCAUUUUGGAUUUGAGCAAUAACUUGCUAAUUUGUUAAUUUUAUAUAUAAAAAUGUGUCGCUCCAGUUUAUUUUUUGAUAUUAAUUGCUCCUUCUAACCUAACAUUAUAUAUGGAACGAGCCCAGCUAAUUCAUGUAUUUCAAGAAAGUGCAAAUGGUCUGAGAUUUCAUAGAAAUAUUAAAUGGGCUGCAUUGACGCAAAUGUACUGUAAAUUCUAGAAAAUAUGGGUUAAAUAUAUGCCACAUUUUUGUAGGCUGAGAUGUGGGCCAAUAGGUCGAAACGUACGUAAGGCAUUGUCAACUUGGUCAACAAAUGAUUAUGACAUCCAUAGCCAUUGGAUUUAUAUCCAACGGCCGACAUGCACCUUUAAUCUCUUGUCUUCAUCCUCCAGCGUCGCCGGGACUGCCUGGUCCGGCCUCCGGCGGCUAGUGGCUCUUCUUAGCAUGCACUACUGCGAAACGCUACCCCACCGCCGACCAGGCUAUCCCUCCACCCCUCCACACCUCCUGUUAUUCUCCAACGACUGCAGCCCCACGCGGCACCAGAACUAGUUAUAACCCUUGUACUCCUCUCAAUCUGCGACUCCACUGCCACGUCUUCCCAUCUCCGGGACGUUCCCUUCUGGGGCCUCGCCGUCAUCCACCGCCUCGCGGCGCUCGGCGCGGCGUUGUAAACAAAUGAGAGUCGUCGGAAGAGGACUGUACGUGGAGAGCCUGAUGACCAGGACCCACGAGGUCCACGGUCGCACCCAAGGAAAGUUCCACCUUAUUAAUCUGGAAAAAAUGUUUCCUCCCCCUGAUAGCUGGGACCCACCAGCUGUAUCUUUGCACGAAAGGAAGUGCCUCCUUGUUAUGCGAAAAAAAACUAUUUCCUCCCAUUGAUAGCUGGGACCCGUCAAAUUUGGUGGCUUACUUGUGGGCCUACUAAGCGGACGUGUACGCAGGGCUUUGUCAACUUUAUCAACAAAUGAUUCUAGCAGCUGGACCGUUAGAUGUUAAUCCAACAGUUGUGCUCCUUCUUCAACCUCUGUUCUUGCUCCUGUCACCCGUGGGUGGCACUGCGGCAGUGCUGCCGCGCACCCGAACUAGUCAAGGUUCCCACUUCUCUCCAUCUGCGACUCGGCUGUCGCGUCUUCCCCAUCUCUGGGUCAUGUUCAUUCGGAGCCAACCGACUUGGACGGAAUAGCCGAUCGAAACGAGGCCUGGCGUACCGUAGAAUGGAGGAAAUGGACUUGUGUUCGACCGACCACGGUCGAAAAAGGAUCAUGUUCAUCGAGAGGGGUCUGGCAUACUGCAAAACGGAGGAAACGGACUUCUCUUGGACCUCCUACGAUCGAAACGGGGUCCUAUUGAUUGGGAGGGGUGUGGCGUACCGCAAAACGUAGGAAAUGAACUUGUGUUGGAGAGCUACGGUUGAAACGGGGGUCCUGUUCAUUGGGAGGGGUGUGGCAUACUGCAAAAUGGACUCCACGGGAUAUUGUUCAGCUCCAUCGUCGACCUCCUCCAGCCUCCACGGGCUACUGUUCAUCCACCGGCGACCUCCUCCAGCCUCCACAUGUGACUAUUCAUCCACGAUGUCUCCCCACCUGCCUCCACCAGCCACUAUUCAUCCAUGGGCUCCUGUUCAUCCAGCCUCCACCGCUCCUCCACCAGCUACUGUUCAACCAGCCCUCUUCACGGGGUCCUGUUCAACCACCCCUCCAUGGGAUAUUGUUCAUCCAGCCCUCCACCAGCUACUGUUCGACCAGCCCUCCACGGGAUCCUGUUCAUCCAGCCCUCCAUGGGGUCCUGUUCAUCCACGCCUACAGGCUCGAUCGGGGUCCUAUUAAUCCAGCAGCAACGGCCUCUAGUACCACGGGGUCCUUCCCAUCCAAGCCCUCCCCCACCCACCGGGAACUGUUCACCCACCCACCCCCAGCAAUGCUCACUGUUCAUCAAGAAGAAACAUCGAUUAGCUUCAAUUAUCAGCAGUAGCGAAGGAAUCACUCGGGUUCAGUUAACAGCAAGGGAUCGAUUGGGGUUUAGUAACGUAGCCAGUGCAAUCACUCCGGUUCGGUUAGAGCCCAACGCCUCACUCGGGUUCAGUUAGAGUGUGAUGCCUUGCACACAUGCGUGUACGUGUACGAGAGAAACAUGCAAACCUCUGUGCAUCGCUCGGCCCCAAUCACCCACCGUAACCGGGAACUCCUUGAUAUUUUCCUCGCCCUCGCUUCCACCACGGUUUUUUCCGUCAUGGAAGGCCCAAAGAAUGUCAUGCAGCCAUGUCUCCGGCCCGCCCAGGACGAAAAGCCCAUUUUCUGUCAUGAUUUUUUUCAUAGAAGUAGGAGCCCACCACAUCUAGGAUGAUACCGGGUUUUGUCACAAUUAUCGUCAUAGAAAUGUCAUAGGCAUGACAAAAAAAAUCGUUCGGCCCAAAAUGCCAUGGGUGUGUCUUUUUUUGUAGUGAGGGCAUCCCGCCGCGAGCCUUAGAGGCCUGGCGUCUUUGAGGAAAGGCUCAUCAAGCCAUCGGCAGCAUCUCCGAAUGCAGGCCCGGCGCUGCUCCGGGAGGAGCCGCCACCGGCCCCAUCCUUAGGGGCCCUGGCCUGUGGCCCGACCUCAGGAGCCUGCCUACUCUUGGCCCUGGAACCUCAGGCAGGCUGCUGGAUUGAGAAGUUCAAGGCGUACCUGCUCCGUGGAGUCUUACUUGAGAAAGAGGAAGACUCGGAGCGCGCGGUCUGCCAAGCCACUGCUUAUUGCUUGCAGGACGACGAGCUGUACCGAAGACGCCCCAACAAUGUCUCGUUGUAGUGCACAUUCGAAGAAUAGGGGCGCGAGCUGCUGGCCGACAUCCAUGGCGGGGAUUGUAGACACCACUCCUCGUCGCGCACCCUCAUGGGCAAGGUGUUCUGCAGCGGGUUCUACUAGCCUACGGCGCUCAACGAUGCGACCUAUCUGGUGCGAUCGUGCGAGGCCUGCCAGUUCCACGCCAAGCAGAUUCACCAGCCCGCACAAGGUCUCCAGACCAACCUGCUCUCAUGGCCCUUUGUAGUAUGGGGGCUGGAUAUCCUGGGCCCAUUUCCUCAGGUAGCCGUCAGAUACCGCUACCUCUACGUCGCCAUUGACAAGUUCACCAAGUUGGCGGAGGUGGAGCCCAUGCGCACCAUCCCCGCUAGCUCAGCCAUCAAAUUUAUCAAGGGCCUCGUGAGUCGUUUCAGUGUCCCCAACCGUAUCAUUACUAACAAUGGCUCCCAAUUCACAAUCAACCUAUUCAGGACAUAUUGUGCUAACCUUGGAACGCAGAUAUGCUACACUUCGGUGGCGCACCCAUAGAGCAACGGCAGGCUGAGUGCGAUAACACAGAGGUCCUGAGGGGCUUCAAGGUAAGGAGCUUCAAGAAGAAGGUUGAGGCCUACGGCAGGGGUUGGCUCGGUGAGCUUCAGUUCAUGUUGUGGUCCAUCCGCACCAUCGCGACUAAGCCCAUUAGCGUGACCCCGUUCUUCCUCAUCUACAGGGCUGAGGCGGUCCUGGCAUUCGACGAGGCGCGUCAGGAUGCCUCACCGGAACGGAUCUCGUGCUCGGGGAGGAGGCCCGUCGCCAAGCCUCAGUCCGCACAUCGAGAUACCAGCAGUGCUAACGUGUUACCACUGUCGUAGCAUCCGCUCUCGGACUCUCGAGGUUUGAGACCUCGUCCUGAUGCGGGUUCUCUCUAGGGAGGGCCUUCACAAGCUCUCGCCCAUGUGGGAGGGCCUGUUCAGGAUCGCCCGCGUCUCCAGGCCUGGCGCCAUAUGCCUCGAGAUGCAGGACGGGGUCCCCAUCCAGAAUACGUGGAACAUCCAGCAUCUCUGCAAGUUCUACCCGUGACACUCUCACAUAAUAAUGAAUGGGGAUGUACAGGCCCCGGAGUCUCCCCGAGCACUGCUCCUCGGCCUCACGGGACUCCCACACACGCCCAAGUGGAAGCCCCAUGCUUCGCGCUGGCGGAAUGGUCAAACAGCAACUAUGCCAAUGCCAAGUGGAGGCCUCGUGCUCCGCGCUGGUGGGAAGACUAGCUUAGGUGCCGGACGUGGAUGUUGCUUGCUUUCUCUUGUAAACAAAUUUACCACUUCUUGGAAUGAAGUUUGAAGCUUCCGCAUCUUUAUUUGAAUGGGGGGUCAGGAUUUUUCUUCUUGAACUGUUUUAUCUCUUGAACCUCCUUUUUUAAGGAAGUAACAGUGGCCCAUUACUCCCUCCCGUGCGUCCCGCGAGCUGGGGUUGGGCACGGUGUUACACCUGGACCAGACCCGGUGAUGUUGGAAUCCUAGGCCACAACAGCCACGGGUCCGCCCGCAUGCACACCUCGCCAAGGCCUUGGCACCCAGAUCCUCGCACUAUGCUCCUGAGCGAGCCAAUAGGCGAGUGUGGUUCCCGGCCCCUAGCCUUAGGAGCAUCCAUCUCUUGGCCUUGUCAGGAAUCGCGACCCGGCACACCAGCGGCGAUCGACCCUCGCUUGGGGGCUUUCGAUGUAGGAUGGGCACCAAGAAAGGGUGGCUAAAAAAAGGCAGUCACGGCUCAGCUCAUUGUUAAGGAACCUCAUGCAAGUGCUGCCUACACCUACGAGAGGUCCGACACCUAGCGGAGGCAUCUCCGGAGGCCCCAAAACCUCAUGAGUCCUCUAGGGACCUCACGAGCUGUGAGCCUCUUGAGACGCUAGAGCAAUCCAGCCAACGAGGAGGGAGCCUCCUCGGGGCCAUAGGGGCAUACCUGGGAUCAAGGAUCCGGAGGGGCGCGCCCCCAUGAUGGAGGGACCCGACAACGGUCACAAGCACACCAAGCUAACUUAUCCUAAUCGCGCCAGGAAGAAACCUUCCAAUUAAUAACUAUAUAGAUACUAUAAUAAGAGCAAGAAACGAUUAUAUAAAGGUGCAGGCGCCGCAGUUCAGUACAAGACCCAUGGGGCCCUUCUUGGUUCUUAAUGCAGAAAACGAAAAACAAACAAAAGAAGCGGCCUCCUGAGGGUCGCUGUUCCUCAAACCCGGCUCCGACGCCUCAGCAAUCAGUCGGAGUCCUCCUCCUCCUUGAUGUGUGCUCGGCGGCAUGACGCCUCACCCCCUCCUGGGUUCGGGCGCAGCAACGUGGCAUCUCGUCGUAGUCGUCGUCGCUCGUGCUUCUCCUGAGGGAGGCGCCGCUGUUGCUGGAGGUGCAGCGGCCGUCGCCAAGGGCAAGGUCACUGUGGACGGCGUCGCCGCCACUAUGGUCCUUGUUGUUGAAGAGGUAGUCGCUAUCACUGCCAUCGCCCUCUGGGCAGCACCCCCAAAGCCUGUCGUCUUCCCCGAAGACCUUGAUGAAGAGCGUCACCGCUACCUCCCACGGGCUCGGGCGAAUGUCUGCCACCCACGGUUCAGGAACACCUUGCAUGCGGGGGUGACCUCGACCUCCACCCAUGAGGCCUUGCUGGAACAGCCAUCGGCUUGCAGCCACAGGGCACCGGGCCCUCCGACCGGCAACUCCUCCAUGAAGAAGUGUAGGCGGUGGAUCUAGACGCCUUCCGGCGUCUCCACCCACACCACAAACUCCCAGGCCACGUCGGCCGUGUGGUAUCACGGGCGCGAUGGUCGGGCGACCACUGUGACCCCCUCCACCUCGACUGCGCCGCCGCGGCUUCCGCUACCGCCCCCAUGGGAGGGACCCUUCCCGUGGCCGUCCGACGCAAUGCGUCCACCCGUGGGAGUGCACCCACGGCCCCGGGGAACCACCACCGGGGUCGUGGUGGACUUGCGGGGAUGGCCACACUCCCUCUUGGGCGACAGUGAUCCUGGCCCCUCCUGGGGGCUUGCCCUUUCUCAAUGGAUGAAAACCUCCUCACCAGCUCCACGGGUGCUACAUCAAGAGUCUGGAUUGGAGGAGCAAGAAGAUGGAGGAUGGGCUAGGGGGCUAUGCUCCCCUCGCCCUCUUAUAGGAGAGCAAAGGCCAACAGUCAUCCCUUCGAAUUCAGGCAAAGAUAGCCCUGCGGGCGUGCACAAGUCAGUUGUCAGCCUAGGCAGUUACCGAGGUGAUGUAGGUAAGCGGAGGCGUUUGCGUGCGCCACGCGUCAGCCUUGGCCCUCGGCCGGUUGGGGCCCGCGAUGCUUGUUCCUCACCCCUUGUCUUCGCCUCGAAGAUAGCUCGAGCGUGCCUUCGGCCCGGGGGCUACUAUCGGCGUUCUGGGAUCGGGGGUACCCAGAUCUGUCUGCGUGUGGCCUAUGGUGUUGGUCCUUCGAGGGCCUGGUAUGGCCCAGCUACAAGACCCCCUAGUACAAGACCCUCAUGAGGCGGACAACACCAAGACCUCCCGAGGGGGUGCUCUCCGAGCCUGCCUCCUAAGGCUGCGAUAACAUGAGCCAUGAUGACCAAGGACAGGCGGGCACCAGCGGGCGCAGAGGAGACAAUUUCUCUUUGGUGCUAAGGAUACAAGGACAAACAUGGGUUCCCAUGGAAUCCCCCAAAGGUUUUUGUUCGGGUCCGACAAGACCAAGACCACUAGCUCGGCAGGACGGGUGUCAUCGCCGUGCCCACUGUUGUGUCAUGGCUAGAAGCUUUAGAGGAGAAGACCACCUUUCAUCAAGAUAAGAUGUACUACUUGUCCCCUUUCAAAUGGUCGUGGUGGGAUCCCUUCCCGCCUAAUUUAUGAGGGAAGAGGACCAAUGCCACUGUAAAGAGAGACCAGCCUCCACCGUAGGAGGGGAUCGGAUCUAUUCCACCCUCACUUCAUGAGCCCUCACAAGGAUGCUCAUCCACUAUAGUAGUUCAUCUUCAGCCUCCUCGUGAGGCCAAUCCACCACAAAGCAGGAGUAUUGUUUUACACCGCAAGGUGGCCCGAACAUGGGUAAACUAUUGUGUUCAUCUUCUUUCUCGCUUGCGCCUACUCAACAAGUCUAGGCCAUAAGGUGGUCAGCUUGAGAUUAGCGUAGGAGGGGAUCUUCACACAUGCCUCAGAGUUCGAACCUUCUUGGGUCUGCGGAGCCCUGAAUCCGAUGAUACAUCGAUUUUGCAUCAUGCAUUUAUAUCGAUAUUUAUUGCAUUAUGGGUUGUUAUUACACAUUAUGUCACAAUACUUAUGCCUAUUCUCUCUUAUUUUACAAGGUUUACAUGAAGAGGGAGAGUGCCGGCAGCUGGAAUUCUGGGCUGGAUAAGGAGCAAACAUUAGAGACCUAUUCUGCACAACUCCAAAAGUCCUGAAACAUCACGGGAGCAUGUUUCAGAAUAUAUGAAAAAUAUUGGGUGAAGGAAGUACCAGAGGGGGGCCACCCACCAUCCACCAGGGUUGGGGCGCGCCCCCUGCCUCGUGGGCCCUCUGGCAGCCCUCUGAUGCCCAUCUACUAUAUGAGGUUUUUCGUCCAGGAAAAAAUCAUAAGCAAGCUCAUGGGACGAAACUCCGCCGCCACGAGGCGGAACCUUGGCGGAACCAAUCUAGGGCUCCGACGGAGCUGUUUUGGCGGGGAAACUUCCCUCCGGGAAGGGGAAAUCAUCACCAUCGUCAUCACCAUCGACCCUCUCAUCGAGAGGGGGUCAAUCUCCAUCACCAUCUUCACCAGCACCAUCUCAUCUCAAACCCUAGUUCAUCUCUUGUAUCCAGUCUUUGUCCCAAAGCCUCAGAUUGGUACCUUUGGGUUGCUAGUAGUGUUGAUUACUCCUUGUAGUUGACGCUAGUUGGUUUAUUCGGUGGAAGAUCAUAUGUUUAGAUCCUUUAUACAUAUUAAUACCCCUCGGAUUAUGAACAUGAAUAUGAUUUGCGAGUAGUUAAGUUUGUUCCUGAGGACAUGGGAGAAGUCUUGCUAUAAGUAGUCAUGUGAAUUUGGUAUUCAUUCAAUAUUUUUAUGAGAUGUAUGUUGUCUUUCCUCUAGUGGUGUCAUGUGAACGUCGACUACAUGACACUUCACCAUUGUUUGGGCCUAGAGGAAGGCAUUGGGAAGUAAUAAGUAGAUGAUGGGUUGCUAGAGUGACAGAAGCUUAAACCCUAGUUUAUGAGUUGCUUCCUAAGGGGCUGAUAUGGAUCCAUAUGUUUCUGGCUAUGGUUAGGUUUACCUUAAUACUUCUUUUGUAGUUGCGGAUGCUUGCAAGAGGGGUUAAUCAUAAGUGGGAUGCUUGUCCAAGGAAGGGAAGUACCCAAGCACCAGUCCGCCCACAUAUGAAAUCAUCAAAGUACCGAACGUGAAUCAUAUGAACGUGAUGAAAACUAGCUUGACAAUAAUUCCCUUGUGUCCUUUCUAUAAGAGUUUGUCCAGUCUUGUCCUCUGCUACAAAAAGGAUUGGGCCAUCUUGCUGCACCUUAUUUACUUUUAUUACUUGUUAUCCGUUACAAAUUACCUUAUCGCAAAACUAUCUGUUAUCGAUAAUUUCUGUGCUUGCAGAGAAUACCUUACUUAAAACUGCUUAUCAUUUCCUUCUACUCCUUGUUGGGUUCGACACUCUUACUUAUCGAAAGGACUACGAUAGAUCACCUAUACUUGUGGGUCAUCAUAUGACACAAUGGAUUUAUACGGUUCCCUAUUUAACAUGAAUGCGGCUGUCUCUAAUGCAUAACCCCAAAAUGAUAAAGGCAAAUCGGUAAGAGACACCAUAGAACGCACCAUAUCUAAUAAAGUACGGUUACAACUUUCGGACACACCAUUACGCUGUGGUGUUCCAGGUGGUGUGAGUUGUGAGACAAUUCCACAUUGCUUUAAAUGAAGGCCAAACUCCUAACUCAAAUAUUUUCCUCCGCGAUCAGAUCGUAGAAACUUUAUUUUCUUGUUACAAUGAUUCUCCACUUCACUCUAAAAUUCUUUAAACUUUUCAAAUAUUUCAGACGUGUGUUUCAUCAAGUAGAUAUACCCAUACCUACUCAAAUCAUCUGUGAAGGCUAGAAAAUAACGAUACCCGCCGCAUGCCUCAAUACUCAUUGGACAUCAUACAUCGGUAUGUAUUAUUUUGAAUAAGUCAUUAGCUCACUCCAUUUUUCUGGAGAACGGAGUUUUAGUUAUCUUACCCAUGAAGCAUGGUUCGCAAGUAUCAAAUGAUUCAUAAUCAAGUGAUUCCAAAAGUCCAUCCGCAUGGAGUUUCUUCAUAUGCUUUAUACCAAUUUGACCUAAACGGUAGUGCCACAAGUAUGUUGCACUAUCAUUAUCAAAUUUGCAUCUUUUUGCAUGAAUAUUAUGAAUAUGUGUAUCACUACAAUCGAGAUUCAACAAGAAUAGACCAUUCAUCAAAGGUGCAUGACCAUAGAAGAUAUUACUCAUAUAAAUAGAACAACCAUUAUUCUCUGACUUAAAUGAAUAAUCGUCUCGCAAUAAACAAUAUCCAGGUAUAAUGUUCAUGCUUAACAUUGUCACUAAAUAACAAUUACUAAGGUCUAAAACUAAUCCCAAAGGUAGAUGUAGAGGUAGCGUGCCGACAGUGAUCACAUCGACCUUGGAACCAUUCCCGACGUGCAUCGUCACCUCGUCCUUAGGCAAUCUUCGUUUAUUCCAUAGCUCCUAUUUCGAGUUACAAAUAAGAGCAACCAAACCGGUAUAAAAUACCCAGGUGCUACUACGAGCAUUAGUAAGGAACACCUCAAUGACAUGUAUAUCAAAUAUACCUUUGUUCACUUUGCCAUCCUUCUUAUCCGCCAAGUAUUUGGGGCGGUUCCGCUUCCAGUGACAAUUCCCUUUGCAGUAGAAGCACUCAGUUUCAGGCUUGGGUCCAGCUUUGGGCUUUCUUCAUGGGAGUGGCAACUUGCUUGACCUUCUUCUUGAAGUUCCCUUUACUUCCCUUGUCUUUUUUCUUGAAACUAGUGGUCUUAUUAACCAUCAACACUUGAUGCUCUUUCUUGAUUUAAGUAUCGCGAAGAGCUCGGAAAUUGUUUUAGUUAUUCCUUGCAUAUUAUAGUUCACCAUGAAGCUCUAGUAGCUUGGUGAUAGUGACUGGAGAUCUCUGUCAAUCACUAUUUUAUCUGGAAGAUUAACUCCCACUUGAUUCAAGCGAUUGUAGUACCUAGACAUUCUGAGCACAUGCUCACUGGCUGAGCUAUUCUCCUCCAUCUUGUAGGCAAAGUACUUGUCUGAGGUCUUAUACCUCUCAACAUGGGCAUGAGCCUGAAAUACCAAUUUCAGCUCUAGGAACAUCUCAUAUGUCACAUGGCAUUCAAAACGUCUUUGGAUCCCCAAUUCUAAGACGUAAACCAUGGAGCACUAAAUUAUCUAGUAGUCAUAGGUCUAGCUUGUCAAUCAUUCAUAACAUCUGCAUCAGCUCCUGCAACAGGUCUGUCACGUAGCGGUGCAUCAAGCACAUAAUUCUUGUGUGCAGCAAUGAUGAUAUUCCUCGGAUCAUGGACCCAGUCCACAUUAUUUCUACCAACAUCUUUCAACUUAAUUUUCUCUAGGAACGCAUUAAAAUUUAGGGGAACGGUAGCACGGGCCACUGAUCUACAACAUAGAUAUGCAAAAACUAUUAAGACUAAGUUCAUGAUAAAUUAAGUUCAAUUAGUCAAAUUACGAAUGAACUCCCACUUAAAUUAACAUCCCUCAAGUUAUCUAAGUGAUACAUGAUCCAAAUCAACUAACCCAUGUCUGAGCAUCACGUGAGAUGGGGUACUCAUCAAUGGUGAACAUCUCUAUGUUGAUCAUAUCUACUAUAUGACUCAUGUUCCACCCUUCGGUCUCUAGUGUUUCGAGACCAUGUCUGUACAUGGAAGGAUCAUCAAGUUUAACCCAAGUAUUAUGCAUGUGCAAAACUUUCUUACACUCAUUGUAUGUGAACGUAGAGUCUAUCACACCCGAUCAUCACGAGGUGCUUCGAAGCGACGAACUUUGGCAACCGUGCAUACUCAAGGAGAACACUUUUAUCUUGAAAUUUAGUGAAGGGAUCACCUUAUAAUGCUACCACCAUUCUAAGCAAAAUAAGAUGCAGAAAGGAUAAACAUCACAUGCAAUUAAAAACAUGUGACAUGAUAUGACCAUCAUCAUCUUGUGCUUUUGAUCUCCAUCUCCAAAGCAUCAUCAUGGUCUCGAUCAUCACCGGCUCGACACCUUGAUCUCCAUUGUUGCGUCGGGGUCAUCUCGCCAAUUAUUGCUUCUACAACUAUUGCUAAUGCAUAGCGAUAAAGUAAACCAAUUACAUGGCACUUGCAUUUCAUACAAUAAUUAAGAGACAACCUUAAGGCACCUGCCGGUUGUCGAUAUUACAGAACAUGAUCAUCUCAUAAAACAAUGUAUAUCACAACAUAUAUUGACCAUAUCACAUCACAACAUGCCCUGCAAAAACAAGUUAGACAUCCUCUACUUCAUUGUUGCAUGUUUUACCUGGCUGCUAUGGGCUUCUAGCAAAAACCGUUCUUCACUAUGCAAAACCACAACGGUGAUUAUCAAGUUUGUUGUUUUAACCAUCUUCAAGUACCGGUCGUAGUCAAAUUCAAAUCAACUAAAGUAGGAGAAACAGACACCCACCAGCCACCUUUAUGCAAAACAAGUUGCAUGCCAGUCGAUGGAACCGGUCUCAUAUGCGUGGACAUGUAAGGUUGGUCUGGGCCGCUUCAUCCCACGAGACCGCUGAAUCAAAAUAAGACAUUGGUGGUAAGCAGUAUGACCAUCACCGCCCACAACUCCUUUGUGUUCCACUCAUGCAGGUCAUCUAUGCAUAGACCUGGCUCGGAUGCCACUAUUGGGGAUCGUUGCAUGGAAAACAAAAUAUUUUCUAUGCACACGCAAGAUCUAUCCAUGUAGAUGCAUAACUAUAUGAGGCGAGGGUAUGUCUACAUACCCUCACAUACCGUUUAGGGAAAGCAUUAUCAAUGCGGUUGAUGUAGUCGUACACCUCCACGAUCCAACCGAUCAAGUACCAAACACACGACACCUCCGCGUUAAGCACACGUUCUGUUUGAUGACGUCCUCUCCUUCUUGAUCCAGCAGGACGGGCGAAGCAGUAGAUGAUUUCCGACAGCACGACGGUGUGGUGAUGAUGGUGAUGCAAACUAUCUUCGCAGGGCUUCGCCUAGCACUACAAAAAUAUGACUGAGGAUGAACUAGAGGGAGAGGGGCACCGUACACGGCUUGGGAAUCGUGGUAUGUGUUGCCCCUCUCCCUCCUCUCAUAUAUAUAUAUAUAUAUAUAGGUGGAGGCACUACUGCAGGAUGCUACUAACAUGACACUAUGACUAGAGACCCUUUGACCAAACUGUGUGCGAUGCAUUAAUCGCAAACGGGGAUGUAAAAAAACCGUCAAAAAGGUGGAAAACGUUUGCAAUGGCGGGGCCAUCAAACAUGGUUCAUAUUUUAGUUGCGUGUGUGUCGUGGGAAACCAUGGCCACCUAUGGCAUCAGAGGGCCCCUUGCUGGUUUGGCAAGGGGAUGUCGCGUUGCACAAAGAGCAGACGAGGGUGGGGUAGCGCAGUAGCGAUCACACAUGCAAUUUUACCCAGGUUCCGGGCACUGUGAGGCGUAAAAGUCUACUCCCUCUUUGGUGGAUUGAUGGUGGAAAAACUGGUGGUGAGGCGUAGUACACUGCCUGGCAGGGGUUGCUUCAGGGCGACAGUGGCUACGCGCGUAUGGGUGUGUCUUAUCCAACUUUCCAACCAUUUCUACGGUUCUCAUGGGCCUCCUUUUAUAGAUUAAGGGGUUACCACAAUGGCAAAGUAGUCAUUAUGCACUAAUAAGAUAGAAAAAAUUGCUAUCGUACCUAACUCUGCAGGCUGACGGGGUGCAUUAAAUGCACCGCUUAACGUCACGUCACAGGUUGCCCGGCAAGCCUUGCUGGGCUAUCUCGCUAGCUCCACACCUGCUUGCUUGACAUGUCGUAGGACAGGUGUUAUCCGUAGGCAUUUCUUGUAGUAAUAGGUCGCCAUUUGCCAAAUGGCCCCCACUUAGUCACUUUUCGCCUUGACACCGCACUGACUGAUGACGUGGGUCAUGGCGGAGUGGUUGGGUGAGGUGGUUUUGCCUCCAUGAGCCUCGGCAGGCCCUGCAGGGGCGUCUUGGGCGCCUUCUUCUUAGGAUGGCCCCGCCACUGUCUAGCUCCUCUGCCCGACAAGGGAUGCCCUUCUCCUGAUGGUAUCUUGUUUCUCUGGCUCGACUUUGGUCUUUUUGAUCUGCAUUUUGGUCCUUCAAUGAUCUUGGUCUCUCGUACUCUGACUUCGAUUGGUGGUUCAAUCCUGUUCUCAUGCCUGUGCAUAGUCUGGGCAACAGACCCAGGGUUUGUUGCACCGAUAGAUGCCCCCGGGCCUGCCCUAAUGGCGCUACCGAGCAUCAUCCGGGUGUCCCUAUUAAGUGCACAAGCAGGGGUGCUGAUGAGGCUGGCCUCUUGGUGUUUUUUUGCUUCUUCGUUGAUCUUGAGCUUGGGUCAGUUUCGGAUUUUCCCGCACAUCGUGUAAAGCCAAUGGUGGUGGGAUCGCUCUUGUAAUGGCCCGUGAAUGACUUUAACACACGUCAUAGAAACUGCCAAUUCACUCUUCCCACCAUGCUCUUAUCCUCAGCCACGUAUGUUGCAUGCAUCGCGCAUGGUAGGUAACGGAGGCGCAUGGCGCGGGAGAGCAUCAAGGGCGAGGGCCUGGCCUUCUUGAAUUGGUGGAGGAGGACGGUGGCCGCCCGUUGAGGGAGUGGCUCCCCUUCCUCGCCUGCCUAUAAAAGGAGGGGUGAAGGGAGGUCGGAGCCAUCCAUCCUUGUGCUCUCCCUCCUCUACUUUCUGCUUCUCGUGGGUUAGGUUGAAGAAAAGAGCCUGGGACCAGCCUCCGGGAUCUUGGUUGAGGCUGGUAUUGCCAGAUGUUGGUGCUAGUGUCCGUGGACUGAACCAGGUCCCUGCUGUGGUGAAUCUCUUGGUGAGGGAGUCCUCAAUUAGGGGGUCUCCGGACAGCCAGACUAUAUCCUUUAGCCGGACUAUUGGACUAUGAACAUACAAGAUUGAAGACGUCGUCCCGUGUCUGGAUGGGACUCUACUUGGCAUGGAAGGCAAGCUAGGCAAUAUGAAUAUGUAUAUCUCCUCCAUUGUAACCGACCUUGUGUAACCCUAGCCCCCUCCGGUGCCUAUAUAAACCGGAGGGUUUAGUUCGUAGGACAACAUACAAUCAUACCAUAGGCCACCUUCUAGGGUUUAGCCUCUACGAUCUCGUGGUAGAUUAACUCUUGUAAUACUCAUAUCAUCAAGAACAAUCAAGUAUGACGUAGGGUAUUACCUCCAUCAAGAGGGCCCGAACCUGGGUAACAUCAUGUCCCCUGCCUCCUGUUACCAUCCGCCUUAGACGCACAGUUCGGGACCCCCUACCCGAGAUCCGCUGGUUUUGACACUGACAUUGGUGCUUUCAUUGAGAGUUCCACUAUGUCGUCAUCGUAAAAAACAACAUCACUUCUGGGGGAGCCCUGGUUGUAGGCCAAACUCUCCAACUAGGCAGCUUCGUCAUGACCGCCCGCUCGACCGCUGCGCCAACGAUGACUUCUCGGGUCAUCGAAAACAACCUCCACAUAGGCUGAAAAUUCGCCGAGCAGAUGGAUCCAAUGGAGCUCUCCUCUCUGAACGAGCUCUUGGAUCACAUCGCCGCUCUGGGAGACGCUAUGGACCACGAUCAGAUCGGGCUUAAACCCGACCAAACGGAGAUUAGCUCUCCGCUGGUCACCCAUCAAAUAGUGGUGGUGGAGGAACAAUGCAGUGUUUCUCCCUCUAUCCUGAGGACGAACUAUGUCCGGAUUCCUGAGCUCUCCGAGCCGGAUACUCGCUCAUGGGAGGACACCUCCCUAACCCUGAACCUGGAAUCAGGUCGCAUACCGAACCCGCAGAGCAACAUCCCGGAGUCCGAACUUUCAAGAUCGGAAACUCCCCCGCCCCGGGAUCUCAGAUUGGGUCAAGGUCUGGACUUAAAUCCACCAACCCACCCAGAUACAAACGAUAUUUCCCACAUUAGGCAAGUGCCCCAACAAACAGUACAUCACUAUUGGGCCAGAUUCCUCCUUGUAAUGAACAAGGUCAAGGACUGCCGUGAGGAAGACGCAAUUUCGUUCUUUUGUAACAAUUGCACGUACAAGGGGAUCCUCAAUGCCAUAAGUUGCCGCGACAUUACACACUUCGCCGACAUGGCGGCCAUAGUACAGAAAUAUUGUGCGAUGGAAAGCACCUGGAAAACCCAAACACAAUUCUGGGAUAAUCCAGCCCUGUCAAAACCCCUAGUCCGAACUAAAAGGGUGCACUCUCAUAAGUCGCCCGACUCAAUUAUAAAGAAACAAAAGGCCACUAUAGGGCAUGGAACCGUAUUGGAGGGAUGGCUUAACGGGCCCUGCAAAAUUCAUAGUACAGCGGAUGCCAUACCAACACAUAGCCUUCGAGCAUGUUGGGUACUCCGGCAGGUGGCCAAAAGCGGUGAGGAUCUCCUCAUCCAAAACACCCUAGAACACCUCCCAGGGGAUCACAAUACAGUACUGACAGUCUUCGAGACCUUCGCCUCAAAUAAUAGGCGUAAGCGAGUACUCCGCAGCCUUGACAACAUCUGCCACGUAGCAGCAACAAAUCCGUGGAGCGACACGGCUAUAACCUUCAAUGCCAGUGACGAACCUCAAUUCUGAACAACCCGAGCACCAGCUGCUUUGGUCCUUAGUCCAAUUGUGGACGGCUUUCGGCUCACUAAAGUGCUCAUGGACGGCGACAGCGGAUUAAACCUCAUUUAUGAGGAGACCCUUCAAAAAAUGGGAAUAGACAGCAACCGUAUAGAGCAAAGCAGCACGACCUUCCGAGGAAUUAUCCCUAGUCGGGAGGCACAUUGCACUAGGAAAAUCACACUAGAUGUGGUAUUCGUCACUCAGGAGAAUUAUAGGUCCGAAGAAAUCACAUUCCAAGUGGCCCUGUUCAGUAGCGGAUACCGCGCCCUUCUAGGGCGGGAGGCAUUCACGAUUUUCCGAGCCAUACCCCAUUAUGGGUACAUGAAGCUCAAAAUGCCUGGACCCAAUGGAAUCAUCACUCUAGCUAGUGAUCCGGACAUAGCACUCCGUGCCGAGAACAAAACAGUCGCACUAGCCCUCGAGGCAUUAACCGAAGCCCUUGUGGCGGAGGAGUUAACCGCGCUGCGCUCCACAAUGGACAGGGACAACGUGAUACUAGACAAAAGAUCCAAGUCCACCUCCUUUAAACCAGCGGAUGAAAUAGUCAAAUUCCAAGUCCAUCCAACGGAUCACACAAAAACAUCAUCCAUCGGGGCACAGUUAAACCCCGCUGUAGAUGCCGCACUACGGGAGUUUCUGCGCGAGAAUUGGGACAUAUUCACCUGGCAUCCUUCAGACAUGUCAGGAAUCCCAUGCAGAUUGGCCGAGCAUAGUGUUAAUGUUCUAAAACGAUUCAAUCCGGUCAAGCAGACUCUUCGGCGUUUCUCUGAACCUAAGCGACAAGCCAUGGGAGAGGAGCUAGCCAAGCUACUGGAGGCCAGAUUCAUUAGAGAAAUAAAACAUCCGGACUGUCUAGCAAACCUGGUGAUGGUACCAAAGAAGGACAAAUCCUGGCGCCUAUGCGUCGACUUCAAAGACCUUAAUAAGGCUUGCCCAAAGGAUCCCUUCCCCUCCCUCGCAUCGGUCAAAUCAUCGGUGCUACUGCAUGACACAAAUCAUUGUGCUUCCUCGACGCAUACUCCGGUUACCACCAGAUUAAGAUGGCGGAGUCCGAUCAAGCAGCAACGGCAUUUAUCACUCCAUACGACCCCUUCUGUUUUAACACAAUGCCCUUCGGGCUCAAAAACGCUGGCACAACAUAUCAGCGCAUGAUUCAGGCAUGUCCGGAAAAGCAGAUCGGCAAGACAGUGGAGGCAUACGUAGAUGAUGUGGUCAUUAAAACCAGACACGUCGACUCCUUAAUAGAUGACUAGAGGCUCAUGUUCGCCAAUCUCCGAACAUACGACAUUAAGCUCAAUCCGGAAAAAUGCAUUUUUGGCAUACCCGCCGGAAAGCUCCUGGGCUUCAUUGUCUCCAGUAGAGGAAUUCAAGCAAAUCUGGCUAAAAUCCGAGCCAUGUCACAGUUGGCUAUCCCAACCGACCUCAAGCAAAUAUAGAAGUUAACUGGAUGUGUGGCGGCCUUAAGCCGCUUUAUAUCCCGAUUAGGAGAAAAGGCACUCCCCCUUUAUCGCCUUCUUCGGUGCACCGAACACUUCGAGUGGAUGGACGCAGCCACGACUGGACUGGAAGACAUAAAAGCCAUCCUAGCCACUAACCCAAUCUUGGCCGUGCCAAAUGUCGGCGAACCAAUGCUAUUAUAUAUAGCGGCAAUGCACCAAGUUGUAAGUGCAGUGCUCGUCAUCGAACGAGAGACAGAUGGACAUAAAUUCCCGCUUCAAAAGCCGGUAUACUAUGUAUCUACCGUCCUCACUCCAUGCAAAUCACGGUACCCACAUUACCAAAAGAUAGCAUACACGGUAUUCAUGUCAUCCCGGGAAUUACGACACUACUUUCAAGAGUGUUCAAUCACGGUGGCCUCUGAAGUACCACUCAACGACAUAAUAAACAACCGCGAUGCCACGGGCUGGAUUGCCAAAUGGGCGAUCAAGCUCCUCCUGUUCGACAUAACAUACAAACCAUGACGAGCCAUCAAAUCGCAAGUGCUGGCUGAUUUCAUCGCCGAAUGGACAGAAGCCGAACUCCCUAAAGAGUACGGCGCCUACUCCAAUUGUAUAAUGCACUUCGACGACUCUAAAAUGCUGGCUGGUCUGGGGGCUGGCGUCGUCCUGACGUCCACCACCGGAUAUACAGUUCAAUAUGUACUCCGAAUACUAUACACAGACUCCAAUAACGCAGCUGAAUACGAGGCCCUAUUGCACGGUCUCCGGAUGGCAGUUUCGAUGGGCAUUCAACGCUUGGAGGUGCGUGGGGAUUCAAACCUAGCAAUAUCCCAAAUAAAUGGAGACUUCGAUACCAAGGAUCCAAAAAUGGCGGCAUAUCGCAACGCCGUUCUCAAAAUGUCAGCUCGUUUCGAGGGGCUUGAAUUCCACCAUGUGGUCCGGGAAAAUAAUCAGGCGGCGGAUAUCCUCGCCCGUCUCGGCGCUCAGCGCGACCCUGUUCCCACCUAACAUCUUCCUGGAAAAACUGUUUAAGCCGUUCGUGGUAUGGGAAGGGGACACCGGCAAUAAGAGCCCAAACCCGGUCACAACACCGGAUACCGAACACUCUGAUACAAUCGGAGGCUCUGCCAUUGAAAUAACACAUUCAUCCCAUGUAAUAAUGGCUGUCAUCGUUCCCUGGAUAAAGCCAUUCCUGGCCUACCUAACCAGGCAGGAACUACCCGAAGACCAAAAUGAGGCACGCUGCAUAGUGCGGCGAUCUAAAUCCUACAAGGUCCACGCGGGAGAGCUUUAUAAGAAAAGCACUACCGGAGUCCUUCAAAGGUGCAUCUCCGAACAGGAAGGGCGGAAUCUUUUGGCAGAAAUCCAUGCCGGACUCGGCGGCCACCACGCCGCAGCCCGGGCCCUUGUAAGCAAGGCCUUCCGUACAGGUUUUUACUGGCUGACUACCCGGGCAGAUGCGCAACAUCUGGUCCAACAUUGCGUCGGUUGCCAGCUUUUUGCAAACCAAAGCCAUAUGACGCCCACCUCCCUCCAAACAAUCCCCAUCACUUGGCCCUUCACGGUUUAGGGGCUUGAUAUGGUCGGACCCCUUAAAGGGGGGAACCCAUAAGAAGAAAUACUUACUGGUCAUGGUGGAUAAAUUCACCAAAUGGAUAGAAGCCAAACCUGUCAAAACGGCUGAAUCUAGACCGGUGAUAGACUUCAUAUCUGGGGUUGUACACUGUUAUGGCGUCCCCACAAUAUCAUCACUGACAAUGACACGAAAUUUACAGCCAACAAGGUGAAACUCUGGUGCAGCAAUAUGGGCAUCAAGCUUGACUAUGCUUCUAUCUAUCACCCGCAAACUAACAGUCAAGUUGAGCGAGCAAAUGGUCUUAUCAUGAGCGGUAUUAAAGCCAGACUAGUGCGGUCCUUAACGGAACCAACACGCACUGGGUAGAGGAGCUCGACUCCGUACUAUGGGGGCUGGGGACCACGCCGAAUCGCACUACCGGAUACACACCGUUCUUUAUGGUGUACGGCGCAGAGGCGGUUCUGCCUUGCGACAUAAUUCAUGACUCACCUCGAGUGCGCAUGUACGAAGAAAAAGAGGCCAAGCUCGAUAGGCAGGACAGUUUGGACGCCCUAGAGGAGGAGCGCGACAUGGAAAAGGUUCGUUCAGCAUUUUAUCAGCAACAUGCUCAAAGGUAUCACAGCAGAAAAGUACGGGCCAAAAACUAGAACGUUGGCGAACUAGUUCUACGCUUGCCGCAGAAGAAAAAGAACAAGCUCAAGCCCAAAUGGGAAGGUCCCUUCAUUAUUGACCACGUUCUGACCGGUGGAGCGUACCGUCUGCGGGAUGCAUCGGAUAAUCGAAUCGAACCAAACCCAUGGAACGCGGCCAGACACCAAAGAUUCUACGCCUAGCGCCGGACUAUAUGUUCAUCUCCUCACCACCGUCAAUUUUUUUGCAUAUCUGUCUUUUUUCUCUCUUGCUCUUUUUUUCUCAUCCCGGCCCUAAAAGGCUAAACUUGUGUCUUGAUUGCACAAUCACGCCGCUCUUGUCGCGCUCAUUAUACCUGGGGACUUCUUAUACAGAAGCUUGAUAUAAUCAUUUUUCUGGGCUUUAUGUCCCGCACAUGUGUCAUUCUUCCACAUGUACCUUUUUUCGCCAUUAUAUGCAUCGAUAUGACUUAAGUUUUGGCCAACCUGGGUUGCCUGGCUCUUGUAUUUAUGCCCUAUGUUCCCAUUAAUUCAGCUAGGGCAUAAGGGGAGCACCUUUGCGAUUGUUACUGCCGGGUCAGUCGGAUGUGUACCUCAGACUGGGUGAAGCCGAAAGCUAGCGUUCCUAAGGGAAUAUUUGGUCGGCGAACAAAAGAUGACUUUUAUUUUGAAAAAAUGCCCCCAGAUGUUUACAUCCUGCGUUUCUUUUCGCAAUUCGGACAUGCACAUUAGGGCAUGCGUACCCAGGGAAAGGAACCCUUAACGGAACUAUUCUCCCUGGAAGAUGUUUCUUACUACCCAUGUAAUAUAACAUAGCUAGUUGGGUACUUGUCUUUUCAAGCACUUAUGACCCCUACGCCUGGUUUCCAUGCAUACCCCGGUUUUUAUAUAAUCGAGCAGGUAUUCGGAUACACUCCGUACUAUCAGGCCCAGACGUCGAAGCGAAAAGGUGCGCCAUGACAAAUGAUUUACAAUCCGGCUAGGGACAUUACAUAUGUCACUUGAAGUACAGAGCCUCUAAGACUGAUUCAACUCUUCUUCUAUACCAUCCAACAGGCUGUCUAGCCUACAAUCGUGUUGCGAAUACUUUGCGGCUAAUUCUACUUGAUCAUAUACUAAGCUGACAGGGAUCUCCUUCCCAUCAGGCCCCAUAGGUCCGACCUCGGCCAUGUGGUUUGGGUCCGCUUUGGUGUAUCGCGUCUUCACCAUAGCCCAAGCUUCCCUCGCACCUUGUCGGCAAGCUGAUAUCUUCCAUAAUUGGAAGCGCCGCCGUGCUCCCUUGAGCUUCUCUACAAGCUCUCCCAUGCCAAACGGUAGGGAUGCUGAUGGCCACAAGGCUUCGGAAAUACCCUGCAUCACCUGCCGAACUUGCUCGUGCAGUUGUGAGAGCUCUGGUAGAAGAUCAGCCGAAGACCCGGGCAUCUCUUCUGUGGGACGACCCAUCAGCAUAUCUGCAGACACAACUCUGUUAGUCGGCUUCGUCGCCGAACUCCUUUAAAAGUAUGUUCAAGCACUUACUAAAAAUGUCGCGCCGAAGCCGCUUAUUCUCCUUUAUGGAGUCCGCCAGCUGGGCCCAGACAUCUUUCAAUUCCUCGCCCAACCGGGUAUUGGCGUCUUGGAGAUUGUUUUUCUCCUGCCUAAAUCACAUAAGCACGCACUCACCAGUAUUUAGUUGUCUAUCAGCACGUACUGCAUUCACCACUACGGCCUCCGGACUCACUCCGGGGUCACCUGCAACAUCUAUUGUUAGAUUUGCAUACAUGCCGCAUACUACCUGGUACCUAUCUUCUUUGCAAGGGAAAAAUGUGUUACCAGAGGGACCCUUCUCGGACUCCCUCAACGCGGUAACAGCAGCCCCUAGCUGGGCCUUGCACUCUUCCAGCUCUUGAGACAAUUGCGAAUUCUUCUCCAUAAGAACUACUCAAAUAAAUGAUCCUUAAAUCAGUUGUGUCAACUGUUUCAAGUCUCAGGGGCUACUAAUACAUAUAAUCGUCAGAUUUACUUACCUGUAUAUCCCUUACAUACUGAUCUGUGGCUCUAGCUAGACCAUUUUGAGAAGCACGGAUGUACGCAUCUCCGGAAUUGAAGGCAUCAAAUGCCUCUGGUGAGAAACAAGCGUCACGGAGUACGGCCCGGCGACGCCUGUGAUUCAUGGCGCUCUCCACUUCGGAAUUCGUAGCAGAUAGUCUGUCUGCAUCCUCUGUAGGAGGAACAUCCGACGUCUGCCCCGCAUUAGCUUCCGCCUCUAUGUCCAGCCCUGGAGCCCGAUUGGUCGAGGCGUGAUCGACAGCCUCUCCGGAUAUAGUCCGGCGAGCAUUUUUUCUAGGAAACACGGAUGUCGUUAUAUUUUAAGCAAGAUGACAACCACGAAAUGAGGUUUUGUGUUAUACCCCAGUGUUGGUGUCUCCGUCCUGACCGCCUUCCUUUUUGCCUACCCGGCUUCGGUGCCUCUUGUUGGCGAGUUGUCAUAGGUUCGGCAUGGCGUCCCGAAGGCCUUCCCUGUAAGACACCAUACGUGUUCGGUAGGUGAGGUGCAUAAAAGGGGAUCCUUUUUGGGAGUUGGGAAUUGGGUUUUUCUAACGUGCGAUGCAGGGAGUAGUCCCGGAUAGUCGACCAUUAUUGCCACCAUGGCAUCAUCGCAGCUCAAUUGAUAGAAUUGCAUGUCUAUCAGCUCCACGAAUAUGUCCGGAUCCUCCUUGAGUCCGGGAUCGAGGGCCCGGCCAGGGUCCUCAGGUUGUGGAGCUGGGUUGUUGACCUCCUUUUAUCGCUUUUUGCAGUUCCUGCCAUGAAAUGGCAAGGUGAGUACCUAUGAUGAAGAGUGCGGGAAGAUUGAGAGCGAAAAGGGUACAACUCACCCACCUUGGAGGGUUGUACAUGGAGAAUCCGUCCCGUGGUUUAAUGUGGAUGAACUCCUCUUCCUCUCCCUUGAACAACUCGGACAGAACUUUUGCUAAAGCAGCAGGUGAGUCCGGUCCCUUGCGCCCGCAACGGGUGGCAUCGUCUUCCCCGUUAAAACACCACAGGGGGUUCCCUCAAUAUUGAAGUGGUUGCACCCCCCGCAUUAUGCAUAUUGACAUAACCUCGAUUAUUGUCAACCCUGAUUGAGCCAGUGCUUUUAUCCGGUUCAUCAGAUAAAGGACUUCUCUGGUAUCUUCCUCCUGGGGGCUCUGUGGGCGCCAACUUUAGCGUUUCUUUAGAGGAGCAUUGUCGAACUCAGGAAGACCCCGCCGAACAGGGUCUGGAAGAGGGACGUCCUCCAUGUAAAACCACUCCGAAGGCCUGUCUUCGGACGUCUUCUUUGGAGUACCGAACGGAUAUCCGGUCUCGGCGAUGCGCAAUAUUUAGGCUUCGCCCACUUGAUAAAGUGACCCCUUCUGUGUGUGGGGCACAAGGCAGAAUAGCCUUUUCCACAGCUCGAAAUGAGCAUCGCAGCCCAAAACAACUCGCAAAUGGCAACAUAGCCGGCGGUGUGUAAUAUGGAAGCAGGGGUGAAAUUAUGCAACUGGAGGCCGUAAAACCCCAGGAGUCUGCGGAGGAACGGAUGAAUUGGAAAUCCAAGUCCCCUUAGUAAGUAAGGGACAAGGCAUACCCGCUCCCCCAUGGAGGGAUUGGGGAAGCUCUCUGCUUGCUCCCCGCCAUUAUAAGUGGCGAGCCCGGCUCAGACGAGGACCAUAUACAUCGGAAGGAGAAAUCCUAGGGUCUGCAACUGUACUAAUCGGCCGUGCGGGACGGAACACUUCUCCCAAUCGCCGGGCUUCGGGCUACGGGAGCGAGAGGAGGAGCUGCGGUGGCUGGCCAUGAUGGAAUGGAUUUUUUCGAGCGUGCUCCAGUGGAUUCUCACUGUGGGAAGAUGGUGUGGAUUGGAUCUAAGAAUCCCCAUCCCUUUAAUAGACGAUUUAUUUACUUGGCUAGGUGGGUGAAUGUAAAAACACCCUGGCUCCUCGCAUUCACUCAACAUGUGGAAGAUAGCCCUUAUUGGGCGCAGAAGCCAAGAAGUCCAACAUUUAUGGGAGCCGGACACUACUUAACAAAUAUUCAAGAUUUGGAGAAGAACCCGCCUUGCAAUGCCGAACACAAUACUGCACGCUAGACUCAACGUCAUUGAAGCCUGGUUCGGGGGCUACUGAGGGAGUCCUGGAUUAGGCGGUCUCCGGACAGUCGAACUAUAUCCUUUGGCCGGACUGUUGGACUAUGAAGAUACAAGAUUGAAGACUUCGUCCCGUGUCCGGAUGGGACUCUACUUGGUGUGGAAGGCAAGCUAGGCUAUACAGAUAUGUAUAUCUCCUCCCUUGUAACCGACCUUGUGUAACCUUAGCCCCCUCCAGUGUCCAUAGGAAAACAUACAAUCAUAUCAUAGGCUAGCUUCUAGGGUUUAGCCUCUAGGAACUCAUGGUAGAUCAACUCUUGUAAUACUCAUAUCAUCAAGAACAAUCAAGCAGGCCGUAGGGUAUUACCUCCAUCAAGAGGGCCCGAACCUGGGAAAACAUCGUGUCCCCUACCUCCUGUUACCAUCCGCCUUAGACGCACAGUUCGGGACCCCCUACCCGAGAUCCGCCAGUUUUGACACCAACACUUGGCGUCUUCGGGGCUCGCCCGGGAGGCAGGACUGGAGAUCAUUGGUAAUCGCAGCACUGCCCCUCCCGGAGGUCUUGGGGCUAAUGUCAAUGAGAGGUGCGCCUUCCUGCCCGCCAAGGUGGGGAGCAGAGUGCCUCGAGCCCCCUGGUCGUCUUGGUCGCUCGCCGUCUCUCCAGGGAAGGUGUUGGGUUCGAGUCUUAGUGCUUCUCGGGAGCAACGGUGGUGAGGAGUCCGGGAUCGAGGGCCCAGCCAGGGUCCUCAGGUUGUGGAGAUGGGUUGUUGACCUCCUUUUAUCGCUUUUUGCAGUUCCUGCCAUGAAAUGGCAAGGUGAGUACCUACGAUGAAGAGUGCGGGAAGGUUGAGAGCGAAAAGGGUACAACUCACCCACCUUGGAGGGUUGUACAUGGAGAAUCCGUCCCGUGGUUUAAUGUGGAUGAACUCCUCUUCCUCUCCCUUGAACAACUCGGACAGAACUUUUGCUAAAGCAGCAGGUGAGUCCAGUCCCUUGCGCCCGCAACGGGUGGCAUCGUCUUCCCCGUUAAAACACCACAGGGGGUUCCCUCAAUAUUGAAGUGGUUGCACCCCCCGCAUUAUGCAUAUUGACAUAACCUCGAUUAUUGUCAACCCUGAUUGAGCCAGUGCUUUUAUCCGGUUCAUCAGAUAAAGGACUUCUCUGGUAUCUUCCUCCUGGGGGCUCCGUGGGUGCCAACUUUAGCGUUUCUUUAGAGGAGCAUUGUCGACCUCAGGAAGACCCCGCCGAACAGGGUCUGGAAGAGGGACGUCCUCCAUGUAAAACAACUCCGAAGGCCUGUCUUCGGACGUCUUCUUUGGAGUACCGGACGGAUAUCCGGUCUCGGCGAUGCGCAAUAUUUCGGCUCCGCCCACUUGAUAAAGUGACCCCUUCUGUGUGUGGGGCACAAGGCAGAAUAGCCUUUUCCACAGCUCGAAAUGAGCAUCGCAGCCCAAAACAACUCGCAAAUGGCAACAUAGCCGGCGGUGUGUAAUAUGGAAGCAGGGGUGAAAUUAUGCAACUGGAGGCCGUAAAACCCCAGGAGUCUACGGAGGAACGGAUGAAUUGGAAAUCCAAGUCCCCUUAGUAAGUAAGGGACAAGGCAUACCCGCUCCCCCAUGGAGGGAUUGGGGAAGCUCUCUGCUUGCUCCCCGCCAUUAUAAGUGGCGAGCCCGGCUCAGACGAGGACCAUAUACAUCGGAGGGAGAAAUCCCAGGGUCUGCAACUGUACUAAUCGGCCGUGCGGGACGGAACACUUCUCCCAAUCGCCGGGCUUCGGGCUACGGGAGCGAGAGGAGGAGCUGCGGUGGCUGGCCAUGAUGGAAUGGAUUUUUUCGAGCGUGCUCCAGUGGAUUCUCACUAUGGGAAGAUGGUGUGGAUUGGAUCUAAGAAUCCCCAUCCCUUUAAUAGACGAUUUAUUUACUUGGCUAGGUGGGUGAAUGUAAAAACACCCUGGCUCCUCGCAUUCACUCAACAUGUGGAAGAUAGCCCUUAUUGGGCGCAGAAGCCAAGAAGUCCAACAUUUAUGGGAGCCGGACACUACUUAACAAAUAUUCAAGAUUUGGACAAGAACCCGCCUUGCAAUGCCGAACACAAUACUGCACGCUAGACUCAACGUCAUUGAAGCCUGGUUCGGGGGCUACUGAGGGAGUCCUGGAUUAGGGGGUCUCCGGACAGUCGAACUAUAUCCUUUGGCCGGACUGUUGGAGUAUGAAGAUACAAGAUUGAAGACUUCGUCCCGUGUCCGGAUGGGACUCUACUUGGUGUGGAAGGCAAGCUAGGCUAUACAGAUAUGUAUAUCUCCUCCCUUGUAACCGACCUUGUGUAACCUUAGCCCCCUCCAGUGUCCAUAGGAAAACAUACAAUCAUAUCAUAGGCUAGCUUCUAGGGUUUAGCCUCUAGGAACUCAUGGUAGAUCAACUCUUGUAAUACUCAUAUCAUCAAGAACAAUCAAGCAGGACGUAGGGUAUUACCUCCAUCAAGAGGGCCCGAACCUGGGAAAACAUCGUGUCCCCUACCUCCUGUUACCAUCCGCCUUAGACGCACAGUUCGGGACCCCCUACCCGAGAUCCGCCAGUUUUGACACCAACACUUGGCGUCUUCGGGGCUCGCCCGGGAGGCAGGACUGGAGAUCAUUGGUAAUCGCAGCACUGCCCCUCCCGGAGGUCUUGGGGCUAAUGUCAAUGAGAGGUGCGCCCUCCUGCCCGCCAAGGUGGGGAGCAGAGUGCCUCGAGCCCCCUGGUCGUCUUGGUCGCUCGCCGUCUCUCUAGGGAAGGUGCUGGGUUCGAGUCUUAGUGCUUCUCGGGAGCAACGGUGGUGAGGGGAAAACGAGGGAAGACGGAGAAGGCGGGUGGCAGGGGGUCAAGUCGGAGUACAAUGGCGUGGAUGCCCUCGCCUCCAACUAGUGACCUGCCGCCUCGUCUUUCCACCUUUCCCUUCCCUCCCCGGCACCAUCAUCACCAGCCUCCUAGGGUGAUGGCCGGGGAGGGAUGUUCCCUGGGUGCCUUUGCCUCCCCUCCAGUAGUCUUCCAGCUGAGCUUUGGUGGAUGACCCAACCGGGGCUCAAGCUGGGGCUUCGUGCUGGUCCUGAAGGUGGCGACCAGGGGAAUGUCACUAUGCUCCUGCACUCCUCCUUCGCAGCCUUGCCACUCCCGGUCUUGUCAGGCGGCGCCGGGUGGGUCGCGAUGGGACCGUGAUGGGCUCCUGCUUUGGUGCCCUUUUCUUGUCUUUUCCUCCUUCUACCAUAGUGCGUGCUGGAGGGAAAACGAAAAGAGGGGAUUAUGGGGCACUUAUCUUUUUUCAAUCUUAAAUCUGUAGGGACUUGCCAAAUUUUAAUUCAAAUAAUGUAAUCUCUCGAGUCCAUAUUUGUGUUCUGUAAUGCUUGUACUUGUAUUACCAGCGUAUUAAUGAAAAAAUGGGAUGCCUUCUAUAUAAAGGUGGGAACCCAUGCAUGUAUAUGUCCAUGCAAUGGUGAGAUGGCCCCUUCGUGUAAAUAAUAGAGUUUCCCCCGUAGGCUAUCUUGCCGACACCCUUUUGCUUGUCGGAGAACUAUGUCUAUAGGGCGAAAACAAAGGGACCAACCCCCCGCCAACUUCCUUUUACCAAAGGCCACUGCGACCAUUCUGACCGAAGCAACAUUCAGUCAAGGAUAGGAGCACCUAAGUUUCAAUAGAGUGGUGAGGUUUUCUCACGCACAAGUUAUAGUUUACAGAACACUAAUGGAGGAGAGGUAGAACCUAUCUUUUUGGCUUGCCAGGGAUUGCAGUGCCGGGCAAUCUUCUCAACUCCUUAUUGAAGCCAAGUUCACGGCAGGAACCUGCAACUUUAUGCAGAUUAGAAUGAUGCAAGAUGCGAUCCUAUCUAUAUGCAUAUGCAAAUGCUCAUGACAUCCUUAUGAAGUGCUCUUGGAAUGCUCAUGCAUGCAUGCAACUUUGUCGAGGGCCACCCGGUGCUUCUUUUAUUUUCUCUAGCACAGGUUCAUUGCCCUGGCUUUGUACAAGGGGUUACAUGCAGCUGAGGAAGGCCUGUACAAAAUGGUGGCUACCAGGCAGGGCCCGACAGCUGCGCCUUACGGGUAGAACUUGCGGAGAUGCUCAAUAUUCUAUGAGUUUUGCAAUUGAAUUCCAACUCCGAUGUCCAGACGGACUGCGCCAGGUCUUGUGACUCGUACUACCCGGUAAGGGCCUUCGCACUUUGGCGUUAACUUGUUUGUACCCUUGGAGUACUGAACGCGCCUAAGGACAAGGCCGCCUUCCUCUAAACACCGGGCAUGAACUGUGUGGCUAUGAUAGUGAUGUAGGGCUUGCCGAUAGCAUGCAACACGUGUAGUAGCCCAGAGACGGUUCUCCUCGAGUAGCACAACGUCGUCACGCCAGUGCUGAUCUUGUGCUACUUCAUCCUAGGCAAGCACUCAAGGCGACCCGUAAAUGAGUUCCGUGGGAUAACUGCUUCUGCCAUGUAGACCAGGGAGAAGGGAGUCUGCCCGGUAGCUCGAUUUGGUUUCGUUUUGAGGUACCAGAGAACUACCGGCAGCUCAUCGAUCCACCGCCUGCCAUGCUUGUGCAGCGUAUCAAAGGUUCUUGUCUCUAAGUCCUCGCAACACUUCAGCGUUCGCCCUCUCAGCUUGUCCAUUGCUUCUGGGGUGUGCAACAGAGGCAAAUGAGAUCUUGCAUCCGAGGGCAUGAACAUAUUGCAUGAAGGCGCGGCUCGUGAACUGUGUCCCAUUGUCGGUAAUGAUCCUUGCCGGGUCUCCAAAACGGCACACCAAUUCUUUCAAGAACUUGAUAGCUGACUGAGAAGUCACCUUUCUCAUGGCAGUCAUUUCCGGCCACUUUGUAAACUUGUCGAUAGCAACAAACAAGAAUUCAAAGCCCCUGAUUGCUCGGGGGAAGGUGCCAAGGAUCUUGAGCCUUCAACCAAAAAUGGCCAUGAUAAAGGGAUCGUCUAAAGAGCUUUGGCAGGCAGGUGGAUGUUCUUAGAAUGGAACUGGCAGGCUUCACAUUUGGUGACUAGCUCGACCGCACCUUGGAGGGUUGUGGGCCAAUAGAAUCCUUGCCGGAAUGCUUUCCCAACUAAUGCCCUCGAUCCAAUGUGGGAGAUGCACAUGCCUUUGUGUAUCUCAGCCAGCAGUUCAUUUCCUUCUUCUCGGUAGAUGCACUUCAAUUUCACACUGUUGGGCCUCCUUCUAUACAGAGUGUCAUUGGCAAACUGAUACACACUAGCCUUCCGGGCUACACUUUCAGCCUCAUCUUGGUCACCGGGAAGCUCUUUGGUUUUGAGGAAGUGGACUAUGUGCCCAGGUUGGAGCCUGCGGCUGGGCAACGAGGACUAGAGGCACUUCCUCUACUACGGGGGCACAUUCCUUGUCCGCGGGGACCAUGGGCCCGGCUAGAGGGUCCGGUCCGGCAAGUGGCGAGGAGUUGUUUCCGGGAGGGUCUCUUCCAGGAGCGAACGGCUUUACCGGGAGAGGCUUACCAGAAUCCAACUUUCUCCUUUUCUGGGCCAUUGUUACUGGGGAUACGGAGGGCUGAGUAAGAUGGAGAACAAAAGUCCCUGGUUCCACAGGAAGCUUCUGCGCAUCACACUUUCAUAGAUGAUCAGCUAUGAUGUUUCCCGCACGGGGUACGUGCUCUAUUUAUAAUACAUCAAGCGCUCCUCUAAUCUCCUCACUUCCUCAAUGUAUGCCUCCAUCAAUGGGCUUUGGUAAUCCUUAUUAACCUGUCUCAUGACAAGUUGUGAAUCUCCUCGAAUGAUCAGCUUCUUAAUUCCCAAUACUGCAGCAAUCUUGAGCCCUGCAAGGAGCCCUUCAUACUCCGUUGUAUUGUUGGUUGCCUCUUCCCAGGAAAAAUGCAUCUGGAUGAUGUACUUCAAGUGCUACCCAGAUGGGGCAACAAGAAGCACGCUAGCCCCUGCACCUUGUAGAGAAAAGGCACCAUUGAAAUACAUAAUCCAUUCUUGCAGGGAUUUCUUGUCGAGGAUAACUGUCUCUGGUACCUCCUCAUCAGGGGUUGGUGUCCAUUCCGCAAUAAACUCUGCCAAUGCCCUGCUUUGGAUAGUUGAUGCACUCUCAAACUUCAAACCAAAGCUGGAUAACUCCAAAGCCCACUCCACUAUUCUGUUGGUAGCCUCAAGGUUUCGAAGUAUCCUUUGCAACGGGAAACGAGUGACAACCAUGAUCUCAUAGGCUUGGAAGUAGUGGCGCAGUUUCCUUAACACCAUGAUAAGACCAAAGAUCAAGCGCUCAGUCUAGCCCCAUGUAACAAGGAGCUGACGAAGUACACUGGUUGAUGCACCACUUUCUUCCUUGCCGUGUCCUUGGGGUUCCUCUUGCUGUCGUGCUCAUUACUGUCAUGAUCCUUCUCUUGCUCUAUCGGUCGUUGCUCACUCUCUGCCUCAUCCACUUCCCGCUGCACCACCAAGACUGCACUAACCACUUGGUUGGUUGCCGCUAAGUACAGCAGCAACGGCUCUUGUGGUUUAGGAGCAACCAGGGGAGGCACAGAGGACAAGUAGGUCUUCAACUCUUGCAAAGCUGCAUCUGCUUUUGGGGUCCACUUCAUGGGCCCUGCCUUCUUCAAAAUUUUGAAGAACGGCAGGGCGCGCUCGGCAGACUUGGAGAUGAAUAUGCUUAGCACGGAACACAUCCUAUCAGAUGCCUCACAUCCUUAACUAUCCUUGGCGCCUGGAUCUGCUUGAUAGCUUUAAUCUUGUCGGGGUUGGUUUCGACCACACGAUGGGACAGAAAGAACCCAAGCAGCUUGCCGGAGGGAACACCAAACACACACUUCUCUGGGUUGAGCUUCAAGUUGAUCUUGCGUAGAUUAGCAAAUGUCUCCUCCAAAUCCAGAAUAAGGGUGGCUCUAUCCUUGGUAUUGUUGACACUAUCAUACAUAGAAGAUUCACUAUUUCUGUGCAGCCAUGGUUCGAAACCAAUCUGGAUUGCCGUUGCAAAAGUGGACCCAGCACUUUUCAAUCUAAAUGGCAUGCGGACAAAAUCGUACAUACCACAUGGAGUGAUGAACGAUGUCUUCUCUUCGUCUUCCUUGGACCUGAAGAUUUGGUGAUACCCAGAAUAUGCAUCCAGAAACAAGAGAAAAUCACAGCCUAAAGUGGAAUUGACAAUCUGAUCGAUACAUGGCAAGGGGAAUGGGUCCUUCGGGCAGGCUUUGUUGAGAUGUGUGACAUCUAUGCAAAGCCUCCACUUCCUGUUAGCCUUCCGUACUACCAUUGGAUUUGCCAACCACGUGGGGUGUAGCACUCCUCUGACCAAACUAGCUGCUUCAAGUUUCUUGAUCUCUUCCGCAAUGAACUGCAGCCUCGCUAAGGCCUGCUUCCGGACUUUCGGGUUGAAGGUCGGGCGUGUGGGCAGACAUCAAGGUGGUGCUCGAUUACCUCCCUGGGAACACCGCGGAUAUCCGAUGGUUGCCAAGUAAACACAUUGAUAUUCGCCCGUGGCAAGGAAAUGAGCGAGCUUUCCUAUUUGUCAUCAAGGGUGGCACUGAUAGUGAAAAUACCAUCAACACCAGCCAGCCCUGUCGGGACCUUUUUCACUUGGGGUGCAGCGACCUUGGAACUCUUGUUGUUGGAGCUCUCCAACAAGUCAUCAAUAGACGCAGUGCACUUUGAAGAGGUACAGUUCCUGGAUUCCUUGCCAACAUCCUUGCUACCCUUCUUCUUUCUCUAUCCUCCUUGGCAAGAACUACUACUAUUGCUGCCUCUGUCGUGUCUACGUCCUAGUACAUCUUGUCCACACAAAUGAUAGCAUCGUUCUUAUCUGAUGGGUUGGUAAUUACUCCCACAGACCCAGGUAUUUUCAAGGUGUUAAAGGCAUAGUGGGAUGCUACCAUGAAUUUAGCUAGGGUUGGGCGUCCAAGAAUCCCAUUGUAUGGCAGGGGGAGAUCAACCACAUCAAACACAAUCUUCUCAGUCCGGUAAUUCAGCUCUCCUCCAAACAUCACCAGCAACGUGAUCUUUCCCUUAGGAUGACUCCUGCCGGGAUUAACUCCUUCAAACCUACCGGUGGUCUUCAACUCAUCUUCCGCUAUCUGAAGUUUGUUGAUGACUGUCGAGGAAAUUAGAUUCAACCCGGCCCCGCUGUCCACCAACAUUUUUGUGACCGUGAGGUUGCGAAUUGUUGGAGAGACCAACAAUGGCAAACAUCCUACCGCAGUACUACGGUUAGAAUGAUCCUCUUGGUAAAAGAUGAUGGGCGUGCAUGAACACUUGAGCGGCUUCUGGGCCUCUGGCGCUGCUUCCAUGGCAUUGACUUAUCAUGCCAAUCGCUUGAGCUGGUGUUGAGAGGUGUGCAAAGAUGCACCCCCAUCAAUGGACAGGGCGCAGUGGCCUUUUGACACUCCUGCUCACUGGUUUCCUCUUCAUCCUCCCAUCACUCUCAUCAUCACAGUUUUCCUUCUCUCGACCUCUUGAAGGUUUUCCUUGGAUCCUAAAGGGUUUGCUGGGGCGAUUUACUUCACCGCCUCGGCCCUUGACGCCAGCGGCAUUCUGACCCUUUUCCUUGUCGCGCUUCUCGUACUCUGCUCUUUGUCUCUUAAACAGCUGCUCAACCUGAUAACAGUCUUGAAGGUCGUGGCCUUUGGUCCAAUGAAUCUUGCAAUACGGCCCAUCACCUUUCCCAGCCUUCUCGGCAGACACGACCUACCGGCAACCAGCGCACUCGGCAACUUUGCAAUACCCACAAUGCGGCUAUAUCUCCCACGUGUCAGGGUACAACUUAGAGGCAUAGCCACAUGGUAGGCCUGUUGCAAGAGGGGUAAUCUUCACACAUCUCAUGUACUAAAUAAGAAAGGGAUAAAGAGUUGGCUUACAAUCGCCACUUCACACAAAAAACAAGUUAUAUGGACAUCAUCCAGAGUACAAUCAAGGUCCGACUAUGGAACCAAAAUAAAAGAAGACACCCCAAAAGCAAGAUCCCCGAUCGUCCCAACUGGGCUCCACUACUGAUCAACAGGAAACGAAACAACACAACGAACAAGAUCUUCCUCGAGCUCCCACUUGAGCUUGGUUGCGUCAUCUGCACUGGUAUCAUCGGUGCUUGCAACUGUUUGGAAGUAUCUGUGAGUCAUGAGGACUCAACAAUCUCACACCCGCGAGAUCAAGACUAUUUAAGCUUAUGGGUAGGAUAGGGUAAUGAGGUGGAGCUGCAGCAAGCACUAAGCAUAUAUGGUGGCUAAACAUACGCAAAUAAGAACGAGAAGAGAAGCAACGAAAUGGCCGAGAAGCUAGAAGUGAUCAAGAAAUGAUCCUGAAACUACUUAUGCACAAAAAUAACACAAGAACCGUGUUCACUUUCCGGACUCCGCCGGAAAGAGACCAUCACGGCUACACACACAAUUGAUGCAUUUCAAUUAAGUUAAGUGUCAAGUUCUCUACAACCAGACAUUAACAAAUUCCCAUCUGCCACAUAACCGCGAGCAUGGUUUUAAAAAAUUUAUACCCUGCAAGGGUGUCCCAACUUAGCCCAUCACAAGCUCUCACGGUCAACGAAUGAUAUUCCUUCACCCGGGAAGACCCGAUCAGUAUCGGAAUCCCGGUUACAAGUCAUUUCGACAAUGGUAAAACAAGACCAGCAAGACCGCCCGAUGUGCCGACAUCACGAUAGGAGAUCCGCAUAUCUCAUUCUCAGGGCAACACCGGAUGAACACUACGUACAGCUAAAACCAGCCCUCAAAUUUCCCCAAGGUGGCACUGCAAGUGGAUCUGGUCCGGACCAACACUUAGAGAAGUACUGGCCCGGGGGGUUAAGAUAAAGAUGACCUUCGAGAGCGCGACUCCCAAGGGAAAAGUAUAGGUGGUGGUGAGGCAAAUGGUAAAACCAAGGUUGGGCCUUACUGGAGGAGUUUCAUUCAAAGCGAACUGUGAAGGGGUUCCCAUAACACCCAACCGUGUAAGGAAUGCAAAAUCAAGGAACCUAACACCGGUAUGACGGAAACUAGGGCGGCAAGAGUGGAAUAAAACACCAGGCAUCAGGCCAAGCCUUCCACCCUUUACCAAGUAUAUAGGUGCAUUAAAGUAAAUAAUAUAUAAUAAUGAUAUCCCAACAAUAUCCAUGUUCCAACAUGGAACAAGCUUCAUCUUCACCUGCAACUAGCAACACUAUAAGAGGGGCCGAGCAAAAGCGGUAACAUAGCCAAACAACGGUUUGCUAGGAAAGGUGGGUUAGAGGCUUGACAUGGCAAUAUGGGAGGCAUGACAUAACAAGUGGUAGGUAGCACGACGUAGGGAUAGAGCAAACAACUAGCAAGCAAAGAUAGAAGUGAUUUUGAGGGUAUGGUCAUCUUGCAUGAGAUCCCACAAGGAAGAAGAACGAGUUCAUGAAGAAGGAAAACGAGCGUAGUCGAACGAAUCCUCACAACUCCGGAACGGAACCGAAGCUAACGAGAGAAGCAACCCGAAAAGAAGCAAGCAACAUGUAACACCCUCGAUGCGACUAUAGCUCCCACGUGUCGAGGCACGACUUAGAGACAUAAUCACAUUGAAGGCAUAUGUCGCAAGUUAGGCAAUCUUCACAAACAUCCCAUGUAAUAUAAUAAUAAAAGGGGAGAUAAUGUAGUUGGCUUACACUCGCCACGUCAAUAAAGUACAUAAAUAACAUUACAUCAUCCAAACACUCAUGGCCCGACUACGGCGCCAAAAUAAAAGAUAACCCAACAAGCGACACGGUCCCAAUCACCCCCAACUGGGCACCACUACUGAUCAUCGGGAAAGGAAACAUAGUAACGUUGAGAGUCUUCGUCGAACUCCCACUUGAGCUCAUACGCUUCUCUUGGAGUGGAAUCAUCAGGCCCUGCAUCUGCUGUAAUAGUAAUCUGUGAGCCACAGGGACUCAGCAAUCUCGCACCCUCGCGAUCAAGACUAUUUAAUAUUGUAGGUAAGGAAAGGUAAAAUAUAGGUGGAGCUGCAGCAAGUGACUAGCAAGUAUGGUGGCUAACUUAUCCGAAAAAGAGAGCGAGAAGAGGAGGCAAAGCGCGAGCGAGAAACUAGAGAGCAACCUGCGCAAACAUUACUCCAACACCGUGUCCACUUCCCGGACUCCGCCAAGAAGAGGCCAUCACGGUAACACACUCAGUUGAUUCAUUUUAAUUAAGUUAAGGUUCAAGUUAUCUACAACUGGACAUUAACAAAUUCCCAUCUGCCCAUAACCGCGGGCACGGCUUUCGAAAGUUCAAUCCCUGCAAGGGAGUCCCAACUUAGCCCAUGACAAGCUCUCACGGUCAACGAAGGAAUAGACCUCCUCCCAAGAUGUUCCGAUCAGACUCGGUAUCUUGGUAAUUCAAGACACUUCGAGAGGUUAAAACAAGACCAGCAACACCGCCCGAAUAUGCCGACAAAUCCCGAUAGGAGCUGCACAUAUCUCGUUUUCAGGGCACAAUCAGAUGAGCUGUCCAUACAACUAAAACCAAACCUCGAGUUUCCUCGAGGGGGCGCUGCACAAGACUCUAGUUUGGACCAACACUCAGAGGAACACUGGCCCGGGGGGGUUAAAAUAAUGAUGACCCUUGAGUCUGCAGAACCCAAGGGAAAGAAAAGGCUAGGUGGCAAAUGGUAAAACCAAGGUUGGGCAUUGCUAGAAAAGCUUUAAUCAAGGCGAACUAUCAAGGGGUUCCCAUUAUAACCCAACCGCGUAAGGAACGCAAAAUCCGGGAACAUAACACCGAUAUGACGGGAACUAGGGCGGCAAGAAUGGAACAAAACACUAGGCGAGAGGUCGAGCCUUCCACCCUUUACCAAGUAUAUAGAUGCAUUAAGGUAGCAAGAUAACAUAAUGAUAUCCCAACAAGUAAAUAAAGGUUCCAACAAGGAACGGGCUCCAAUCUUCACCUGCAACUAGCAAUGCUAUAAGAGGGGCUGAGCAAAGCGGUAACAUAGCCAAUCAACGGUUUGCUAGGACAAGGUGGGUUAGAGGUUUGACAUGGCAAUUUGGGAGGCUUGCAAGCAAGUGGUAGUCAUCAUAGCAUUGGCAUAGCGAAAGAGCGAGCAAACUAGCAUAGCAAAGAUAGUAGUGAUUUCGAGGGUAUGAUCAUCUUGCCUGCACAGUUGUCAGAGUUGACUGGAUCCUCAAAAGCAAACUCAACGGGCUCCUCGUUAGCGAACUCGUCUCUCGGCUCUACCAAAACAAGACAAACAAGCAACAAGGAUACAAUCAACCACGUGCAAACUCAAACAACACGAUGCAAGGAUGAUAUGCUAUGCGGGAUGCGAUGCGGGAUGCAAAAUGCAAGAUAUGACAGGAAAUGCAUGAACCUGGACUCAACUUGGAAAACCAAGUGUGCCACUGGAAAGAUGAGAUGAAAUCGCUUGAAAACGAUAUAAAGAACGCCGGAAUCGGAGUUACAGUUUGGAAAUGGCAAGCGAUUCAAAAAUGACACCGGUCUGCGAUUUACAGCAAGUAGGCAUCUAAAUGCAAUGAGAUGAACAAGCUACAACACCCAAACAUGACAAAAAAAUACAUGGCAGGGAUGCACACAAGAUUCUUAACAAAAGUCUAGCACUGAGCUACGGCCAAUUCAUCCAUUAACAGGUUCAAACAAGCAUGGCAAAAAUGCAAAUGACAAACAGAUUUCAGACUUUGUGAAAUUAACACUUGUCUGGAAUUUCAGAUUAGGUAGCCCUCUUCGGAGCAACAAAACUAAAUGCUACAGGACCUGAUCAUGGAAAAGUAAAGCAUGGCAUGGAGCUACUCAAAGAGCUUAACAAAAGUCCCUUAGUGACCUUGAGCCAAAAAGGACCAGAAAAUACAAUUGCAAGCAUGUGAACAUAGCAAAAACAUAAUCAGUUUUCAGACUUAGUGAAAAACUAACACAUGCUGAAAUAUAACUCAAGUAGGCAUGUUUACGAGCUCGAUGCACUCACUACGGUGCAAGUCAUGGCAAGACAAGCAUACACCUAUAGAGAAGGCACAAAAUUCAAACUAGACAUGGCAAUAACAAUAGCAUAGCAUGCACGGAUCAACUACAACAUCACUGGCAAAAUUGCAAACAAGUUGACAAUCUCAGAUUCACAAAGUAGCAAAAGUAGAGCUCGAUUGACUCAAGCUAGGCUGCUCCAUAAUUGCAAACAAAGGCAUGGAUGGAUAGAGCACUACAAGAUUAACAAAACAUCCUUACUGAUCAUCCUCAAAAGAGUCACGGAUCACUAGGAAACAACAUGAACAUAUGGCAUCAUGAGAUAAACAGCUCUAGGACUGUGAAAUUACUGUCCCUGAAAACAGAAUUAGCAAGUGCACCACUUUGCAAGCUUGCACAAGUCACCACACACAUCCUAAAAAUACAUGGGUUGCACCUCUGGAAAGAUGACAAAACCCUUAACAAAACAUACGUAGAGCACACGGGCAUAGCAUGCACACAUUAAUCAUGGCAAAAAUGAAAAAAGUGCUAAACGGAGUAGCAGAUCUAACAAUUAACUCAAGUUGCCCUCUUCUAACAGCAUUUCGGGCAUCAAGAUGAACUCAAAAGAAAAUGAUGAAAUGGAAUGAAAUGAUGUGCUCUCUGAGAUGAAGAUUUUUAUAUGCUAUAUGCAUGAAUCAAAGCUACGGAUGCAAAGUUACGGGGUCUCGAACAGGAGCACUUGGAUCUACAAUUUCAGGACUUAGAGAAAAAAAAUCAACCUCCGGAUGGAUCUAGAUCUGGCGGUUACUGUAGCUCCGGAUCGGGCACUAUAGCUCCUCGCCGGAAAUGGCGCCUUGGUGGCCGGAGGAAGAAGGGCGCUCGCCGGACUUGGAGGCGCUCGCCGGCGCGUGGGCGGAGGAGGCCGGACGGCGGGGUAGCUGCGGCGACGAGGCACGGCCUCGNNNNNNNNNNNNNNNNNNNNNNNNNNNNNNNNNNNNNNNNNNNNNNNNNNNNNNNNNNNNNNNNNNNNNNNNNNNNNNNNNNNNNNNNNNNNNNNNNNNNNNNNNNNNNNNNNNNNNNNNNNNNNNNNNNNNNNNNNNNNNNNNNNNNNNNNNNNNNNNNNNNNNNNNNNNNNNNNNNNNNNNNNNNNNNNNNNNNNNNNNNNNNNNNNNNNNNNNNNNNNNNNNNNNNNNNNNNNNNNNNNNNNNNNNNNNNNNNNNNNNNNNNNNNNNNNNNNNNNNNNNNNNNNNNNNNNNNNNNNNNNNNNNNNNNNNNNNNNNNNNNNNNNNNNNNNNNNNNNNNNNNNNNNNNNNNNNNNNNNNNNNNNNNNNNNNGGCAGCCGGGUCGGGUCGGCGACCGGGUGAGGCGGCGAUGGCCGGCAAUGGCGCGGCGGCAGCGGUGCGCGCCGGCGCCGAGGACGACGGCGGCGGGGAACUGAGGAGCGGGGCGCUGUGGCUCGGCCCGGCUCGGGCCUCGGGAGGGCCGGCGAUGGGCUGCGGCGGCGGGGAGGCGCGGCGAUGUGGGCGCCCGGGCGGACGAAUCCUGAGGCCCCACGUGGCAGCGGACGGCGGACCGGACGUGUCCGUCGGCAGGUUUUUGUCCGGCGUGGCGCGGGGACGAUUUCUAGGGUUUCGGGGAGGAAGGAGAUCCAAAAAUCGGGGGGUGUUUAAAUAGGCAUAGAGGGAGCUAGGAGAGUCCAAAUGAGGUGCGGUUUUCGGCCACGCGAUCGUGAUCGAACGCUCUAGAUGAUGGAGCAGAGUUAGGUGGGUUUUGGGCCAAAUUGGAGGGGUGUUGGGCUGCAACACACACAGGCCUUUUCGGUCCCUCGGUUAACCGUUGGAGUAUCAAACGAAGUCCAAAUGAUACGAAACUUGACAGGCGGUCUACCGGUAGUAAACCAAGGCCGCAUGACAAGUCUCGGUCCAAUCCGGAAAUGUUUAAUCCCCACACACAAAAGAAAGCUAGAAAUGACCACUGGAGGAGAACGAAGCGCUGGAAUGCAAAACGGACAACGGGGAAAAUGCUCGAAUGCAUGAGACGAACACGUAUGCAAAUGCAAUGCACAUGAUGACAUGAUAUGGGAUGAAUGACAACGACAACAACACACGGAGACAAAAACCCGAACCCGAGAUAAAAAAUAUAACUUAACGUCGGAAACGGCAAGAGUUGGAGUACAAAUUGGGAAAGUUACAUUCGGGGUGUUACACAACAUAGUAAAAAACCAUAACAAAACAUGGCAUGAUGCACAAUCAAGUAUGAUGCAUGUCCGGUUUAAUGAGGCAUGGCAUAGCAAAGUGCACAAACGAAACCACAAGUUAAGUGGAGCUCAAUAUGCAACGAGUUGCAUAUAGACGAAACACCACAUUCAAUCAUUUAAUUCACUCUCGUUUAUGUACCCAAUAAUAUUAAAUGUUAUUAAACAUGGAAAGAUGUGAAACAUAAUAAAACUAUCUAUCUAGCAAGUUUAAAUGAGGCCAGAACAACAAGCAACAAGUCCGGAAAAAUCCUCAUGUGCAAAAUGUGGAUUUGGUACUGUUCUGCCCUAAACCAUAUUUUAGAGUUGUUAAACAUGCAAUAUGAGUGCACCAAGUUAAACUAGGCAUUUUUCUACCCGAUUUACAUAUAAAGUUUAUUUAAUUUGGAGCUACGGCUAAUUAGUUAUGAAAUAAAUCAUUUUAACAUGGCAUUUAAGCAAAUUUAAACAAACAUCAUUUUUAAACAUUUUAACCAUCCAUGAAAGUUGUAAAUUAUUAUCUACACAAAAUUCGAAGCACUUUACAUAUUUAAAGUUUUUACAUAUGAUGCACGGUUGGUGAGUUAUGAUAUGCAUGAAGCUUAGGGUUUUUUUCUGCAAAUCUGAAAUUCUACGGAUAAUGCUAAAUUAGCAGUCAGUGGAAAAAACAUCAACGGGCCCAAAUCUGCUGGCCCAACUGGAGAAAAAAACAAUAGGUGGGGCGCUGGAGGGGCAGCUCACCCAUGGGCCAAUCCCGGCUACAAAGGAGGCCGAGCAGGCUCGCUCGCUGGAUCAAGUCGAGGCUGACUCGGGCGCGGUCAACACGCGGCUGCACCGAGCGAGUUGCUACUGCUCGUUACUGAAGAACGAACAACAGAAGCAGCGGCAGGUUCACGACGAUGCAGGUGCCGGGGAGGUUCUGGCGACGGGCGACGGAAACCGGCGGGUAGGCGUUGGUGAUGACCCACAAGUAUAGGGGAUCUAUCGUAGUCCUUUCUAUAAGUAAGAGUGUCGAACCCAACAAGGAGCAGAAGGAAAUGAUAAGCGGUUUUUAGUAAGGUAUUCUCUGCAAGCACUGAAAAUAUAUCUAACGGAUAGUUUUGUGAUAAGAUAAUUUGUAACGAUCAACAAGUAACAAAAGUAAAUAUAGUGCAGCAAGGUGGCCCAAUCCUUUUUGUAGCAAAGGAGAAGCCUGGACAAAUUCUUAUAUAGAGAAAAGCGCUCCCGAGGACACAUGGGAAUUAUCGCCAAGCUAGGUUUCAUCAUGAUCAUAUGAUUCGCGUUCGGUACUUUGAUAAUUUGGUAUGUGGGUGGACCGAUGCUUGGGUGUUGUCCUUACUUGGACAAGCAUCCCACUUAUGAUUAACCUAUAUUGCAGGCAUCCGCAACUACAGCAAAAGUAUUAAGGUAAACCUAACCAUAGCAUGAAACAUGUGGAUCCAAAUCAGCCCCUUAUGAAGCAACGCAUAAACUAGGGUUUAAGCUUCUAUCACUUUAGCAACCCAUCAUCUACUUAUUACUUCCCAAUGCCUUCCUCUAGGCCCAAAUAAUGGUGAAGUGUCAUGUAGUCGACGUUCACAUAACACCACUAGAGGAGAGACAACAUACAUCUCAUCAAAAUAUCAUACGAAUACCAAAUUCACAUGACUACUAAUAGCAAGACUUCUCCCAUGUCCUCAGGAACAAACAUAACUACUCACAAAGCAUAUUCAUGUUCAAAAUCAGAGAGUAUUAAUAUGCAUAUAGGAUCUGAACAUAUGAUCUUCCACCAAAUAAACCAACUAGCAUCAACUACAAGGAGUAAUUAACACUACUAGCAACCCAUAGGUACCAAUCCCAGACUUAGAGACAAGAAUUGGAUACAAGAGAUGAACUAGGGUAUGAGAGGAAAUGGUGCUGGUGAAGAUGUUGAUGGAGAUUGACCCCCUCCCGAUGAGAGGAUCGUUGGUGAUGACGAUGGUGAUGAUUUCCCCCUCCCGGAGGGAAGUGUCCCCGGCAAAACUGCUCCGCCAGAGCCCUAGAUUGGUUCCGCCAAGGUUCCGCCUCGUGGUGGCGGAGUCUCGUCCCGAAAGCUUGCUUAUGAUUUUUUUCCUCAAUGAAAGACUCCAUAUAGCAGAAGAUGGGCAUCGGAGGGCCACCAGGGGGCCCACGAGGUAGGGGGGCACGCCCAGGGGGGUAGCGCGCGCCCCCACCCUCGUGGCCAGGGUGUGGCCCCCCUCUGGAACUUCAUGCACUCAGUAUUUUUAUAUAUUUUGAAAAUGACUUCCGUGAAGUUUCAGGACUUUUGGAGCUGUGCGGAAUAGGUCUCUAAUAUUUGCUCCUUUUCCAGCCCAGAAUCCCAGCUGCCGGCAUUUUCCCUCUUUAUGUAAACCUUGUAAAAUAGGAGAGAAUAGGCAUAAGUAUUGUGACAUAAUGUGUAAUAACAUCCCAUAAUGCAAUGAAUAUCAAUAUAAAAGUGUGAUGCAAAAUGGACGUAUCAACUCCCCCAAGCUUAGACCUCGCUUCUCCUCAAGCGAAAGCCGAAAUAGAAAAAUAUGAACACAUGUUUAGAGAUAGAGGUGUCGAUAAAAAUAAAAUACGGACAUGAGGGCAUCAUGAUCAUUCUUAGAACAGCAACUUAUAUAAUUCUUGUCAUAUGAUCUCUUAUGCUAGAGUAACAAUUCAAUCACAAUUUCAAGUAUGAAUCAUAAAGUUCAUUGAAAACUAACAAACUAUAAUCUCAGUCAUUGGAGCAAUUGUAAUUUAUCAUAACAUAGGAAAGAGUCAAUAUAAGAGCUUUUCAGCAAGUCCACAUACUCAACUAUCAUAUAGUCUUUCACAAUUGCUAACACUCACGCAAUACUUAUGGGUAUGGAGUUUUAAUUGGACAUAGAGAAAGAUAGGGGCUUAUAGUUUUGCCUCCCAACAUUUUACCUCAAGGGUAAUGUCAACAAUAAUAGUUCAUGAAAACUCACAUCAAAUUAGCCAUAUAUACCAGGAUCUUUCCAACAUGUUGUUCUUGCCAAAAGAUAAAAUGUAAAAAGGAGGGGUGAAUAUCACCAUGACUUUUAUGUAAGGUAGGAGAUAAAAGUAAAAGAUAGGCCCUUCGCAGAGGGAAGCAUAGGUUGUCAUGCGCUUUUAUGGUUGGAUGCACAAAAUCUUAAUGCAGAAGAAUGUCACUUAUAUUGCCACUUGUGAUAUGGACCUUUAUUAUGCAGUCCGUCGCUUUUAUUUCUUCCGUAUCACAUGAUUGUAUAAAGCUUAUUUUCUCCCACACUAAUAAGUCAUACAUAUUUAGAGGGAAGUUUUUAUUGCUUGCACCGACGACAACUUACUUGAGGGAUCUUACACAAUCCAUAGGUAGGUAUGGUGGACUCUCAUGGCAAAACUGGUUUAAGGGUGUUUGGAAGCACAAGUAGUAUCUCUACUUGGUGCAAGGAAUUUGGCUAGCAUGAGGGGGAAAGGCAAGCUCAAUCAUGUUGGAUGAUCCAUGACAAUAUAAUUUAUCUUAGAUGUAAGAAAACAUAACCCAUUACGUUGUCUUCCUUGUCCAACAUCAACUCUUUAGCAUGUCAUAUUUUACUGAGUGCUCACAAUCAUAAAAGAUGUCCAAGAUAGUGUAUUUAUAUGUGAAGACCUCUAUUUCUUUAUAUUACUUCCUAUUAAUUGCAAAGAUGACCAAAACUAUGUUUGUCAACUCUGAACAACUUUUAUUCAUCAUACUCUUUCUAUGUGAGCUCAUUACUCUCCAUAAGAUCCAGAUGAUCUCUUUGUUUCUUUUUAUUUCUUUCUCUUUUCUUUUAUUCACUCAAGAUUAUGGCAAAAUAAUCAAGCCCUUGACUCAACACUAAUCUUUAUUAUAUAUAGCUCAUGGACUCGAUUACAUAGAAGGAUCGUAAAGCAAAUUCACAACUAGAUCAUACUAAAACUUUAUGCUACUAGAUCAAGAUAUUGUGAUGGGCACGAGAGGUCAAUGUUGUGGAACCAGCGCCAGAGGCCCGGAAAUCGCUCAAAUGGUCCCGCACACCCAUCAUCUUUGACGAAGAGGAUCACCCUAAUCGCACCACUACGGUAGGGUGUUUGAAUAGAGGAAAACACAGUCAGAUAAGGAUCAGGACAAAAGUGAGCACGACAAUGAAAAUAACCCAAGUGACACGGCAAGGAAGAAAGUGGUGCAGCGCUAGUGUACUUCGUUAGAUCCUUGUUACAGGGGGCUAGAUCGAUGUACUCUGGUGUGCAAAAGUUGAUCUUUUGUCUCAUUAUGGCCUCAAGGAAACUACUCCACUACUUCCAAGACCAUGAGAUCACGGUUGUUACUCGUUUUCCGUUACAAAGGUUACAUUUGAAACCUUGAGGCAAUUGGCAGAAUAGUAGAAUGGGCUUUGGAGUUAUCCAUCUUUUCUUUGAAGUUUGAGAGCACUUUAACUAUUCACAGCAGGGCAUUGGCAGAGUGUAUUGCAGAAUGGACGCCAACCCCUGAUGAGGAAAGGACAAAGACAACCAUCUCGGGCAAGGAAUCACCCUAAGAAUGGAUCAUGUAUUCUGAUGGUGCUUUUUCCCUACAAGGUGUAGGGGCUGGCAUGCUUCUUGUUGCCCCCUCCAGGGAGCAAUUGAAGUACGUCGUCUAGAUGCACUUUGCCCGGGAAGAAGCCACCAAAAAUACAGCAGAGUAUGAAGGGCUCCUUGCUGGGCUCAGGAUUGUAGCACAAUUGCGAAUUAAGAAGCUGAUUAUUUGAGGAGAUUCACAGCUUGUGGUGAGACAAGUCAACAAGGAUUACCAAAGCCCAUUGAUGGAAGCAUACGUCGAGGAAGUAAGGAGAUUGGAGGAGCACUUUGAUGGGUUGCAAACAGAGCAUGUACCCCGUGCCAAAAAUAGCAUAGUUGCUCACCUAUGAAAGUGUGUUGCGCAGAAGCUUCCUGUAGAACCAAGAAAUUUUGUUCUCCAUCACUAUCAACCCUCCGUAUCACCCGCCACAAUGGCCCGGAAGAGAAGAAAGCUGGACUACGGUAAGCCUCUCCCUGCAGAGGCCCUGCCAGAAACAACUCCUCACAGCCUGCCGGACCACCCCCUCCAGCCGGGCAUAUGGACCCCGCGAACGAGGCUGGUGCUCCCGCAGUAGAGGAGGUGCCGCUAGUCCUUGUUGCCGAGCCCCAGGCACUAACUUGGGCAAGGCACAUUGUGCACUUCCUCCAAACCAGAGAAUUCCCUGGCAAACAAUAUGUAGCUGAAAGAGUAGCCCGGAGGGCCAGUAUAUAUCAGUUUGUCGAUGACACUUCAUGAUCACCUAUGGGUCCACGGGUCCCUUUUGGUUCGGCAACGGGGAGAUCACGUUGCACAAAGAGCGGAAGCCAUGGGUGCAACGCGACAACAAUGACACUAGAGGGUUUUACCCAUGUUCAGGCUGCCAUGAGGCGUAAAACCCUACUCCUUCCUUUGGUGGACUGGAUGGUGGAACACAACAGCACGCAAUGCUUGAGCCCGUCAAGGUAGCCUCAGGAGGAAGCAACUUCACACGUACAAGUGUGAGGGGGUCCGAAUCCCUUUCUAUUUUGCCUUGGACCUCCUUUUAUAGCUCAAGGGGUAACCACAAUGGCAAAACAGUCAUUAUCUAGUGAUUAGAUAGCUAACAAUGCUAUCAUACCUAACUCUGGCAGUUAGUACAAAGUGUAUUAAAUGCACUGCUAGGUGUCAUUCUGAAGGUGAAGCCCGGCAAGCCUACCGUGCCUCUUAGUCAUCUUCUGUUUCUCUGUUUGACAUGCCCAUUGGACGGGUGUCAUGUGAGGAUAAUCUGUCUUCCAACGGGCCGCCAUGUGCUUACUGGAAGCCACUUAAUCAUCUUGGAGGCUCGACAUUGCAUUGAUAAGUGACCUCCAUCGUCGGGCGGUGGAGCGGUGGUGUGUUGGCUGGAUUUCCUGCUUUUGUCGGUCCCGGCAAGCUUGCCGAGCCAAUCUUGGACUUGUCCUCGAGGUGGCAUCGACCUGACCGGCCUCACCUGCCCAGCAAGGGAGGACUUCCCAAGGUGAUACCUUGCUGUCUUGCAUGUUAACUUGGUGUUCCUGAUCCGCUCCUUGAUCUCACGAGAGCGGUUUCUCUGGCUUGGCCUUGCUUCAUAUGCUUGUGAUGUACAUGCAAUGCUAGCAUGCCUAUGUAUAAGUCUGGUCAACAAGUACACAUAUUUGUUACGUCAACAAAGGUGGUGGUACCGGAGAUAUCAGAUAGGACCCCACUUAUAUUGGCGAUAGAACCAAUGCCACAAAACCUAUGCACUACUAGGGAAAACCCUAGUAGUAGCGCUUGUUUUAUAGCCAGUAGUAGCACUUGUACAAGCGCUACCACUAAGGCGCUAUAGCUAACUGGUAGCAGUAGCGCUGGUUAGCCAGCGCUACUGCUACACCUAGUUAGCAGUAGCGUUUCCCGCAAAAAAGCAGUACUGCUAAUAGUAAGUAGCAGUAGCAUUUCUUUUGAAAAGCGUUGCUGCUAAAUUUUCCUAUAUUUUUGAAAAUAAAGCUUAUUUUCGUUGUCUUUUUAUAUAAAGUACUUUCAUCAUAUGAUUUUAAGACCAUGAUUAGUUAUUAUAUAUAACAGUGGGUGAAAUGAACGUGGAGUAGAUUCAAGUGCACACCGAAAGUACUACUAGAUUAGUAGUACUUUCGAUGUUCACCACAUGUUGCCUCCACUUGAAUCUAAUCCAUGUUUACUUCACCUACUGAUAUAUAUAUAUAUAUAUAUAUAUAUAUAAUAACUCACCAUGCUCAUAUAACAACUUAGCAUCAUGCAUCAUCGAUUAUAAUAAUAAAUAACUCAUCAUUGGUAUCAUAAUAACAAGUCCUAUUCAUCAUCAUCGAUCAUACAACUUCUACUCGUUAUCAUAAUAACAAGUCAUACUGAUCAUCAUCAUAGUCAUCUAACCAAUCCCACUUAAUUGUUCUUAACACAUGAUCAUGAGUAUUAGCUAGGACCUAAAUACCCACUCUAAGGUAAAAUAGCACAAAACAAGACAGGCCCUGGCUCUCCAUUAUGGAGAACGGAGAUUAUCCUGUCUCCAAUUCUUGCCCUUCGCACAAUGUUGCUUCCAAGUAGCUCCCUACGAUUGACCAUACAUUUUUUCCAAUCUUUGAUUGUCAUGUCUUCAUCGGUUUUAGAAAUCUGGAAUAGACAGGAGUGAUUCAUAGGGUGACUUAGCCGUAAGUUCAAAACAUCAAGGUGACCUUUCCAAAACAUCAGAUGAGGCACACAAUCCUUCAGGAUUUUCUGUUGGAAAACAAAGUAAUGACUAUGUAGUUAGCAAUGUAGUUGAGUUUUAGAAGAAUUUAUGCAAUAGAUACACGGAUGUCGUAAUAGUAAAGAAUCUUACCAUGGCAUCUCGAUGGAUGUUACCAUAGUUCAACACGUGCACUAGUGGCACGUAUUAACCAUAAUGUGGAGGAGUUUGAUAAUAGAUUGUACUUCUCAAGAUUAGUAAUAAAUGAGAUCAGAUGAUUUUUCUCCUGAUAAGUUAAUUCUGAGCCAUCGGUGUAGUAGGUUCUGUCUACCAUCUUCCGCACAUUCUUUGAAGAAUGAAAAUAAGCUAUCAAUGGAAAUAAGUUGUCAACUAUUUCGAAAUAAACAAUAUAAAUUACUUAAUAACUAUGUUUGAGAAACUCACAUAGCGGUAGAAUUGGAAGCGUAUCAACAAGGAUCCAAAUGUCCAUAUUAUCUUGGGCGAUGUUAGGAUCACCAAGAUCCAUGGUGACAAGCAUACCCUUAUGAAAAUCGUACAUCUUGCAAAGUGCUUCCCAAUUCGGGCAACCAAAAUGGGAUAUGCUCUUAGAAUUGUAUAUAUUUAAAUCAAAAUCCAUACCAUGACGGGUCCUUAGGCGAAUUUUCUUUGUUUCCAUCCUCUCCAAGACAUAGCGUCUUGCAUGGCAUGGGAUAAGCUAGUUGAAUUGCAAAAGACGAAAAUUACACGUUGAAGUAGUUGAAGUUGUGCUUAAUUACGAAAAAAAUACUUGUCGUUUUUGCAUACCGUUUCAACAUCGAAGGUGUCCUAGAGCUUAAUGCUGAAGCGCCGACCUUCGCCCAGGUGUGGCCUGUCGCACAGACCCCGGUCUUCAUUUCACUAGUCGCACUCCCCCGGGAGACUUCCGUUGUCCGAUGACGACAUUUCCUAGGUUCAUAAUUCAAAUAUUAAACUUGUACAAUUAAAUAUAUGUACUAAAAAACUAAAUUAGAUCAUUAUUAUUCAUCACGGGUUAACUAUCGGUCUGCUGAGUCUUUUCUUGAAAACACUCAGCUCAAGUGGUGUAUAUAUUCGACCGACAGUGAUGGUCGCUCCUCCCUUCGUCCCCGAGUGCAUGACACCAAAAUGUCAAGCACACGGAAUGAAGGAGAAGCGACCCCCACGACAACAGUCGGGAUUCUUCGUCCUCUCAUAUAUGGUGGAGACUCUCCCUCACUGGUUCCUCUCUGACAUUUGCGACCGUCGGUGAUGGUCGUUAGUCCUCCUUCCCCUAGUGCAUAACAAAGGUCUAGCAUAAGGAGAAGAAGGAGAAACGACCCCCACGACAACAAUCGGGAUUCUUCGUCCUCUCUCAUAUAUGGUGGAUACACUCCCCCACUGAUUUUUCGACGGUCGGUGAUGGUCGUAAUUCCUCCUUCCCCUAGUGCAUAACAAAGGUCUACCGCAAGGAGAUGAAGGAAAACCGACCCACACGACAACAGUCGGGAUUCUUCUUCUCUCAUGUAUGGUGCAGACUUUCUCCCUCACUCAUUUGUUGACUGUCAUGUAUGGAGCCUCGACAGACUUAAAGUCAACCCGAAAUGUCGUUUAAUGAUCUUUCUAGAAAAUCCAGGCGACUCAAUAUUUCUUACAUAUUCUAGCACAAGUCAUGCCAAAAUUCACGGAAAAGUCUGGCAUGACCUUUGCUAUAAAAGGACAUAUCGAGCGCCUGAAAUUUGCCGGAAUGGAAAUUAAUCAACACUUUGGCAAAACAUAGACCACUCAUAGGUGUAACCUGCAAACAUGGCUAGCAACUUGGGCAAGAACAUAUCCUAUUUGAGCAACACAAGAUAUACAUGUUUAUAUCUACAUCAUAUGCGCAUUCAAAGUUGAUGGUCAUUGCAUUUCAAUGGUUGAAAAUAUGAACAAAAACAUAGGACUCAUAUUGACAUGGAGAUUUGGCUGGUCUCACCUCGAGGUCGGAGGGGGUCGGUGACGGGGAUGACGGCGGGGAUGAUGGAGGGGCUCCUUGAUUUUUGCAAAAACAAAAACCCUAUAAGCUAUCAAAUCAUCAAAUGCACAUGCCUUGCAUAGUACUCUCUAAUUUGAGCAUUCAAAAUAGAAGUAGUUCUCCAAUUUGAGCAUUCAAUAAGCAAAACCAAAUGAUAAAAUAAGUUAGUAUUCAAAUUAGCAUGCAUUCAAUAAGCAAAACUAAAUCAUCUCUUGCGUUCGUACAUCGUCGAAUAUUAUCACUAAUACAUCUCGAAUAGUAACAUACAUAUAGUAACAUCACUAAUACAGCUAAAACCCUAGCGAACGAUGGGUAUUGGCGCAGGCGAUGGACACCCAAAGAGAAGGAACCAUCAUAGGAUCAUAGCUCCAGUGAGAUCCCUGAAGAACUAGCCAGGUAUUGGAGAACCUGCCCUCCAACGCAACCAUGUAGCGACGGGCGUGCUCAUUCUCCUCGCUGACAUGGUGGUGUACCACCUCCGCGGGUUCCUCAAGCCUCUACACCGUCACUGCCCACGCGACCGCCACCAAAGAAGGUUCGAAUCAACGACGGGCUGUCUCCUCACCAAGCUGCACCCCCCGGAAGGUAGCACCUCCUAGUACCAGCCCGACGGAGCCCAGCCCCGGACAUUGCCCCUCUAAUCAAGCAGGCCUCCUCUGUCGUGUCAACGAAGACGAUGCGGGAUAGGCAUCAUCGACAUUGAUGCAGGAAUAAUUUCUUUAACUAAAAAAUAAACUAGUUCUAUUAAGUUUCUUACUAAAAAUAAACUAGUUAUAUAGUAAAAUUGUAAUUAGAUCAUCAAAUCUCAUAUACCUUAAUUUUCUUACUAAAAAUAAUCUAGUUCUAUUAAUUCAACUAGUUCAACUAAGCACUUACUAUAAAUACAAAUAAAUUAGUACUUACUAAAAAUAAAUUAGUUCAACUAGUUCUAUUAAUUUUCUUACUAUUCUAUUAAACACUUACUAAAAACAGUAAAAAAAACUAUAUUGAAUUUUUUCUCUAAACUAAACACUAUUGCCCUAAAUUAACAUCUACUUCGUUACCUAACCUAAUUAACAUCUACUUAGUUACCUAACCUACUUCCCUAACUAAAAAACAUCUAAUUAACAGUACCACUACUACCCUAACCUAAUUAACAUCUACUUAGUUACCUAACCUAGCUAGUUUACCUAAAUUAACCUAGCUAGUUCACUUAGUGAACUUAGUUGACCUAAUGAACUAAAUUCACCUAAGUUAAUUAACAUACAGGGAUGAGGGAGGAGGAGUACCUCUCGGUGUAGGACGGCCGGCCCGUGGUCGGCCGGCGGGGGAGGAGAGCCGGCGUGGGCAAGGGUGGCCGGCAAGAGAAGACCGGCAUGGUGGACGGCGGCAGCGACAGCGUGCAGCGGAGGCGCGCGAGUGAGAGUGUGUGAGGGGGAGAGUGAGGUCGAGCGCGGGCUGGAGUGUGGAUAAGGAGCCCAUAGUAGUGGCUCUUGUAUGUAGAAAGCGCUACUUCCACGUUCAAUAGCAGUAGCGCUUCCUACACACAAGCGCUACUACUAUGCCUGGCCUAGCAGCAACAGUCUUGUAAUUGUAGUAGUAGUGUGUUUUAUGAACAAAGCGCUCCUGGUAAGUGCAUAGUAGCAGCGCUUACUGUGUGCAAGCGCUACUGAUAAUUAGUAGCAGCAGUUUCUGAUAAAAAGCGCUACUACUAAGCUCCUGUGUAUAGGCAUUUCCCUAGUAGUGAGGAUAUCACAACUAUGAUGGUCGCUGCUUUGAUCUUGUUAGUACAUAUUGUCUUGUAUCAUUGUCCUUACAUUCAUACCUGGUUGAUUAUGUGACAUCAGUGUGCAUGAUAACCUGCAUCCACUGUUUGCUCCUAAUUAUCAUAUCUAUAUUAAUGCUUACAUUAAUGUAGAAUAAACCCAAUGCUUAUGAAGAAGUUUAGCUCUACAUUGUUCUUGUAAGUAACUUUGUCCUUUAUCACUGUGCUUAUAUUGUCAGCUAGUUGUUCAUGUACCAUCACCUUUCAGCUUAUUUUCCCUUGGCCUCCAUUUUCUACACAUCAGAUCUAUGUUUACUCUUAGCAAAAUGUUGAAUAAAACUAAUGCUACUGAAGAUGGUUAGCUCUGCAUUACUCUUGUUAGUGCCUUUUGCAUGUAUCAUGUACCUACAUCUAUAUCUAGUUGAUUAUGUAGAAUCACUCUGCAUAUUAGCUUAAAUAAUCUUCAUUUGUUCCUAUAUUAUCACACCAAUAUUUACUCUUAAAAAUGAAGAAUAAAGCCAAUGCUUAUGAAGACGACUUUGUGGUAAACUUCCGGAAUUGCCGCCCCAUCAACAUGGAAAAGGGCUUUAUAGAGCUAGUCUUCAUUACUAACGUAAGUUUGUCUUUCUCGAGUCUUCAAAUGUUGAUGUGUAUAUUUGGAUAGCAAUGACUCCCACUACUAUUUAUCUUUGCCAUUUGCAUCAAAUUGCAUGUUUAAAGUUUAUUAUGUAGAAGUUCAUAAACAUAAGUUUCUCCUCCUCAAUUUCAGUUUUUAGUUGCACAACCUAGUUCCUUAUUCAUACCAUGUAAAUUAAACUAAACAAAGCAAGUGCUCUUCUUUAGCACUUCAUGUAUGCUUGUGUUGUUGAUCUGUAAUCAAGUGGUGUGGUGAAACUACCAACUCCAGGAAUAUGUCAUACCCUGCUAUGUCUUAACUAUGAAUAAUGGAUAUUAUGUUCAUGUUAUUUAAAUCAUGUCUCUUUAUUUACCAAUCUCAAAUGGGGUAAAUUGACAGUACACUCACCAUCGAUGCUUAUACAUUCUUUAGCACUGCAUGUAUGCUGGUGUUCUUGAUCUGUAAUAUAGUGGUGUGGUGAAGCUGGCCACUCCUGCACAAUGCCAUUUCCUGCCAUGUCUUAACUAUGAACAAUGUUAAUGCUAUUUUCAGCUAGAUCUCUUUAUUUUCCACUAAGGAAUGGGAUGAAUCGACAACAAUGAUGCUUAUACAUGCAAAGCCUGUUACCAGUCUGCUUUCUUCUCUUUUAGGGUGAUAUCACUAACACCAAGAGGAACUACCACAAUGAUAGUGAGACAAACCCAUUGCUUGUCCCUCUAACAUAUAUUGUGGGGAAAACACAUCUUGGGGAUAGCUAUACAAUGCCAAAGUCAUGUCUUGAUGUAGUGUAGAAGGUACUCGCUAAUAGUAGUGAUACAAGCUCGACAAAGUUGCCACCUGAAUCUGUUUGACUUCUUGAGUCUCGAAAUCAAGCAGAACGACAUGAUUAAGCUCAACUCCUACUGGAACUCCCAUCUAUAUGGAAGAACUAAGCAGAAUUAUAGGACGUCUAUUGAUGCUAUGCAGCUAGAAUUGGAUAUAAGCAUCAAACAAGCGUAGUCUCAUCAUCUUGCUCAGCUGCUUGCACUGCAGCUCCCAAGCAGGGCUAACCUUUCUUGAACUGUGUUGAAGUGUUGUCGGUUCUGUAUAUUAAUUUUCAUGGUGUGUUUAUUUUCAUUGGUGUGACCUUUAAUGCUUAGUAAAUGUAAUAUGUUGUCUGGUUGCGCUUUAUUAUCACUAGUGCUAAACUUUUAUGCCCAGUGCAUGUAUUAUGUAGUAAUUUCUUUAUUGUAUAGUAUAGAUUUAUUCUUCGCCAUGAUGCUGUAAUAUAUUUUAUGUAUAUGUUUUCAUCGCUCUCUAAAAAAGCCGUAAACAUUGACAAAUCGUAAUGAGCCUGAACAUUCAGUUUAUAUAAAGAAAUUGUGGUACGAAAACUGGUCGGCCCGCCAAUCGCUCUAAAUGGGCUAAAAUGUGGGCCUACAACCAUCUCCAGCCAUAGCAGGCCUAGACGUAAACUCACCAACUAUUAUUUUCGAGCCUUUAAGAGGCUCAGUAAACCAGUUGCCUAAGUUGGGUCGAAAAUUAAAUGGGCUUUUAAUAGCCUGAAAAGUAGGUUGGGCCUGAAUUGUGACGUUGGCCCAUGAUUGGCCCAACCACAAGACGGGUCGUUAACAUCGGAAAAUAUGUGUCGGGCCAUAGUUGGCCCAAUAAAAUGAUGGGUCAUAAGCAGGCACGAUGCAAAGCGGGCCAUAAUUAGACCCAGUUAUAUAACGGGCCUUUAACCGGCCAAUAGUCAGGUUGGGCUAAAAUGUAUCCACGAAGACUACGGGCCAUUAAGAGGCCGAAAGUCGCUUCGGACCAGAAAUAGGCCCACAUGCAAGAUAGGUCACCAAAUGGCCGAAAGUAAAACUGGGCCGACAAUGGCACAUGUGUACGAAGGGCCACUAAUAGGCCGAAAUUACUAUCGGGCCAAAAUAUUGCAUGGGCCUUUAAGAGGUCGUAUUUCAAAUGGACCCCCAAUGGGGCCAAAAGCAUAGUGCCUGUUAACGGGCCGGAUCUUAUAUGCGCCGUAAUGUGGCCGAAAAUAUGUCAGGUAGUUAACGGGGCGGAUCUGAUAUGGGCCAUCGUUUGGCCCAAAACAGGGCAUACUAUCAAUAGGUCGGAUCUGAUAUGGGUUCUCAUUUGGCCCAAAACAUGGCAAACAUCUAAUGGGUCGGAUAUGAUGUGGGCUGCAGUUUGGUCCAAAUCAUGGCAUGCUGUUAAUGGGCCGACCUAGUACUGUAUGACAAAAUCUUGUGGGCCUUUGGCUGGGCCAGCCCUUUUACCUUAAAUGGGCUACUGUUGGGCCAUGCCACGUGUCAACGUAUCAUAGGCUCGUUUGGUCAAUUGUAAGGAUGACAUCUCUCCCAACGCUGAGCUGAGAUGUGGAUUCGCCAGCAAAUGGCAAAUUUACACAUGGAAAAUUGCCAUUUGUCCGAGCUGUUAGCGGGUUCUCGGAUCCAAAAUUGGACCCGAUAGCUUAAUGGUGACCCGUUAUAGCGGCCGCCACGUGUCGAUUACCCUUGACGAAAACACUUCCAUGACGCGGCAUUUAUCGUCAUGGAAGUGGCACUUCCAUGAUGAUAAUUUCAAUAUUGUCAUGGAACACUUCUACGACAACACAAUUAUGACUAUCUUGAUUCUGUCAGAAAAUCGUCAUGGAUGUACAUGCAUGACAAAAAACUUGACCUACUAUGACAAAAAUGUAUCAUCAUGGAAGUGUUUUUUUGUAGUGCAUGCCCUAAAUAUAUUAAAGAUAUAAUAAGUUCCCUUGGUCAUGCUGGUUUCUAUAGAAGGUUAAUUAAAUAUUUCUCUAAAAUUUCUAGUCGUCUAACUAAUCUGCUUCAAAAAUAUGUUCCUUUUGUUCUUGAUGAGGAUUGUGUAGAAUCCUUUGGAUUACUUAAGAAAGCCUUAAUUUCUGCACCCAUUGUUCAUCCACCUGACUGGAACUUUCCUUUUCAAAUUACAUGUAAUGCUAGUGAUUAUGCUAUUUGUGCUAUCCUAGACAAAGAGUUGAUAAGAAAUUGAAUGUUAUUCAUUAUGCUAGUAAAAUUCUAGAGAAUCCUCAAAGAAAUUAUGCUACUACUAAGAAAGAAUUGUUAUCAGUUUUGUUUGCAUGUGAUAAAUUCAGACCUUAUGUCAUUGAUUCUAAAGUUACUAUUCACACUAAUCAUGCUACUAUUAAAUACCUUAUGCAAAAGAAAGAUGCUAAACCUAGAUUAAUUAGAUGGGUUUUAUUAUUAUAAGAGUUUGACCUACAAAUUAUUGAUAGAAAAGGAGUAGAGAAUCCUGUAGCAGAUAAUUUGUCUAGGAUGGAAAAUGUUCUUGAUGACCCACUGCCUAUUGAUGAUAGUUUUCCUGAUGAGCAAUUAGUUGUUAUAAAUGCUUUCCCGUAAUAAUCCUUGGUAUGCAGACUAUGCUAGUUACAUUGUUGCAAAAUAUAUACCACCUAGUUUCACAUACCAACAAAAGAAAAAGUUCUUCUUUGAUUUAUGAUAUAAAUUUUGGGAUGACCGACAUUUAUAUAAAGAAGGAGUAGAUGGUGUAAUUAGACAUUGUGUGCCUGCGGAUGAACAGAACAAUCCUACGGAAGUGUCAUUUUGAGGCAUACGAAGGGCACCAAGCUGGAGAUAUAACUGCACAUAAGGUAUUACAGUCUGGUUUUUACUGGCCUGCUCUCUUCAAAGAGGUAUGUAAGUUUGUCCUUCCUUGUGAUGAAUGUCAAAGAAUUGGCAAUAUUGGAAGACAUCGGGAAAUGUCUAUGAAGUAUGCACUUGUUAUUGAACCAUUUGAUGUAUGGGUUUUUUAUUGUACGGGGCCUUUUCCUUCCUCUAAUGGGUAUACUCAUCUUUUUAGUUGUUGUUCAUUACAUUACUAAGUGGGUAGAAGCUAUUACAAAUAGUAGUGUUGAUGAUAACACUUAUAUUAAAAUGCUUAAGGAAAUUAUUUUAAUGAGGUUUGGAGUCCCUAUAUAUUUAAUGGCUCAUGGUGGCUGAAACGUCUCCAACGUAUCUAUAAUUUUUUAUUGUUCCAUGCUAUUAUAUUAUCUGUUUUUGAUGUUUAAUGGGCUUUAAUAUGCUAUUUUAUAUUUUUUGGCACUAACCUAUUAACCAGAGGCCCAGUGCCAGUUUCUGUUUUUUUUGCCUAUUUUAGAGUUUCGCAGAAAAGGAAUACCAAACGGAGUCCAAAUGGAAUGGAACCUUUGCGAUGAUCUUUCUUGGACCGAAAGCAAACCAGGAGAUUUGGAGUGGAAGUCUAGAACUCCGCGAGGCGGCCACGAGUAAGGAGGGCAUGCCCAGGGGGUAGGCACACCCCCACCCUCGUGGGCCCCUCGUAGCUCCACCGACGUACUUCUUUCACCUACAUAUACUCUUGUACCCUAGAUCGGUCACAGAGAGCCACAAAACCACUUUUCCACCGCCGCAACCUUCUGUACCCAUGGGAUCCCAUUUUGGGGCCUCUUUCGGCUAUCUGUCGGAGGGGGAAUCGAUCACGGAGGGCUUCUACAUCAACACCAUUGCCUCUCCGAUGAAGCGUGAGUAGUUUACCACAGACCUUCAGUUCCAUAGUUAUUUGUUAGAUGGCUUCUUCUCUCUCUUUUAUUCUCAAUACAAAGUUCUCCUCGAUAUUCUUGGAGAUCUAUUCGAUGUAAUACUCUUUUGCGGUUUGUUUGGCCAGAUCCGAUGAAUUGUGGGUUUAUGAACAAAAUUAUCAAUGAAUAUUAUUUGGUUCUUCUAUGAAUUCUUAUAUGCAUGAUUUGAUAUCUUUGCAAGUCUCUUCGAAUUAUAGGUUUAGUUUGGCCUACUAGAUUGAUCUUUCUUGCAAUGGGAGAAGUGCUUAGCUUUGAGUUCAAUCAUGCGGUGUACUUUCCCUAUGACAGUAGGGGAAACAAGGCACGCAUUGUAUUGUUGCCAUCAAGGAUAAAAAUAGGGUGUUUAUAUCAUAUUUCUUGAGUUUAUCCCUCUAUGUCAUGUCAUCUUGCUUAAUGUGUUACUCUAUUCUUAUGAACUUAAUACUCUAGAUGCAUGCUGGAUAACGAUCGAUGUGUGGAGUAAUAGUAGUAGAUGCAGAAUCGUUUUGAUCUACUUGACACGGACGUGAUGCCUAUAUUCAUGAUCAUUGCCUAGAUAUUCUCAUAACUAUACGCUUUUCUAUCUAUUGCUCGGUGGUAAUUUAUUCACCCACCGUAAUACAUGCUAUCUUGAGAGAAGCCGCUAGUGAGACCUAUGGCCCCCGGGUCUCUUUCUUAUUAUAUUGCAUCUCAUUUAUUUACAUCGCAUAUCAUUUACUAUUUUUCAAUAUUUACUUUCCAAUCUAUACAACAAAAAUACUAAAAAUAUUUAUUUUACUAUAUGUAUCAGAUCUCACUUUUGUGAGUGACCGUGAAGGGACUGACAACCCCUUUAUCACGUUGGUUGCAAGGUUCUUGAUUGUUUGUGCAGGUACUAGGUGACUUGUGCAUUGUCUCCUACUAGAUUGAUACCUUGGUUCUCAAAAACGGAGGGAAAUACUUACGCUACUUUGCUGCAUCAUCCUUUCCUCUUUAAGGGAAAACUAACGCAUGCUCUAGAGGUAGCAAGAAGGAUUUCUGGCGCCGUUGCCGGGGAGAUCUAUGCCAAGUCAAGACAUACCAAGUACACAUCAUAAACUCUUCUCCCUCGCAUUACAUUAUUUGCCAUUUUCCUCUCCCCCAUUUCACAAAGAUUUUCCCUUUUCUUUCGCCCUUCUUCCAUUCGAUCUUGUGUUACCAUGUGCCUUCUUUUUGCUUGCAUCUUCGCUUGCUAAGAGUUUAUGGAUCCCCAUCCUCUUGCUAACCUUUUUAAAGGAACCAAUUAUGAUGAACCUAUUGCUAGUUUGUUGAGUGCACUAGAUUAUCUUUAUGGAGUUUUACUUGAAAUCCGUGAAUCUGAAAAGUGAUUCACGAUAGAUCUUUGAAUAAAGCAUGAUUGCAAUGAUGUUACUAUAAAUUCUAUUAAUGUCAAUUGUGCUAAUAAUACGCAAAACCCUAAGCUUGGGGAUGCUAAUUUGCUAUGUCUACUACUUGUUGCAAUAAUCAUGAUUGAGGUGAUUCUUCUUAUGGUCUUGAAAAUUUAACUGAGCCCCAUGAUGAAUAUGAGAUUGAUAAUAAUGCUUGCAAUAAUACUGAAAGUGGGUUUGGAAGAGUGUUAACUUUAGAUCCCACAUAUUUGUAUAAUGAUCAAUCUUAUGAAGUUUUUGAUAAAAGUGGGUUCAGAGAGGUCAUGACUUUAUUUCAUGAUAAUCCCACAAUUUCGGAAGAGUGUCAACUUUGCAUGCAUGUGGAUCAUGAAGAGAAAAAUUUAUGUGAUAGUUAUAUUGUUGAAGUUGAUUUUGAUCCUACAUGUAAUUAUUGUGAGAGAGGAAAAUAUGGUUGUAGAAAUUUUCAUGUUACAAAAUUACCUCUCGUUAGGUUGAGAUUGCUAUUGUUUCUUUCUUCUUCCUUGCAUAUGGUGGUUUUUGCUUGUCUCGUUAGGUUGAGAUUGCUAUUGUUUCUUUCUUCUUCCUUGCAUAUGGUGGUUUUUUCUUGUCUUGAUAAUUUGUUUGCUUAUGAAAUCCCUAUGCAUAGGAAGCAUGUUAGACUUAAACUUGUUUGCCAUAUGUUUUAUGAUGCUCUCUUUGUGCUUUAAUUCUUGUCUUUCAUGUGAGCGUCAUUGAAAUCUCAAUGCCUAUCUAGGGGCGUUAAACGAUAGCGCUUGUUGGGAGUCAACCCAAUUUUAUUUUUGUUCUUUGCUUUUUGUUCCUGUUUAGUAAUAAAUAAUUCAUCUAGCUUCUAUUAUAAUUGUGUUUUUUAUGUUUUAAUUAGGGUUUGUGCCAAGUAAAGCCUUUAGGAUCUUCUUGGGUGAUUGUUGUUUGAUCUUACUGAUAAAAACAGAAAGUAUGCGCUCACAAAAAUAAUUAUCAUUUUUACCAAAGUGAUAAAAUACUAAUUCAAACUGCAGUAGAUCAAUAUACUUUUUAUCCUGGUCAUCCUAAUUUUUCCGAAUUUUUGGAGUUACAAAAGUAUUCGAAACCUCCAGAUUUCUAUAGACUGUUCUGUUUUUGACAGAUUCUAUUUUUUGUGUGUUGUUUGCUUAUUUUGAUGAAUCUAUGAGUAGUAUCGGGGGGUAUGAACCAUAGAGAAGUUGGAAUAUAGUAGGUUUAACACCAAUAUAAAUAAAUAAUGAGUUCAUAAUAGUACCUUAAAGUGGUAGUUUAUUUUCUUAUAGUAAUGGAGCUCAUGAGAUUUUUUGAAGUUUGUGUUGUGAAGUUUUCAAGUUUUUGAGUAAAGAUUUGAUGGAUUUUGGCAUAAGGAGUGGCAAGAGCCUAAGAUUGGGGAUGCCCAAGGUACCCCAAGGUAAAAUUCAAGGACAACCAAAGUCCUAAGCUUGGGGAUGCCCGGGAAGGCGUCCCCUCUUUCGUCUUCGUCUAUCAGUAACUUUACUUGAGGCUAUAUUUUUAUUCACCACAUGAUAUGUGUUUUGCUUGGAGCGUCUUGUAUGAUUUGAGUCUUUGAUUUUUAGUCUACCACAAUCAUACUUGCUGUACACACCUUUUGGGAGAGACACAUAUGAACCGGAAUUUAAUAGAAUACUCUAUGUGCUUCACUUAUAUCUUUUGAGCUAGAUAAUUUUGCUCCAGUGCUUCACUUAUAUCUUUUAGAGCACAGUAGUGGUUUUAUUUUAUAGAAAUUAUUGAUCUCACGUGCUUCACUUAUAUUAUGUUGAGAGUCUUUUAGAACAGCAUGGUAAUUUCCUUUGGCUAUAAAACUAGUCCUAAUAUGAUGGGCAUCCAAGAUGGGUAUAAUAAAAACUUUUAUAUAAAGUGCAUUGAAUACUAUGAGAAGUUUGAUGCUUGACGAUUGUUUUGAGACAUGAGGAUGGUGAUAUUAGAGUAAUGCUAGUUGAGUAGUUGUGAAUUUGAGAAAUACUUGUGUUGAGGUUUGCAAGUCCCGUAGCAUGCACGUACGGUAACCUUGUGUAACAAAUUUGAAGCAUGAGGUGUUUCUUUAAUUUGUCGUCCUUAUGAGUGGCGGUCGAGGACGAGCGAUGGUCUUUUCCUACCAAUCUAUCCCCCUAGAAGCAUGCCAUAGUGCUUGGUUAUGAUUACUUGUAGAUUUUUGCAAUAAGUAUGUGAGUUCUUUUUGACUAAUGUUGAGUCCAUGGAUUAUACGCAGUCUCACCCUUCCACCCUUGCUAGCCUCUCUAGUACCGCGCAACUUUCGCCGGUACCAUAAACCCACCAUUUACUUUCCUCAAAACAGCCACCAUACCUACCUAUUAUGGCAUUUCCAUAGCCAUUCCGAGAUAUAUUGCCAUGCAACUUUCCACCGUUCCGUUUAUUAUGACAUGCUUCAUCAUUGUCAUAUUGCUUUGCAUGAUCAUGUAGUUGACAUCGUAUUUGUGGAAAAGCCACCUUCAUAAUUCUUUCAUACAUGUCACUCUUGAUUCAUUGCACAUCCCUGUACACCGCCGGAGGCAUUCACAUAGUCAUAUUUUGUUCUAAGUAUCGUGUUGUAAUUCUUGAGUUGUAAGUAAAUAAAAGUGUGAUGAUCAUCACUAUUAGAGCAUUGUCCCAGUGAGGAAAGGAUGAUGGAGACUAUGAUUCCCCCACAAGUCAGGAUGAUACUCCAGAUGAAAAAAGGGGGAAAAGAGGCCAUAAAUAAGAGAAAAGGACCAAAUAAAAAAUUAUAAAAAAAGAGAGAAAAGGAGAGAAGGGACAAAGCUACUAUCCUUUUUCCACACUUGUGCUUCAAAAUAGCACCAUGAUCUUCAUGAUAGAGAGUCUCCUAUGUUGUCACUGUCAAAUACUAGUGGGAAUCUUUCAUUAUGGCACUUGGCUUGUAUAUUCCAAUGAUGGGCUUCCUCAAAAUGCCCUAGGUCUUCGUGAGCAAGCGAGUUAGAUGCACACCCACUUAGUUUCUUUUUAAGCUUUCAUAUACUUAUAGCUCUAGUGCAUCCGUUUCAUGGCAAUCCCUACUCACUCACAUUGAUAUCUAUUGAUGGGCAUCUCCAUAGCCAUCGAUACGCCUAGUUGAUGUGAGACUAUCUUCUCCUUUUUGUCUUCUCCACAACCACCAUUCUAUUCCACCUAUAGUGGUAUGUCCAUGGCUCAUGCUCAUGUAUUGCGUGAAGAUUGAAAAAGUUUGAGAACAUCAAAAGUAUGAAACAAUUGGUUCGCUUGUCAUCGGGGUUGUGCAUGAUUUAAAUAUUUUUUGUGAUGAAGAUAGAGCAUAGCCAGACUAUAUUAUUUUGUCGGGAUAGCUUUCUCUGGCCAUGUUAUUUUGAGAAGACAUGAUUACUUUGUUAGUAUGCUUGAAGUAUUAUUAUUUUUAUGUCAGUAUAAAACUUUUGUUUUGAAUCUUUCGGAUUUGAACAUUCAUGCCACAAUAAAGAAAAUUACAUUGAUAAUUAUGAUAGGUAGCAUUCCACAUCGAAAAUUCUAUUUUUAUCAUUUACCUACUCGAGGACGAAUAGGAAUUAAGCUUGGGGAUGCUUGAUACGUCUCCAACGUAUAUAUAAUUUUUGAUUGUUCCAUGCUAUUAUAUUAUCUGUUUUGGAUGUUUAAUGGGCUUUAAUAUGCUCUUUUAUAUUAUUUUUCGGACUAACCUGUUAACCGGAGGCCUAGUGCCAGUUUCUGUUUUUUUUGCCUAUUUUAGAGUUUCAAGGAAAAGGAAUACCAAAUGGAGUCCAAAUGGAAUGAAACCUUCGCGAUGAUCUUUCUUGGACCGAAAGCAAACCAGGAGACUUGGAGUGGAAGUCUGGAACUCCGCGAGGCAGGCACGAGGCUGGAGGGUGCGCACAGGGGGGUAGGCGCGCCCCCACCCUCAUGGGCCCCUCGUAGCUCUACCGACGUACUUCUUUCGCCUAUAUAUACUCUUAUACCCUAGGUCGAUCGCAGAGAGCCAUGAAACCACUUUUCCACCGCCGCAACCUUUUGUACCCUUGACAUCCCAUCUUGGGGCCUCUUCCGGCGAUCUGCCGGAGGGGGAAUCGAUCAUGGAGGGCUUCUACAUCAACACCAUUGCCUCUCCGAUGAAGCAUGAGUAGUUUACCACAGACCUUUGGGUCCAUAGUUAUUAGUUAGAUGGCUUCUUCUCUCUCUCUUUGAUUCUCAAUACAAAGUUAUCCUCGAUGUUCUUGGAGAUCUGUUCGAUGUAAUACUCUUUUGCAGUGUGUUUGCCGAGAUCCGAUGAAUUGUGGGUUUAUGAACAAGAUUAUCUAUGAAUAUUAUUUGGUUCUUCUAUGAAUUAUUAUAUGCAUGAUUUGAUAUCUUUGCAAGUCUCUUCGAAUUAUCGGUUUAGUUUGGCCAACUAGAUUGAUCUUUCUUGCAAUGGGAGAAGUGCUUAGCUUUGGGUUCAAUCUUGCGGUGUCCUUUCCCAGUGAUAGUAGGGGCAGCAAGGCAUGUAUUGUAUUGUUGCCAUCGAGGAUAAAAAGAGGGGGUUUAUAUCAUAUUGCUUUAGUUUAUCCCUCUACAUCAUGUCAUAUUGCUUAAUGCGUUACUCUGUUCUUAUGAACUUAAUACCCUAGAUGCAUGCUGGAUAACGGUCGAUGUGUGGAGUGAUAGUAGUAGAUGUAGAAUCGUUUCGAUCUACUUGACGCAGACAUGAUGCCUAUAUUCAUGAUCAUUGCCUAGAUAUUCUCAAAACUAUGCGCUUUUCUAUCAAUUGCUCGGCAGUAAUUUGUUCACCCACUGUAAUACAUGCUAUCUUGAGAGAAGCCACUAGUGAAACCUAUGGCCCCCGGGUCUCUUUCUUAUUAUAUUGCAUCUCUUUUAUUUACAUCGCAUCUCGUUUACUAUUUUGCAAUCUUUACUUUCCAAUCUAUACAACAAAAAUACCAAAAAUAUUUAUUUUACUAUCUGUAUCAGAUCUCACUUUUGCGAGUGACCGUGAAGGGACUGACAACCCCUUUAUUGCAUUGGUUGCAAGGUUCUUGAUUGUUUGUGCGGGUACUAGGUGACUUGUGCGCUGUCUCCUACUGGAUUGAUACCUUGGUUCUCAAAAACUGAGGGAAAUACUUACACUACUUUGUUGCAUCACCCUUUCCUCUUCAAGGGAAAACCAACACAUGCUCAAGAGGUAGCAGUGGUUCACAAUUUAUUCAUGGUGCAUUUUGUAAACUUCUUGCUAAAUAUGAUGUCAACCAUAGAAUUGUAUCACCUUAUCAUCCCAGUAUAGUGGUCAAGUUGAAUUAAGAAAUUGAGAAACAAAAUUGAUUUUGCAAAAGACCGUUAAUAGAUCUAAAAAUACUUGGUCUAUGAAACUUGACGAUGCAUUAUGGGCAUAUAGAACUGCUUAUAAAAAUCCUAUGGUAUGUCUCCUUAUAAAAUGGUCUAUGGAAAAGCAUGUCAUUUACCUCUUAAGUUAGAACAUAAAGCUUAUUGGGCAAUUAAAGAACUUAAUUAUGAUUUCAAACUUUCCAGUGAAAAGAGGUUAUUUCAUAUUAGUUCGCUACAUGAAUGGAGGGCACAAUCUUAUGAAAAUCCCAAGUUGUUCAAAGAAAAAGCUAAAAGCUCGCAUGACGAAAUAAUCCAAAAACAGAAAUUUAAAGUACGUGUGCAUGCUCUAUUGUACAAUUCUCGUUUGAGAUUUUUGCAGGAAAACUUCUCUCCAAAUGAGAAGGACCUUACACUAUAGAUAAGUUUAUCACUCUGGAGCUAUCAAAAUCAAGAAUGGCAAAGGCACUAAUCUGAGGGUGGUUAAUGGGCAAAGCAUUAAACAUUAUAUCUCAGAGACGCCCGUUAAUGUUGAAACUAAUAUUAUUCAAACUAUGACACCGGGGGAGCACAUAAGAGGGACCUUCUGGAACACUCCAGAACCCUGAAAAGAAGUAUGUAUGUAAUACGGUAAGUAAACCGACUCCAAAAAUUCCAUCAGAAAUAUUCAUGUCCAUUUUGGAAUAUGAGAAAAAAUUACAAAAGGAAUAACCAGCAGAGGGGACCCACGAGGAGGUCACAAGGCAACAGGGCGCGCCUUACCACCUAGGCACAUCGGGUUGCCUUCCCCUCGUGUGUCUUCCCGACUCCUUUUCUUCCAGAAUACUAGUUUCGCAAGAUAAAAUUUAUUUAUAUAUACUCCCAUAUGUUUUGACCACCGCAUCGCAAGUUUCUCCUCUCUUCUUGUUUCGGGCUAUUUUUCUAGCAGAUCUAACAGCAUGUCGUCCCAAGACUCGGAUGGAGAGAGCUAUGUUUCCCAUUAUGUUGCCAACCCAAGGAUCUAUGGUGAUGUAGAUCCUUAUGGGUGGUCCACAAAUGAGGAACUGGAGGCUGAUUUUGAAUAGGCAGAUUGCUCGAGCAGAGAAGAAGAAGAUGUCCCUCUACCUCAACCAUGGGACACGCAAAUGGGGUUCAAAAAGUCAAGCCUGCCAAACACAACGAAGAUUCUAAGUUUCAAUUUACUCCUUUCCGUCAUGUGCAGGGAGAAGAGGACAAAUUGCGCCACAAAAUGUGGGAAGUGGAGCAGGAAAUCAAUAGGCUGAAGGACGAAAAAUCGCAUUCUUAAGUGGCAGGACAAGCCCACUACCUCAUCUCCAACAUCACCAAAGAAAGACACAUAAGUACAUGGGUAUGGGCACCAGCCAUGCUUGUUCCAAGCUUGGGGGAGGUGCCCUGGUAUUGUAUCAUCAUCACCUUUUUACCAUCUUUAUAUAUAUUAGUUCGAUCCUUAGUUAUUUCAUGAUUUAGAAGAAUAAAGGUUUAGUAAAGUUUUUGCUUCGAGUGCUUGCUUUGUGUCCUAUGUAUGUAACUGAGUGUGAGAGUUAUAUAAUAAAGAGUAGUUUGAGUUUUUUCUUCUUUACAUUCUUGUUCCAAUGUCAAUAAUAAAAAGGAAUAAAAGAUCAUAUGCUAAUCCCAAGGGGAAUAAUAACUUCACAUAGAAAGAGUAUUGUUGAUAAAAGUUAUUGGAAAUUAACAAACAUAGUUGGUCAUGGAUUCAAUUGAUGAAAAAUUAGUAAGGGGAGAGGAGAUUCACAUAUAAAUAUACUAUCUUGGAUGUUUUAUGAUUGUGAGCCCCCAUCAAAUAUUUUCCGCAUGGUCAAAAUAGUUGAUGUUGGACAAGGAAGACAACAUAAUGAGUUAUGUUUGUUUACAUUCACAUAGAAGUUAUAUUUUCAUGGAUCCCCUAACAUGUGGUGCUUGUUUAGAACCUUUUCCUAGACAAAAUCCACACUAAGUAGAGAUACUAUUUGUGCAUCCAAAACCCUUAAACCCAGUCUCUUGUUGAGUCCACCAUAUCUACCUAUGGAUUGAAUAAGAUCCUUCAAGUAAGUUGUCAUCGCUGCAUAAGGCAAUAAAAAUUGCUCCUAAAUAUGUAUGAUCUUUUAUUGGAAGGGAAACUAAGAUUUUACGAACUUUUCAUGGCGAUGAAAUAAAAGUGAUGGGCUUCAUGAUAAAAGUCACUAUCAUAAGGGGCAAUAUAAAGUGACGUUCCUUUCCAUUUAAAGCUUGCACAUUCAAAAAUAAAAAGCACACAACAACAUGUGCUUCCCUCUGCGAAGGGCAUAUAUCUUUUAUUUUUCUGUAUUUUCUUUUAUGCAAGAGUCAAUAAUAUUCAUCCCCAUUCCGCUCUAUUUAUUCUCUAGUUGGCAAGCAUCAUGUGGUGGGGAAAGAUCCAAGCACAUAUGUCCAGUCAGAUGUAGGUGAUCAUGAGUUAUUAUUGUUGACAUUAACCUUGAGGUAAACAAGUUGGGAGGAGAAAACAAUAAGCAUGUAUCUUCCUAUGUGUCUGACAGAAAUGUUUGUUCCCAAAAAUUUACAUUCAGUGUUAGCAAUCAUAGAAGACUAAAUGAUGGUUGAGUAUGUGGACUUGCUAAAAGAAAAGAUCUUACAUAGAAUCUUCCUCGAAAUAUGAUGAAUUGUGAUUGUUUCAAUGAACGAGAACAUAGUUUGUUUGUUUUCAAGAACGUUUAUACUUCAUACUUUAAAGUAUCGAUGAAUUGUUUUUUAUGAGAAGCUAUAUGACAAAUAGUUGUUGCUAUGAUAAAGAUCAGCAUGCUAUUAUAUUCGAAUUUUGUGUUUAUUGACACCUCUCUCUCUAAACAUGUGGUCAUGAUUAUCGAGUUUGGCUUUCACUUGAGGACAAGCGAGGUCUAAGCAUGGGGGAGUUGAUAUGUCCAUUUUGCAUCAUGAUUUCCUACUAUUAUUUAUAUUGUUUUUGGUCAUUAUUUCACCUUAUGAUGCAAUUCUAAUGCCUUUCCUCUCUUAAUUUGCAAGCUUUACAUUGAGAGGGAGAUUACCUCCAGCUAGAAUUCUGAACUUGAAAAAGCUACAACAGAGAUACCUAUAUACAGAACUCCAAAUGACCUAAAAUUUUACUGAGAUUUUUAUUGAAUAUAUAAAAAUACCAGAGUAAAGAAAUACAAGAGGGGGGGCACCAGCUGCUCACCAGGCAACAGGGUGCGGCCACCCCCUAAGCACGCGCUGAUGCCUUAUGGGUCCCACAGCUGGCCUCCGGUGCCCAUAUUUUGCUAUAUGAGGGGUUUUGACCUAGAAACAAUAAGUAGAAGACUUUCGAGGUGAAGCGCCGUCUCGAGGCAGAACCUGGGAAGGGGCACAUUUGCUCUUCGGUGCAGCGACUCCACCGAGGAUACUUCCCUCCGAGAGAGGGAAAUCGAAGCCAUCGACAUGACCAACGAUCCUCUCCUCAUGGGAGGACCAAUCUUCAUCAGCAUCUUCACCAGCACCAUCUCAUCUCAAACCCUAAUUCAUCUAUUGUAUUCAAUCUUUGUCCCAAAACCUCAGAUUGGUACAUGUGGGUUGCUAGUGGUGUUGAUUAAAUCAUGUAGUUGAUGCUAGUUGGUUUAUUGGUGGAAGAUUAAAUGUUCAGAUCCUCAAGAAUAUUCAAUACACCUCUAAUCUUGAACAUGAAUAUGAUUUUUGAGUAGUUACUUUUGUUCUUGAGGACAUGGGAGAAGUCUUGUCAUAAGUAAUCUUCUGAUGUUGGUAUUCAUUCGAUAUUUUUGAUGACAUGUAUGUUGUUGCUUCCUUUAGUGGUGUCAUGUGAACAUCAAAUACAUGACACUUCACCAUACAUGGGCCUAAGGGAAGGAAUUGUGGAGUAAUAAGUAGAUGAUGGGUUUCUAGAGUGACAGAAGCUUAAACCCUCGUUUAUGUGUUAUUCCGUAAGGGGCUGAUUUGGAUCCAUAUGUUACAUGCUAUGGUUAGAUUUAUAUUAAUUCUUCUUUCAUAGUUGUGGAUGCUUGUCAGAGGGGGUAAUCAUAAGUGGGUUGCUUGUUCAAGUAAGAAUAGCACCCAAGCACCGGUCCACCCACAUAUCAAAUUAUCAAAGUAUGGAACAUGAAUCAAUUAGACAUGAUAAAAGUGACUAGAUAAUAAUUCCCAUGUGUCCUGAAGAACACUUUGCUUUUUAUAAGAGAACUUCCAGUCUUAUCCUUUGCUAUAAAAAGGAUUGGGCCACCUUGCUGGACCUUUGUUACUAUUUCUACUUGUUAUGAAUUAUCUUGCUAUAAAACUAUCUAUCACUAUUGCUUUCAGCACUUGUAGAGAAUACCUUGCAAAAAACCACUUGUCAUUUUCUUCUACUUCUCGUUGGGUUCGACUCUUACUUAUCAAAAGGACUACGAUCGAUCUUCCCGUCUUCGAUGACCUAAACGGAUGGUGCAAGGCCCUACUGAACGAGCAUGUUGCGCCACGUCCAUUAGUUGCACUACCGCGAGUCACGAUGGUUGGGUUUGAUGGGAACGAUGAUGACUAGCAGCGACCGGAUCAUGGGACGGACGGCAAGAUGCUAGGGGACGCGUGCAAAAAAACGGGAAGAUGGGGGAAGUGCGUGAGCUCACAAUGAAGCUCGAGGGCCCGAUGAGGCCGGGGUUAAGCCGGAGGUGUGCAGAUCUAUGGUGAUGGUGGUGGCGGUCGAAGGGGAGAAAAUGACCCGAUGGUGUCGAUGCAGCAGCGAUCCGGGGUGAUUCGGCCUUGUAGACAACAUAGAUGUGGACGAUGUGUUGGGGAACGUUGCAUGGAAAACAAAAAGAUUCUACACACACGCAAGAUCUAUCCAUGGAUAUGCAUAACUAUGAGGUGGGAGAGUAUGUCUACGUACCUAGACCGUUUAGCGGAAGUGUUUAUCAACGUGGUUGAUGUAGUCGUACACCUUCAUGAUCCAACCGAUCAAGUACCGAAUGCACGACACCUCCGCGUUCAGCACACGUUCAGUUCAAUGACACCCUUGCCUUCUUGAUCCCGUGAGAUGGGCAAAGUAGUAGAUGAGUUCCAGCAACAAGACGAUAUGGUAACGGUGGUGAUGCAAACUAUCUCCGCAGGGCUUCGCCGAGCACUACGAAAAUAUGACCGAGGAUGAACUACAGGGAGAGGGGCGCUGCACACGGCCUUGGAAUCAUGGUAUGUGUUGCCCCUCUCCCUCCUCUCAUAUAUAUAGGUGGAGUGAGGAGAGGAGGCAUCCCUAGGGCGCCCCCAAGUGGCCGGCGGCUACCCUAGAGGCAUGCAUAGCAGCACCACCCCCCCUCCAUAUUUGGACAUGGGGGACGGGAAAGGGGGUUGGCUGCCUUAUGGCGCGUCCCCCUUCCUUUCCCUCCCUCCUUGGUGCGUGGGUAGGAGCGGAGGGGCCUGCCAGCUCCCUAGUGGGCUGGUGUGCUCCCCACUUGGCCCAUAAGGCCCGCCGCUUACUGGUGGCCUCCCGGAACCCCUUCUAGCACUCUAUUAAAUACAUGAUUCUUCUGAAACCUUUCUAGUGACCAAAUACUAUCAUCCUAUAUAUCAAUCUUUACCUCUGAAGCAUUCCGGAGCUCCUCGUCAUGUCUGUGAUCUCAUCCAGGCCUCCGAACAACAUUCGGUCAUCAACUCACAUAACUCAUAGUACCAUAUCGUCAACGAACAUUAAGCGUGCGGACCCUUUCGAGAAUGAUGUAGUCAUGACCGAGACACCUCUCCAGAAAAUAACUAAUAGUGGGACCUGGAUGCCCAUAUUGGUUCCUACAUAUUCUACUAAGAUCUUUAUCGGUUGAACCUUUAUGACAACAUACAUAAUUCCCUUUUUCUGUCAGUAUGUUACUUGCCCAAGAUUCGAUCAUCGGUAUCUUCAUACCUAGUUCAAUCUCAUUACAGGUAAGUCUCUUUACUCAUUCCGUAAGACAUCAUCUUGCAACUAACUCCUUAGUCACUUUUCUUGCAAGCUUCUUGUGAUGUCGUAUUACCGAGAGGGCCCAGAGAUACCUCUCCGAUACACGCAGUGAUAAAUCCCAAUCUCGAUUCAUGCCAACUCAAUAGACACCUUCAGAGAUACCUGUAGAGCAUCUUUAUGAUCACAUAGUUAUGUUGUGACAUUUGAUAGAACACAAGGUAUUCCUCCGGAAUCCAGGAGUUGCACGAUCUCAUGGUCGAAGAAACAUGUAUUUGACAUCAAGAAAGCAAUAGCAAUAGCAAUAAACUGAACGAUCAUAUUCUAUGCUAACGGUUUGGUCUUGUCCAUCACAUCCAUCUCCUAAUGAUGUGAUCCAGUUAUCAAGUGACAGCACAUGUCUAUGGUUAUGAAACCUUAACCAUCUUUUGAUCAAUGAGCUAGUCUAGUAGAGGUUGACUAGGGACAUGGUAUUUGUUUAUGUAUUCACACAUGUAUUUAAGUUUUCGAUCAAUACGAUUCGAGCAUGAAUAAUAAACCUUUAUCAUUAAUAAGGAAAUAUAAUAAUAACAACUUUAUUAUUGGCUCUAGGGCGUAUUUCCACCAGUCUCCCAUUUGCACUAGAGUCAAUAAUAUAGUUCACAUCGCCAUGUGAUUAGCACCCAUAGUUCACAUGGCCAUGUGACUAACACCCAAAGAUUUUACUAGAGUCAGUAACCUAGUUCACAUCGUCAUGUGAUUAACACCCAAAGAGUACUAAGGUGUGAUCAUGUUUUUCUUGCGAAAGAGGUUUAGUCUGCCACAUUUAGAUCCGUAUGUAUUUUGCAAAUUUCUAUGUCUACAAUGCUCUACAUUUAGCUACUCUAGCUAAUUGCUCCCAUGUUCAAUACGUAUCCAGAUUGAGACUCGGAGUCAUCCAGAUCGGUGUCAAAGCUUGCGUCGACGUAACCCUUUACGACGAACUCUUCAUCACCUUCAUAACCGAGAAUCAUUUCCUUAGUCCUCUUUAAGGAUAAUUUCGACCAUUAUCCAAUGAUCCACUCCUGGAUCACAAUUGUACCCCCUUGCCACACACAUGGCAAGGCACACAACAUGUUUGAUACACAGCAUGGCAUACUUUAUAGAACCUAUGGUUGAGUUAUAGUGAAUGACUUCAUUCUCUCUCUAUCUUCUGCGGUGGUCAGGCUUUGAGUCUUACUCAACUUCACACCUUGCAACAUAGGCAAGAACCCUUUCUUUGACUGACCCAUUUUGAAUUUCUUCAAAACUUUGUCAAGGUAUGUUCUUUGUGAAUGUCCUAUUAAGAAUCUUGAUCUAUCCCUAUAGAUCUAGAUGCCCAAUAUAUAAGCAGCUUCACCAAGGUUUUUCAUUGAAAAAUUCUUAUUCAUGUAUCUGUUUGUGCUAUCCAGAAAUUCUAUAUCAUUUACAAUCAGCAAUAUGCCAUCCACAUAUAAUAUCAAAAAUGCAACAAAGCUCCCACUCACAUCCUUGAAAAUACAGGCUUCUCAAUAAGUCUGUAUAAAACCAUAUGCUUUGAUCACAUUAUCAAAGUGUAUAUUCCAACUCCGAGAUGCUUGCACCAGUCCAUAAAUGGAUCGCCGGAGCAUGCACACUUUGUUAGUACCUUUAGGAUUGACAAAACCUUCUGGUUGCAUCAUAUACAACUCUUCUUUAAAAUUUCCAUUAAUGAAUGUAGUUUUGAUUUCCAUUUGCCGAAUUUCAUAAUCAUAAAAUGCGGCAAUUGCUAACAUGAUAUGGAAAGACUUAAGCAUCGCUACGAGUGAGAAAGUCUCAUCGUAGUCAACCCCUUGAACUUGUUAAAAACCGUUCACAACAAGUUGAGCUUUGUAGACAGUGAUAUUACCAUCAACGUCCGCCUUCCUCUAGAAGAUCCAUUUAUUUUCAAUGGCCUCCUGAUCAUCAGGCAAGUCCACCAAAGUCCACACUUUGUUCUCAUGCAUGGAGCCUAUCUCAUAUUUCAUGGCCUCAAGCCAUUUACCAGAAUUUGGGCUCAUCAUAACUUCUUCAUAGUUCGUAGGUUCACCGUUGUCUAACAACAUGACUUCCAGACAUGAUUACCAUAUCACUUUGGUGCGGAAUGUGUUAUGGUCGACCUACGAGGUUCAGUAGUAACUUGAUCUUAAGUUUCAUGAUCGUCAUCAUUAGCUUCCUCUCUAGUUGGUGUAGGCAUCACGGCAACAGUUCCUCCCACUCACUUCUUUCGAGAGAAACUCCUUCUCUAGAAAUGACCCAUUUUUAGCAACAAAGAUCUUGCCUUCGGAUAUCUCAUAGAAGGUGUACCCAAUAGUUUCCUUAGGGUAUCCUAUGAAGAUGCACUUCUCUGAUUUCGAUUCGAGCUUAUUAGGUUGAAGCCUUUUGAAAUAAGCGUCGCAUCCCCAAACUUUAAGAAACGACAACUUAGGUUUCUUGCCAAACCAGAGUACAUAUGGUGUCGUCUUAACGUGUCGGCAUUAUGGGAUCGGGGGUACCCAGAUCUGCCUGCCUGCGGCCCAUGGUGUGCCUCCUUCGACGGCCUGGUUUGGCCCAGCUGCAAGACCCCCCAAGACAAGACCCUCAUGAGCCCCCCUAGCCUCGCGAGGUGGGUGACACCAAGACCUCUCCAAGCCUGCCUCCCGAGGAGUGGAGAUUUCUAUGCAGGCACCCAGCCUCAUGAGGCUGCGAUGACGUGAGCCAUGACUACCAAGGCCAGGCGGGCACCAGCGGGCGCAGAGGAGACAAUUUCCUUUUUGGUGCUAAGGAGACAAGGACGAACGGGGGUUCCCAAGGAAUCCCCCAAAGGUUUCCAUUCCGGUGCAACAAGACCAACACCACGAUCUUGGCAGGACGGAUGUCAUCGCCGAGCCUACUGCUGCGUCAUGGCCAGAAGAGUUGCGGGGGAAGACCACCUUUCGUUAGAAUAAGAUGUACUACUUGUCCUCUUUCAAAUUGGCCGUUGUGGGGUCCCUUCCCGCCUAAGUUAUGAGGGAAGACGACCAAGGCCACAAUAGAGAGAGACUAGCCGCCACCAUAGGAGGGGAUUGGAUCCAUUGCACCCUCACUUCCUGAGCCCUCACGGGGCUGCUCAUCCACUAUACUAGUUCAUCUUCAGCCUCCUUGUGAGGCCAAUCCACCACAAAGUAGGACUAGGGUUUUACAUCACAAGGUGGCUCGAACCUGGGUAAACUAUUGUGUUCAUCUUAUUUCCCGCUUGCGCGUACUCGACAAGUCUAGGCCAUAAGGUGGUGAGCUUGAGAUUAGCGUUGGAGGGGAUAUUUGCACACGCCCCAGAGUUCCAACCUUCCUGGGUCUGGGAGCCCUGAAUGCGACAUUUGGUGCGUCAGGUAGGAGUGUGUCGAAGCUUCGCCUCUUCACCGACCAGGCUCCACCCUUGCUCCAUCAUCCCCAUGGCGCAUGCCACCCUACAGGCAUGGCCCACCGAGGUGUACGGGAGCGCUGUGGGUUGCCCGGCCUUCACCCCCGGCCUACGCCGGGUGCACUAGCCCAUGCGGUUCAGGCCAGCAUUACCCCCGCGGUAAGAUGGUGUUGUGGACCCCGAGGAGUUCCUCCGAUUGUAUGUGCAGACCAUCCAUGUGGCGGGUGGCAACGACAAGGCCAUGACAAACUGGCUCCCCCUGGCCCUCAUAGAGGCCCCCCGAUCUUGGCUUCGCGGCCUCCCGGACGCCUCGAUCUCUUCCUGGGAGGAGCUCUAUGACUAGUUUAUCGCGCGCUUCGUGGCUCUGGUGCCCCAUGUAGUCACAUGCAUCAUCGGUAGGCCGCAGGUGCCUGCUUCUGGCCAACACAUCAAGCAGCUCUUUCGUCGAGCGAAUGCUACUCGUCCGCGGCAUGACUCUCCUCGAGGCCACGUGGCUCCUGAGGUCGACAUCACCUUCGACUUCAGGGAUCAUCCCAAGACCACGAUCGCUGCAGGAACGCUUCACAUGCUAUGCACGCCCGCCAUCAACAAUGCCACAGUCACCAAGAGCCUCAUCGACGGUGGCGCCAGCCUUAACGUCCCCUCCGUGGAGACUUUCCACCUGCUCCAGGUGCCUUACGACCAACUCGCUCCCACCAAGCCCUUCUCAGGGGUGGUCAAGGGCUUGGCCACCCCCUGGCACAAGCUCAUUGACUUCGAUGUCACGCACAUCGUCCUCUGGUACAACGCCAUCCUGGGGUAUCCGGCCCUCGCCAAGUUCAUGGCAGUGACCCAUCCGAGCUACAACGUCGUCAAGAUGCCAGGCAGCAGCGGCAUGAUAACCAACAAGUAUAGGGGAUCGCAACAGUUUUCGAGGGUAGAGUAUUCAACCCAAAUUUAUAAAUUCGACACAAGGGGAGCCAAAGAAUAUUUUAAGGUAUUAGAAGCUGAGUUGUCAAUUCAACCACACCUAGAGAUUAAUUAUCUGCAACAAAGUGAUCAGUAGCAAAGUAGUAUGAUAGUUUUGAUAAUAGCAGCAGUAACGGUAACGAUAACAAUGAUAUUAGUAAUUUGGUAGCCAGUGUAACAGUGAUGAUAGAAGUAGUAACUUAUCAAGAACAAUAUAGGAUAAAUUCGUAGGUAUUGGAUCGGUGACUUGUUCGAUGAUAUUCAUCAUGAGACAGUUAUAACCUAGGGCGAUACGACACUAGCUCCAGUUCAUAACACGUAGUAGGUGACUAUAACUUGCAAGGUCGGAUCUAGAACAUGGAUAUAAUGGCGAUAAAAUAAACAGUUCAGAUCUGAAAUCAUGGAAUCCGGGCCGAGAGUGACAAGCAUUAAGCAUGUCAAAGUCAUAACAACAUCAAUCUAAGAACAUAAUGGAUACUAGGGAUCAAGCCCUAAGAAAACUAACUCGAUUACAUGAUGAAUCUCAUCCAACUCCUCACCGACCAGCGAGCCUAUGAAGGAAUUAGUCACUCUCGGUGGGGAGCAUCAUGGAAUUAGCGAUGGAGAAGGGUUAGUGAUGAUGAAGAACGAAGACCCCCCUCUCCGUAGCUCCAAAGGGACUCCAGAUCUACCCUCCCGAGGAAGAAUAGGGCUUGGCGGCGGCUCUGUCUUAUGGAUCACGAUAACUCUUUUUCCCUGAUUUUUUCUGGAAAAACAGGAUUUUAUAGCAUUGGUUUCAGGGUCUGUAGGGCCACCAGGUGGGGAAAACACACUUGGCGUGCCUAGUGAGGGGGGCGCACCCUGGUGGGUUAUGCCCACCCAGGUGCCACCCCUUCGAUAGGUCUUGGCUCUAGAAAUUCUUAUAUAUUAUAUAAAAAUUCCCCACAAAGUUUCGUUCCAUUUCGAGAAAUUUUAUUUCUGCACAAAAAACAACACCAUGGUAGUUCUCCUGAAAACAGCGUCAGUCCGGAGUUAGUUUCAUUCAAAUCAUGCAAAUUAGAGUCCAAAACAAGAGGAAAAGCGUGAGGAGAAGUACAUACGUUGGAGACGUAUCAACUCUCCCAAGCUUAAACCUUUGCUUGUCCCCAAGCAAUUCAGUUAAUAAAUUGAAAGUGAAAAAGAAAAACUUUACAAACUCUUUUGAUCUUGAUUGCAUAAAUAAGCUUAAACAGCACCCAGUUUUUCAGCCAACAUUAUAACUAACCAUGCCGACAAUAACUCUUAAAGAUUAUAUUAACUCGUAUCAAUGACAUAAUCAGCUAGCAAGCAAUAAUAAGACAUCUCAAAUGGCAACACGGUGUCAAAACAACCAUGAUAUAAUAUGACAAUAGUGGUAUCUCGCUAGCCCUUUCUAAGACCGCAAAACAUAAAUGGAGAGCACCUCCAAAGUCCAAGCAGCGACUAAACAUUGUAAUUCAUGGUAGAAAAGAUCAAGUCAUGAUGCACCCAACAUUAGCUACACACAAUGCAUAAGUCAUGACAGCUGUGCUCUCAGGUUCUGGCGCUUUUUUUAGAAGGUGAUGACACAACAUAAAAGUAAAUAGAUAGUCCCUUCAUAGAGGGAAGCAUUGAUUUGCAGAGGUGCCAAAGCUCAAGUUUUUAAAACAGUGAUAAAUGAUAUUUUGAGACAUGCACCCUUCUCAUUUACUUCAUGACUAUCAGUUAUCAAUAUCUCCCAUGCUAAACAAGCUAGUGGCAGUUCCCAAGCGAUAAAAAGUAAAUGUUUUGACUCCAUGGGGAGUUUUUGUUUGAUUAUUUAAGCAAUUAACUCUUUUUGUGUUUUGCAUUUUGGGACUGGGCAUCCCUAUUAUCGCCCUUUUCUCGUGCGAUGGCGAGUGAAUAAACACUCGACCUGAGAAUAACCCGCUUAGCAUGGAAGAUAUCGUCUACCUCCUGUCAUUCCAUGAACGAUCCAGUCACACAACACGGAUAUUUUUUUAGAAUUUUUAGAGGUGGCACAUGCAAAUUUACUUAGGACGGUAGGGUAAUACCACGUAUAGGUAUAUAUGGUGGACUUAUCUGGAGUACCGUUGGGUUCUGGGUUUUUGAUGUACAAGCAGAAUCCCCACUCAGUACAGGCGAAGGCUAGCAAUUAUAUUGAGAAGCGACCAGCUAGAGAGCAACAACGAUCAUGAUCACGCAUUAUGCAUAAGCAACAUUGGACACUAGCAUGAGUAGGAUAUAAACACCAUGAACAUAAAUAUCAUAGAGGCUAUUGUAACGCCCUCGAUGCGGCUAUAUCUCCCACGUGUCGAAGCACGACUUAGAGGCAUAACCGCAUUGAAAGCAAUGUCGCAAGUGAGUAAUCUUUGCAACAACCCAUGUAAUACAUAAGGGAAAGAGAUACAUAGUUGGCUUACAAUCGCCACUUCACACUAUACAUGAAUAAAGCAUUACAUCAUCCAGAUACAAACAAGGUCCAACUACGGAACCAAAAUAAAAGAAGACUACCCCAAAUGCUACACAGAUCCCCGAUCGACCCCAACUGGGCUCCACUACUGAUCAACUAGAACGAAACAACGCAAAGGACAAGAUCUUCAUCGAGCUCCUCCUUGAGCUUGGUUGCGUCACCUACACGGUAUCAUCGGCACCUGCAAACUGGUUUUGGAUGUAUCUGUGAGUCACAGGGACUCAGCAAUCUCACACCCUCACGAUCAAGACUAUUUAAGCUUAUAGGAAGGGUAAAAGUAUGAGGUGGAGCUGCAGCAAGCGACUAGCAUAUUUGGUGGCUAACAUACGCAAAUGAGAGCGAGAAUAGAAGGCAAAGCACGGUCGAGAAACUAUGAUCAAGAAGUGAUCCUAGAACAACAUACGUCAAGCAUAACUCCAACACCGUGUUCACUUCCCGGACACCGCCGGAAAGGGACCAUCACGGUUACACAUGCGGUUGAUGCAUUUUAAUUAAGAUCAACUUCAGGUUUUCUACAACCGGACAUUAACAAAUUCCCAUCUUCCCAUAACCGCGGGCACGACUUUCGAAAGUUCAAAUCCCUGCAGGGGUGUCCCAACUUAGCCCAUCACAAGCUCUCACGGUCAACGAAGGAUAUUCCUUCUAGCGGGAAGACCCGAUCAGGCUCGGAAUCCCGGUUACAAGACAUCCUCGACAAUGGUAAAACAAGUCCAGCAAAGCCACCUGAAUGUGCCAAAAAAUCCCGAUAGGAGCUGCACAUAUCUCAUUCUCAGGGCAAACCCAAUUGUCCAAGGUUCUAGUAGGCCAGCCCAGAGUUGCCCCUGGUGGCCACUGACAGCUGACAGGUUGGACCAACACUCGGAGGAGCACUGGCCCGGGGGUUUAAAUAAAGAUGACCCUUGAGUCUGCAGAACCCAAGGGAAAGAAAAGGCUAGGUGGUGAAUGGUAAAACCAAUGUUGGGCCUUGCUGGAGGAGUUUUAUUCAAGGCGAAGUGUCAAGGGGUUCCCAUUAUAACCCAACCGCGUAAGGAACGCAAAAUCCGGGAACAUAACACCGAUAUGACGUAAACUAGGGCGGCAAGAGUGAAACAAAACACUAGGCAUAAGCCCGAGCCUUCCACCCUUUACCAAGUAUAUAGAUGCAUUAAUUAAAUAAGAGAUAUUGUGAUAUCCCAACAAAAUAUCCAUGUUCCAAACAUGGAACAAGCUCCAAUCUUCACCUGCAACUAACAACGCUAUAAGAGGGGCUGAGCAAAGCGGUAACAUAGCCAAACAACGGUUUGCUAGGACAAGGUGGGUUAGAGGCUUGGCUUAACAAAAUAGGAGGCAUGAUAAGGAAGUGGUAGGUAUCGCAGCAUAGGCAUAGCAAAAGAGCGAGCAACUAGCAAGCAAAGAUAGAAGUGAUUUCGAGGGUAUGGUCAUCUUGUCUGAGAUCCCGCAAGGAAGAAGAACGAGACCUUGAAGAAGAAUCAAACAAACGUAGUCGAACAGGUCCUCACAAACGCGACGUUAUCGGAACUAACCCGAAGAAGCAACACCGGAAAGAAGCAAGCAAUAGUAAACAAACAUCACAUAAACUUGGCAUGAUGCACAAUCAAGUAUGAUGCAUGUCCGGUUUAAUGAUGCAUGACAAGGCAAAGCAAGAGCACGAACAAAACUACAAGUUAAGUGGAGCUCAAUAUGCAUCGGGAUGCAUAUUGACAAAACACCACAUCAAUUAUUUAGUUCUCUCCCGUUUAAGUAUUCAACAAUAUUGAAUGUUGUUAAACAUGGCAAGAGGUGAAACAUGAGUAGAAUACAUAGUUAGACAUUUUAAAUGAGUCCGGAAACAACAACAAUUCCGGUAACUCCCCGUAUGCAUUAGCAAUUAGGUGCAACAAAAAUUUUAAAAAUUUAAAUGUUAUUAUCAUGAUGCGAAUGACAUGUGCAAGUUUUAUGCAGUUUUUAUUAAAAGUUGACAUGAGCAUAAAAUGGAGCAUUUGUCAUCGUGGCGGAAAAAAGGGUGCCACGGCGACGAUAACGGAAACAGUGCCACGGCAGCGUUCUGGUUCCAGAAACUCGAUUGAGAUGCCGGUGGAAAAGAACAAGUGUGGCGGGAGUGUGUCAUGCGAUGAAUGGUGGGGUGCUCCCAGUUACCGGGUUCCCACGAGACGACGGUAUGGGAACGGGGAACAUGCAAGAAACAUGUCAGGCAUGGUUCAAACACGAGCAUAUCAUACAACACACAUGCGUUCUUUCACGGGCGUCGUCUCGGUGGUUAUACCUGCGAAGCAUGCAUUUCCAAGGCGGUUCGAGUUCGUCGAGGGAAGUAAAGGAGGUAGGCGUUCCGCAACGGUAGUAGAAGUAGUGGUACUAUCGGUCCCCGAUGGUAGUGGAAGUAGUGGUUCACGAGUCGAAGAGGAAAUGGUCGUUCAUGUUCGAGGAGUGAUAGUGGUACACGGUCGUCAUCGAACUUGGCAUCACAACGCGUAGACGGACAUAUUCCAUAGAUGUUCAUGUCAUCGGUAUCGUGGUACUUGGGGUCUUCAGACUUGCCGGCCCCGUUCGUUCGAAGAAGUACUUGAUGACUCCAACGUCUUCGGGGCGACGGUAGUGGUACCCACGAGGGUAGACGAACUUGACGGAUCCGAGGGCUCCGGACGUCGUGGUACUUGUCGAUUCAGGUCUUGAGACAUACUAGGCAUCGGUGCCUUCGAGGAACUCGGCCUGUCCAAAACGUAGCAGAACAGGGCCCCGGUUGCGGUCGUGUGGACGUUCAGUGAAGACGAACUUGCUGGUCAAAGCCAAAUUGAAACCAGACCAAGGAGGCCUCGGGUGGGCAGCAGCAAGGCAGGCUACAGCACACAACUGUGGACCACGGAGAGGUCGAGCUGGACGUUGAGGAGGGCAGCAGAGGCGACGGGCGGAGCAGAGGGGCCAAGGCCAUGGCGUCCAGAGGAGAAGCAGGACCAAGGGCGCGUCGAGAGGGUGCAGUAGCUGCUGCUGCUACCGGCGGCGAGGUACUUGGUGGCGACUAGGAGAAACGGGAGGAGAAGCGCGCGGGAGAAGAGCUGCUCCGGCGGGACUGCUCCGGUGACCAGUCCGCAAGGUCAUGUCGCUGCGAAGAGCGUAGCUGGCGGGUUCGAGGUCGAGCGAUGGUGAGAGGCGAAGUGGAUGACUUCGGCCUGGCACGACGGAGGCAAAGCAGAGUAGGGGGGCGGAGCAGAGGGGAUGAGAAGCAUGGUGGCUCCAUGGCCGGCUUCAGCCCACGGUGCGGGGUCUGGUUCGAGCGGUGCAAGGAGGCACGGGAUCCGUGAGCAGAGGGGCUGAGCAGUAGCUCAGACGGCGAGGCGAGGAGAAGGAGAGGACGGGGAGGUGCUGACAUGGGGAGCCGAGGCUGGCGGAUCGGGUGCACUUCCUGGCGACGGUGUAUGCGUGUGCGUCUGUGGCAGUGCUAGGAGAUCGAAGAGAGAGGAGGGGAGGAUCGAGCACGGCCUCCUCGCUCGAUGCGUGCAUGUGGCGGCGCGAGGGGACGAGGAAGGGAUCGAGAGGAGGAGGUAGGUCGAGGCUAGGGUUGAGAAGGGAUGCCGGCUGGGCUAGGAAGGGAUAGAUGGGCCUUAGAGCCGGCUAGGUUUAGGUGCAGGUGGGCUUAAAUGGCCUGUUGGGCUCCCUUAUUUCCUUUUUAUAUCUAUCUGCCUAUUAAAUAAACAGCCAACAAAAGGGAAAGGCCAGGGAUAUUGGGUAAGAAAUAGAAAGAAGUAAGGAUACAUAUGGACUCCUGGAAUUAAGCACCAUUUUAUAAAAUUGGUUUGGGCAUUUUUAGAGGUAGAAAAAUAAAACAAGUUUGAAUAAAAUUGAAACUUGAGGCAUUUUUGAACCUAACCAAAACAACUCCAAAAAGGCUGAAUCUUGACAUAGAGGUAUAAGGCAUGGUGCAUGACUCAUUGACAAAGAUUGAACAUUAAUGGAGAAGGGAGAAAUGGCACUUGCACCAAGGAAGGAAAAAGAAGUAAUGGGGGAGGUGAUGAUGCAUGGGUCAAAUGCAAAGCCAAACAACAUUACAAACAUAAUGCAAGAACAACAAGAUGGAUACCACAAUGCACAUGAUGAAUGCAAAAUGACAAGAGGCACAAAUGCAAUGUGACAAUGGUGAGCAUGUCAAUGCAAUAUAACCAAAGAUGACCAUGAUGAAAGAAACAAAAUAUGACAAAGGCACCAUCAAGAUCACGGCAACAAACAAUUGGAACACCCAACCUCGACGAAAUAAAAGGAAGGUAACUAGAGAAUCGGUCUCGGGGCGUCACAGCUAUGUUGGUUUUGAUUCAACUACAUGCAUGAACAUGUGCCAAGUCAAGCCACUAGAACAUUCAGAGGAGGAUACUGAUGUCGCUUGAAGCUAUGUCGGUAUUUCCCCAAAGAGGAAGGGAUGAUGCAGCAUAGCUGCGGUAGGUAUUUCCCUCAGAUAUGAAACCAAGGUUAUCAAACUAGUAGAAGAACCAAGCAACACAACGUAAAUAGCCCCUGUCCACGGAUAACAAAUCCUCACAACCCGGUGUGUUAAAGGGGUUGUCAAUCCCUUUCGGGUAAUGGUGCCCCAAACGGUGCUUGGACGGGAGAAAGUUGUGAAUAGAUUGAAUAAAUAGAUCGCAAAUCAAAUAAAUUGCAGGAAAGUAUUUUUGUAUUUUUGGUUUAAUAGAACUGAAAAUAAAAGCAAAUAAAAGGUAGAUCGCAAAGGCAAAUAUAUGAGAAAGAAGACCAGGGGGUCGUAGGUUUGACUAGUGGCUUCUCUUGAGAAAAAUAGCAAACAGUGGGUAAACAAAUUACUGUUGGGCAAUUGAUAAAACCUCAACUAAUUAUGACGAUACCUAGGCAAUGAUCAUUACAUAGGCAUCACGUCCAAGAUUAGUAGACCGACUCCUGCCCGCAUCUACUACUAUUACUUCACACAUCAAUCGCUAUCCAGCAUUCAUCUAGUGUAUUAAGUUCAUGGAAAACAGAGUAAUACAAUAAGAAUAAUGACAUGAUGUAGACGAAAUCCAUUUAUCUAUGGCGGUAGAUAUAGAUCCCAUCUUUUUAUCCUUAGUAGCAACGAAACAUACGUGUCGGUUCCCUUUCUGUCACUCGGAUCAAGCAUCGUAAGAUCGAACCCACUACCGGGCACCUCUUCCCAUUGCAAGAUAAAUAGAUCAAGUUGGCCAAACAAAACCCAAAUAUCAGAGUGGAAAUACGAGGCCAUAAGAGAUCAUGCAUAAAAGAGAUCAAAGUAACUCAAAUACUUUCAUGGAUAUAAACAGAUAGAUCUGAUCAUAAACUCAAAGUUCAUCGAUCCCAACAAACACACCGCAAAAGAGGUACAUCACAUGGAUCUCCAGGAGACCAUUGUAUUGAGAAUUCAGCGAGAGAGAGAGAGAGAGGAAGCCAUCUAGCUACUAACUAUGGACCCAAAGGUCUACAAAGAACUACUCACGCAUCAUCGGAGAGGCACCAAUGGAAGUGGUGAACCCCUCUGUGAUGGUGUCUAGAUUGGAUAUGGUGGUUCUGGACUCUGCGGCGGCUGGAUGAAUAUUUCAUCGAAUCCCCUAGGGUGUUGGGAAUAUUGGGGUAUUUAUAGAGCAAAGAGGCGGUCCGGGGGGCACCCGAGGUGGGCACAACCCACCAACACACUUGAAUAUUCACUACAGCCAAUAGUUAAGAAUGAUUAUAUUGCCUGCUAGUUGGUGCUUUUAUAAGAGAAUAUGGAGACUCAAAAUAAAAAUUGCAUAAAGUAAAAUAUAGGCCCUAUGCAGAGGGAAGUAGGGAUUUGUAGAGGUGCUAAAGCUCAAAGCGAAAAUUUUGAGAUAAAAACAUUUUAGGAGGUUUAUCCAUCACACCAACGAAAAUGACUUAGAGUUCCCAAUACUUUCCAUGCAUAGAUAUAUCAUAGGCGGUUCCCAAACAGAAAAUAAAUAUUAUUCCUUUUUCCAUCAUAACUUUCACUUUUCAAGGCUACCCAUAUCCACGGUUGCCCUCCAUACCAACACUUCCUAAGGAAUUUAUUAUUUGACAACAUAAUGUAAAUUCAUUUGUUUUGGCAUUUUGGGACUGGGCAUCCCUAAUGCAUUUUCCUUACUCUCGUGCAAUGACAAGUGAAUAAACACUCAUCUUGAGAAUAACACAUCUAGCAUGGAAAAAAUUAGCCACCCUCACUGCUCUGCGAGAGAAACAAACACACAAAAGAGAAAUUUAUUUUAAAAAUUAGAGGUGGCAUAUGCAAAUUUUCUUAGAACGGCACAAGAAAACCGCACAUAGGUAGAUAUAGUGGACUCAUGUGGCAAAACUAGUUUAAUGGAUUUUGGAUGCACAAGUAGAGGUCAUACUUAGUGCAAAAUGAAGGCUAGCAAAAGAUUGGGAAGCGACCAACCAAGAAAAGAAUAAUCUCAUAAGCAAGCAUUAAGCAUAAUUAACAUCUAAUAAUACACCACAAGUAGGAUAUAAUUUUCAUUGGAUGAUUAUUGACUUUCGUGCAUGCAUAGGGAAUCACAAACCUUAACACCAAUAUUCUUACUAAAGCAUAAUUACUCAUCAACAUGACUCACAUAUCACAUCAUCAUAUCUCAAAACUAUUGCUUAGAAUCAAGUUUAUUUUGUCCAAUGAUCUUCAUGACACUUUUUCUCUUUAUCCUUCUUGGAUAUCUAUCACUUAGGGAAUAAUUUUAAUGUGUUGCUUUUCAUAAGCUCAAACAAAUGUAAGUGAAGAUCAUGAGCAUAACAAAUUUUCUUUCUCUCAAAUAAUUUAAGUGAAGCAAGAGAGAAUUUCUUCAAAAUUUUAGUAACUCUCAAAUUAAUCUAAGUGAAGAAAGAGAGCAUUUCUUCAAAAAUAACAAGCACACCGUGCUCAAAAAUAUAUAAGUGAAGCACUAGAGAAAGUCCAUUUCUCAUAAAAAUUGAAGUGAAGCAUAGAGAGCAAUUCUAACAAGUCAAGAUAUAAUUUUGGCUCUCUCAAAUAGGUGUGUCUAGAAAGGAUUGAUGACUUAAAACACAAAAUAAAACAAGCAAAGACACAUAUCAUACAAGACGAUCCAAGAAAAACACAUAUCAUGUGACGAAUAAAAAUAUAGUCUCGAGUAAAAUACCGAUAGUUGUUGGAAGAAAGCGGGGAUGCCAUUCGUGGGCAUACCCAAGCUUAGUUGGUUGCUCAUACUUGGAUAAUAUCUUGGGAUGCCGGGUCAUCCCCAAGCUUAGGCUCUUACAUCCUUCCUUCAUCCAUCAUAAGAUGACCCAAAACUUGAAAACUUCAAUCACACAAAACUCAACAAAGCCUUCGUGAGAUCCGUUAGUAUAAGAAUAAUAUAUAGCUACUAUAAGUGAUGUAUCAAACCAAUUCAUAUUUUGUUUUUGUAUUAUAUCUACUAUAUUCCAACUUUUCUAUGGCAAAAACUCAUCAAAGAAAACCAUAGAGCCAUCAAAGUAAACACACAACACAAAGAAAACAGAAUUUGUCAAAACAGAACAGUCUAUAGAAAUCUGACUAUUUUGAAUACUUCUGUAACUCAAAAAACUCUGAAAAAUAGGACGACCUGAGAAAUUUGUAUAUUGAUCUACUGCAAUUGGAAUGGGUAAUUUAUCGCUCGUUGGUAAAAAAUGAAAAUUAAUUUCAUGAGCAUAAAAGUUUCUGUUUUUUCAGCAAGAUCAAACAACUAUUGCCCAAGAAGAUCCUAAAGGCUUUACUUGGCACAAACACUAACUAAAACACAAAAAAACAAAAAUCAUAACAGUAUCAUAAUUGUGCUAACACUCAAAAAUAGGAAGCAAAAAGGAAAAAUAAAUUUUAUUCAUUGGAUUGCCUCCCAACAAGCGUUAUAGUUUUACGCCCUUAGCUAGGCAUAAAGCAAGGAUCUAAGUUUUGUCAUCUUUGUCCAACUCUUCAAUCAAACACUUAGAAUCCUUCAAAGAUUCACCAUAAAGAUUUUGAAUAGCAAUACUUCUAGGAGUUAAUUUAAAGAUUUCAUUCCUGCAAAAAGGAUCUCUUAUCACUUCAACAAAAUCAGGAUGGAUACUAAUCAUCUUAAGAUCUCCUUUAUUGCUAUCACUAGAAGUUGCACCCUUGUUUCUACAUCUCCUACUCUUUACGGGAGUUUCCUCAAUAAUUUUAGUGGUAGUAAAAGCCGUGCUUAGAUACUAAAGAUUUCUUCCAAUUUAUCGAUCUGAGACGGACUUUCUUCUAUUCUUUCAUGGAUUAAGGUAUCCCUCUCUUUUAUCAACUUAAAAAUAUCGCCUACUUUUGACCCAAUAUUACUAGCAAAAUUAUGCAUCUUUUUAUGUAUAAUUUCCAUAUGAUCUUUAGUGAGUAUUUUCCUUUCGAUAACAUCUAGUCUUUCCAUAACAUGCUCAAAAGUCAAAAUUGUUUCAUUAACCAUAAGAGGUGGUGAGCCCACUAAAUUUCCCAUAGCAUUAAGAGCAUCAAAAGGAGGACUCAUUAAGAAAUUUCCACCGACAAUCGUAUCAAGGACGAAUCUAUACCAAGUAGUGAUGCCAACAUAAAAACAACGCAGAAGCACAAUGGUAGAUUGCUUACAGGUAGAUCUAUUAUAAGCAUUGCAAAUUCUAUACCAAGCAUAUUUUAAACUUUCUCCUACCCUUUGUUUAAAGUUUAGAACCUCGUUCUCGGGAGUGGAAGCAAUAGAGGAGGAAUUAUCCAUAACAGCAAACAAGAUCUCACACACAAAAACAAAUCCGGGAAGAAAACGGCGAACGGAAAAAGGGAGGCGAAUAAAACGGCAUUUUCUUGUGAAGUGGGGGAGAGGAAAAUGAGAGGCAAAUGACGAAUAAUGUAACUUGCGAGGAGAUGAAAUUUGUGAUUAGGAACCUGGUUAUGUUGAAGAUCUUCCCCGGGAACGGUGCCAGAAACUACUUUUGAUGUUGCUCGAAGCUACAUCGGUAUUUCCCCGAAGAGGAUGGGAUGGUGCACCAUAGCGGCGGUAGCUAUUUCCCUCAGAUAUGAAACCAAGGUUAUCGAACCAGUAGGAGAACCAAGCAACACAACAUAAACAACCCCGGCACACAGAUAACAAAUCCUCGCAACCCGACGUGUUAAAGGGGUUGCCAAUCCCUUUCGGGUAACGGCGCCUCAAAUGGUGCAUGGACGAGAGAAAGUUGUGAAUAGAUUGAAUAAAUAGAUCACAAAUAAAAUAAAGUGCAGCAAAGUAUUUUUGUAUUUUUGGUUUAAUAUAUCUGAAAAUAAAAGAAAAUAAAAUGUAGAUCACAAAGGCAAAUAUAUGAGAAAGAAGACCCGGGGGCCGUAGCUUUCACUAGUGGCUUCUCUUGAGAAAAAUAGCAAACGGUUGGUAAACAAAUUACUAUUGGGCAAUUGAUAGAACCUCAAAUAAUUAUGAUGAUAUCCAAGCAAUGAUCAUUACAUAGUCAUCACGUCCAAGAUCACUAGACCGACUCCUGCCUGCAUCUACUACUAUUAGUCCACACAUCGACCGCUAUCCAGCAUGCAUCUGUAUUAAGUUCAUGGAAAACGAAGUAAUGCAAUAAGAACAAUGACAUGAUGUAGACGAGAUCCAUUUAUCUAUGGUGGUAGAUAUAGAUCCCAUUUUUAUAUCCUUAGUAGCAACGAUGCAUACGUGUCGGUUCCCUUUCUGUCACUGGGAUCAAGCACUGUAAGAUCGAACCCACUAGCGGGCACCUCUUCCCAUUGCAAGAUAAAUAGAAAACCCAAUUAUCGGAGAAGAAAUACGAGGCUAUAAGAGAUCAUGCAUAAAAGAUAUCAAAGAAACUCAAUUACUUUCAUCGAUAUAAAAAGAUAGAUCUGAUCAUAAACUCAAAGUUCAUCGAUCCCAACAAAAGCACCACAAAAGAGUUACAUCAUAUGGAUCCCCAAGGGACCAUUGUAUUGAGAAUUCAGCGAGAGAGAGAGAGAGAGGAAGCCAUUUAGCUACUAACUACGGACCCGAAGGUCUACAAAGAACUACUCACGCAUCAUCGGAGAGGCACCAAUGGAAGUGGUGAACCCCUGCAUGAUGGUGUCUAGAUUGGAUCUGGUGGUUAUGGACUCUACGGUGGCUGGAUGAAUAUUUCGUCCAGUCCCCUAGGGUUUUGGGAAUAUUGGGGUAUUUAUAGAGCAAAGAGACGGUCCGGGGGGCGCCCGAGGUGGGCACAACCCACCAAGGCGCCUGGGCUUCCUGGCGCGCCCUGGUGGCUUGUCUCCUCCUCAGGACUCCCCCAGGUGAACCAGGGCCCAACAUCUUCCUUAUGGUCCAUAAAAAAUCUCCGUAAAGUUUUGUGGCAUUUGGACUCCGUUUGAUAGUGAUUUUCUGUGAUGUAAAAAACAUGGAAAAAAUAGCAACCGACACUUGGCACUAUGUCAAUAGAUUAGUACCAAAAAAUGAUAUAAAAUGACUAUAAAAUGAUUAUAAAACAUCCAAGAUUGAUAAUAAAACAACAUGGAACAAUCAAAACUUAUAUAUACAUUGGAGAUGUAUCAGAUACCAUAUCAUCAUAGUACAUCACAAUCAUUUUAAUGCAAUAUUGAUAUCCAAGAUAAAUUAUUAUCCACUCCCAGCUACUUAUACAUGGCAUGAGAAACUAUAAUCUCUUAUUGUCAUUGCAAACAUGUUUAAUCAUAAUGGGCUGAAUCAUGGAUACUAGGUUAAACAUAUUUACACAAACAGAACAAGUCGAGCUCAUACCAAUUUCACUCUGCCAUGACCAGUUCAUCGAAUAUCGUCAUUAUUGCCUUUCACUUGCACGACCGAACGAUAUGAAAACAAUAAUAGUGCAAGAGUACCAUGGACUAAGCUGGAAUACGCAAAACAUUUUAUUUAACAGGAGAAGACAAGGUAAAAUGGGUUCUUUAUUAGUUCAACAAUUAUUCAUAUGAGAGCCACUCAACAUUUUCAUCGUGGUCUUCUCCUUGGUACAACUCGAAUAAAAGAAAAUAAUUUAAGAGAAACACACACUACUACAGGAUGCUGGUAACGCGACACUACGACCAGAGACCCUUCGAUGAGACAGUGUGCAAUGCCAUAAUCGCAAACGGUGGUGUAAAAACUGUCAAAAAGGUGCAAAACCUUUGCGAUGGAGGAUGCAUCAAACACGGUUCAGAAUUUAGUUGCUUGUGCGAUUGAGGGCAUACGGUUCAGUUCAGUUAACCGUUUGCGAUGAGGAAGAACAAAAGAAACAGACAACCAGAUGAAGGUGUGUGCGAUGUACAACAUACGAUUCACUCAAAUGAACUGUUUGUGAUUACGCAACACAAAAGAAACGGUCAGCCAGAUCAAAGGUGUGUGCGAUAUACGGCAUGCGGUUCACUCGGAUAAACUGUUUGCGUUGAGACAUGAGAACAUAAACGGUUCAAAUGAACAAGAUGUGUGUGAUACGACGCAAACAGGUCUGUAAUCGGAAACAUGUGCGAAGACCGAUAACAACACGGACGAUUACUGCUAACAAGUUGUGUGUGUUGCGAGAAAAACGAUUGCUGGUAUACAAUUGUCAGUGAUUGAUGACAACACCACCGACGGGUUCCAUUGUUUAGUUCGUGUGUGAUGUGAUUUUCUUUGUCCGCACAACAUCUACGCUCUAUCUACAGAGUAUCAACAUAUAUACUUAAAAUGACAACAUUGCAUAACCAAAUUAAGCAUACAUUUACACAAGUGACUACACACAUAACAUUUCCACACACCAAACAAAGCAAUUACAUACAUACUACAGUAGGAGAAACGAGGAUCUAAUCAUGUACUUAUUGUUGCGACGACGCUUGCCAUUGCUCUGCUUCUGGCUGGAUCCCUGGCCGUUUUGGGGAAGGCGACACUUCCUCAUGUCAACGAUCCACCUGUACAUGUCGCAGCUCGUGUACGCCUCCUUGGCCGCGUACACGACAUGAGCUUUGUCGAGUUUCUCCAUCCAGGCCGAGUGCCAGGCACACUUGUCCUUGUUGCACGAAUCCUUUAUGUCUCUGUAGUAGGGUUCGAUGAUGGCCUCGGCGAGGUGAACUAGUGAGUCCUUCUCAUGCUCCUUGCUGCCCCAGAUCUUGUAUUGGCCCUAGAUGUCGACAAGAUUCUGUCAGGUGAUGCCCGAAUUCUCAAGCGCCUUUACAUCGUUGGUGAUGUCCACCAUAGUGAAAAUGUAGUGGGGGCUGUUGACAAACCUAGCGAAACGCUCGCAAGGCCUUGUGGCCAGGCAGUAGUGGUAGACGAGGACCUGGUGGAGCACGCACAUCUAGGUGAUGGCGACCUUGGGACGAGACCCGGCACGAGCGCGGGUGUACUCGAGGUCGAACCCGACCACCUUGUACUUCUCCGCGGCAAGUGAUAACUCCAUGAUGUGGAUGGACUGCUCCACCCAGACCGGGUCGUUGGUGUACACCACCGAGAGGUCCAUGAACCUUCUAUGGGUGUCCACCACUGCACGCAUGCUGAACUGCUACUUGUCGUCGACAGCCCCUCGGAGCACCAUUGGAGCCACGCAGGAUACCAUCUAAGAAUUUCUCCUAGUGGGUGUGCUUCUUGCAAUGGUGGGGCGUGAUCAAAAGGUUGAAGAGACACAAGGGUAGGUUAAAUGGACGCUGUAAUAAAUGGGAGCCGACCGACCUGUAAUCAUCACGUCUUGUCACAUCGUUCAUAGCAGAGGAUUCUAGUGCACGCUUGACAACACCGCACCACAUGCGUGGGCUCGAAGAGGUGCCACAUGUAUCGUCGAUGAGCCUAUUCCCGCGCUACAGCGUUGUUUACCGCACAAGCUUCCCGCCCGGCUAGUUUGGCCACGCGUCGGCUAGAAGAGGGGCAAAUCGUGGGCGUUUAUUGGAAAAAAGCUUUGUAAAAACGAAGUUUGUGGAAUGACUUCGGUCAUUAGUUUACCAUUGGGCGAUGAGGUCAAAAUUACACAAAAGGGUGAUGAUGGACACUCGAGUGCGAUAAUUAAUUUUGUACUCUAUAGUGCAUACGGUGGAAGAAACCAACUGCGUGCAAUAAUGUCGAAGAUCGUAGUCGAGUUAGCUAUACAAAUCAUGUGUUGUGAGAUCGACAAGGUAAACUGAUUCGAGAAUGGUUAAUAAAAUCUAAGACCAUUGCAUAUUCAGGUCAAAAUAGUGCUGGCAAUAUACGAGUCUCAUACGAUGCCAUUUCGACGAUUGUACCACAAAAGCUCGAAAAUGUUACAAGGUUCAAAUUCCAGAUUUAUGUGGCUCAAAUUCGAAUAUUACAAGGUUCAAACGGAUAUUAGAAAUGAAAUUUAGCUCAUCAGCUGCAAACGCUCGCGCUGAUCCACUAAACAUGGAUAUCAUAGAGGUUCAAACUAAUAUCACCGCUUCUAAGUCUGGCUUCGAAACCUCACAAUUUUUGCAAAAGGGGUCAGCCACUGAUAAGUCAUGUAUGGGGUUGACACAAUGACUUCCGAUUACUCUCUCAUCUGAAGUUCCAAAAUGAAAUUCAGCAUUUUUGGAGCCUACUCCAUUCUGCCAUAGGCGCCAGCGCUGAUCAACAAACCAUUCAUUUGUGCAAAAUAAAUGUAGGACAAACCUCAUUUCCUUCAGCACCCUUGCUUUGAGAACAAAGAACUUGGCGAAUAUAAUCUCCGGUAAGGUCCCUCGGCAGGAGUUCAAAGUAAUUUCUGAGAGAUGCAGAUCUAGGCAUUCGACGUGCUUGUUAUAUUGUAUCACAUUAUCUACCACUGGGCCUAAUCUUAUCUUCAAAAGAAGAAAACGUGUUAGUGCCUACAUGCAGUUUUGAACAUUACUACAGGCCUAGCUAUUUGGUUUGCAGGAUUUGAAAAUGCACUAACAUGCCAUCUUCGAUCUGACAUGACUAACAUGGGCAUUUGAUUACAUUCUAGAAAAAUGUAGCCUUCUUCACAAGAGGUUGGAGUGGAUGAGAAGUUCCCCAAGAAAACUAGUACAGAUGAUUCCAAAGGAGAAAUGCUUAUUGAUUGUAACCAUAUGGAUCAAGGAACCAAUAUGGGGGGGGCAUGUAUGUACUAAAAUCAUCCAAAAGAACCUUCAGAAAUCAUAGUACAUUGUCAUUGUAAACUUGGAAAAAGGUGUCACAAAUUGAACUCCCUUAUGGUUAAAAUUUAACAAGAAAGGAACAUCAUCUCGAUAUAUAGCUUCUCCGGGCAUGGAAAGCAACUCAGGAAACUGACAACUUGCUCCAGGUCGGGUGCGAUAGAUUCUAGUGCCAAGACCUUCACUAUGUGCAGUUUUGGGGUCAAGCUUGUCAGAAUUAUUUUCUGAAUGACAGAUGAAAAAACAUCUUCAAAAUUAGAAAUAAUGUUAAUUUGUGGAAGGAGAGUUAUAAGGCGGCUAUUGUACCUAAACGGGUGUGGAUCCAAUAACAAGUUCGGAGCAAUUGUCGAGUAGCCCACGACUGUCAAUUUCGACACAGAAAUGACAUUGAUUCUUGUUGGACCUUCUUGAUCAACUACAAGUAAUCUGUCAAGUGCAGGUGUGUCCUGGAUGACCAUACUGUGGUACAGAUCUUGUUAUGUCUUCCUGCUGCACCAGCAACACACGUAAAUAGUCCGGAGAGUCAUGGAGGUGAUGUGGAAGGUACUCAACCCAUUGAUCACCUGAAGACGAAGGUACUCGAGUGUAGUACAGCCAUGGAGCAGGCGCUCCAUGUCACCCUUUGAGAGGCAGACGACGAUGAGCUCGAGGUGCUUCAGUCGUGGUAGAAUUAGAGCGGGCGUGUCAUUAAGGGCGGGAAAUGGCAGUUCCAGAACUUGGCAACAUGCAGCAUGGGCGGCAGGCAAAGUGGGGACGUUGGCAAUGACCGCAUAUGCCCAUCAUCAAAAGUGAGCUCCUCGAGCUAAUCUAUGGCGGGGGAUCGGAACCUUUCGUCAAGCUUGGCUCGGUCCUAGCCGUUGGAACGGAACUUGCCCAUUCUAAGGCCUUUGGUUGGGCCAAGGUGACUACCGAGGAUCUUGGAGAAUGCAUCCAAGCUUUUGCGAUAGCCAUGGCAGAGCUCAUGGGUGUCGAUGAGGUCGAGAGUGCUGGAGUUCCAUAGGGGGCGCCACCACCGGGAAAGGAGGGUUGUACGUGCCCCAUAUUUGAUUGGGAGGUGGGUGAUGAUGACUAUCAACAUAUCAUCGCGGAGGUUGCUAAUUAAGUCUAGGCCUGCUGGAGUCACUUGCGGUUCUAGCUCGCCCUGCCUCCACUUGUUGGCAGCCCCGUUCUCCACCUCUGGAGUCUCCUUGUCAGCGGCACUUUCUGAUAGAAAUGGGAGUACAGGAAAUAUUUAGUUAAAACAUGUCAAUAGAAAAGUGUGUUGGUAACUAGAAGUUAUUAGGUAGGAAUAUAGUAAGAAAAGGGAAUAACAAUUGGUUGCUUAAAUAUGACACAAUUUAUUUGACAUUGCGGGGUAAGUCAACAUAUGCAGAUAGUUGAGAAGAAAACUUAAUUCGAACAAAGUCUGGACAGAUGAUUUUGUCGGGGAAGCUAGCAUAUACCUCAUGACCAGGCCCUUUUAUGUGAAGUGCAAUUUUAGUGCCAGCUUUCAGUACAUAAAACUUUGCAAUUUCAUUCCAAAAGCCAGUGCCAAAAUAGGAGUCACCACGUUCAUCAAGUCUUACUGUAGCAACGAUUAUAAAUCCAUGGUUUGUGUGCAGUAUGACAUCCAUGGAGCCUUGAUGUAUUUAAAGGAAAAAAGUGUGCAAUACAUAUUCUGUUGCAUAGCGAGGGAUGUUCUACAGAAAAUGGUAGGAUUGUUAAAGAAAAUGUGGUAACAUGCAAAUAUGGGCCCAAAUUGAAAGAACUGUACAGCAGUUGAAACCGAAGGACAAAAAUCUAUAAUUAAACAGAUAGGGUAAACAUGAUGUCAUGAAAAAAUGAGAGUAAUCGAAAUAACAAUACAUUAUUAAUUUACCUAAUAUAGAAAGAUGAGGGGAAAGACACCUUUUGACGUAUAUGGUGCAUGUGGCACCUUCUAUCCGAAUGUAGCAAUAUUGAGAAUAUGUUUAGGAAAGUAGGACAUGACAACCGAUAUAGGGUGAGAUUGAACAUACUGCGCGCGUGCUCAAGUUAUCUGGUAUGGAGAGAUGGAAUCUCUGGCAGCGGUCCUGAAGUGUCGGCGCACUAUACAUUCUAUGGAUGAAAGAAAACCCUCAAAUCAGCUUGAAUAAAAAUGAAUUAACGGUGAUUUCCGCCGAGUGAUUAAAGGAGGCAAGUGAACUAGGAUAAGAGAUGAGAUAAUAUCUCGUUAAACUAGUUACCUUGUCGUCCAUGAGAAAGAACUCUUAGUAAGGCAGAUUCCCCAACCGAGCCGAGCUGGGUCGACCGCGAGCAGCGUCGAGAAAGUUGAUGGCGAUAGGCGGCGACAAGCGGAAGUGGUGAAAUGCGAUGGGCUUUGCCGGCAGCCUGGCGGCGGCGGCAGGCGGCAUCCUAAGUGUUUACCGCCGCGAUAGGCGGUGCCAUGGCAUAGAUGCGGAGGAGCUUGUGCAGGUGUGAAUGGGGAAUGUACCGGAGGGGCCAAGGGAUUGGCAGGCGGGGUGAUGGUUUUUGUGAUGUGGGGAUGGUGAGGGUUUUCUUUUUUCUUUUUUAAUUUGGGUGGUGAGGGUUUUCUGUCCCACAAAGAAUUUUGGGGGCGACGGUUUGCUAGAGCGAACCGUGUGUGAUUGACAAAGCAGGAAAAAUGGAAGUCAUUGCACACGGUUCCAAUUUUGGGAACCGUGUGUGAUUGACGUACUACCUCCGUCCUGGUUUAUUGGUCCCCUGUUGUAAUUUUUACCAAAAUUUGGAGAAAUAUUUAACAUACUCAGUCAUAUAUAAUAAGCGUACAUGUAGAUAAUCAUAGUUCAACCAUAUGUAGUACAUAGUUCAACAGUAUUAAGCAUACUCAAGCGUACAUAUAUAGUUCCAUCCAUCCCACAUCUCAUCUCAUAGGACGACACGAUCCUAAAGCUUCUCCAAGUACUCGGUGUACGCGUCAUGCGCCACACUGCUCGAAUACUUUUGCUUGAAGGAGCCAACGGCCCGUCCUCUUGCAUGCGCUAGAACACUUAGAUACACGUCAUGAAGCUUCUGGUUGUAAAAUGGGCAUCCAUAGUCGCCGUUCCAGGUUCUAAUACGCCUGUUAUACAAAUAGUAAAACAAAUUUGGCAUCAAAUCAAUGAUGACAUGCCGUGAAGUAGGAUUAGGAAUUUAUGGCUAUUUAUUUACACAUAUCCAGAUAUUAUGGUUUGAUUUUUAAGCACAGUCGUCUAUGUACAGACCAAUCUUGAAUAUAAUAAUGGCACAAACAUAAGUAGGUCAUUGAAAAUCAAUUGUCAAGCCUUGGUUAGGAAAUAUUAGCGCAAACAUUAACCCUAGUCAGAUUACUAGAAGAAAUCAUUUGCACAAAUGAAACAAUUAAUCACUUAUCAACUAUACCAUUCAAACAAUCAAUACACUAUGCGGAUCUAACGAAACUUACUCAAAUUUCAUGGAUUGGGAGAACAUAACCAUAGUAUUUCUAUUCCAAAAAGGGGGAGGCAGGAGUAACGAGAUACCCUAUAAUUUAUUUGACACAUAAAUGGGUAUAGAUGACUAACCAGCUGUCCGUCAUUGUCGGAGUCGUCGCCGGAGUGGUCAUCGGAGUGGUCGUCAGAGUCGGUGUGGAACUCCGCCUCCGGCUAUGGAAGCUCGACGACAUCAGGGUGCAACAAUAAGUCGCCGGUGAUGACGGCAACCUCUGUCUCCAUCUCCAUGCCGUGCUCCGAUCCAUUAGUAGCCCCGAAGUCACCACUCCGUUCGAUGAGGCGCUUCGGCGGCAUCCUCAUACACCGACGACUUUGAGGGCUGAGAGCGGCGUCAAGCAUGCAAGCGGAGAGAGAUGAUUGUGUGUGCGUAGCGGGGAUGGGGGUGUGGCCGCUCAGGCGCACCAUUAAUAUGGAGUAGUGGGAGUUGUGGGAGAGAGGUGGGUGGCGGUCAAAUUGAUGGCUCGUCUCCCGGUGAGCCUGCGCACAGGACUACUGGCAUGCCUACCAAAGUUUCACACAGCUACUCUCACGCCUCCCGAUGACACUAUGCAGCAAGCACGCCUCUGUCAAUUCACACACCCGCAUCGUGUUCUUUUUAUUGCCAAUAAUGAGUUGUGUUAGAUGACAAUGUCGGAAUCUUUUUCCUUUGAAGUGGUUGCCAAAGCAGUUUACUCAAGAUUACCUCUCAAACUACAUGAUUGGUGGACAUGUAAAGGUUAAAGUAUUUCUACCAGAACACGGUGAUUAUCUAGAUGUUUUCAUGAAGACCGUGAAGGAUGGGUGGUCGGCCAUCACCAUGGGUUGGAUUAGAGUCGUGCGUGCCUCCUGCAUGGAGGAGGGCACAACAUGGGCAUUCUACUUCACGUUGUUCAGCAACCAGAAUAUAUUUCGCAUCUUUCUUUACCGUCUUUAAUAGUACAAGUAUACAACUGUUGUUCAUCAUUCUUUAUUUGGUUCUUAUGUAAUUCUUGAACAUAUGUACCUAUGAAUCGAAUAAUGGAUUGGUUGUUUGAACCUGAUGGAUAUGAGUAAAGCUGUAGCAUACAUUCAAAUUCAAAUCCAAAUACGGUACAAUUUGGAAAAGAAGCAAUUAAAUUGGGGUCAAAUUACGCUGUCCAGGUUGUUACGGCACACACGGUUGGUAAAACACAAAUGUUUGUGAUAUGCACCAUAAUAUGAGACGGUCCACAAAGAGGAAACAUGUGCAAGCAUGCACACAGUUGCCGUUUGCGAACCGUGUGUGAUGUCAGACAAUAUCACAAAUGGUGCGGGCAAACUAAACGUUUGUGUUAGUUGCCUUAUCAUAUAUGAUUCGCAACCAUGAACUGUUUCUGAUGAAGUAUGCACCAUAAACGUUGCACCACAAGAUAGCAUGUUCGAUAGUUGUCGUGUACGAUGACGUUACGACGGUCCGAUGUUUCGUAAUCCCGUUGGACACUCGUACGAUGAUUAGCUAAUCUUCUUAACAGUGAAACGUUUGUGAUGGGCCGCGCAUCAUACAUGUUCUAUAAUAGUGAACCGUUUGUGAUGGGCUGCACAUCGUAAACAUGGCACCACAGAAUACUGACUGCGAUGGGAAUGCGAGAAGAAACGAGUAGGAGUACUAUUGGGGCCCUAUCCCCAAUGGUUUCUGGGUCGUGUGGGAAGGACCCCCCCUAUGGCCCACACUCACUUGGCGACGGUUCCAAAUGCCGUCGCGGAAAGGGGUUAAAAACCGUUUGUUUAGGACUGACGUGCACCAGUGGCACUGAAAUAUUUUUGGAGUUUUUUGUUUUCUUGAACAAGCAAAUAAAAGGGAAAAGAAAAAUGAGAAAAACUAUUUACAUGGGAAAGCUCUCAACAAGCAAAAGAAGAACAAGGAAAUCUUUUUGGAUUUUCGUUUUAAUACUAUAGCUAAGCAUGCAUGGAAAAUAAACUAACUACAACUAAUGAAUUUUCUGUUUUUCUAAAGUUUUUCAAACACACAAGAAGAAUGCAAGAAAAAUAAAAUUUAAACAUGGAUGAUACAAUGAAAAAGUGUGAACACUGACAAGAUGAAUAAGUGAACAUGAAUGUAAUGUCGGUGAGAAACACGUACUCCCCAAAGCUUAGGCUUUUGGCCUAACUUGGUAGUCGAUCACUAGUCUGGAUAGUAGUUGGCGUGGUAGCUCACGGAGGCUCUCGGUGCAGAUGCCUCAGCAUGCCGUGCUGCCUCCACUGCUGCGUUGUGAGCUCGGGCCUCGCUCUCAAGAACAAAACAUCUUCCUUUGCUGUGAUAAUCAAAAACAGUAGGCGCAGGCAAAUAUGUGUGCGCAACAUAUUUUUGGUUAAACAAUAGAUUAUAAGUGAAGUUUUCAACCUUUCCCUUGAGAUUCUUAUGUUCUUUUAAAGUGUCAAAAUCUAAAUACUGCGUGGGUAGGAUAGGAUCAAAUGGCAAAGGUGAAACACCCAGCCCUCGUGCUAGAUGUGUGGCAUAUAUUCCACCAUAGAAAUAGCCACUGUUAGCGUUGUGCUGAAGUCCACGUGCAACAAUCGCUCCAAGGCUAUAAUUCCUUUCACUGGUGAGAGCGGUGUGGAUGAGGCUCAAGUCUGGAGCAUAGAAUGUACUACAAUCUUGCUUCCCUAAUAUACAUUUCACUACUAGGAAAAUGUUUGCUAGUGGCGAACCUGUUUUGGCUACUAAUGGUGCACUACAUUUGCUCCACUAGCAUCACGCCAUUAGAAUUUUUUACUAAUGGCGCACCACAGGUGCACCAUUAGUAUCUGGUAUUCUGAUGGCGCACCAUGCAGUGCGCCAUUAGUAUAUCCCACGGUGCGCCAUUACUAUUUGGCUUAGUAAUGGCGCACCACAUAGAAGUGCGCCAUUACUAACAAAUUUUUUCAAUUUUUUUUCAGAAUUUUUUUUUCAAAUUUUUUCUUUUUUUCUUAAUCUCGAGUCACUAUGGCUUAAUCUUGGGUCAAUAUGCUUAAUCUCAAGUCAAAAUCGCACUUUGUGGUCAAACUUCCUGAAAGGUCACCCAUCCUCACACUACUCCAGCCUGAGCACGCUUAACUUCGCAGUUCUAUCCAACCCCAGCACCAGCUCACUUCACACGCACUUGUUGAUAUAUAUAUCAUAUCAAUCCUAUUAAACCUUGUGGAUGUUUAGGACUUUGUUCAUGUUCAUGAGUGUGAUGAAAUUUUGAAAAAAUAUUUCAAACUUCCCGGUCAUAUUACGUAUCAUAUUUUGAAAAAAAUUCCAACUCUUUUUGAAAUCAUUUUUUUUCUGUUACUAGUGGCACACUUAGCAAAUGGUGCGUCACUAGUAAGUUUGAAUUUUUUUCAUCCCCCCCUCUAGAUCUUAAAAGCCUUGUAUCUUUUGUUCUGUUAGGUUUUUAGGGAUUUUGAAGAUGUUGAACAAGGAUCCCCCGAUUCAAUUCGUAUGUAACUUUUCGAGUAGAUGAUUUUUCAUAUAAAAAACUUUUUAAUCCGAGUUCAUAUGCAAAAGUUGUGCCCAUUUUACUAAAUUCAAGAGAGAUUUUGCAAAUAAAGUCGAAAUUCAUAUUUGUAAAUUUUCCCAACAACUAGACCACAUAUCACAUGGGAAACUUAUUUUCUUUUAUUUUUUNNNNNNNNNNNNNNNNNNNNNNNNNNNNNNNNNNNNNNNNNNNNNNNNNNNNNNNNNNNNNNNNNNNNNNNNNNNNNNNNNNNNNNNNNNNNNNNNNNNNNNNNNNNNNNNNNNNNNNNNNNNNNNNNNNNNNNNNNNNNNNNNNNNNNNNNNNNNNNNNNNNNNNNNNNNNNNNNNNNNNNNNNNNNNNNNNNNNNNNNNNNNNNNNNNNNNNNNNNNCACCAGGGUUACUAAUGGCGCACCUGAUUUGUGGUGCGCCAUUAGUAGUUUUGAAAAAAUAUUGUAAGUAAUGGCGUACCAGUGGACAGUGCGCCAUUACUAGUUUUUUUUUCAAAACUACUAAUGGCGCACAGUGGGUGUGGUGCGCCAUUACUAUGUCAACUAGUAAUGGCGCACUAUCCCAUGGUGCGCCAUUACUAACAUUUUUUUUCAAAACUACUAAUGGCGCACCACACACCAGGUGCGCCAUUAGUAAUAUGUCAAUAAUGGUGCACCUGUAUCUAGUGCACCACUGCUAUAUAGCAAUGGCACACCACAUACAUGGUGCGCCGUUAAUGUCCAUAUCAUCUAUACCCCUUUUCCUAGUAGUGUUUACCGUUAAAUAAUGCAAAGUACUGAAUUGUGGGAAAAUGAAUUCUCUUUAUUCUACCUUGUGUCACUUCCCUCGUCUCACUGUAACAAAGACUAGACAAGAAUGUUUGAUACUCAGUCCUUGGUGGUUCAUCAAGCGAACCCCAAUACGGGAGUUCACAGUGGUAAGCAAAAUUCUCUACUGAUAUGGUAAAUGGGUUAUCAUAAAGCAUAAAUGACACCCUAGACUCAUGGGGAAAGAAUUUAAAUCCUUUGACCGAUGAUUCGGUGAGAAGGUGGCUUUGUUCACAAUUUUCUGAAAGGUAGGGACCGAGACCGGCAUUGUGAACAUAUUACUCAAAUUCUUCUUUAAUGCCCACACGCAUCAUAUACUCAUCACAAGGCCAUAAGCAUCUUUUGGUGGCGGCAUCUCGAGUAGAACUUUCACUUGGUUCAACAUAUGACCGGCGAGUGGAGCUGUCACUAGAAGAUGCCCCCGAGGAUCGCCUUCUCGAAGAACUCCUUCCAAAGAGGCUCAUCAUGUCCGCGUACAAUUUUCUGAAAAAUUUUGGGUGACAAAAAUUUGUCAACAAAACUUUAUAAGAUUGAUAGCAACUACUCAUAGGGAUACAUAGAGGCCAUAGCAAUCAUUCGAACUACUUAGAACACUAAGAAUUCAACAUGCAAGCUCAUCUAUAAUAGCACCAAGAGUAGCUAUUAUUCAAAAUAUAAACCAUUAAAAUAAAAACUAAUUGGACAAAAGGUGGAGUCACAUACCAAGCAACAAUCCCCCAAAACAGUUUCGGAAACGAAGCUUCGAGCAAAGAGAUGGAAAUCCACGGGUUUGAGAUCAAGAACACGGGAGAGAGAGUAAUGGAGAUUUUUUUCUGGAGGUAGGUGAUGAUGUGGUGUAAAGUGAUAAGUGAGGGGUCCACGUGGGGAUCACAACCCACCACGGCGCGCCUGGGGGUCCUGGUGCGCCCAGGUGGGUUGUGCCCACCUGGUGCACCUCCCUCUGAUGUUUAUUGCACCAAAGAUUUAGAAAUAUUCAGAAAAAAUCGUAUUAAAUUUACAGAGUAUUCUAAGAACUUUUAUUUUUGGGUCAUUUUUUAUUGCACGGGAAAAAUCAGAAAACAGGAAAAACAUGGCAUUUUAUUUUAUUAACUAAUUAAAACAAAGAAUAAAAAGUAGGGACAGAAGAUAGUGCUUACUAAAUUCAUCAACUUCAUACCGUUCAAAAAUGAUCCAUUAAUAAGGUUGAUCAAGUCUUACUAACAACCACUUUCGAUUAGCAUGAAACCGAAGAACUUCCGUAAGUCACUAAGUUACCUCAAUGGGGAUAUGAAUGUCCCCAACAAUAAGAAUUUCAUAUUUAUUUUUGAUAGUAGGUAGAGGUAUUUGAAAGCUUCCAACAGUGAUUGUCGAAGAUUUUCCAAUAACAUUAAUACCAUUCACUUGGAAUUAUUUCUUCAGAAAGUGCACUGUAUGCUCAUUACCAUUGCUAUGAAAAGUGAUCCUACUUUUAUUGCAAUCAAUAAUAGCCCCUACAGUAUUCAAGAAGGGUCUACCAAGGAUAAUCGACAUGUUGUCGUCCUCGGGCAUCUAAAGUAUAAUAAAAUAAGUCAAAAUAGUAACAUUAGCAGCAAAAACAACGGGUACAUCCUCACAGACACCGAUAGGUAUGGUAGUUGAUUUGUCAGCCAUUUGCAAAGAUAUUUCAGUAGGUGUGAGUUUAUUCAAAUCAAGUGUUUUAUAUAAAAAGAAAGGCAUAACACUAACACAAGCUCCUAAAUCACACAAAGUAGUUUUCACAUAAUUCUUUUUGAUGGAGCAAGAUAAAGUUGGAAUUCCCGGAUCUCCAAGUUUUUUAGGUAUUCCUUCUUUAAAAGUAUAAUUAGCAAGCAUAGUGGAGAUUUCAGCUUCUGGUAUUUUUUCUCUUAUUUGUGAUGAUGUCUUUCAUAUACUUUGCAUAAGGAGGCAUUUUCAAGAUACCAGUGAAGCGAGUACGCAAAAAGACUGGCCUCAGCAUUUCAGCAAAGCGUUCAAAUUCUUCAUCAUCAUUCUUUUUAGUUGACUUAGGUGGAAAAGGCAUAGGUUUUUGAACCCACAGUUCUCUUUCUUUACCGUGUUUUCUAUCAAUGAAGUCUCUUUUAUUAUACCUUUUAUUCUUAGGUUGUGGGUUAUAAAGAUCAACAGGUGGUUCUAUCUCAACAUAAUUGUUUUGUUCUUUAUUAUUUGGUUGAGAGUCUUCAUGAACAUCAACAUUAUCUUUUUCAUUAUCACUAGGUGAGUGUUCAUUACCAGAUUGAGUUUCAGCAUCUGAGAAGAAGUUUCAUUAUCAUUAUCAAGAGGUUUCUCUAUUUCAGGUUCAGUAGGAGCAUGCAAAGUCCUAUCACUUUUCUUCUUCCUUUUCUAUUUAGAAGAACUAGGUGCACUAGUGUUGGCUCUUUGUGAAUCUUGUUCAAUUCUUUUUGGGUGUCCCUAAGGACAAAGUGGUUCCCGAGUCAUUUUACCUCCUCUAGUUGCAACUCUAACAGCAAAGUCAUGAAUAUUAUUAUUCAUUUCAUCAAGCAAUUCACUUUGAGAUUUAGCAACUUGUUCUAACUGAGUUUGAACCAUAGAAGCAUGCUUUCCAACACCUCUAACAUCAUUUGAUAUUCUAAAUAACAAGUCACUCAAACGAGCAAUCAUAUUAGAGUUGUAUUUCAAUUGUUUCAUAACAUUUGCAUUGAAGUGAUCUUGUUUUCUAAUAUAAUUUUAAAACUCAUAAGGGCAUUGACUAUGAUGCAUAUUAUGAGUAUUGUCGUUAUCAUUGAAUUUCAUAAGAGAAUUUACCUCUACCACCUUAGGUACUGGUAGUGUAUCAAGCCCAUGUAUUUCGUCAAAAGGAGGUAAAUUUUUAACAUCUUCAGCUUUAAUACUUGUUUCCUUCAUAGAUUUCUUUGCCUCUUGCAUAUCUUCCAGACUGAAAUAUAAUAUAUCCCUCUUCUUUGGAGUGUGUUUAGGCGGUGGUUCAGGAAUAGUCCAAUCAUCGUAAUUUUUCAAUAUGUUAUUCAAUAAUUAUUCAGCUUGACCAAUAGUUCGUUCCCUAAAAACACAACCAGCACAACUAUCUAGGAAGUCCCUAGAAGCAUCGGUUAGUCCAUUAUAGAAGAUAUCAAGUAUUUCAUUUUUCUUAAGUGGAUGAUCAGGCAAAGCAUUAAGUAAUUGGCAAAGCCUCCCCCAUGCUUGUGGGAGACUCUCUUCUUUGAUUUGCACAAAGUUAAAUAUUUCCUGUAAGGCAGCUUGUUUCUUAUGAGCAGGAAAAUAUUUUUCAGAGAAGUAAUAAAUCAUAUCCUGGGGACUACGCACACAACCAGGAGCAAGAGUAUUGUACCAAGCUUUAGCAUCACCCUUUAAUGAGAACGAAAAUAAUUUGAGAAUAAAGUAAUAGUGAGUUUUCUCAUCAUGAGUAAAAUGGGUGGCUAUAUCAUUCAACUUAGUAAGAUGUGCCACAACAGUUUCAGUUUCAUAACCAUGGAAAGGAUCGGAUUCAACCAAAGUAAUUAACUCUAGGUUGACAGAGAAUUCAUAAUCCUUAUCAUCAAUAAAGAUAGGUGAAGUAGCAAACUUAGGAUCACAUUUCAUUCUAGCAUUCAGGGAUUUCUCUUUAUACUUGCAUAAUAAUUUCUCUAGGUCAUCUCUGUCUCUGCAAGCAAGAAUAUCUAUAGUUGUUUCUUCACUCAUAACUUAACCUUCUGGUACCUUAGGCAGUUCAUAUCUAGGAAGGCUAGUUCUAGUAGGUGUUUCAAGAGAAUCAAUUUCAAGCUCAUCAACAGAAUCAACAACAUCAUGUUGUAUAACUCUAGCAAUUUGUUUAUCAAGAAAUUCACCAAGUGGCACAUCAUCAUUAAGCAAGGUACUAUUAUCAUCACAAGCAUUAUCCAUAGCAGAAGUAGCAUCGUCAAUAACUUGCGACAUAUCAGAACUAAUAGAAUGUGGUGGUGUUGCAAGUUUACUUAUAACAAAAGGUGGAUCUAAAGCAGAACUGGAUGGCAGUUCCUUACCUCCCCUCGUCUUUGAGGGAAAUAUCAGCAUCCUUCAGAUUCUUCAUAGUGAUAAUAUGAUAAUAAUCCCAAGUGUCUCGACAAAUAUUGCUAUGCUCCCCGGCAAUGCCGCCAGAAAAGGUCUUGAUAACCCACAAGUAUAGGGAUCGCAACAAUUUUCGAGGGUAGAGUAUUCAACCCAAAUUUAUAGAUUCGAUACAAGGGGAGCCAAUGAAUAUUUGAAGGUAUUAGGAGCUGAGUUAUCAAUUCAACCACACCUAGAGAUUAACUAUCUGCAACAAAGUGAUCAGUAGCAAAGUAGUAUGAUAGUUUUGAUAAUAGUAGCAGUAGUAACGAUAACGGUAACAGUGAUAGCAAUAAUUUGGUAGCAAGUGUAACAGUGAUGAUAGCAGUAGUAACUUAGCAAGAACAAUAUAGGAAUAAUUCGUAGGCAUUGGAUCAGUGACUUGUUGGAUGAUAUUCAUCAUGAGACAGUUAUAACCUAGGACGAUACGGCACUAGCUCCAUUUCAUCGAUAUAAUGUAGGCAUGUAUUCCGUAAAUAGUCAUAUGUGCUUAUGGAAAGAACUUGCAUGGCAUCUUUUGUCCUACCCUCCCAUGGAAGCGGGCACCAUACUGGAAACUAAGGGAUAUUGAGGCUUUGUUUUAAUAGAGAACCGGAACAAAGCAUUAACACAUAGUGAAUACAUGAACUCUUCAAACCACGGUCAUCACCGGAUGUGGGCCCAGCUAUUGUCACUCCGGGGUUGCCGAAUCAUAACACGUAGUAGGUGACUAUAGCUUGCAAGAUCGGAUCUAGAACAUGGAUAUAAUGGUGAUAACAUAAAUGGUUCACAUCUGAAAUCAUGGCACCCGGGCCAAAAGUGACAAGCAUUAAGCAUGGCAAAGUCAUAACAACAUCAAUCUAAGAACAUAAUGGAUACUAGGGAUCAGCCCGAACAAAACUAGCUCGAUUACAUGAUGAAUCUCAUCCAACUCCUCACCGACCAGCGAUCCUACGAAGGAAUUACUCACUCACAGUGGGGAGCAUCAUGGAAUUGGCGAUGGAGAAGGGUUGGUGAUGACGAAGAAUGAAGACCCCCCUCUCCGGAGCCCCAGACGGACUCCAGAUCUGCCCUCUAGAGGAAGAACAAGGCUUGGCGGUGGCUCCGUCUCGUGGAUCAUGAUAAUUCUUUCUCCCUGAUUUUUUCUAGAAAAAUAGUAUUUUAUAGCGUUGGUUUCAGGGUCUGCGAGGCCACGAGGUGGGGACAACUCACCUGGGCGCGCCUGGUGAGGGGGGCGCGCCCUGGUGGGUUGUGCCCACCCAGGUGCCCCCCCCAUCGGUAGGUCUUGGCUCCAGAAAUUCUUAUAUAUUAUUUAAAAAUUCCCUGCAAAAUUCGUUCCAUUUCGAGAACUUCUAUUUCUGCACAAAAAAUUACAUCAUGGUAGUUCUGCUAAAAUAGCGUCAGUCCGGGGUUAGCUUCAUUCAAAUCAUGCAAAUUAGAGUACAAAACAAGAGGAAAAGCGUUUGGAAAAGUAGAUACGUUGGAGACAUACCACGGCAUCAUCACGGUGGUCAGAGACAUGAAGGACGCGGUCUGGGCCCUCAAGCUCGCCUACAGGGCUAUGGCCCCCUGAUGCCAUGGAGACUCAGGAGGCCGCGCUCGCAAAGAAAAAGCAGUUGUUCUCUCAGGACGGAGCCAAGACAAAGCAGGUGCCUGUCGAUAGCGAGGACUCAGGCCCCACCUUCACCAUAGGUGCCAACCUCCCCCCAGCCUAGGAGGAGGCAUUGGUUGGCUUCCAGAGGGCCAACAAAGACGUACUUGCAUGGGAAGCGUCCGACUUGGUUGGUAUCCCGAGGGAGGUGAUCGAGCACCACUUGAUGGUAUGCCCCGGUGCGUGACCGAUGAAGCAAAAGGCGCGGUGUCGGGCACAAGAGAAGCAAGCAUUCAUCAUCCAAGAGAUCCACAAGCUGCAAGAGGCUAGUGUCAUUUGGGAAGUGCGGCACCCGGAUUUGUUAGCGAACCCAGUGAUCGUCCCCAAGAAAGGAGGAAGGAGCGCAUGUGCGUCGACUUCACGAGCCUCAACAAAGCUUCCCCUAAGGACCCUUUCCUGCUCCCGUGCAUUGACCAGAUCAUGGAUUCCACUACCGAGUGCGAUCUGCUAUGCUUUUUGGAUGCUUUCUCCGGAUAUCAUCAAAUCAAGAUGGUGGUGGAGGACGUCGAGAGAACAACCUUCAUCUCCCCAUGCAGCAUGUAUUGCUUCACCUGCAUGCCCUUCGGGUUGCGAAAUGUUGGUGCAACCUUCCAGCGGCUGAUGCACAUCGCGCUUGGGCCACAGCAGGAGAGAAAUAUGGAGGCAUACAUCAACGACAUCGUGGUCAAGACACGGGAGGCAAGUGAUAUGUCACCAACGUAUCUAUAUUUUGUGAUUGUUCCAUGCUAUUAUAUUAUUCAUCUUGGAUGUUUUAUAAGCAUUGAGAUCCUAUUUUAUAUUAUUUUUUGGACUAACCUAUUAACCUAGAGACUAGUGCCAGUUUCUAUUUUUUUUCCUUGUUUUUCAGUUUUGCAGAAAAGGAAUAUCAAUCAGAGUCUAAAUGAGCUGAAAAUUUAUGGUGAUUUUUUAUGGACCAGAAGAAGCCCCCGAAGCACAAGAGUCGGUCCAGAAGUGUCCCGAGUCAACCACAAGGGUGGAAGGCGCGCCCCUACCUUGUGACUGCCUUGUGGACCCCCCUGACGUGAAACCGACGGCAAAAAUUCCUAUAAAUCCAUAAACCUCCAGAAAUAAACUUAGAUCAGGAGUUCCGCCGCCGCAAGCCUCUAUUGCCACGAAAAACCAAUCGGGAGCCGUUUCCGGCACCCUGCCGGAGGGGGAAACCAUCACCGGAGGACAUCUUCAUCAUCCCGGCGCUCUCCAUGACGACGAGGGAGUAGUUCACCCUCGGCGCUAAGGGUAUAUAAGUACCAGUAGCUAUGUUUUGAUCUCUCUCUCGUGUUCUUGAUUUGGCACGAUCUUGAUGUACCACGAGCUUUGUUACUAUAGUUGAAUCAUAUGGUGUUUCUCCCCCUCUACCUUCUUGUGAUUAAUUGAGUUUUACCUUUGAGGUUUCAAUAUUAUCGGAAUGAAUACUAUUUUGGAUUUCAGAACACUUGAUGUAUGUCUUGCGUGGGAUACUCAUGGUGACAAUGGGGUGUUCUAUUGAUUCACUUGAUGUAUCUUUUGGCACUGAAUUCGCGGAUUCCCGAGGUGACAUUGGGGUAAUCUAUGCAUAGGGGUUGAUGCACAUUUUCGUCCUUGUUUCUCCAGUAGGAAUCUUGGCGCACUCUGCGAGGUUCUUUGUGUUGGAUUGAAUAUUAUUAAACUGAAGUUGUUUGAUGCAUAUUGUAUAGUUGACCCACGAAUACUUGUGGUGACACUGGAGUAUCUAGGUGACAUUAGGGUUUAUUGAUGUGUGUCAUAUGGUGUUAUUUUACUACAAACUCUAGGGCUGUUUGUGACACUUAUAGGAAUGGCCCAAUGGAUUGAUCAGAAAUAAUAACUUUGAGGUGGUUUCGUACCCUACAAGAAAUUUCAUCUUAUGUUCUCCACGAUAGGAACUUUGGAGUGACUUUUGUCACACGUUGAGAGUUUACCUUAUGAUUUAAUUACGUUAUCAUUGUUGAGAGAACAUGCACUAGUGAACGUAUGAACCCUAGGCCUUGUUUCCAAGCAUUGCAAUACAGUUUUGCUCACUUUUGUUACUAGUUACCUUGCUGUUUUAUAUUGUCAGAUUACAUAACCUAUAUCUACCAUCCAUAUUACACUUGUAUCACCGUCUCUUUGCCGAACUGGUGCACCUAUACAAUUUACCAUUGUAUUGGGUGUGUUGGGACACAAGAGACUCUUUGUUACUUGGUUGCAGGGUUGUUUGAGAGAGACCAUCUUCAUCCUAUGCCUCCCAUAGAUUGAUAAACCCUAGGUCAUCCACUUUAGGGAAAAUUGCUACUGUCCUACAAAACUCUACUCUUGGAGUCCCAACAGGAGUCUACAACAAGAAGGUUGCGUAGUAGACAUCAACCUCUUUUUCUAGCGCCGUUGCCGGGGUGGUUAGUGCUUGAAGGUAUAUCUUUAGAUCUUGCAAUUGAAUCUGUUAGUUUCUUGUUUUAUCACUAGUUUAGUCCAUAAAAGAAAACUACAAAAAAAUGGAAUUGAGGUUGCCUCAUAUGCUUCAUCUUUUUAAUGAAUAUCGUGAAAAUGAUGGAAAGGAAAAUUGUGCUCAAGUGUUAGAAGAAGUCUAUAGAAUGUUUGGCACUAAAUUUUUGAAUGAUGAGCAUGAUUGCUAUGUUGUUAGUAUGAAUUCUUUGAAUAUCCAUGAUGCUAAUGAUAUGCAAAGCCAAAAUCUUGCGGAUGCUAUGUUUGAUGAAGAUGAUAUUUUUUGUCCCCCAAGUUUUGAUGAGAAAAUUUAUUGUUAUGAUAGCAUGCCUUCUAUUUAUGAUGAUUAUAUUGAUGAAAGUGGGUUUGGAAGAGUGUCAACUCUAGGUAAUAAUGAUCCCACUAUUUUGGAGGGUGUUGAAUCUUUUCACAAUAUUGAUGAAAGUGGAUUUGGAGAGGUCAUGACUUUAUUUUGUGAUGAAUACAUUAUUUAGGAAGAGGUUCCAAUUGAUUAUGAGAACAAAGUUGCUAUAUAUGAUGAUUAUUGUGAUGGCAUAUAUGCUAUAAAGAAACUUGUCAUCAAGUUUUAAGUUUUGAUUGGAUUAUGCCUCACAUGAUAGUUAUGUUGUUGAGUUUGCUCCCACUAUCCCGAAUGAGAAGAAUUUUCCCUAUGUGGAGAGUAGUGAAAUUUCUAUGCUUGUGCAUCAUGAAAAUAAUGUUUUAUGUGAUGGUUAUAUUUUUGAAUUAAUUCAUGAUGCUACUAUAAAUUAUUAUGAGGGAGGAAUAUAUGCUUGUAUGAGUUGCAAUAAUAUCAAGUUUCCUCUUAAUGUGUUUAAAGUUUUGAAGUCAUGCUUGUUCUGCCUUCCUAUGCUAGUUGAUUCUUGUUCCCAUAAAUUGUUGGAUAACAAAUUCCCUAUGCACAGUAAGUGGGUUAGACUUAAAUGAGCUAGUCAUAUGCUUCAUGAUGCUCCCAUUAUGUUUCAACUCUUAUUCUUUAAGUGAGCAUCAUUGACAUCAUCAUGCCUAGCUAAAAAGGCAUUUAAGUAAAGAGCUUGUUGGGAGACAACCCAUUGUUUACCAUUACUAUUUUUGUGUGUUCACAUGAUUAUGCUACUGUACCAAUUAUGUUUUAUAGCUUUUGUUUCAAUAAAGUGCCAAGUAAGACCUUUGGGAUGGUCUAUGGUGAUAGUUUAUUUGAUCUUGCUAAAAAACAGAAACUUUUGCGUCAAGUAAAACAAUUUUGAAAAAUCACAGAAGCAUGCUUUUGAUCUGAAUUUUGUACACAAGAUUGAUAUACAAAUUUCCCUGGUUUUCCUAAUUUUUCAGAAGUUUUGUAGUUACAGAAGUAUGGAAAGUUUCCAGAUUACUAUAGACUGUUUUGUUUUUGACAAAUUCUGUUUUCUAUGUGUUGUUCGCUUAUUUUGAUGAAACUAUGAGUAGUAUCGGAGGGUAUCAACCAUGGAGAAGUUGGAAUACAAUAGAUAUUACACCAAUUUAAAUAAAGAAUGUGUCACAACAGUACCAUAAGUGGUGAUUUAUUUUCUUACUAACGGAUCUCAUGAGAUUUUCUGUUGAGUUUUGUUUGUGAAGUUUUCAAGUAUUAGGUAAGGAUUUGAUGGACUAUGGAAUAAGGAGUGGCAAGAGCCUAACCUUGGGGAUGCCCAAGGUUCCCCAAGGUAAUAUUCAAGGACAACCAAGAGCCUAAGCUUGGGGAUGGCCCAGAAGGCAUCCCCUCUUUCGUCUUCGUCUAUCGGUAAAUUUGCUUGAGGCUAUAUUUUUAUUCACCACAUGAUAUGUGUUUUGCUUGGAGAAUCUUGUAUGAUAUGAGUCUUUGCUUUUUAGUUUGCCACAAUCAUCCCUGCUAUACACACCUUUUGAGAGGGACACACAUGAAUCGUAAUUUAUUAGAAUACUCUAUGUGCUUCACUUAUAUCUUUUAAGAUAGGCAAUUUUGCUCUACUGCUUCACAUAUAUAUUUUUAGAGCACGACAGUGGUUUUAUUUCAUAUAAAUUGUUUAACUAUCAUGCUUCACUUAUAUUAUUUUGUGAGUCUUUUUCAAUAGCAUGGUAUUUGAUUUGGUUAUGAAUUUAGUCCUAAAAUGAUAGACAUCCAAGAGGGAUAUAACAAAAACUUACAUAUAAAGUGCAUCGAAUACUGUGAAAAAAUUGAUUCCUUAUGAUUGUUUUGAGAUAUGAGGAUGGUGAUAUUAGAUUCAUGCCAGUGAGUAAUUGUGGAUUGUAGAAAUACUUGCGUUAAAGUUUAUGUUUCUCAUACCAUGCACAUAUGGUGAACCGUUAUGUGAUGAAGUCGGAGCAUGAAUUAUUUAUUGAUUGUCUUCCUUAUGAGUGGCAGUCGGGGGCGAGCGAUCGUCUUUUCCUACCAAUAUAUCCCCCUAGGAGCACGCACGUACUACUUUGUUUCGAUGACUAAUAUAUUUUUGGAAUAAGUAUGUGAGUUCUUUAUGACUAAUGUUGAGUCCAAGGAUUAUACGCACUCUCACCCUUACACCAUUGCUAGCCUCUCUAGUACCGCGCAACUUUCGCCGGUGCCAUACACCCACCUAUUACCUUCCUCAAAACAGCCACCAUACCUAUGUAUUAUGGCAUUUCCAUAGCCAUUCCGAGAUAUAUUUCCAUGCAACUUCCACCAUUCCGUUUAUUAUGACAUGUUUCAUCAUUGUCAUAUUGCUUUGCAUGAUCAUGUAGUGGACAUCGUAUUUGUGGCAAAGCCACCUUUCAUCAUUUAUACGUGUCACUCUUGAUUCACUGCACAUCACGGUAUACCGCCGGAGGCAUUCAUAUAGAGUCAUAUUUUGUUCUAAGUAUUGAGUUGUAAUUUUUUGAGUUGUAAGUAAAUAAAAGUGUGAUGAUCAUUAUUAUUAGGGCAUUUUCCCAUGUGAGGAAAGGAUGAUGGAGACUAUGAUUCCCCCACAAGUCGGGAUGAGCCUCCGGACGAAAAAAGAGAGAAAAAAGAGGACAAAGAAGCCCACAUAAAAAAUGAGAGAAAAGAGAGAAGGGGCAAUGUUACUACACUUUUUCCACACUUGUGCUUCAAAGUAGCACCAUGAUCUUCAUGAUAGGGAGUCUCCUAUGUCGUCACUUUCAUAUACUAGUGGGAAUUUUUCAUUAUAAAAUUUUGCUUGUAUAUUCCAAUGAUGGGCUUCCUCAAAUUGCUCUAGGUCUUUGUGAGCAAGCAAGUUGGAUGCACACCCACUUAGUUUCUUUUUGAGCUUUCAUAGACUCAUAGCUCUAGUGCAUCUGUUGCAUGGCAAUUCCUACUCACUCACAUUGAUAUCUAUUGAUGUGCAUUUCCAUGGCCCAUUGAUACACAUAGUUGAUGUGAGACUAUCUCCUUCUUUUUGUCUUCUCCACAACCACAAUGUUAUAUUCCACCUAUUCUGCAAUGUCCAUGGCUCAAGCUCAUGUAUUGCAUGAAAGUUGAAAAGGUUUGAGAACAUUAAAAGUAUGAAAAUGGAGCAUAGCCAGACUAUAUGAUUUUUUAGGGAUAACUUUCUUUGGCCAUGUUAUUUUGAGAAGACAUGAUUGCCUUAUUAGUAUGCUUGAAGUAUUAUUGUUUUGUUCAAUAUUAAAAUUCUUUUUGAAUCUUAUGGAUCUAAAUAUUCAUGCCACAAUAAAGAAAAUUACAUGGAUAAAUAUGUAGGUAGCAUUUAGCAUCAAAACUUCUGUUUUUUUAUCAUUUACCUACUCGAGGACGAGCAGGAAUUAAGCUUGGGGAUGCUUCAUAUGUCUCCAAUGUAUAUAUAAUUUUUGUUUGUUUCAUGCUAUUAUAUUAUUCAUCUUGGAUGUUUUAUAUGCUAUUUUAUAUUAUUUUUUAGACUAACCUAUUAACCUAGAGCCCAGUGCCAAUUUUAGUUUUUUUCCUUGUUCUUGAGUUUUGCAGAAAAGGAAUAUCAAACGGAGUCCAAAUGAGAUGAAAUUUUACUGUGAUUUUUAAUUGACCUGAAGAAGCCCCCGAAGCACAAGAGUUGGGCUAGAAGAGUCCCAAGUCAACGACAAGGGUGCACUACAAGAAAAAGACACAUCCAUGACAUUUUGGGCCGAACGAUUUUUUUUUCUGUCAUACAUAUGACACUUCUAUGACGAUAAUUGUGACAAAACCAGGUAUCAUCAUAGAAGUGGUGGGCUCCUACUUCUAUGACAAAAAAUCAUGACAGAAAAUGGGCUUUUUGUCUUGGGUGGGCCGGAGAUGCAGCUGCAUGACAUUCUUUGGGCCGUCCAUCACGGAAAAAACCGUGGUAGAAGCGAGGGGGAGGAAAAUUUCGGGGAGUUCCCGGUUACGGUGGGAGGUUGGGGGCUGAGCGAUGCGCAUUUCUCUCAUACACAUAUGCGCGUGUGUGCGAGGCGUUGACUCUAACUGAACCCGAGCAAGGCGUUGGGCUCUAACUGAACCCAAGCGAUUGCACUGCAGGCUACGCGUUACUGAAGCCGAGCGAUCGAUCGAUGGCUGUUAACUGAACCCGAUCGAGAGAUUCCUUCGCUACUGCUGCUAACUGAAGCCGAUCGAUGCUGCCUCUGGAUGANNNNNNNNNNNNNNNNNNNNNNNNNNNNNNNNNNNNNNNNNNNNNNNNNNNNNNNNNNNNNNNNNNNNNNNNNNNNNNNNNNNNNNNNNNNNNNNNNNNNNNNNNNNNNNNNNNNNNNNNNNNNNNNNNNNNNNNNNNNNNNNNNNNNNNNNNNNNNNNNNNNNNNNNNNNNNNNNNNNNNNNNNNNNNNNNNNNNNNNNNNNNNNNNNNNNNNNNNNNNNNNNNNNNNNNNNNNNNNNNNNNNNNNNNNNNNNNNNNNNNNNNNNNNNNNNNNNNNNNNNNNNNNNNNNNNNNNNNNNNNNNNNNNNNNNNNNNNNNNNNNNNNNNNNNNNNNNNNNNNNNNNNNNNNNNNNNNNNNNNNNNNNNNNNNNNNNNNNNNNNGUGGGGGUGGAUGAACAGGACCCCGUGGUGUUGCCUCUGGAUGAACAGGACCCCGAUCGAUCGAGCCUGUUGGGGCUGGAUGAAUAGGACCCCAUGGAGGGCUGGAUGAACAGGACGACCCCGUGGAGGGCAGGAUGAACAGUAGCCCGUGGAGGGGUGGUUGAACGGGAGCCCGUGGAGAGGGCUGGUUGAAUAGUAGCCGGUGGAGUAGCGCGCGGUGGAGGCUAGAUGAAUAGGAGCCCGUGGAUGAACAGUCGCAGGUGGAAGCUGGAGGAGGUCGACGGUGGAUGAACAGUAGCUCGUGGAGGCUGGAGGGGGUCGAUGGUGGAGAUGAACAGUAUCCCGUGGAGUCCCGUUUUGUGGUACGCCACACCCCUCCCGAUGAACAGGACCCCCGUUUCGACCGUAGCGCUCCAACACAAGUCCGUUUCAUCCGUUUUGCGGUACGCCACACCCCUCCCGAUCAACAGGACCCCCGUUUCGACCGUAGGAGGUCCGUUUCCUCCGUUUUGCGGUACGCCAGACCCCUCCCGAUGAACAGGAUCCCGUUUCGAACGUGUUCGGUCGAACACAAGGCCGUUUCCUCCGUUCUACGGUACGCCAGGCCUCGUUUCCAUCGCCUGUUCCGUCCAAGCCCUCCCGAUGAACACGACGCAUUCUGUUGCCUCCCCAUGAACACGAUGACGACGCUAUUUCUCCAUUCCGACCCAGCCAUGUACACGAGCCCUGGCCGUACGUAUGCGCGAGUAGGCGUUCAAGACCUCGCCCGUAUGUACACAUACGUGGCCGUAUUUUCUUUCUUGCACCCUGGCCGCCUCUACUAUGACACGUGCGCGCCUCUACAUCGACUAGUAUAUAUGUACGUACAUGUUCGCGACCAGAAUGACAACGCUACGUACGCUUUGACCAGGUGGGUCCCGACUGUCAGGCACUUCGUUGUGUGCGAAGAUGUAGUUGGUGGGUCCCAGCAGUCAGGGGGGCGAAAUACGAUGGGCCGUCCGGUGGGUCCCACUGUCAGGUGGAGGAAUAAUUAUUUUGCACGUAAUAAGGGGGCAAUUCCUUGCUGCGGCCGUGGACCCAGCUGUCAGCCUCUCCACGUACAGUCCACGUCCGAUGGAAGUCGUUCCUUGACCACGUUGACCACGCCGCGCCGAGAGCACCAGGGCGGUGGACGAUGGCGAGGCCUAGGAAGGGGACGACGCGGAGCCGGGGACGAUGCGGCAGUGGAUGCCCACGCGUAGAGUAUGAGGGUUCACUGGUUCGCUGCGGUGUGAGGCUGCCGUCGCCGCAGAAUAACAGGGGGUGUGGGUGAGUAGAGGGAUGGCCUGGCUAGCGGUGGGAGUAGUAGGGGGUGGUGAGGCCUCCGCCGCAUUGCAGCCGACCACGGGAGGCAGGAGCACGAGGCACGACCGGCGCUGGUUUGGGCGGCUAGAGCAAGAAGACCAGAGGUUGAAGAAGCACUACGGUCGUUGGAUGGACAUCGUACGGUCACUGGAGCUAGAAUCGUGCAUAUUGACUAAGUUGACAAAGCCCUCCGUCCCCGUCAACUUAGUAGGCCCACAAGUCAGCCUCCCACCAAGGUGGGUCCCAGCUAGCAGGGGGUAUUCAUUUUUUUGAGCGUAAUAAGGAGGCACUUCCUUGCGUGCAAAGAUAUAGCUGGUGGGUCCGAGCUGACAGCGGCGGUAACGUUUUUUCGCGAAAUACAGAGGCCCUUUCGGUGGGUCCCCGAUGUCAGGUGGAGGAAUCAUUAUUUUGCGCGUAAUAAGGAGGAAUGUCCUUACGUGCGACCGUGGACCUAGUUGUCGGCCUCUCCACGUAAAGUCCACUUCAGAUGCAUGUCGGUCGUCGACCACGUUGACCAGGCCGCGCCGAGAGCACCAGGACGAUGGACGACGGCGAGGCCUAGGAAGGGAACAACACGGAGGCAGGGAAGACUCGGCAGUUGUUUCCCACACAGAGGGGAGUACGACUGUACGAGGGUUUACUGGUAAGUCUGCCGUCGCUGGAUAAUAACAGCAGGUGUGGGUGAGUAGAGGGAUGGCUAGGCCAGCGAUGGGAGUACGGUGGGGCGGUGAGGCCUGCGCGGCAGCAGAGCCGGCCGCGGGGAGGAGAGAGCAGGCAGUCCCGCCGGCGUCUGUUUGAGCGGCUGGAGCAGGAAGAGCAGAGAUUGAAGAAGCACGACGACCGUUGGAUGGCCAUCCAACAGUCACUACUUGUGCAUCAACCUUUUUUUUAGGAAAGCCUCAAAUAUGUGGAAAACAACAUACAACCCAUCUGCCAUUAUUUCUAAUAUUUUACAACCCAUUUGCUAAUUAUUAAGGUUUUUUUGGAGCCCAUAUUCUUUUUGUUAGCAUUACAACCCAUAUUGUGGCCACGGUUAAAAAAUUAUACGAAAUUUUGCAUAUUUCGGUGCGGUCCGAACUGUUUUUAAUCCCGAAAUUUCGACUCACAUUCAAACUGAUUUUAAAAAUAAAUGUAUAUCAAUAUAAAAUCCAACAAAUUCUCCACGCAUAAAAUUAAUGUAAUUUCAAAUCUCGAAAUGAAGAAAAGAUAUUUGAAUCUAAUUGCCGGUUUGAUGUGUUUUAAAAAUGUACAACCCAUUUCUCAUUACUGAUGGGCCAUUUUCUCCGCCAACCAAAUGAAAGCUCUCCUCGUCUUGAAAGAUUUGCAUCCCAACAGGCCUGACAAAGCGACUUACUUGGCAAAUCACAAAAAAACUGGGCUGUGGCCGUGGACCAAGCUGUCAGCCUCUCCACGUACAGUACUCUUCCAAUGGAAUGUCGUUGACCACGUUGACCAUGACGCGCCGAGAGCACCAAGGCGGUGGACGACGGCGAGGCCUAGGAAGGGGACGACGCGGAUCCGGGGAAGACGCGGCAGUGGAUGCCCAUGCGGAGAGGAGUACGAGGGUUCACUGGUUCGGCUGCGGUGUGAGGCUGCCGUCGCCGCAGGUCCUGGCUAGUGGUGGGAGUAGUAGGGGGCGAUGAGGCCUCAUCGGCAGCACAGCCGGCCACUGGAGGCAGGAGCCGGCGGUCUCCUCGGUGCUGGUUUGGGCGGCUGGUGCAAGAAGAGCAGCGAUUGAAGAAGCAGCAAGACCGUUCGAUUCAAAUCCAAUGGUUACUGCUGCUAGAAUCGUUUGUUGACUAAGUUGACAAGCCCUGCGUACGCGUCAACUUAGUAAGCCCACAGGUCAGCCUUCGAACCGGUGCACCCCAGAUGUCAGUGGGAGGAAUCAUUUUUUUCACGUAAUAAGGAGGCAGUUGAUUACGUGCGGCCAGGCCAGCGGAGGGAGUAGGGUGGGCCAGGGAAGCCUGCGCGUCAUCACAGCAGGCCACAAGAGGAGGGAGCAGGCAGUCCCGCCGGCGCUAGUUUAGGCGGCUGGAGCAGGAAGAUCAGAGAUUGAAGAAGCACGUCGGCCGUUGGUUGGACAUCCAACACUAACUACUGCUAGAAUCGUGUGUUCACUGACAAAGCCUUGCGUAAACAAGUCAGCCUCGAAAUCUGUGGCGUGUACAGCCCAUUGCUAUUAUUUUUAUAACUUUUACUCAUUUUCUAAUUCAUAUGGAAUUUAUUGCAGCCCGUUUUCCAUUUUUAGAAUUGCUGGCCAUUUUCUGGUCAGUACCAAGGUCAAAAAAUUAAUUAAAUAUGUGGGAAAUUUUGAAAAUUCGCAAAUUUUUGCUGGGGAACGAAAUAUUCUUAAUCCAAAAAUUAAUAGCCAUACUAAAACAAAUUUAAAAAUAAAUUACUACUAUGUCAUGUUAAAUCCAAUGAAAUAGGUAUAAGAUAUGAGUGAAGAACAAAAACAAAAGAAAGAAACUUAUAUCCCAUUUGCUAUAAUUUUUUUUGGAAUUUUCAACCCCUUUUGAUAUUACUUUUAACAGACAUUGACCAUACUCUUAGGCCAGGCCAGAAUGCAUCCCUCCUCGUCUUGAAAGAUUUGCAGCCUGGUAAUUUGGAGAAAACAAAUAGGCCUAGCUUGGGUAUUCUUCAAAAAGAAAUACUGGGCUACCUAUUUUCCCAAAGAACUGGUGCAUGAGCAUUUAGCUUUCUUUAUUUAUUUAUUUACUUAUUUAUGUUUAGGGGACCAUGAGCAUGUACCUGGGCCGGAUUCAUGUGAGAGCCUCCCUUCCAGUUAAUUAUGGGCUUCUCUAUUGGGCCUUCAUCAGUGGGCUGCAUGUUAUCAACAAGUGGAAAAUGUGUUCCGAGUUUCAAAAAAAAUGUGUUCCGUGCGAUAAAUAGUAUGCGCUACAUAUGGUACGGGGCACUAAAGCAUCGAACCGUGCAACGAUUUCCAAAACAUUGUGUUUGUCGUUCUAACAACACAUUUAUUCAACCAACAGACGAAAUAUACUAUUGAUUGUACAUUGAAAAUAGCAGCAGCAGCAACCAGGGCUGGGGGUGCAACAGAAGCAGUAAGCAGGCCAGAAGAGUGAAGACACAGCUCUCUCUUCCAAACCAAACAUCAGCCAUCAUUACAAAAGGGCUACCAAAAAAUAACAAGUGUAUGGAUCAAACUAAAUAAAGAUCCUACUACACCAAGUGUACACAUCUAACUAACUGGCUCAGUUAGAUGUUACUAAUUUUUUUUUGAAACGGAGGCAAAAGAAUUGCCUCGUCGAUUAAUUAAGAGGAAGAGAAUUUCCUGGUUAAUCUACGGAGAAACGGGCUAAAACCGAAGAUGUUACUAUUUAUUAAGCUGCAGUGGAGUCGCAGAUGGAGAGGAGUGGGAAACUUCACUGGUUCGGGUGCGCGGCAGCACAGCCGCGGUGGUUAGAAGGGAAAACAUAAAUUGGACACGGCAUUACUUUUAUAAGAGACCUACGUUUUAUACCCCUCAGUAGGCAUACUAACAAGUUCACACACAAAUACAACAGAAAAGGUAAACAUUCAUAUCAAACUCUGGUUCACAGGACACGUUCAUAUCCAUAGCCAACAUUCACAAUCAACAACUCAAAAGAUUCAUAUAUACACAAGCUCAACAUAUCUAUGCAUCCAAAUGAUUGAUAGAUCACACGACAUUAUUCAUACAUAAUUUACAAAAAGAUUCAGAUAUACGAAUGUUCAGUAUGUGUAUGCAUCCAAAUGAUUGAGAUCACAGCCAAUAUGAUCCAUGGAUGAACUUUAAUUACCUAGGGUACAAACUGGUAAAUGGUGUUCAAUCGGAGGUACUUCUUGCUAAAAUUAGUUCUUGUACGAGUAAACUUUCGAGUAAAUAAGAGGCAGCACAAACAAUCUGAACUUUGCUUGUAGGUUUAUCCUCAAAUAGUGGCCUCGUGCCCAGGGAGGUUUGAGCAACUUGGCCACUACUUUCAGCCAACCAGUUUACUGGGUCAUCUUGGUCCUGUAUCUUGCCAAAAUUCUACAUUGAAGACGAGAAAGGAGGCGGUUGAGAAAAUGAACCACCCAAAUUUUUUGUGCAGUUCAACUGAAAUGGAACAUCCUUGGCGUGCAGACUAAUUAAGUGCCAGAUGAAUAUACGCGUCAACCAACUUGUCUAGAAUCUUUAGAAUCCAUGCCAUAUAGUUCGCUACCAUAUGUGCCGAUAACCAAAAGGCACAAGUUGGGACCAAAGACUGGACUACGUUUUUCUGGGCUAUGCACCAAGCAAUAUUUUUGACGUUCACUCUCCUAACACUUGGAGUUUGACAAUUGGUUGACGCCGGUUGAUACUCGAAUGAAUAUAGGAACUUCUUGUCAACAUCGAUGCUUGUCUGAGUGAACUUUGGAGUACAUAGCAGCAACAUAAGUACCUGUCCAUCUGAUCAUUUUGUGCAGUUCUACUGAAAUCACCCGAUGUAAUGAUUUGGUUGUGAGUUCAGGCUCCAAAUAACUCCUUUAUGAAAUCGGCAAACAGUAGAACAAUACCAAAUUACCAAUACAUAUGAUAGGCACAAUAAUCAGGAUAAAGACCAGUACCAACAUGUGUGAGGUAGCAUAUCAAUUACUAUUUCCUUUGACUAGAAGCCGAGAUAAGCCAAGCGACUGACAGCAAAGGAAGAAAGCAUGCGGAGUUUAGCAACUGACAGGAAAGGACGAAAGCUGUCGAGGCAAUGAAACACCCAAAGUUUUUGUGCAGUUCCACCAAAAUCGAGCAUCCCUAUUGGCACAUAUAUUGAGAGAGUGAGAUUACUAUAAUAGUGGUACUAGUUUAUGAAACAUACACUGACAAAUAGAAACACCCUCAUUAUCUUAAUGGGUAAAGUUAGCAACAUAGUAGUCUUUCUUAAAGAGAGGUAUUAGUUUAUUUAAUCAGUGCGAAUUAGCUCAACUCAGCACUCAAAGCAUUGCCAUUUAUCAUAGGUUGCAAAACUUUAACGUGCAAAGAUAAAGGAGUUUCUCAUGACAGUAGCAUGAUACAAAUAUAGAUGACAGCAAACUAAUAUGGAUGAAGGCCUUAGGCCUGUACCAACCUGAGAAAAAAGCUUAUUCAUGUAGUCCCAUAAGAGAUGAUAAAGCACUCACUGGAAUCACACAAUAGUAUAUAUUUUGUGCACUUCAAAUGUAUGGUUGAAAUCACUCUUGUUUACCAGCGCUGAGAUUAUAUCGAAAUAUUAUCAAGAACUUCCAACAGAGUUAAAGCACUGGCUGGGAUACAGUUCAUUGUAUUGUCUUGUGUAGUUCCAUUUAAUGUAUGAUUGGCACAACAUGAUCCCUGUUUGCACAAGUAGGAACAAGGUGAAACCUUCAUUAUCUUAGUGAGAAUGGAUAGGAAUACAUUAGCAUAUUACUCAACUAGUAGCAUCAAAUUCAUGAUGGACAAUACGCAAAUCAUUGCCUCAUUGAACCAAUGGCAAUAAAUUGACAUGCAAAACAAUAGAACUAUUAUGUCAUGACACUAAUAAUAUUCCCUCCCUGCUCCACCACCUGAUUCACCUCCAUAGACAAACAUACACACGCACAUGAUUCAGCAUAGGGUCCUACUAAAGAUUUAUUUAACUCCAACAGGAAAAUUAGGCAGUAAUAAAUUAGUGGUACUUAAGUACUCCUAAUUAAUUAAGUGAGACAGUAGAAGUGGAAGGGCUCCCUAGAGGGUCGUCUCACAUGUAAGGUAGUCGUUGCCGGAGCCCUUGAAUGGCCUCGACUGAGGCCUCUGGCUUCAGCAAGAUCGCGUUGGCACUGUUUAUUCUUCUUCUUCUUUCUCUUCAUGCUCUGUUUCUCUUUCUCCUCACUAGUUGGUGAAACCAAGUACAUGGUUGGCCUUCUAAUUCAGAAUUGGUUUUGUCAGUGAGGGAGUACAAGUGUACUAGUAAAAACAGCAUUAUUUUCUCAUGGCAGUCGGAAAAUAGAGAUGAACACAUGCAUUAAAUAUCAUUCUUACCUAAAGGAAGAUUAUGGCACCAAUAUGGAUGAUGAGUAUUGGAACACAGAUCUCCCUUUGUGCAGUUCCACCAAAAUGAACCAACUGUUCCAUUCUGACAUUCCAGUUAAACAACACAAAAGUCACUUCUUUUAAGAAGAGUUUUGUGCAGUGCACCAAAAGGUCACAACAGCAACCAGGAGAAUUGGAUAUCCCUGUUUGCACAAAAAGGCACAGAGGAAACAGUCAGAGUCUCAAACAAUUACAGGCAAAAACAUUUGGCUAAACUUGUCAUGGCUUAUAAUAGUGGGUGCACCAGCAGUCCAGCACCAUGUACGUAAACAGGGGCAUAAAGUGGUGAUUCAUAGUUUGUUGCCCCGAGAAACAAACAUCCAAGAAACAUAUCUGGGUUGGUCCCAUUUUUGUUCACUCUAGCCACCUACUCCUAUGUGUGGAUAGCAAAUCUAGUCCUGGUCAUACCACUAUGUACAACGUUACCCCUAUAUUUCCCUUUUUGACCAAGAGACCGGUUGGAUGACCAGUCUGUACUACUUUCACCCCCUUUCCUUCCUGUUUGUACCAACUCCGAUGUACAUACUAAAUUCCCCCACCCCCACUUUAUUUCUUGUUUGAACCAAGUAACCCCUCCGUCCGGAAUUACUUGUCAUCAAAAUGGAUGUGUCUAGAACUCAAAUAUAUCUAGAUACAUCCAUUUCAAUGACAAGUAUUUUCAAACGGAGGGAGUACAAGAUUCGACUCCAUGAAGUAGCUUUACCUCUAACAAUAGAAGGAAAAAAUAUGUGACGUUGGACCAUCCGAUCGAGAGGGGCUGAGAGGUAGAAAAUGAUGCACAUGCAGCGACGUAGAGAGCUAGGGAAGUAGAGCUAAGGCGGUUUGAACGAAGAUAUACCAGAUGGUCGUCGGGAUGUGGAUAGGUGGGCGGCGGGAGGCCGGAUCCGCCCACGGGCAACGACGAAGGGAUCGGAGGACCUCCCCCGCCGGCGCUCAGCCAUAGAUAAGGGUGCGGCCGACAGUGGGUCUCCUCCCUCGCUGUCGAUGAUGGCCUAAACGCUGCCCCUCCUCCCCUUCACCGGCGGAGGGGGAUACGUCCGGAUCUGUAACCAGCGGUGAGGAUAGAAAGCCAGUGUUUUUUGAAGGGAGAAAGACAGUGGUACUACCCCUAUCUUGUUUAAAUCUGGAGAGGAUGAGAGUGUGUGAAUAGAGCAACCCUAGCAAGCAAGCGCGUAGGCUCCGGCCUAUAUAUACGUAGUGAGCAACCCUAGCAAGCAAGCAACCCCUAUCUUCGUCAACUCAUACAAGACUGAGAAAUUUCAUUACUACAAUGCCCUCUCCCUCACGGACUGAGCUCCGGUGCCUUAACUACACCUGCCUUUGGCUGCAUGACAGGAGGGCCAACCACCUGUUGAGCCCACCUGUCAUGGACGCAAGGGCAGGAGGAGUAAGUUGAAGCUUUCUCUAUCCUUCCCGCACGAGGUGGACGGACAUGCAGCAGUGCAUCCGAUACUGUAGAAGUAGGAGUAAUCAUUAUUGUUCAUCUUCUCGAGGAGGCAAAGACCCAAGCGCAACCCGAAUGUUGCAGUUGCGAACGCUCGUGUGGUGCGGUUCCCUGGAGUACUAGCCAGGCUCUUGCAUGAGACAAAAUUGCUAUUGUUUAACAACUAAACUCCAUUAUCCAUUGGUUGAUACUCAUUCUGCAUAGGUCCAUGUUCUUAGCACCGUUUCCUCCUGGGGUCACCAAUGUUUAGUUGCUAAUUAAUAGCAUUGCAUGCAAUGAACUAGCCAUUGCAAGUCGUUAAAAGCAUGCACACCUCUCAUCUCUUAUUGGUUGAUAUGUCAAGAAACAAGAAACAAGGUAGAAGUUAAUGCACCGCGCCUAAGUGUUUUGGGACUAUUUGGUUUUGUAAGGCUGGUCAUAGUGGGGAGUAACUUAGACUAGUGUCAUGCAUAUGACACUAGACUAAAUUACUACCUUCAUAAUGCAAAGUACUCCCUCCUUUCCGGUUUAUAGGGCUUAUCUCAAAAUUUUAGUUUUUCCAUUUUAUAAGGCUCAAUUUGGUUGUUUCCCAUCACAUGUUCAGAUUCCAAGGUGCAUUAAAUCAUUGCAUGCAAGUAUUAAGAGAAAAUUGACCAAUGCAUGUAAUUUAUGCAUGCAUGCAUUGCAAUUAAUGCAUUGUUAAACAUACUUUUUUGAGGAAAACAAAAGCAUUAAUUGGGUGUUUUUGCAAACUACAAAAAGUAUUCCACCACUCACCAUCUACCUUGCUUGGUGAGAUUUUUGAAUUGAGCCUUAUAAACCGGAAAGGAGGGAGUAACAUAAUAGUAGUAUUUUAGAUGGCUACAUUUAUUAGCUUGUAGACUCAUCUUAUCUUGAAAAGCGUUAUGUUACCACCUCUCAUUAAUUACUUGCCACAUAAGCAAAAAAUUCUUGGAGUGCACUAUGUUACUAGCUAAGUUACUCCCACUAUGGCUAGCCUAAGAUGACUUACACACCUAGACGGAGGGAGUAGUAUAGCCCUGUAAACCGGAAAGGAGUAUUUGCCUUUCUAGAGAUUUCAACAAGUGAGUAGACUACACCGUGUGUAGUACUCCCUCCCUUCUGGUUCAUAGGGCUCAAAUCUCAUUAACCAAGGCAUUUUGCGAUUGGAGGAAUGUAUGUCGUACUUUACAAAACUACCCUAAUUAAACUCAUGCAUUAAUUACGUAGUUCUCUCGUUUUCCUCUCUGCCUUGGUCGCGGUGCACAAUAUUGAGCACUCCUAUAUGACUAGCCGCUCUAUCUACAUGCGGGACAUUUCAAAGCAUCCGGGCCCGCGUUCCAUCCACCAAAUCACAGCGAGGUGCUACAGUCGAGACUCACUUGUAACCCCGGUGUGGCCGUCAUGACCUGUCAUAUCACAAAACCCACACCUUUACCAGUAGUGGUAAGGUGGCCUCCAAGUUGGACUGGACGAAGCAACCAUCAUUUCACUGGAACGCUCGUUUAAGCCCUUUCUUCCCUUUCUUGAAGAAAACCUCACUCCAGGCUACUCACUUCUGCCAUUUUUAUUCUAUACCGACGAAGGAAAUGUGGGCGAAUCAGUUAUGCUGCUAUAUUUUCAUUCCAAGAAUCUUCUUUUUGCGAAGCACCGACCGAUUCUCACAUCCUAUUAUUUUCCCGUUUUCAUUGCGAUUGUGGUUUCCUUUUGAUUGCUUUUUGUUUGUCAGUUCAUUGAUGGAUCCUGGAGCACUAGGCAAAGAGUUGCCGGUGGACAACCCACUGGAGAUAACGAUCUCCAGGAAGCGAGCACCGACCAACGAGUUGACCAUGUUGGCGAGCCAACCCAUGGAGACGAAGAACUCCAAGAAACAAGCAUUUGCCAAAGAGUUGAGGACGUUGGCGGACGAACUGCUCAAAGGAAGUUGGAAGAACGGCAAAGGCCCCACCGUGCCUACCCCAGGAACUCUGAUUGCCACCUAUGUGAGGCUCAAGACCGAGUUUGAGGUGAUAGUCGCCGUUGAGAAGUAGUAUUCCCCUGGCAAGGUGAUGGCCCCCAUCAAGGACAAGGAGAUGGCCCCGGAGGGAUGAGAUCCCCCGCUGAGUUGCACAAGGUAAAAAAUAAUGGCUUAUUACCAUAGUUGUGGUUUUUGAUUAUUUGUAAUGUGCUUGCUAAUAUGUUAGGGUUGUGCAGGUGCCGGUGGACGUCCUUGGUGAUUCCGAUGUCGUGGCCCGUCCUAUUGGCAUUGCCCCGGAGAUCGAUUCCGAUGCCGCUGUCCAUCCCGUGGACAUCGCCCCAGAGAUCGAUUCCGAUGUCGCGGUCAGUCCUACAGACAUCGCCCUAGAAAUCGAUUCCCAUGCCGCUGUCCGUGCUGUGGUCAUUGCCCGAGAGAUCGAUGACAAGAAAUAGUUGGUCGGCUAAUCCUUCAGGGUAGUUUGCAUUGCCCUGUGUUUAAUUACUAGAACGAUGCGUGUUAUCAAACCAUCUUAGGGCUAGUGCACUGUCUUGUGUGAGCGGAUCUUGCUACUUUUGUUUGAUAGUGAAUCAUGCGAUGAAUCAUGCGAACCCUUUCCGAGUUAUGGAAACAGAUGUAUCCUCACCAGCUUUUGAUGUAAUAUAUGGCAUGAUUAGAUGUAAGUUUGAACUGUUAAUCAUAUCAGCAGGGCUUGUUUUGAUGAUUCUUGGUGUUAGUAGGCUAGCUACUGUGCGAGCUAUAGUACUUGCAAAACACUCACCGAAGAGAAACGUUGGGGCUGAUGAGCUCGUGGUACGCUUAUACUUAUCCCUCAUCGAUCGACCAAUAGCCCUAGCUCCUGAAAUUGUAGGCUUAGCGAUCGAUGACCUAGGCGGGCUAGUUUGUCCUAGUGGGUUUCAGUGAUAUGACUUGCAACACAAAAUCAUAGCAGUGCAAAGACGUACUCCCUCCGUUCCAAAAUAGAUGACCUAGGCGGGCUAGUUUUCCCUAGUGGUUUCAGUGAUAUGACAUGGUACAGUGCCGUCCAGUCUUCGCGUGUGGUAGUAGUAUUGCGGGUACAGUAAGUUUUCUUGAAGAAGCGGAAUUCAACGAAGUCAUGAUGGUUCCUUUGUCCGAACAACUUACAGUGGGAAAGGUUGGGCCUGCGAUACGACCGGGGUAGACCAGGAUAAUUUUGUGCAUGGUAGGUGGACCAGGAUGGUCGACAUCCCACAUGUCGGCGAAUGAAAGUAUUCUUUCCGAUAUAGAGGACGAGCAAUGAGUAUUCAUUGUUUAUUUUUGAUGAAAGCUAUUAUCUUCACUGUUACGACGGAGGAGUGUGAAACACGGCAGCCUAGUGAACUUGGCAUGUGCACCACUCCCUCCUUCCUCAUGUAAUGCCCAGGUUACAACUUUUUCUCACUUUCUCUCUAUCUAUUUCCUCUGAAAUGUUUUUUACCUUUCUUUUUUUAAGACACAAUUGUUUUUAUGCCUUUUUUUAGAAUUAUUUUUUAUACCUAGGAGCACGUGUAGAGACGGGAUCUUGCAGAGCCCACUCCUUGACUUUGUCAAUGCCUCUCUCUCCUCCACAUAAGGAGUACUACUUGCUAUGCAUGCAUGCGGCGGGCAGCUAGCAUCUUGAGGGGCCAGGGCGAGGAGAGCGGGCUCCGGAAGUGGUCCGGACUCUAGCAUAAUUUUGGUUUUUACAGUAUCUCUUUCUCCAUUGACAGGUAGGCUUGCGUAGAUAGAUAAAGAACACGAGCUGAUGAGGCGCAUGCGGACUGUUUGACUGGUCAACCAGACAAAUACGGAGCUAUACGAUGGGCCAGUGACCGUAUAAUCACCAUAUCUCGUAUACAACGAUCAAAGUGAGCUAUCAAGACAAGUUCGAUGACCGCCAAUGCAUUUUACUCGGUAAUAAAUGACCAGGAUUGAAGGGGAAUCCAAAUUUUCUUCGUCUUCUGUCCUUGAGCUCUUGACAAACCGAUGCACUAUAUGGUUGUCCGGCCACUCCACCCCAGAGCUCUCACCAUGCGCCGUUCAUGCCACCGUGCCGCACACUAACCGGUAAGGCAGCGAUGGCAUCCCGCCGCGCCGAGUUCCUCGCCGCCCACACCCGCACAGAAAAUGGUAGGGAAGCGAUGGCAUCCCGCUGUGCCGAGUUCAUCGCCGCUCGCGACCUCACAACUAUGUGGGAGGAAUUUGAAGAAGCCAAGGCCAAAUGGGCGGUAGAGCAAGAGGUGGCCAAAGCCGCACAGAGGGAGCGGAAAACUCAGAAAUCACUCAAGAAAAGAGAGGCGCGCUGCCGCAAGAAAGAAAAGGACGCACGCGCUGCUGCGGAGAGGUUGGCGGAGAUCCAAGCACGGUGGGGUGUCGCCGACAAUGCCGGGAAGGAGAACGACGACGUCUGGCCAGCAUGUGAGAAGUAGUAGUACUAGUAGUUAGUGUGUAUGUUUGUGUCUGAGUACGAGCAUGUACCAGUACUACUAGUUACUAUUGUAGUUUUUAGAGCAAAUUACCAGUACAUUAGCCUAAACUAAAUGGAAAAAUUCCUAUCCUAAGCAUCAAAUGGCAUCUCUUUCUCUAUAGGAAUUGCGAUGCAUGUCAUCUCACUUCGUAUGAUUUUCAUAUUCCUAUCCUAUGAACGAAAGGAGGCCUUUGUUGGAGUAACUACUGUAGCUAGCAAUACUGCUAGUAUAGUAGUUUUCUUCAAGACGCAAAAUUCAAUGAAGUCAUGAUGGUUCCUUCAUCCAAGCAACUUCAAAGUGGGAAGUGGGCCUGUGAUUUGACGGCUCAUUAGUCAUUGUUACUGCAGCGCGACAACCUGGGUGACUCCCUUGGAGUUCUGCGUGCAUGGCAAGUGACCAGGAUGGUCGACGUCCCACAUGUUGGCGAACAGAAGUAUUCUUUCCGAUAUCGAGGAGCAAGGAAACCGCGUGGUAUAGUAUCACUGCUGAUUGGUUCGCAAAAAAUAGUAUCACUGCAGAUUUAUAAUUAUUUUUUAUUUCUGAUGAAUGCUAGCGUUUCAACUCUUACGACGAAUGGUGCCAAACACGACACGUGCUGGAUGUCCCACACGUCAGCGAAAGGAGUGGGACAUGAACAGUGUGGUAGAGCCCAGCGUAAAAAAACAGUGUGGUAGAGCGUCUCCACUUCUUCCACUUCUGGGUCGGAGACCACACGUAGUAGUACUUAGUGGUAUGAACGAUACGAAGUGUGACCUGGAGACAAAGACACGUCUUGUUGGAAGGUCUCGGGGCAUACACGUAAACAAAUAUAAAAGUUAAUAUGUGCCUCCAACUAAUAUAGUAGUAGUAGAGUACUUAGGCACGUACUCCAUAACAUCACCGUGCAUUGCACGUACAACAUUUAGUGGUAGUGCGUAGUAAGAGACAAAUGCCACCCAAGAGUUCCCUUCUCGACCUACUUUUGGGUGUUUGGUAGAGUGUAUGGAGGGUGCAUGAGUCCACACUAGUUUAGCACAAAUACACUAGAAACAUGCACGAAGAGGGGUGUUGAGUUGAGCAUGCAUGAAGAGGGAACAACUAUGCUGAGACGAGAAUGCAACCAAGCACACCCUAUAUGCCACACAUGUUCAUACCAUUUGUGCCUUUCUACUUCACUUACUGCGCUACAUUACUCAGGUUCGUACGUCCACUCCUGGGUACAUGUUCGUCUCGUAGUUCCAGUCCCACGUGUUCUUCAUAUAGAUGGAACAAUCCUUGCAUAACACGUGCACCUUGAUGCUAGAUGUCUCGCGUGUUGGCAAAAGGAUGAACAAAGCUCAUGUAAACAAAAUAGAGUGGAAGAACAUAGAUUCCGGACGACCGAGAAGGAGCAAGGAACCUCGUUGUGGAGCGUCUGCACUCAUAAUAUUUAAUAUUAUUCAGCGAUAUAAAAUUAACCAAUCAUCUCCACAAUGGACUGGAAGAGUACGAAACACGGCAGCCUUGUGUAGUAUCAUACUAGUACAUGGCUGUAAUGGGUAGUAUCAUAAGUUAAUAUCAUGCAUAUGGUAUUAGUGUGUGAUACUACCUCCCUAAUGCAUAGUAUCAUGUACUAGUAUCAUAGAUGACUUUAUUUAUUUCUAUGCAGGACACAUAGUAGCAUUGCAUUUAUUAUGAUACGGUAUCAUUGUAUGAUACUCAACCAUCUCUUUCUUCAUUUAAUUCUAUGCCACAUCAUAAAAAUUGCUUGCUUGGCAUGCAUGAUACUAGCUAUGAUACUCCCAUUACGACCAGCCUAACUCACGCUAUCACCAUAUUUCUUGGCUUCUGUGCGACACCUAUCUCUAGUAAUCCAGCAGCCUGUAUUGCUUCUCCCUCCUCGUCUCUAUCAAAGUGCGGCGGGCUGGCGUUUCUGCUGUCUAUUGAGGUCGGUUAACUAUCACAUGUUAGCGACAUGCCAAGAGCAUUCUAAAAAAAAUUCCUAUCACGUUUCGUUUUCAAAAAGAAAAAAAAUCCUUUCACGUACGAAUUUGCCUGUAUGCUUUGAGCAACUUGCAUGUCCUAUACUGCUCCUGUUUGAUACUCUAACUUAGCUAGAGGUUAGACUAACUCAUGACUAACCCUGAACUAACUGUAGCCAAAGAGGUGUUUGGGUGACAGGGUUAGAUUGACAAUAAAUGCACUUCAUGGAGAGAGAAAAGUGAUUUUUCAGUGGUCCCAAUGAGAACUAUCUCCAGUUAGCACCUCUUGGGUGGGAUAGUUUUUUUUUUGGUUGGUUCGGUGCAACUUGCUCCAAUUUAAACCCUCAUGCUUGGAUAGUUUAGGGAUAUUUGAGUCCCAACUGGCUCAAACUAACUCUAACCCAUGGAUCCAAACAGGGCCUAUGGCUAGUCUCGAUGCGAAGCAGUCGCGUGUAGCGGGAAGCGGCGCUCUCUCGGCCGUCGCGCCACUUCAAAGCCGGCGCCAGUGAGAGGUCGCCUCCGCUCUGGCCGGGCAUUAAUGCGGCACUGACGCUCCAGGGGGACGCUAACAGUUUCACGCAGGAAGCGCGCGCUGGCAAGGGAGUAUAGGUUUUGAACCAUUUCAGGUGUAGUACUGGUAGUUUGCAAAACUACUCAAUUAUUGCACUCAGUUUCCUAAGAAAUUGUGUUAAAAAACGUUACUCCAUAGCCCGCUUCCCUUCUCCUUCCUCUUCCACCGCCCGCGCACGUCCGCAGGAAGCGACCAGUCAACCCUUAUAUAGGAGUGCUAGCACAAAAAGAUGCAUGGAUGACCACUAAAAUUUCCAUAUUAAAGCGCUGCUCUGGCGGGAGUAUGGCGUAUGUUGUUACCUUCGGCCGGCGCAUGGCUAUCGGGCAACGGCGAACAGAGAAGAGGCGGUGGGAGGGGAAUGAAUGCAUCUACUAUUUGGGUUCGCCUUCCGGCUUAAAUAAAUCCACAGCAUCACGUGUACCCGCGGGUGCACAAAUUGUAACAUACGUGUCUGCUUAAGUGGGCGUCACGUAACUGGUGUGUGUGUGAGAGAGAUUCUGAGAGACAGAGUGCGUGUGUGCGACUCUACUCUUCGGACAUGUAGUCAACCUUUUGCAUCGGGAUAUAAGUAUAAUGGUAUUUACUUUAGCUAGUGAUUUACGUGGCCAUGUUAAUGUGGUUGUGUCAAAAAAAUGUCACUUCCUGCUCGUGAUUUGCGUUAUAUAAUUACAAGCAAGAUUCUCGUGCAUUGCACGGAACAUCAAUAUGCAUUUUUUUACAGAACACCCGUUGUGAUUGACCCAUGCAGGAGUAAUCCCAUGUGUAAAAACUAGUGAUAUCUCAAGAAUUUUAUCGGAAAACUGGUAUCUCGAGAAUGUCAUCGAAAAAAUGAAAGAUGAGAGAUAAGGCGAGGAGGAGUGGAGCAUGGUGGUGACUGGUGGUCAGAAUGGCUGGAGGCAUGGGGAUGGACGGUGCCAGCAGGCGGCAGCGGCCACCAUGCAUGCUAGAUUGUUCCAGAGACUUAUUCCUUUUUUAAUUGCUGAGCAAUGAGGAUGCGAGAGAUAAUGGUGUGGAGAGACGUGCCGAUAUCUUUUGUAAAAUUAUCAUAGUUUGCUUUCUAUCCUCAGAUAUGGAUCAUACGGUGUGUAUUACAAGAUGGCAGGCACACCAUCACCACCAACUCGUUUUGUUAUAAGGGUACAAAUGAUAAGUUUGCUGACUACUGAAGUAAAGUGGAAUUUGUCCAUGUUAUGCAAGUAAAUAAAGGUGAUUGUUUAUCAUACGGGUAAGGUUGGAUGAAGGGUGGUAGGAACAAAUGCUCCGCCUAGAGCAUGUGUGUGUGAGAUGGAGUCUUAGUGUGUGUGUGUGUGAGAGAGAGAGAGAGAGAGGAGAGAGAGAGAUGGAGUCUUAGUUUGUGUGUGUGUGUGAGAGAGAGGGNNNNNNNNNNNNNNNNNNNNNNNNNNNNNNNNNNNNNNNNNNNNNNNNNNNNNNNNNNNNNNNNNNNNNNNNNNNNNNNNNNNNNNNNNNNNNNNNNNNNNNNNNNNNNNNNNNNNNNNNNNNNNNNNNNNNNNNNNNNNNNNNNNNNNNNNNNNNNNNNNNNNNNNNNNNNNNNNNNNNNNNNNNNNNNNNNNNNNNNNNNNNNNNNNNNNNNNNNNNNNNNNNNNNNNNNNNNNNNNNNNNNNNNNNNNNNNNNNNNNNNNNNNNNNNNNNNNNNNNNNNNNNNNNNNNNNNNNNNNNNNNNNNNNNNNNNNNNNNNNNNNNNNNNNNNNNNNNNNNNNNNNNNNNNNNNNNNNNNNNNNNNNNNNNNNNNNNNNNNNNNNNNNNNNNNNNNNNNNNNNNNNNNNNNNNNNNNNNNNNNNNNNNNNNNNNNNNNNNNNNNNNNNNNNNNNNNNNNNNNNNNNNNNNNNNNNNNNNNNNNNNNNNNNNNNNNNNNNNNNNNNNNNNNNNNNNNNNNNNNNNNNNNNNNNNNNNNNNNNNNNNNNNNNNNNNNNNNNNNNNNNNNNNNNNNNNNNNNNNNNNNNNNNNNNNNNNNNNAAGUGUGAGUGUGUGUUUUACCCAUCCAGGCGGAAGUUAUGUGCACAAAAGAGGAGAAUGAUUCGAUGUGGCAUUAGGAUUGAGGAUAAUUAACUACGUAUGGAGACAUAGAGACCUUGAACGUGCAUGUGUGAGAGGUAUACAUGUAUACGUGGGAUGUGUGUGUGCGCGCGCGCAUGAUCGAGAUAAAAGAAAGAAGACAUAAGUCAUAAGAUCAACGACAUGGGAGAGACGGAUCGGUAUGACAAUAUGCAUGCAUGUGAGAAUGCAUGGAAGAAGUCCCGACAAUUGAGCAUGUGUUUUUGUCUUUAAGAGAUAGUGGCAUGGGCUGGAGCAUGCAUCUAUGGCGAGCAGAGGGAGUGAGGCGCAAUGAUUGUGCAAAAGAGACCAACCUAUAAAUGCAUGUGUGUGGAGAGACAUAUACAGUGUGGGUGAUAGGAAGCAAGACUCUGUGCAAGAAAGAAAUGUUGACGGAGAAACUACAGAUAGAUACAGAGAUGGAGAUGCUAUCUAGAGGGACAUCCACUAGUUUGGGUGUUGGAGAUGACCGUCGGGUGGUUCAAAGGGUGAAGUUAUAUAUGUAUGUGAGAGGGCACUUGACUGCAUGUAGAGAGAAACAUAUGUAGUGUGCGUGAUAGGAAUCAAGAGGGAGGGCGAGAAAGAAGGUUGAUGGAGAAACAGAUAAAUAGAAAGAUAAAGAUGCUAGCUAGUGUGCAUUAGAGAUAGGAGUCGAGUGGAUCAGAAGGCUGGUGUAACACCCCGGAUAUGAUUUACCCAAUAUAUAAUCCAACUCUUGCCGUUUCCGGCCUUAAGUUAUUUUAUUUUCUCGGGUUCAGAUUUUUGUCUCCGUGUGUUGCUGUCGUUGUCAUGCAUCUCAUAUUAUGUCAUCAUGUGCAUUGCAUUUGCAUACGUGUUCGCCUCAUGCACCCGAGCAUUUUCCCCAUUGUUCGUUUUGCAUUCCGGCGCUCCGUUCUCCUCCGGUGGUCAUUUCUACCUUUCUUUCGUGUGUGGGGAUUAAACAUUUUCGGAUUGGACCGAGACUUGCCAAGCGGUCUUGGUUUACUACCGGUAGACCGCGUGUCAAGUUUCGUACCAUUUGGACUUCGUUUGAUGCUCCAACGGUUAACCGAGGGACCGAGAAGGCCUCGUGUGUGUUGCAGCCCAACACCCCUCCAAUUUGGCCCAAAACCCACCCAUCUAGAGCGUUCGAUCACGAUCGCGUGGCCGAAAACCGCACCUCAUUUGGACUCUCCUAGCUCCCUCUAUGCCUAUAUAAAGAACCCCCCCUCCGAAAUUCACGGGUGAAACCCUAACCCUCUCCCUCUCCUCGCGACCGGACAAAAACACCACCGACGGACAUGUCCAUUUCCACCACGCCGCCGCCACUUGUCGCCGCCUGAUUCGCCCGCCCAGGCGCCCACUUCGCCGCUGCCAGGGCCCGCGGGGCCCAUCGCCGGNNNNNNNNNNNNNNNNNNNNNNNNNNNNNNNNNNNNNNNNNNNNNNNNNNNNNNNNNNNNNNNNNNNNNNNNNNNNNNNNNNNNNNNNNNNNNNNNNNNNNNNNNNNNNNNNNNNNNNNNNNNNNNNNNNNNNNNNNNNNNNNNNNNNNNNNNNNNNNNNNNNNNNNNNNNNNNNNNNNNNNNNNNNNNNNNNNNNNNNNNNNNNNNNNNNNNNNNNNNNNNNNNNNNNNNNNNNNNNNNNNNNNNNNNNNNNNNNNNNNNNNNNNNNNNNNNNNNNNNNNNNNNNNNNNNNNNNNNNNNNNNNNNNNNNNNNNNNNNNNNNNNNNNNNNNNNNNNNNNNNNNNNNNNNNNNNNNNNNNNNNNNNNNNNNNNNNNNNNNNNNNNNNNNNNNNNNNNNNNNNNNNNNNNNNNNNNNNNNNNNNNNNNNNNNNNNNNNNNNNNNNNNNNNNNNNNNNNNNNNNNNNNNNNNNNNNNNNNNNNNNNNNNNNNNNNNNNNNNNNNNNNNNNNNNNNNNNNCGGCCGCCGCCCACCGCGUCCGCAGCUCCGGCCACCGGCGCCCGCGGCCACCCCACCGGCGUCCGCCGCCGCCUCCACUCCGUCUUCGGCGAGCACAGCUCCGGCCGCCGCCUUGGUUCACGCGCCCGAUCUAGUUCCAGAUCUGAGAUUCGGUUGAACUUUGACCUAAUUUUCAGUAAUAUUUUGCCAUGUUCAUUGCAUCGUAACUUUACAUCCGUAGCUCCGUUUUGGGCAUAUAGCAUAUCAAAAUGUUCACCUCAGAGAGUACAUCAUUUCAUCUCAUUGCAUCAUUUUCAUUUGAGUUCAUCUUGAUGCCCGAAAUGCUGUUGGAACAGUGCUAUUUGAGAUAAUUGCCAGAUCUGCUGAACCAAUUAGCUAUUUGUCAUUUUUCUCAUGAUUAUUGUGUGCAUGAUAUGCCCAUGAGCUCUACAUAUGUUUUGUUAUAUGCUUUGUCAUCUUUCCAGAGGUGCAAUCCAUGUAUUUUUGUGAUGUGUGUGGUGACUAGCACAAGCUUGCAAAGUGGUGCAUUUGUUAAUGCUGGUUUCAGGGACUUAGCAUUUCUACUAAGUCCUUGAUCUGUUUAUAUCGAUAUGCCAUAUGUUCAUGUUGUUUCCUAGUGAUCCGUGCCCCUUUUGAGGAUGAUCAGUAAGGAUGUUUUGUUAAUCUUGUAGUGCUCUAUCCAUCCAUGUCUUUGUUUGCAAUUAUGGAGCACCCUAGCUUGAGUCAAUCGAGCUCUACUUUUGCUAUUUCGUGAAUCUCGGCAGAUUGUCUACUUGUUAGCGAUUUUGCCGAGGAUGUUAUAGUUGAUCCGUGCAUGCUAUAUUAUUGUUCUUACCAUGUCUAGCUUGUAUAAUGUGUAUUCUUGAUGGGUGUAUGCUUAGAUUGUCAUGACUUGCUCUGUAGUGAGUGCAUCGAGCUCGUAAACAUGCCUACUUGAUAUCUGAUUUUGCAUGCUCCAGUGUUCACUAAGUCUGUGAUCUGAUUAUGUUUUUGCCAUGUUCACAUGCUUGCAAUUGUAUUUUCUGAUCCCUUUUGGCUCAAGGUCACUAAGGGACUUUUGUUAAGAUCUUUGAGUAGCUCCAUGACAUGAUUUACUUUGCCAUGUUCAGGCCCUGUAGCAUAUAGUUUUCUUGCUCCAAAAUGUGCUACCUGAUCUGAAAUUCCAGACAAGUGUUAAUUUCACUAAGUCUGAGAUCUGUUUACCAAUUGCAUUUUUGCCAUGCUUGUUUGUACCUGUUAAUGGAUGAAUUGGCCAUAGCUCAGUGUUCCUCUUUUGUUAAGCAUCAUGAAUGGAUCCCUUCCAUGUAUUUUGUUCCCAUGUUUGAGUGAUGUAACAUGUUCAUCUUGUUGCAUUUAGAUGGUCACUUGCUGUAUAUCGUAGAACGGUGCCAUAUUUGUUUUGCUUGCCAUUUCCAAACCGUGUCUCCGAUUCUGGCGUUCUUAUAUCGUUUUCAAGCGAAAUCAUCUCACCUUUCCAAUGGCGCACUUGGAUUUCCAAGUUGAGGCUAGGUUCAUUCUUUCCUUGUCAAAUCUUGCAUAUGCAUCCCAUAUCGCAUCCCGCAUAGUAUACCAUGUUUGCAUCAUGUUGUUUGAGCUUUGCACGUGGUUGAUUGUGUCUUUUGUGCUUGUUUGUCUUGUUUGAGUAGAGUCGGGAGACGAGUUUGCUAACGAGGAGCCCGUUGAGUUUGCUUUCGAGGAUCCAGUCAACUCUGACAACUUUGCAGGCAAGAUGAUCAUACCCUCGAAAUCACUUCUAUCUUUGCUUUGCUAGAUGCUCGCUCUUUUGCUAUGCCUAUGCUACGAUGCCUACCACUUGCUUAUCAUGCCUCCCAAAUUGCCAUGUCAAACCUCUAACCCACCAUGUCCUAGCAAACCGCUGAUUGGCUAUGUUACCGCUUUGCUCCGCCCCUCUUAUAGCAUUGCUAGUUGCAGGUGAAGAUUGGAGACCGUUCCUUGUUGGAACAUUAUUUACUUGUUGGGAUACCAUUAUAUUAUCUUGUUAUCUUAAUGCAUCUAUAUACUUGGUAAAGGGUGGAAGGCUCGGCCUCUCGCCUAGUGUUAUGUUCCACUCUUGCCGCCCUAGUUUCCGUCAUAUCGGUGUUAUGUUCCCGGAUUUUUGCGUUCCUUACGCGGUUGGGUGAUAAUGGGAACCCCUUGAUAGUUCGCCUUGAAUAAAGCUUUUCCAGCAAUGCCCAACCUUGGUUUUACCAUUUUCCACCUAGCCUUUUUUCCCCUUGGGUUUCCGGAGCCCGAAGGUCAUCUUAUUUAAACCCCCCUGGGCCAGUGCUCCUCUGAGUGUUGGUCUGACUGAGCUGCCUGCGGGGCCACCUCGGGGCAACUUGAGGUUUGGUUUUACUCGUAGCUAGUCUCAUCUGAGUGUGCCCUGAGAACGAGAUAUGUGCAGCUCCUAUCGGGAUUUGUUGGCACAUUCGGGUGGUGUUGCUGGAUUUGUUUUAACUUGUCGAAGUUUCAUGUAGAACCGGGAUACCGAGUCUGAUCGGAAUGUCUCGGGAGAAGGUCUAUUCCUUUGUUGACCAUGAGAGCUUGUCAUGGGCUAAGUUGGGACCCCCUGCAGGGAUUUGAACUUUCGAAAGCCAUGCCCACGGUUAUGGGUAGAUGGGAAUUUUUUAAUGUCCGGUUGUAGAUAACUUGAACCUUAACUUAAUUAAAAUGAAUCAACUGUGUGAGUUACCGUGAUGGUCUCUUCUCGGCGGAGUCCGGGAAGCGAACACGGUGUUGGAGUAAUGCUUGCCGCAGGUUGUUCUCUAGUUACUCGUUCGCGCUUUGCUAUCUCUUCUCGCUCUCUUUUGAAAAUAGGUUAGCCACCAUACAUGCUAGUCGCUUGCCGCAGCUCCACAUAUUUUACCUUGCCUUUCCUAUAAGCUUAAAUAGUCUUGAUCGCGAGGGUGCGAGAUUGCUGAGUCCCUGUGGCUCACAGUUUACUUCCAAACCAGAUGCAGGGCCAGACGACUCCAUUCCAGAUGACGCGUUAGAGCUCAAGUCGGAGUUCGACGAGGACUCACGUCGUUACUAUGUAUCUUUCCCCGAGGAUCAGUAGUGGUGCCCAGUUGGGGUGAUCGGGACCGUGUCGCAUGUUGGGUUGGUCUUUUAUUUUGGCACCGUAGUCAGGCCAUGAGUGAUUGGAUGAUGUAAUGCUAUUUAUGUACUUCGAUUGACGUGGCGAGUGUAAAACAACUGUGUUCCUUCCCCUUUUAUUAUCUAUAUUACAUGGGAUGUUGUGAAGAUUGCCUAACUUGCGACAUUGCUUUCAAUGCGGUUAUGCCUCUAAGUCGUGCCUCGACACGUAGGAGAUAUAGCGGCAUCGAGGGCGUUACAGCUGGGUUAUGUGUGUGGGUGUGAGAGAGAUAGAGAGAGGGUGCGUGUGAGUCACAUACAAACAGAUAUCAGAGAGAAAUGAGAUCCAGAGAGACGGAGUAUUGUGUCUGCGAGAGAGAAAGAUAUUUCACAAUGAGAGUGAUAGCUAGAGAGACAUACGAGGGAACGCAAGAUAUCUCUGGGGAGAGAGGGUGUGUGUGAGCGACAUACAAGAGAACAAUGGAGAAAUAUGAGACCCUGGGAGACAGAGUUUGUGUUUGUGUGUGAGAAAGAGAUAUUGAUGAGGAAGAGUCGUAGGUUCUCAUAUCUAAGGAGCGAAAUACAUCUCUGUAUGAGGGGUGUUCGAGUGGCACACAUGGGAAUAGUAGAGAUAAAUGAGACCCCGGGAGACAAAGUUUUGUGUUUGUGUGAGAGAAAGAGAUUCCACAUGGAGAAUCAUAGUUAGAGACACAUAGCAGGGAGCGAGAUAUACUUAGAGAGAGAUAGAGUGAUGAAGGUCGAGGGAGAGAGUACCGUCAGUGUGUUACGAAGAUAAAAGAUCAUUGUCGACAUACAUGUAGCACGAGAUAUACUUGAGAGACGAUGGACGCGCAUAGGUCCAGAGAGAUAGUCAUAUAUAAGCAUGAGUGAUAGCUAUAUGAGACGAAUAUCUGGAUUAAAGGGGAUUCAAAUAUUUAAACUGGAGAUCACGACAUCGAUAAUAUCAUAACGCAAAUUGGUGUAUCAAACAUGGAUAUUCAUUUGAAUUUGGGAACACGUGUAAUGUUAUAUAGUUUAUCAAUAUUGGUGAUCCAUAGAUUCUUCAAUUACAAACAAUGCAUGGUUUAUAUGCAAUUAAUGUCUAAACGGGAUUACACUAUAUGUUGCGUGUGCGAAACACAUUAUACAUGUUUGAGAAGUAAAAAAACCCGCAUGAAACACACAUUAAUUGGAGACAGUUAGCAAGGAAUGCAUACAUUGGAUUUCAACAUAAAGUGGUUUCAAAUAUUUGAAAAUCCAAAUUGAUGGAUACAACCUUAUGAAUCCGAGAUCAUGCCAUUUGUAAAUCAUAUUUAUGUAUAAAUGGUGUUGUGCUUUUGAAAGUAUAUAUAAAAAAUGAUGUAUAUAGAAUGUAAUUCCAAUUGAAAAUGGAUCCCGCCCGAAAAAAAUAGAAUACAAACGGGAUUCGAAUUGAGUUGGAAUGGUAAACGCACACUCUGCAAAAUUUGAACGACGCGGGGAAAGUCACAGUAACCGCCCGGAACCAAAAUCUGUGAGAUGGAAAUCACUGCUGCCUAUCCCUGCCACGCGAAGCCUAUAUGCUGGAUUUCUAUAGGCUUCGAUAUGGGUAGGUUUGUAAUUUCACCCAAACAUGAUGUAACCGCCUCUCACCCGGAUUCAUACACGGCGGGCGCCAAAACACAUUGUGUCCUCGGCCGAAAUCGACUCCCUCCCCGAUUCAUAUUCAUACACGGUGGGUGUCGUGGUUUUGUCACGGCAGAUGUCCUAGAGAAAGGACUUAGUCGUGGAGCCAUCGCAAUGGAUUAGCUAGAAGGGGUUAAAGCGGACACAGGGACGCAAGAGAGUUUAUACUAGUUCGGCCCCUUCGAUGAAGGUAAUAGCCUAUGUCCAGUUGUGAUGGAAUUGAUGGGGUUUCGAUGACUAGGGAGCACACAUGCUUCGCCUAAGUCUCGAGUUGUUGUCUGUUGUCCUUGAACCGACGCCAGGUCGUCCCCUUAUAUACAUGGGUGACGCCCGUCGGUUUAUAGAGUCCCAACACCGGCUCAUAUAUGUGUUCGGUUUGGUCUCUACUUAUUCCUAACUUACAAUACAAGUUUACCUACCGACGCCGGUUUACGGCUACAGGCCUUAAACUGGUCAUGGGCUUUAAGCCCUCAUCUACCUUCAUGGGCUUUUACAUACUUAACUACUGAUGAAGUUAACCCGGCCCAAGUAGGCCGGUUUAUGCCCAGUAGUAAUAUCCGCAACAUUAGGCCCUAGAUUGAUUUGAACAGGUUCAUGUCAAUCCUUUAGCAAAAAUUUCAUCUUCAACAUCUUCUUGUAGUUUGGUGAACCGUCGUGAUGUCAUCUUCUCUGCUUGCUGUAAACCGGAGUGACAUCAUCUGUUAUAAAGAAACUAUCCAUGAUACCUUCUUGUUUAAUAGAUCCGCGACAAUCGAGGCGACAACUCUGUUUCCAAAUUCGUGGCUCCUUGAUUCUCGUGCCUGACACAUGUCCCUUUCUUUAUAAAUAGGACCGAAGGGUCAUUUCUUUUUCCCCUUCAUGCCCUUCUGCUUCGUCUUCCCCGCGUCAUCCAGCUUCGGAGUUCCGCCGCCAUCGACGACCUCUGCUCCAACCUUGGCCGCUGCAUCACCUUGAUUGUACCAGAGCAUCGCGGCGACCUUCUGUUUCUUCUUCGGCUCCGGUGAGUUCUUCACCUUUUCCUCCGUAGAUCCGUUCUAGGGUUUCCAAGUUCUUCAGUGUUCAUCGUCUGCUUCGUACUCAUAUGAUAGAUCUUAGAUGAACCUGUGAACCUUUGCUCUGUGUAGUGGUAGUUUUUAGCAUCCGCCUUCACUUUCAUGCCUCAAGACCAUAGAUCCACCUGUUUUUCUGACCAUUGAUUUGGUAUUGUUCUUUUUUGAACCUUGAAUAUUUUCCUUCUUUUCUGAACUUGCUUCAGAUCCGUCACCGUAGAGAUAUCUUGUGAAAUCUGUUUUUGUACACUUACCCAUCCGCAAUCUCAACUGUUUCAAUGCUUAGAUCCGGCGGUUUAACUUUGUAGAAAAAUUGCCAAACCGGUAUAUACCAUUAGUCCCCUUGUUGAACCGCAAGAUGCCAUUGCUUCAUAAGACUUCGGUUUAGAUAGAGUUGUCUCCGGUUUAACACUGUACAUACCAGUGUACUUUUAUCAAUGCAUUCUUGAACCGGAAUCACCUAUCUUGUAGAUUUCAUCAUGGCCAAGCAAGUAUAUGAGUGCAACUGGGUUCCUUCUUGCGUCACAGAAACUCAACUGAACAAUUCAGUCCUGGUCGGCGCUUUAGGCAGCAAAAAUACCAUCCAUUGGAGGGUCCCUGGCAAAGAAUGCCCUCCCACACCUCAAGAAGGAGAGGUCGUCGUUUUCUUGGAUCACUUAGCCCGAGGCUUUAAGCCACGCGGUUCUAAAUUUUAUCGGGACAUUUUAGCCAAUUUUCAACUCCGCCCACAAGACAUUGGCACCAACUCUGUUACAAACAUGUGUCACUUCCAAGUGCUCUGUGAGGUGUUCUUUCAAGAGGAGCCCACAGUUGAGUUGUUGAGAGACUGCUUCCAUCUAAACCGCCGCACUAAGUUUACUGACGGUUCAAAUACGGAAUUGGGUGGUGUGGCGAUUCAGAAAAGAAAAGAGGUCACAUAUCCUCAUGCCAAACCGCACAGCCACCCCAAAGAGUGGAAUCAAACAUGGUUCUAUUGCAAAGACACCUCCCCUGCUGGUGAAAAUCCUUUGCCUGGCUUUCGUCCGGAGCGGCUUAGCAAUACACACCCCUUCCCGCAAAGGUUGACUGCCAAGGAGAGAAGCAAAUACCCUCCUCAACUGUCCAAGCUCAGAGCCUUCAUGGCCAAUGGUUUAAUAGGAGUUGAUCUCACUCGCUGUUGGAUAUCGUGGAGCAUACUGCCCCUUAGUCAGCGCUCCGGUUUGAUGUGCGAGUAUACUGGCAGUGUUGAUGACCCGCUGCGACAUGCUAACAUCCAGCUCACCGACGAAGAAAUCACAGAGGCUGUGAAUAAAAUGCUGAAUGAACCGGAACACGUCUGUGCUCGAACCGGCCUGCUUCCCUUCUGUGCCACCAAGAAACCGCCAACUGUAAGAAUUUGAUUUUUCUUUUUAUUGAACCUGUUAUUGAUAUAUCUGGUCAUUGUUUAAUAUCAGUGUCUGUUUAAACAGGGUAAUGAUCCGUUUUGGAGCAAGAAACUUCCACAGGAGAAGCCAGAAAAAACAGACAAACUGGAAUGACCAACCCGGACAAAGACUAAAGACGUGAAACGGUCUGCUCAUAAGAAGAAAACCACUGCAUCUUCUAAUCCGGCACCUGAUGAUGAUGUGGGUAAUCCAAACCUUGAGGUAGAGCUUGAUUCACAUGGCUUAUUUUUCAUGCGCCUUAUUGAUGAUGAUAUUUGUCAGGAUGAUGCCAAAGCCAGCCAUGCUGAUGCUGCAGAGGUAAUUACACUCUCUUCCGACUCAGACCCUUUGCCUUCAUUAAAAAUCCGUCAGGCAAACCGGAAGGUUAAAUUUUCUCAUCCUCUUGCUUACUUGGAUCCCAAAUUUCUUAUGAAGACCCAACAGCACGAAGCUCGCCGCACAACCCGGCACAGCGGCCAGGUAGUUACCUCCGCCAGUUUACCGAACAGUCCGGUUCGGAAACGCCGUUCAGAGGUCUCUUAUUUGCUUGUUAGCGCUUGUCCUAAAGCGGGCUGUUUUCGUCACCUCUUAAUCCAUCUGACUCCGAUUAUCAGGUUACUUCCCACUCAUCCUCUGGCGAGUCAUCAGCUACUCAGCUACCACCGCUCAAAAUGGUGCUUGGGUAAGCUAUACUUAUCAUAAUAUUUCCGGUACAUCACCUUGGAACAUAUGUUGUAUUUGACUUUGUUAUUCCUUUCAGGGCCAAGCCUAGGCCGAGCAAGAAGGCUCGCCUGGAUAAAGCGGCCGAGGAGGACGCCGUCCCUGAACCAGGUAAAACACCAGAUCUUGAAGCGGCUAUUCCUGAAGAUAUACCCAAUGAUCCACCACAGCAGGAUGACGAUUUUAUUGCUGAAGAAAGGCCUAUUGACACCUCAGGCCCUGUCAACCAGCCCACAAGCCCCAUCCGGAUUGAGAAAUCCACUAGUCCAUCCAAGCCUACUGAUAAGCCAACGGCCCCAGUGCAAACCGGCAAUGCCAAGGAUGACGAGGUUGUCAUUACCGGCAUUGGUCGCACAGAGCCAGGCAAUCCCGUUGCUUUAUCCAGACACACUGCCAAGGAAGAAAUUGCUGCCAUUGGCAAGGGAAAGUGGAAUGCCGAUCUGACAACUUAUGCCGCUCUGAACGUCCAAGAUCUCCAUUCCGGCUAUCUGAACCGGCUAUACACCAUCCGUGACUAUGAAGCUGGUCUGGUUAAUAUGAUGAAAGAGAAAUAUGAGGUAACUUCCAUGUGCUUAUCUGCGUAUGUUCUUCAAUCUAUCAAGUCUCCUAGCCCCCAAGGGUCGGUUUAGAAUCUCCGUUCAAACCGGGACUUGUCAAUGCAGACUUCAGUAUUUUCUGAAUUUGCUGAUAUAGCCCCCAAGGGCCGAUUCAACUUAGUGUAGUUAAACCGGGACUUUAGGUAAUCAAGAGUAUAGCAAUAGUAUUAACUGAACAAAUAGCCAUUAGCCCCCGAGUGCCAAGUUGAAUACUUGUAUUGAGCUUGGGACUUUUCUGAAUAAUUGAAGAGCAAAUAUGCAUUAGCCCCCAAGGGCCAAGUGCAUAACUUGUUAUGUGGUUGGUACUUCAAUUCUUGUACUGCUUGCUGAAUCAUAUAACUGUCUUUAUACAGGCUGAGCUAAAGACAAAAGAAAACCAAGUCGCCGAUCUCCAAGAAAAUCUGAAGUCCCAACAAACUGAAGCCUCAAAAGCAAAAGAGGAAUUGACCAGUGCCUUAAGCGUAAUGGAAUAGCUUGAGAAGGAUUUCAAGAAGGAGCGGGCGGAUUGGGCUAUCCUGUUGAAGCGGAUCUGCGAGCAAUAAACCGGGAGGUGCGUCCGCUAGCGUGUCAAUUAGUUGAAGAAGUAGACUUGUCUCAUUAUCAAGCCCAAUAUGACAGCCAAAACAAGCGAGUUGCUGCACCAAUUCCUGAAGCGGAAAAUAUUAUCCCUCCAACCCGUAAGCAUACUUACGCUCCCGACAUUGAACCGUCGUUGCUGAUCCAUGAUGAAGCCGUCUUUCAAGCAUUAAUGGGAAUCGACUGGACAACUGUUGAUUUCCAGCCGCUGGGUAGAGAAGCUGAAGCUGAAGCGGUGAGGGAUGACCCACAACCAUCAGGCCCGGCUGGUGAACAAGCUUGAACCGGAAGCCGGUUUAAACUGCUUCUCCUUUGCGAAAAAACAAUGAUCUUAUUUUGGGCACCGUGUUGCCUUGUAAUAGGCUAGCCGAUACUCUUGAUUUUGAUAUGCCUUCGUGCAUAAUUACUGCAACUUGUUCUUCCUUUGGGUGAUGAACUUUCCAAAGUAUUUUCUGCCAUCGUUGGGCAUGAAGUUGGCUUGGCCAAUCUUGAAGCGGAGGUUUAUAAACCCACACUAUUGGAGGAGAUAGCAGCUCCUGUAUAUAUCUAAUGCCGGUUUACCAUGUAAACCGUGCCGGGUUAUAAUAAAACACCGUGUUACUCCGUAAUAGGAUGUUUAAGAAAAAAUCAAACCGGGCAAAUAGUCUCCGGAUUAAAAAUGGACUGUGUUUCGUCAAUUGACAGUUUGAACCGGCUUUAAACUUUGUCGGUUUAAAAAACGCAACAAAAAGAAAGAAAUAUCUAUCAAAGAAAAUUGUGAAGCAAAGGCAAUGAUAAAACCGUUUGCAAAAAGAGGCUUUAUUUGAGCCGAUCAGAUGGUGUUACCAUGGUCGGACACGACCAAGCUCCCAAUAGGUGUAGCGAUGGUUCAAGUCAGCCAGGUCCCCAAAUGAAACCGUGGCAUUUAUGCCGAUCAAGAGGCGCGGCAAUGGUUCGGGUUCGACCAAGACCCCAAGUGAUUCUGUAGCCUUAGGCCGAUCAAGAGGCGUGACUGGUUCAGACGUGACCAAGUCCCCAAGUGAUCUGGUGGCUCUCGCCUAUCAAGAGGUGUUGCAUUGGUUCGGACAUGGCCGAGCCCCCAAGUGAUAUAACAUGAUGCUUUGAAAAGCUAACUCAAGGGGUAAACCGUAGACCGCUUUAGAACAACUCCGUGUAACCACACAUGAUGUAAAAGAACAGAUACCCCGCUUUAGCUGAGGUUCCGGUUUAUUAUAUUUAAUCAUAAUAUAUACAUCAUCGUAAUAUGUACAUAAGUAGAUCCAAUGGCUCAGGUAUAGUAAGGCCGAAGAUGAGCUAUGUUCCACGGCCUGUUGGUCUCCCCCUCUGAUGUACGUGAGUCUUUAUGCUCUCGAAUAUCGAUCAGAUAGUAUGACCCGUUGUGCAGAUUCUUGCUGACCAUGAAAGGUCCCUCCCAAGGUGGGGAUAGCUUAUGCAUAUCAGUCUGAUCUUGGAUGAGCCGAAGCACCAAAUCUCCUUCCUGAAAGGUUCUGGUUCUGACUCGGCGACUGUGAUAACGACGAAGAUCCUGUUGGUAAACCACCGAGCGGGCGACUGCUAUGUCAUGUUCUUCAUCCAAUAGGUCCAAAGCGUCUUGCCAUGCUAUCUCGUUUUCCGCUUCAACAUAAGCCGCCACACGAGGUGAAUCAUGAUGGAUAUCACUGGGUAGAACCGCCUCCGCUCCAUAGACCAUGAAGAACGGUGUGUAUCCUGUUCAUCUGUUGGGUGUAGUAUUGAUGCUCCAUAACACAGAUGGUAACUCUUCUACCCAACAACCCGGUGUUCUCUGCAAAGGAACCAUAAGCCGGGGCUUGAUGCCUCUCAAGAUCUCUUGAUUAGCCCUUUCUGCUUGACCAUUGGACUGUGGGUGUGCCACUAAUGAAACGUCAAGCCGGAUGUGCUCCCGUUCGCAGAACUCCUUCAUGGCACCCUUAGACAAAUUGGUACCAUUAUCUGUGAUGAUACUGUGUGGAAAGCCAAACCGGAAAAUCACUUUUUUGAUAAACUGAACCGCCGUGGCCGCAUCACACUUGCUAACAGGUUCUGCUUCCACCCACUUUGUAAACUUGUCAACCGCCACCAGGAGGUGGGUCUUCUUAUCCUUGGACCUUUUGAAAGGCCCAACCAUAUCCAGCCCCCAAGUCGCAAACGGCCAAGUAAUUGGAAUCAUUCUCAAUUCUUGAGCCGGCACAUGAGCAUGUCUCGAAAACUUUUGGCAACCGUCACAUCGUCUGACUAGAUCCUCUGCAUCAGCAUGAGCAGUUAACCAAUAGAAGCCAUGGCGAAAUGCUUUAGCCACCAAAGAUUUUGAACCGGCAUGGUGACCACAAUCUCCUUCGUGGAUCUCACGCAAAAUUUCACAACCUUCUUCAGGAGACACACAGCGUUGAAACGCCCCUGACAAACUGCAAUGAUGCAACUCGCCAUUGACAAUAGUCAUGGACUUGGAUCACCAGAUUAUCUGUCAGGCCAGAAUCUCAUCCUCUGGUAACUCACCUCGGUUCUUGUACGCAAGGUAAGGAAGCGUCCAAUCCGGAAUAACAUGAAGAGCUGCCACCAAUUGAGCCUCCGGAUCAGGAAUAGCCAAAUCCACUUCACCAGGGAGCUUGACCGACAGGUUGUGCAGCACAUCGAGGAAAACAUUAGGCGGGACCAGUUUGCGCUGAGAACCCAGCCGUCUUAAAGCGUCCGCUGCUUCGUUCUUCCGUCGGUCCACGUGGUCCACCUGAUAGCCUUUAAAUUGACCUGCAACAGUAUCCACCUCACGACGAUAUGCUGCCAUGAGUGGGUACUUGGAAUCCCAAGUGCCGGACACCUGCUGAGCCAUAAGGUCCGAGUCACCGAAGCACUUAACUCGACUUAGAUUCAUCUCUCUAGCCAUCUAGAGACCAUGGAGCAAGGCUUCAUACUCAGUUGCAUUGUUAGUACAAGGGAACAUUAGGCGGAGAAAGUAACAGAACUUAUCACCUCGUGGGGAAGUUAAUACGACCCCAGCCCCCGAGUCCUCCAAUUGCCUGGAUCCGUCAAAAUGGAUUGUCCAAUAUGCAUGGUCCGGUUCGUCUUCAGGUGCUUUCAGUUCCGUCCAAUCAUUGAUGAAAUCAACAAGUGCUUGAGACUUAACCGCCGUCCGCGGCAUGUACUUUAACCCGUGCGGCCCAAGUUCUAUAGCCUACUUGGCAAUCCGGCCAGUCGCUUCCCGGUUCUGGAUGAUAUCGCCCAAGGGAGCAGAACUGACUACCGUAAUGGGUUGCCCUUGGAAGUAUUGUUUAAGCUUCCGGCUUGCCAUAAAAACACCAUAUACUAGCUUCUGCCAAUGCGGAUACCUUUGCUUGGACUCAAUAAGUACCUCGCUGAUAUAAUAGACCGAACGUUGAACCGGAUUCUCCUUGCCUGCCUCUUUUCGCUCCACCACAAUAGCCACACUGACCGCAUGAGCAUUAGCAACAACAUAUAGCAGUAACGGCUCCUUGUCAAUGGGAGCGGCGAGCACAGGCGGAUUGGCCAAUUGCCGCUUUAAGUCCUCAAAUGACUUAUCAGCAGCAGAACUCCAGACAAAUUGAUCCGUCUUCUUCAACAUCUGAUACAAAGGGAUUGCCUUCUGACCAAGGCGGCUGAUAAACCGGCUUAACACGGCAAUCCAGCCUGCCAGGCGUUGAACAUCGUUGAUACACUUCAGUUUAGCCAGGGAAGUGAUAGCUGUGAUCUUCUCCGGAUUAGCCUCGAUUCCCCUGUUCGACACCAGAAAACCCAAUAACUUGCCUGCCGGUACACCAAAGACACACUUGGCCGGAUUAAGCAUCAUCUUGUACGUCCUCAGGUUAUCAAAGGUUUCCUUCAAGUCGUCAACCAGAGUCUCCUUCUCCCUUGACUUAACCACAAUAUCAUCCACGUAAGCAUGUACAUUACGGCCAAUCUGCUUGUGAAGACAAUUUUGUACACACCGUUGAUAAGUUGCCUGGGCACUCUUGAGCCCGAAGGGCAUCGACACAUAGAAGAAGGCUCCAAAGGGAGUUAUGAAUGUCGUCUUCUCCUGGUCCUUAACUGCCAUUUUGAUCUGAUGAUAGCUAGAAUAUGCAUCCAAAAAACUCAAAUGCUCACAACCCGCCGUAACAUCAAUAAUUUGAUUAAUACGGGGGAGGGCAAAAGGAUCUGCUGGACAAGCCAUAUUAAGAUCUGUGUAAUCCACACACAUGCGCCAGGUGUCGUUUUUCUUAAGGACCAGCACUGGAUUGGCAAGCCACUCAGGGUGAAAAACUUCGAUAAUAAAGCCAGCUGCUAAGAGCCUGGCUACCUCUUCUUCGAUCGCCUUGCACCUUUCUUCGUUAAACCGGCGGAGGAACUAUUUCACUGGUUUGUAUUUAGGAUCCACAUUAAGGGUGUGCUCAGCGAGUUGCCUCGGUACACCUGGCAUGUCAGAGGGCUUCCAUGCAAAGAUGUCCCGAUUCUCACGGAUGAACUCGAUGAGCGCGCUUUCCUAUUUCGGAUCCAAGUUGGCACUGAUGCUGAAUUGCUUGGACGAAUCGCCAGGCACGAAGUCAACAAGUUUAGUCUCAGCUGCCGAUUUGAAUUUCAGGGCCGGAUCAUGCUCCAUAGUUGGCUUUUUCAACGGAGUCAUGUCUGCCGGAUCAACAUUGUCCUUAUAAAAUUUCAGUUCCUCGGUGGCACAAACCGACUCUGCGUAGGCCGCAUCUCCUUCCUCGCAUUCCAAAGUGACUUUACGGAUUCCGUGAACUGUUAUUGUCCCCUUGUGACCCGGCAUUUUGAGCUGCAAAUACACAUAACAGGGUCGUGCCAUAAACUUGGCGUAGGCCGGUCGCCCAAACAGGGCGUGAUAUGGACUUUGGAUUUUCACCACUUCAAACGUCAAUGUUUCUGACCUGGAAUCAUAAUCAUCUCCGAAAGCCACUUCUAGAGCUAUAUUACCAACAUGAUAUGCUGACUUGCCAGGUACCACACCAUGGAACACCGUAUUGGACGGUUUGAGAUUUUUAUCUGUUAGUCCCAUACGACGGAAGGUCUCAUAGUACAAGAUAUUAAUGCUGCUCCCUCCAUCCAUGAGCACCUUGGUGAACUUGUAACCUCCCACCUGAGGAGCCACCACCAGAGCCAACUGACCUGGAUUAUCAACCUGGGGAGGGUGAUCCUCUCUGCUCCAUAUGAUUGGCUGUUUAGACCAGUGUAGAUAACGGGGCACGGCCGGUUCAACAGAGUUGACUCCCCGCCUCUGGACCUUCCGGUCUCGCUUGUCCAAGCUAGUGGUGAAGACAUGGUACUGCCCACUAUUCAACUGCUUUGGGUUGCUCUGGUAACCCGACUGUUGUUGCUGCUGGUUGUAACCACCCUAGUUGUUCUGAUUAUUUUGAUUGUUAUGUCCGCCCGGAUUACCAUUAAAUCCUGAACCGGAAUUUCCUCCACCAUAACUCGGCCCAGAUCCUGAGCCACCGCUAGAGCCGUGAUCAUACCGGAAAGCAUUAGAAUUUUUGAACUCCUGCAUAAUGAAGCAAUCCUUCCAAAGGUGGUUUGCUGGCACCUCCUUCGUCCCAUGCUUUGGAUAGGGCUGGUUCAAUAGAUAAUUUAGACAGUCCGGGUUAGGGUUAGGCGCUCCACCACGAUUCGGCGGUUUACCCUUGCGUUGCUGACCCUUGUCCUGCGCGUUGGUAUUAGCCACGAAGUCCAUGUUGCCAUCCGCUUUACGCUUGCCUCCACUACCGUUACCUGCCGAGUGAUGCUGCUGACCUUUGGAGUUGUUGUUCCUCUUUCCCUUACCUGCCUUGUCAUCAUCAGACUCGGGAUCCUUGGUACUAUCAGAAUCAACAUAUUUUACCAAAGCAGCCAUGAGGGUCCCCAUGUCAGUGCAAUGGCGCUUCAUCCUUCCCAACUUCAGCUUUAGGGGCCCAAACCGGCAGUUGCCUUCUAGGGUUAUGACUGCAGUGUCAGCAUUCAUGCGGUUUGAUGAAUGCAACACUUGUGAGACCCGGCGCACCCAAUGAGUCGUCGAUUCUCCUUCCUCCUGGACGCAGGCCGCUAAGUCCACUAUCGACAUAGGCUGCUUACAUGUAUCCUUGAAAUUACUGAUAAACCGGGCUCGUAAUUGGGCCCAUGAACUGAUAGAAUUGGCUAUUAAGCUUUUUAACCAAGUACGGGUCAUUCCUUCGAGCAUCAUGGUGAAGUACUUCGCACAUGCCACAUCAUCCACAUCAAGCAUCUCCAUGGCCAUCUCAUAGCUCUCCACCCAUGUCUCUGGAGGUUGAUCCACCGUGUAGUUUGGCACCUUGCGCGGGCCUUUGAAAUCCUUGGGCAGGCGCACAUUACGUAAAGCGGGGACAAGGCAAGGCACCCCCAAAGAACUAGAAGUAACACCAGGUUCGACCGUGAUAGUUGGACGAACCGGUGUAAGCUGCCAAGCCUGAUACUGUGCGGCUAACUCGGCGUCCCUGCGCACUCGGGCCCGAUCCACCACUUCCUGAGCGUUAUCAGCACCACCCGCCGGGUUGUUUCCGCGGGGUGCUCCACGUCGUUCAUUACUUGACACUGCCGCUUCAUCCAUAUGUCUGCCAUAGCUCCGGCUUGGACGAGGGGUCGAGUGGAUCCGGUCGCGGCUGUACGAGUAUGCUUCCUGUUGGACCAAAGCUGUCCUAAGAAGUUCCUUGACCCGUCGCGUCUUUACCGCCUGCGGCGAGUCACCUUCAAUUGGAAUGGCCUCCAGCCAUGCAGCUGCGGCAACGAGACUGUCCAUUGGGUUGGAGUAGUGACCCGGAGGUGUUCAAACAACCUGAGGUAUAAUAGUGUUUUGACGAAGCGGAUUCAUCAGACGAGGCUGAACCGGCGUGCCGGUCCCAGGAGCUUCCGCCCGGUUUACCUCCAGCGGAUUACUGGUUCCUGCUCCUGGGGUGUUGAAAAGGUCUCUGGCCUCGAAACCCGAAGGCAAACGGGAUCGGUACUUCCUCUUCAUGACUUCAUGCGACGCGUUCUGAUCCAACAUGAGCCUGUAGGCUUGUGCGUCUAAAGCGGCCCGCUCUGUGGUCAUCCUGGCAUUCUCAGCUACCAGGUCCGCCUUGGCCUGGGUGAUCUGUUCCCUCACCUUUGCAAUCUCCGCGUUGUGGACGUCCUGAUCUGCCGGGUUAGCCUCUGCCAUAAGCACAGCCAAUGCAUCAAAUAGAUCUGAUAGAACUUGAGCCGGCGGGCGUACAGAGCCUCCUGCCUCGGCAGCUGUCGCCGCUACUGAACCGGAGGUCAUUGGCGCAGCGGCCGAAGAAUGAAUCGCUUCUUGUGUGCCGGCCAUGAAUAUUCCAACUCGGUUGGGUAGAUCAGAGGGGUACGGAAUACUGUCGCCGUCGGAACAGCCCCCAAUCCGGCCAUCUUGUAGCUGAUAUAGAGAUUCGGUUUCUCCGAUUGAUGACUCGUCGCCAUAAUAAACGAUGGUCUCACCGCGAGAUUCCGAUCCAUCCUCAUGACUUCCUCCAUGGAUGACUCCCACGAAGGCAUGCUUCACGGCCGGUUUAACCCGGGCGGAUCAUGCACGCUGAGCCUUUCAACAAGGUCGAUGCAGAUGUCCGGCUCAGGGCCCGGUUCACCGAUCUUGCCGAUGAAAAUGUGUAUGCCACCAAAGGGGACCCGGUACCCGUACUCAACUGAGCCAGCGUCGGGGCCCCAGCCUGCAUCGUCGAUGUAGAGCUUGCCGCGACGACUCUUAGUCAUCCGGCCCACAGCGUAGCCCUCGAGUCCUUCAAAGCAGCCCUCCAAGAACUUGAAACCAUCGUGCGAUAGCCCCACGGUGGGUGCCAACUGUCAUGGUUUUGCCACGGCAGAUGUCCUAGAGAAAGGACUUAGUCGUGGAGCCAUCGCAGCGGGUUAGCUUGAAGGGGUUAAACCGGACACAGGGACGCAAGAGAGUUUAUACUAGUUCGGCCCCUUCGAUGAAGGUAAAAGCUACGUCUAGUUGUGAUGGAAUUGAUGGGGUUUCGAUGACUAGGGAGCAAACAAGCUUCGCCUAAGUCUCGAGUUGUUGUCUGUUGUCCUUGAACCGCCGCCGGGUCGUCCCCUUAUAUACAUGGGUGACGCCCGUCGGUUUACAGAGUCCCAACACCGGCUCAUAUACGUGUUCGGUUUGGUCUCUAAUUAUUCCUACCUUACAAUACAAGUUUACCUACCGACGCCGGUUUACGGCUACAAGCCUUAAACUAGUCAUGGGCUUUAAGCCCUUAUCUACCUUCAUGGGCUUUAACAUACUUAACUACUGAUGAAGUUAACCCGGCCCAAGUAGGCCGGUUUACGCCCAGUAGUAAUAUCCCCAAUAGUGGGCGCCAAAAACAAACUCUUGUCGGCAAAUAUUCGGUGUAUGCGAGAUUACCGACCUAUCCCCAACCGACUAGUGUUGCUGUGAUGUAGUAGAAAUUUGAAACAGGGGCUAAGUUUGUAAAUUUCCUCGCAUUUGAGACAAGCGCGCCCUGAAUACAUGGUUCCCCCCUUCCUCUCUACCUCCCUUUUCCCCAUUCGUACUCCAUGGGCGCCAAAACACCCUCUCCACCCCACCCUCCUCCGUCCGCCGCCGUCCGCCACCCCAUCCACCGCCGUCCUCCUCCACCAUGUCGGAGCUGAUACCCCGACGCCGCUGUCCAUUACAAGAGAUCGACCUCUCUCAUCCACGGCUUCGGACCGGGAUCCUUGCAUCCCGUCCUCUCGCUUCAUCCCCGCCGUCGUCCACCUUGUUGGUGCCACUCCUACGACCGUCUCGUCCACCGCACCCCGCCGCCACCGUCUACCAUCCUAGAUCUGCUUCCAUGCCGCCGACAGCCAUCGCUACUGCAACAUCGUCAAAUUCUCAGCAGAUGCCUACACGGCGCCGCACCAGAGACGGUACUCUUUCGUAUCUGCUCAACUUAUUUACCGCAGCAAGAAAAUAGAUCGCCACUGCUUUACUCCGAUUUCUUGUCUUGGUUGCGAAGUUGCCUUUGUCCGGUUUGCACCUUCAGAUCCAACAUGGCACGCUCAACACCAUACUCGCAAUGCUUAUGGUUUUCCCCUUUUAUGUUCCACACUAGUUAAAUCACAGUAGACUAAAUUUCAAAAUUGGGUAAGUUGAUUUUUCAGAGCUCGCCGGAGUUCGCUGGUGCGAUCGAAGGGGCUCGGGUGGUUGUGGGUCCUCGCCGAACGAAGAAAACUCGACGCGGGUGGGGGUUGGGGUGGGGGUGGUGGAGGAACACAGGCGGUGGGGGCCGGUGGUCCGGCCGGCGGCCAGUGCGGUGUUCUGUAUGGGAAGAAUCAGAGACGAGGAAGAAGAAGGGUUAGGAGACGUAGGAUCUUCAUCCAACCGCCUGAAAUGGUCGAGAGACAGCUAGGAGUUGCAUUCUUAAUGCGCUCUGGUUCGUCAUGUGUGGGCACUAUGCAACCAACAUUUUAUUAUCCAAAAUCUGCUUGCUCUUCUUUACCAUGUUCCUCUUCCGUUCUUCUUUAAUAUGUACUCUCUCCGUUCCUAAAUACAAGUCUUUGUAUAGAUUCCACCAUGGACUACAUAUGGAGCAAAAUGAGUGAAUCUACACUCUAAAAUGUACAUGGAUACAUCUGUAUGUGAUCCAUAGUGGAAAUCUCUACCAAGACUUAUAUUUUGGAACGGAGGGAGUAUGAUAGUAGUACAGUAUGUUCCUUGUACUGAAGAUGAGCAGGGACAUUUGCAGUGUAGAGGUCUAUAUGGUCGGUUGUUAUGGACACUUUGAGCCUCUUUCAUUCGUAGGAUCUUGUAAACAUAGGAAUAGGAUUUGUAGUGGCCUACCCACUUGAAUCCUAUAAGAAUAGCAAGGAAAUGCGGGGAGCUGUGUCGCCUUUGAGAGUUAAAUUGAUAUUAAUAGUACCACACCUUCACUUGAAGAGAGCUGGUAUCUGAAGCCUUUCUAGCCGUACCGGCAAUACUAGCACAGAUAUUCCAGCAAGUUCUACUUUGCUGAUUUUACUCUGAUGCUUAAGGUUUUCCCGUUAUAUCUACACUAUGAUCUGUGUAGCUGCUUUGUGUCGCACUAGCAGUAGUCCACUCUUGAAGCUAAACACUACAAUGACUUACAAAAUUGGCACCAAGGCAUUGAGUGCCAUUCUGGAUGCAAUGAAACUCAUACGCUCCCCACCUGUUGAUUCUUGUUCAGAAUAUCAUCCUAAUAACUAUUCUAACCUCGAGGAGUCAAAGGCAGAUGGCAUGUCCUGUUCACCCAUCAAGGUGCCUGUUCUAAUUUGGCAAUGUUUUAUUGAUUGCGGGUAUCUUGCAUAUGUUGUCUUGCAUUUCUUCUACUUUGUUGCACCGCCAUCUGCUUAGUUUACUCAUCAUAUAUGUCGAGAUGCCAUGCCCAUCCAUUAUCAAUACAUAUUCCAUCUCUCAUCAUACCAUGUUUUUCCACUCAAAUGCUGUUCUUGUGCAUCAGACAUCAAAAAGGAAGAGGGUGAUUGUCGAACCUGAAGGAGCACCAGCAAAGUCCUUGAAAAAUGUUGUGGUGCCGGAGAAAUCAGAUAGCACCCCACUUAUAUUGGCUGUACAACCAGUGACACAAAACGUAGGACCGACUCCAGUAGACUGUACCCAUACUUCACUGGCCACACCACUAGCCCCACCACACAGGACCUGCACUCCAGCAAAAGGUAUACCGAUUUUAUUUGCCAUAACACCAGCUGUACCACAGAAAAAUCCCACUCCAGCAAAAAGUACAGCAAGUCCACUGGCCAAAGACCUAUCCCAGCUGCAAAGACGGCCAAUUCCUGCAGAUUGGAACCCCAUUCCAUUUAUUCCCAGUUUAAAAGACAAUGCUUUCAAUAUUGUUAGGGACUACGUGCAUAUAUUCCCAUCAUGGGAAGAUUAUUGUGAAGACAAACACCAUUUUCACAUCUUCCUGUCCAACUUACGUGUAAGUGCUAUUAUUCAUGGCUAUUAUUUUCCUAUUUUCUUCUGAUUGAACACAUCAAUGAUUUACAUUACAUUGUUGUAACUAGGCGAGGGUCAAUCUGGAUAGUCAUGACGAGCAAAGCUUGCUUGUGCUUUUCAAGGAAGCAUUACAGCAGUAUUGGUGUUACUUGAGGAAAUCACACUUUGAUGGCAAGUGUAUAAACGAAUUUCCGUUGAAGUCUCCUGUGCUAAAUUUAGAAGACAUUGAAUGGAAAAGCCUUGUUAUGCACUAGUCUCGUUCCCAGGAUGAGGUGUUGUCUAUGAAAUCACAUGACAAUUUGAACUUCUAAUUUUCCGCAUGUGCCUUACGUAUCUUUUUUGCAGGAAAUCUGCUCGAAGAAGAAUAUCGGUUUGACAAGAACGACAGGAUAUCGCAAAUAUGUUGCCCGCUGCUUUGCUCUUGUUAGUACCUAUUGUCCUGUAUCACUGUACUUGCUUACAUACCUGGUUCAUUAUGUGACAACAGUAUGCAUGAUAGCUUGCUUAUCAACUGUUCACUCCAAAUUAUCUGAUAUGUAUGAAUGGUUACAUUAGUGUAGAAUAUAUCCAAUGCCAAUGUUUUUUAGCUCUGCAUUGUUCUUGUAAGUACAUGCUGUCCUUUAUCAGUGUACUUAUAAUGACAUGUAAUUGUUCAUGUACCAUCACUCUGCAGCUUAUUUUCCUUUGCCCUCCAUUUUCUACACAUCAAAUCUAUAUUUACUCUUACCAUAAGGUUGGUACUAAAGAAGCUUAGCUGUGCAUUGCUCUUGGCUGUACCUUUUGCCUGUAUCGCUGCACUUACAUUUAUAGCUACUUGGUUAUGUAGCAUCACUCUUCAUCUUAUCUUAAAUAUUCUCCAUUUUUUCUUAUAUUAUCACAUCUAUAUUUACUCUUAACAAAAUGUAGAAUAAAGGCAAUGCUUUUGAAUAAGAUUCUGUGGUAAACUUCUUGAAUGCCCCCCCAUAAGCAUGGACAAGGCCUUUAUAGAGCCUGUCUUCACCAAUAAUGUAAGUUUGUCCAUCUCAAGCCUUCAAACUUUGUUGUAUAUAUUUGGUUAGGCAUGACUGCAACAGCUGUUUAUUUUUGGUGUUUGCAUCAAAUUGCUUGUUUGAAGUUUAUUAUAUGUAGUUCAUAAACAAAAGUUCGUCCUUUCUCAAUUUAAGUUUUCAGAUGUACAACCAAGUUCCUUCUUCAUACCAUGUAAAUUAAACUAUACAGAGCAAGUGAUCUUCUUUUGCACUGCAUGUAUGCUUCUGUUCUUCAUCUGUAAUCCAGUGGUGUGGUGAACCUACCCACUACAGCACGAUGUCAUAUUCUGCAAUGUCUUAACUAUGAAAAAUGUCAUAUCAUUCUACUAUUAUUUAAACCGUCUCUUUAUUUGCCAAUGUGAAAUGGUAUAAAUUGACAGCACACUAACCAUUGAUACUUAUGAGUUCUUGAUCUGUAAUCAAGUGGUGUCAUGAAGCUGCCAACUCCUUCACAAUGUCAUUUCCUGCCAUGUCUUGACCUGAACAAUACCAUAUUGUGUUAAUGCAAAUUUAAACUGUGUCACUUUAUUUGUCAGUAAGAAAUGUGAUGAAUUGUCAGCACUGAUACUUUUAUGUGCAAAACCUGUCAUCUGUCUGCUUGUUUAUCUUUCAGAGUGAGGAAGAUAUAAGUGUUGAACAAGUGCAGUCUCAUCAUCUUGCCCAGCUGCUUGCGCUGCAGCUCCCCAGCAGGGUAACCUUUCUUGAACUCUAUUGAAGUGCUUUCGGUUUUGUAUAUCAUUUUGUCGGCGUGUUUAUUUGCACUGGUGGCGAUCUUUGAUGCCCAGUGUAUGUAAUCUGCUGUCUGCUUGUGCUUUAUUAUCAUAGUGGUGAACUUUGAUGCCCAGUGUAUGUAAUAUGCCAUGAUUUAUUUAUUGUAUAGUAUAGGUUUUUUCCUAUUCACGAUGCUGCAGUUAUUUUACUGUAUAUAUAUCCUGUCUUCGCAGUAAACCGGCCAAACCGUAAAAUUACGGUACAUAAUCGGGCCGUCAUGCAAUCACGAUGUAGGUUGGGCCUGAAACGUGCCGACCAGCUCAUGGGCCGGCAGCAGCCCGAAAUGAACCCCGGCCCGUGAUUGUGCAAAUCAAAUUAUGAGAUUUUAACAGGCCAAAAAAUUGUCUCGGUCCUUGUUUGGCCCAAUCAGAUAUUGGCUGCGAGCAGGCCGGAUGCAAACCGGGCCGUAGUUAGGCCCAACUAUAUGACGGGAUUUUAACAGUCUGAAAUUAAUAUAGGGCCGAAAUGUUAAACGGGCCCUUAACAGGCCAAAACUAAUAUCAGGCCGAAUUACUAAGUGGGCCUUUAGCAAGUGGGCCCAAAAGCAUAGUGUCCAGUUGACGGGCUGAAUCUGAUAUGGGCCAUAAUUAGGCCCAAAACCUCUUAAAGGGCCGGACCUGAUCUGGGCCGUAAUUUGGCCUAGAACGUGGUAGGCUUUUAACGGGCUGGAUCUCAUAUGGGCCACUAUUAGGCCCGAAGCGUGGCGGGCCAUUAAUAGACCGUAUCAAAUAUGAGCCGACAUUUGGCCCAAAACAUGGCAGCCAGUUAACGGGCCGGCCUACUAAGGUCCUCAAAAUCUUGUGGGCCUACAGCUGGGCCGGCCCAUUAAUGUCGGUGAAAUCUCGUGGGCCUGUAGCUGGGCCGGCCCAUUAUGAUCCGCAAGAAUUUUGUGGGCCUUUACCUGGGCCGGCCUAUUAUGGCACACAAAAAUCUUGUGGGCCUUUACCUGGGCCGACCCAUUAUGGCCCGCGAAAUCUUGUGGGCCUUUAGCUAGGCCAGCCCAUUAUGGUCCGCAAAAUCUCGUGGGCCUUUAGCUGGGCCGGCCCAUUAUGGUCCACAAAAUCUUGUGGGCCUUUAGUUGGGCCGGCCCAUUUAAACUUGUUGGGCGGUGCCACGUGUCGACGUAUCAUAGGCGCCUUCUGUCCAGUGAUUGGAUGACAUCUGUCCCGACAAUGAGCCGACACGUGUUUCUUCUAGCCAAUGAUGAUUUUACACGUGGAAAAUCCCCAUUUGUCGGGGCUGUUAACGGGUUAUCGGAUCCAAAACCCGACCCGAUAGCUUAACGGCGUUCCUUUACGGUGGAUGCCACAUGUCGGUCACCCUUGACGAAAGCACUUCUGUGACGCGCGAUUUAUCGUCAUGGAAGUGGACACUUCCGUGAUGAUAAUUUUGGUAAUGUCAUGGAACACUUCUACGACAGCACAAGUAUGACUAUCUUGAUUCUGUCAUAAAUUUGUCAUGGAUGUACAUGCAUGACAAAAAUAGUGACCUACUGUGACAAACACGUAUCAUCACGGAAGUGUAUUUUUUUGUAGUGGUGGAGGGCGCGCCCCCCUACCUCGUCGUUGCCUCGUGGACCCCCCUGACGUGAAACCGACGCCAAAAAUUCCUAUAAAUCCCGAAACCUCUAGAAAUAAACCUAGAUCGGGACUUCCGCCACCGCAAUCCUCUGUAGCCAGGAAAAUCCAGUCGGGAGGCUGUUCCGGCACCCUGCCGGAGGGGGCAACCAUCACCGAAGGCCAUAUUCAUCAUCUCAUCACUCUCCAUGACGAGGAGGGAGUAGUUCACCCUCGGGGCUGAGGGUAUAUACAAGUAGCUAUGUGUUUGAUCUCUCUCUCUCUCUCAUGUUCUUGAUUUGGGAGGAUCCUGAUGUACCACGAGCUUUGCUACUAUAGUUGAAUCAUAUGGUCUUUCUCCGCCUCUACCUUCUUGUGAUGAAUUUAGUUUUACCUUUGAUGUUUUACUAUUAUCGGAUUGAAUACUAUUAUGGAUUUGAGAAAACUUGAUGUAUGUCUUGCGUGGGAUACCUGUGGUGACAAUGGGGUGUUUUAUUGAUUCACUUGAUGUAUGUUUUGCACUCAACUCGUGGAUUCCCGAGGUAACGUGGGGGUAAUCUAUGCAUAGGGGUUGAUGCACAUUUUCAUCGAUGUUUCUCUUGUAGGAAUCUUGGGGCACUCUUUCAGGUUCUUUGUGUUGGAUUGAAUAUUAUGAUUCUGAAGUUGUUUGAUGCAUAUCAUAUAAUUGAACCAUGGAUACUGGUGGUGACAUUGGAGUAUCUUGGGGUGACAUUAGGGUUCAUUGAUGUGUGUCAUAUGGUGUUAUUUUACUACGAACUCUAGGGCUAUUUGUGUCACUUAUAGGAAUAGCCCAAUGGAUUGAUCAGAAAGAAUAACUUUGAGGGUGUUUCGUACCGUACAAGCAAUUUUAGCUUAUGUUCUCUGCGAUAGGAACUUUGGAGUGACUUUUGUCGCACGUUGAGGGAUGAGACAAGUCGACAUUUCAACCCUCAACUAACCACAUGGUUUGUUUUUCAACCUCGAUCUUUGAAACCAGUCGAAUUUAACCCUCAAGUUGUCCCAUAGUUCAAAUAACAACCCUUGACUCAGUUUUGGGCUGGUCAAGCGGUUUUGACCAAGUCAAAGUUGACUGGGAAGCCUAUUCAUCAUGCCAUGUAGACAUCUAUCCCAACCUUAUCCCCCUUCUCUCUCUGUCUCGUUCAAACCCCCGACCUAGUCCACCCUGUCGCUGCCUGAUUCGCAAGGAACGCCACCGCCCGCGACCACCACCUCUAUCGCUGGUGACUGGAGACAGGUGAUGCCGCCACAACGUUGGGAUGAGGCGCGUGGCAUUGCUGGGGACACGAUGCGACGGAGAAGCUGCUGGGGACACAUACAACGGAUGUUACAGACACCGUUGCUGGUGGUGCCUCCUGGAGCAAGUCCGGCCCUUGAACGGGAUUUCAUGAUGAUGCCUUCGUGCUUUUGCUCACUAGAUAGAGAAGAGAGAGAAAGAGAGGGUGGGAUGGUUUUUUAUUGUUGUUUUUCCUGGUGAGUCCCACAUGUAAGUAUUGCUUAGUCGGUGGUCAACUCGGUUAAAACCACUUAACCAGGGCAAAACCAUGAGGAGGGUUGAUUUUUAGACCGUGUAGUUAGUUCGGGGUAUAUUUCUACCGGUUUUGAAGUUCGGGGUUGAAUUCUAAACUAACUGGUUAGUCAGGGUUGUAAUGUGGACUUUUCUCUUGAGGGAUUGCCAUAUGAUUUAAUUAUGUUAUCAUUGUUGAGAGAACUUGCACUAGUGAAAGUAUGAAUCCUAGGCCUUGUUUCCAAGCAUUGCAAUACUGUUUUUGCUAACAUUUGUUACUAGUUACCUUGCUGUUUUCACAUUUUUAGAUUACAAAACCUAUAUCUACCAUCCAUAUUACACUUGUAUCACCAUCUCUUCACCGAACUAGUGCACCUAUACAAUUUACCAUUGUAUUGUGUGUGUUGGGGACACAAGAGACUCUUUGUUAUUUGCUUGCAUGGUUUUUUAGAGAGACCAUCCUCAUCCUACGCCUCCCACGGAUUGAUAAACCUUAGGGCAUCCACUUGAGGGAAAAUUGCUACUGUCCUACAAAACUCUGCGCUUGGAGGCCCAACACGAGUCAACAAGAAGAAGGUUGCGUAGUAGACAUCAGUGCGGAUCCUGAUCAAAGACCUGGAAGAGCCAUUCGUCAACUUGCGCAAACUAAACCUGAGUCUCAACUCGGAGAAGUGCAUGUUUGGGGUUUAGUCCGAGAAGCUGCUGGGUUUCCUAGUAUCACACAGAGGGAUCGAGGCUAACCCCGAGAAGAUCAAGGCAAUAGAGAGGAUGAGCCUCCCUCAGACCCUCAAAGAUAUGCAGAAGUUUGCGGGUUGCGUGACCUCCUUGGGUGCUUCAUCUCCAAGCUCGGCGAGCACGCCCUCCAUUUCUUCAAGUUGAUGAAGAGGAAGGGCCCUUUUGAGUGGACCCCAGAAGCUAAGGCAGCCUUCGAAGACCUCAAGAGAUACCGCAUGAGUCCACAUGUCAUGGUGGCAGCUCGUCCUCGUGAGCCCCUAGUGCUCUACUUGGCAGCCACUCCCCACUCAGCUAGCGCAGCACUCAUGGCGGUCCGGGAGGAGCAUGCUGAUACAUCUCCAACGUAUCUAUUAUUUUUGAUUGUUCCAUGCUAUUAUAUUAUCUGUUUUGGAUGUUAAUGGGCUUAUUUAUACACUUCUAUAUUAUUUUUGGGACUAACCUACUAACCCAAGGCCCAUUGCAAAUUGCUAUUUUUUUUCCUAUUUCAGUGUUUCGCAGAAAAGGAAUAUCAAACGAAAUCCAAACGGAAUAAACCUUUGGGAGAGUUAUUUUUGGAACAAACAUGAUGCAGGGGACUUGGAGUGGAUGUCAAGAAACAAACGAGGGAGCCAACCGGCAGGGAGGCGCGCCCCUACCCUCGUGGGCCCCUCACAGCUGCACCGACCUACUUCUUCCUCCUAUAUAUAUCCAUAUAACCCGAAAACAUCCAGGAGCACCACGAAACCCUAUUUCCACCGCCGCAACCUUCUGUACCCAAGAGAUCCCAUCUUGGGGCCUUUGCCGGAGCUCCGCUGGAGGGGGAAUCAAUCACGGAGGGCUUCCACAUCAACACCAUAGCCUCUCCGAUGAUGUGUGAGUAGUUCACGUCAGACUUUCGGGUCCAUAGUUAUUAGCUAGAUGGCUUCUUCUCUCUCUUUGGAGAUCUAUUAGAUGUAACUCUUUUUGCGGUGUGUUUGUCGAGAUCCGAUGAAUUGUGGGUUUAUGAUCAAGAUUAUCUAUGAACAAUAUUUCAUUCUUCUCUGAAAUCUUUUAUGUAUGAUUGGUUAUCUUUGCAAGUCUCUUUGAAUUAUCAGUUUGGUUUGGCCUACUAGAUUGAUCUUUCUUGCAAUGGGAGAAGUGCUUAGCUUUGGGUUCAAUCUUGCGGUGUCCUUUCCAAGUGACAGCAGGGGCAGCAAGGCACAUAUUGUACUGUUGCCAUCGAGGAUAAAAAGAUGGGGUUUAUAUCAUAUUGCUUGAGUUUAUCCUUCUACAUUAUGCCAUCUUGCUUAAUGCGUUACUCUGUUCUUAUGAACUUAAUACUCUAGAUGCAUGCUGGAUAGUGGUCGAUGUGUGGAGUAAUAGUAGUAGAUGCAGAAUCGUUUCGGUCUACUUUGUCGCGGACGUGAUGCCUAUAUACAUGAUCAUGCCUUGAUAUUCUCAUAAUUAUGCACUUUUCUAUCAAUUGCUUGAUAGUAAUUUGUUCACCCCCGUAAUCUUAUGCUAUCUUGAGAGAAGCCACUAGUGAAACCUAUGGCCCUCGGGUCUAUCUUUUAUCAUAUAAGUUUCCAAUAUAUUUUAUUUUGCAAUCUUUAUUUUCAAUCUAUAUAAUAAGAAUACCAAAAAUAUUUAUCUUAUUAUUAUUAUCUCUAUCAGAUCUCACUAAGUGACCGCGAAGGGAUUGACAAACCCUUUAUCGCGUUGGUUGCGAGGUUCUUAUUUGUUUGUGUAGGUACGAGGGACUUGCGUGUAGUCUCCUACUGGAUUGAUACCUUAGUUCCCAAAAACUAAGGGAAAUACUUACGCUACUUUACUGCAUCACCCUUUCGUCAUCAAGGGAAAACCAACACAGUCUUCAAGAGGUAGCACACGCCGGCACAUGCGCAAAGAAAGGUGACCCGCAAGGAGUCGAGAAACCUUUGCCGCCUCAGGACGACAAUCUUGAGGAUCUCAUUGCUUCAUCAACCUGCGAGGCUGCGGAGUCCCACGCGCCCCAGGCAGAGCAAGGCGUCGUCGAUGCCUCACCCCUCGUCGAGCAUCCAGUGUAAUUCAUCAUCCCACUGUUGCGGGAUGCACGCGCGCCACCCUAUGCAGCAAAAGCUCUUGCUCGUGCUCCUUGUCGCGUCAAGUAAACUGCGCCAUUAUUUCCAAGGCCACCCCAUGAGAGUUGUCUCAGCAUACCCCCUGGAGAUGGUGUUGUGCAUCCCCAACGCUGCUGGGAAGGUUGCAGAGUGGAACAUUGAGUUGCAGGCCUUCCAGCUAGAGUUUAGCACAACCAGUGUCAUUAGGGGAGCAGCUCUAGCUGAUUUUGUGGCGGAGUGGACCGACACUCCAGGCCCGGGGUUGGAUGAGGGCCAAUCCCUCACGCCUAGCGACGAAGCGCACGAUGGCAGGGUAAUGCACUUUGAUGGAGCCUUCGCGCGACAGGGCGCGGGGGCUGGAGUCAUACUCGUCUCACCAACCAAGGACAAGCUCUACUAUGCCGUGCAGCUUUGCUUCGAGCAAGGCAAGAAGGUCUCCAACAAUAUCAUAGAAUAUGAGGGCUUGAUUGCUGGUCUCAGGGCUGCGGCCGCCCUAGGGGUCUAGCGCCUUACCAUCAAGGGCCACUCCCAGCUCCUCGUCAACUUCUCCAACAAGGAGUACAAACAUAAGGACGAGCACCUGGAAUCUUACGUGGAAGAGGUACGUAAAAUAGAAAAGCAUUUCCUAGGCUUGGAAUUGCAGCAUGUCCCGUAUGGCGCGAACAAGGAAAUCGACGACAUUGUCAAGAGGCACUACAAAAAAAUACACUUCUGUGAUGAUACGUGUUUGCCAUAGUAGGUCACGUUUUCUAUCAAGCAUGUACAUCCAUGACGAUUUUAUGACACAAUCAAGAUAGUCAUACAUGUGCUAUCGUAGAAGUGUCCCAUGACAUUACCAAAAUUAUCAUCACAGAAGUGUCCACUUCCAUGACGAUAAAUCGUGCGUCAUAGAAGUGCUUUCGUCAAGGGUGACUGACACAUGGCUUCCAUCGUAAUGUGUCGCCGUUAAGCUAUUGGGUUCCGGUUUGGAUCCGAUAACCCGUUAACAGCCCGGACCAAUGGCGAUUUUCCACGUGUAAAAUUCUCAUUCGCCGACGAACCACAUGUCGGCUUAGUGUUGGGACAGAUGUCAACCGUCCAUUUGACAAGAAUCACCAAUGAAACGUUGACACGUGGGAUGGCCCAAUAGACGCCCAUAUAGGUCUAAAAGACGACCCAAGAACAGGCCCACAAGAUUUCACCAGAUCUAAUGGGCCAGUCCAUUAACAGCCUAACAUUUUCUGGACCAAAUUAUAGCCCACAUCAGAUACGGGCCGUUAAAUGACUGCAAUAUUCUGGGCCCAGUUUACGUCCCAUGUUAGAUCCGGCCCCUUAAUAGCCUGCAAUAGUUUGGGCCAAAUUACGGUUCAGACCUGAUCCGGCCUGUUAACUGACUUGUAUUACUUGGGCCAAAUUACGACCCAUAACAGAUAUGAGCCUUUUAACAGCUACUAUACCAUUGGGCCCAUUGGCGGCCUGAUUUUCUCUUUGACGUCUUAAUGUCCCAUUUAAUAGUUUGGACCGAUACUAGUUUCGGCCUGUCAGCGACCCUGUCUAUAUAAGGGCCUCUUUCGGCUCGGCUUCACUUUCGACCAUUUAAAGUCCCGAGUUGCACCUUGGCCUAAUUAUGGUCUGUAGGUACUUUUGGCCUCUUAACGGCCCGUAGUAUUCGUCGAUACAUUCUAGCCCAAACUGCCUAUAGGCCCGUUAAACUCCCUUAAGAGUGUUGGGCAAUUACUAUUGGGCAAUUGAUAGAACCUCAAAUAAUUCUAACGAUAUCCAGGUGUUGGUGUCAAAACUGGUGGAUCUCGGGUAGGGGGUCCCGAACUGUGCGUCUAAGGCGGAUGGUAACAGGAAGCAGGGUACACGAUGUUUACCCAGGUUCGGGCCCUCUUGAUGGAGGUAAUACCCUAUGUCCUGCUUGAUUGUUCUUGAUGAUAUGAGUAUUACAAGAGUUGAUCUACCACGAGAUCGUAGAGGCUAAACCCUAGAAGCUAGCCUAUGGUAUGAUUGUAUCUUUUUUCCUAUGGACUAAACCCUCCGGUUUAUAUAAACACCAGAGGGGGCCAGGGUUACACGGAGUCGGUUACAAGGGAGGAGAUCCACAUAUCCGUAUUGCCAAGCUUGCCUUCCACGCCAAGGAAAGUCCCAUCCGGACAUGGGACGAAGUCUUCAAUCUUGUAUCUUCAUAGUCCAACAGUCCGGCCAAAAAAUAUAGUCUGGCUGUCUGGAGACCCCCUAAUCCAGGACUCCCUCAAUAGCCCCUGAACUAGGCUUCAAUGACGAUGAGUCCGAUGCACAGUUUUGUCUUCGGCAUUGCAAGGCGGGUUCCUCCUCCGAAUACUCCAUAGAAGAUUCUGAAAACAACGAUAGUGUCCUGCUCUGCAAAAUAAUUUCCACAUACCACCAUAGAGAGAGAAUAAUAUUUCCACAAAUCUAAUCUGCUGACGCUUUCUGACAGCACCACGGCAUGUCGUGGCUCGGGCUUUGUUCAAACCGUUUUUCUCAACCAGCACCGCAUAUAUUGCGGGGCGGUUUUCUCGACACGUCUUGUCAAAGCAGAGAUCGUGUCCCCCUUAUUAUGGGAUUCUCAUCAAUAUGGACGCGGGUAACCCAAUCGCGCCAUUACUUACGGCGCUUGGGAAAUAAGAGGUUUUAUCAGGCGAGGGGGGAGGGGCAUCGCCUCUUCCGCCCUUAUAAAGGGACAAGAAUUCACCCUCUUCACCCAUACUUUCUUCCCAACUCAUUCCAUUCUUCUUAGGCUCCAACGCGCGAGCGUUCACCUCCUCUACCCACAAAAGGUCUUCCAAAGAUGUCUGGAUCCGGAGCAGGAGGCAAAUGGAUGGCCUCUACCGUCCGAGAGAAGAAUAUCAAAAAGCUUCGGGAGGCCGGGUAUCUAGCCAAGAAAAUCGACCACCGUCUCCCGACGGCGGGACAGAUCGUCCCCACUCUGGAACCCCACGAGAGGGUUGUAUUCCUCCCUCACUUUGUCCGCGGGCUAGGAUUUCCCCUCCACCCAUUCGUUCGCGGUAUCACGUACUAUUAUGGGAUCGAUCUUCAUGAUCUGUCCCCUAAUUCCUUCGUCAACAUCUCGACAUUCAUUGUCGUGUGCGAGGCUUUUCUCCGUGUUUCGCCACACUUUGGUUUAUGGCUGGAGGUCUUUAAUGAAGCCCAAGGUGGUGGGCGGCGAGCACGCCGAGUGCGGGGGCGCUAUGGUGAGCAAGAUGCCCAACGUCAUAUGGCCAACGGGAACCUUAAUUGAUUAUAUCAAGGAGUGGCAACAAUAGUGGUUUUACAUCACUGAGCCGAGCGGUAAGGGAUGGGCCGCUUCUCCCGAGUUUCGAUCCGGCGCCCCUCUGCGGCUUACGUCCUGGGUCAAGAAAGGACUGGAUUGGUCCUGUCGGACGAACUGUCGGUGCUCCAGACGCUUGUUAAAGAUAUGGGAGAUAAGAACAUUGAACUCGUUGACGUAGUCCAGGUGAUGUUAGUCCGCCGGAUACCGCCUUGUCAACACCGGACCUGCAAUCUAUGGGAGUUUGAUCCGGCCAGGCACCAAACCUUGCGAAGGCUCUUCGUCUCUUCACACGAGGACAUUUGGAAGGUGCUUUUUAAGUCUAGCAAAUCAUGGCCGGACUCCGCCAAAGACCGCGGGUACCAACUGUCCCGCCCUGCAAGUUCGGUGAGUUUAUGAAACUUUUCCAUCCGCAUGACCCAAAAGAAGCGCCUAACGCGUGUUCAUUCAACUUUCCUAGAGCUGGACGAAGAAGGCGGAGCGGAUCUAUUGUCCGGCCCCGUUGCCCGAAGACCCGGCCAUCCCACUUCUGACGAAGAUGCUGGUCCUGGUGUCUUACAAGGUGCCAAAGAAGACGGACGAGAAGGAGGCUAAAAAAACCCGGGGCGGCCAUCGUCGUCACGCACUUCGGGCACAAUACCCAAAGGCUCUGAUGCCCAUUCCACCUUCGAAGAGGACCAAAAGGAGGAAGAAGAUGAAUCCCCUGUAGAGGGAAGAAGGAAGAGGACGACCUCCACAUCCUUGGAGGCCGAACUACCCAAAAGAGAAAAGAUUCCUUGUCAAGAGGAGUCUCCUGCCGCCGCCGAUAGUGGCCUGGCAUGGGAUCCUAGGGCCCAGCCCCCGGUGAACUCGUGAGUAUAUAAAAUCCGAGUACGUUUAGGCGUCCGGACUCAUCAUGGCUUAGUAUUUUAACCUAAGCCAUAUAUUUCUUGUAGUCUGGCGAGGUCUCGUACCGAACAAUCCUCAUCGGAGGACCUGCUAAGCUCAAACGAUGUGGAGAGCGGGAUGACCCCGAAGGACCCUUCCUCGAAGUAGGUGCCAAACACCGAGGCCUCGUCCCAAAAGGACCCUGGCCAAGGAGGAAAGGAAAAAAUCGUGAAGGCGGCGCCUGGAGGCCGAACCGCAGCCAAUUCCGCCGGAGAGGGCAUGCCUGUUCCGCUGGCGACCUUUGUCCAUCCAGAAGUGUCAGAUGCUUUGUUGGUGGCGCUACGAGAUUCCUCCAUCGUUGAUGAGCACCGUUCCCUGAUGAGCGCGGUGAUUGAGAAAAUUCAGUCGACCGAGAGUGUACUGAACGAAACCUGUAUCAGUCUUAUAAAAGGUUUUGAGGUAUGUUUUAUGAGUUAUUGAAGAGUGUCAUAGUAUAGAUAGUAGCCCCUGAUACACUGUUUGGUGAAAGAAAGAACCAGACACGGGAUCGAAUUCAUGAUCUCAGGAAGACUCACUAAAUGACAUUGAUUUCUCUCCAGUUUCAAGCAGAUACCUAUAGCGGCUGCUGCUUCUCAUACUACAGAGAUCGCUGGACUGAAUCAAAGUAUGGAGCGGGCUAGAGAAGAAAUUGUCCGAUUGGAAAUGCAGUUGAGGAAUAAACAAGGUAUGCACCAGUAUUAUGUGCAUUUAUUGUGAAAUAAAUGUUCAGUAUGAAAUAAGCCGCAUAAUAUGUGCUAGGAGUUAUGACCGAAGUCGAGUCCCUCAAAAGGGCCGUUGCCGAGGCCGAGAAAAAGGCGGCCACAGAGCGGGCUCUUCAUGAGAAACAUGAAGCCAGAGUUAUUAAAGCUGAGCAAGAGCUGCAAGAGGCCGUAAGUAAAUGUGAGGCCUUGGAGCAGAGUUUAACGGAGAAAGAGUCCGAACUCACCAAGGCGCGCCAAGCCACAAGCGACGCACAGGGGGAAACCCAAAGCGCGCUGCAGGGGAUCCAAGAGGCGAGGAAGAUCGCGGUGGGUAAGCUUUUCCCAUGUAAACAAAAUAUUUGAAGGGAAAACUAUGUUUCUGAUUGUGAAUCCGGACUUCUCAGGUGUAUUUGCCAAGCUACCGCACAGUAUUUUAGAUGCCGUGCACUUCUACCGAGCCGAAGGAAGGAAUACAGCCGAUAAUCUUUUUUGGCCUCAGUAUUUGGCACUGAAAUAUCCGGUGCCUUUUGCCGAUCAACUAAAACAGCUGAUCGAACUGCAUAAGGCGGCGGAACUAGCCAUGAAAGAUGUGGUUAUCCGGCUAUGGCCUGCCGAACCAAUUUCAAGCAGCUACUUCGGGCUCAUAAGGUGGCUUAUAAGCGCUUGCCCUCGACUUGACGCCAUCAAGCAGUCUGUCUGUAUAGAAGGAGCGCGAAUGGCCUUCACCCUUGCAAAGGUGCACUGGGGGAAGAUGGAUGCCGAAAAUCUAGUGACCGAAGGACCGCCAGAGGGUAAGGAGCAUCGCAAGCCCGAAUCAUAUUAUAAGAGUGUCCUGAAAGGAUCCUACCUUGCGGCGGAGCUAUGUACCAAGGCCAUUAUAUUUCCCUGAAUGCAGAUCAUGUUGUCCAUUGUAAUGUUUAAACAAGGUCGUUGAUAUGUCUCAUGUUAUAUAAAAGUUUACCCUCCUGUGCGGCCGUUUGUAUAUUAAGGCUGAGAGUUGGCCAGUCGUCGGCUUCUGCCCCCACGUAAGUAGUACGAGGGUGUUCGGGAUAAACAUGAGCACUCUUUAUCCCAGUUUUGGGUCCUCCAAGGGAGGUGCUCAGCACAAUGAACCAGGCAAUCGGACUAUAGGGAUUUAUCGCUCUCACUUAGCCAUAGGAGCCUUAGUAUGGUCGGCGCAGCCCCUUGUGUUUGGAAGACCGUACUAGGGGCUCUAUAAGCGCCUGAUCGGAGAAAAAGCCGAUCCAUCACACGCUGCAUUGGUUAUGGCAUUAUGCGGGAGAAAUCCUUAAAGAUUUUGUGACCGCUCGAACAUUUGACCAGCUCUCGCCGUAUCAUGACAGUCAGUUUUCGGCUUUCUCUACUGAGGUGCUCAUCCGGAAGAACCGGGACACAAUCGCAGUAGUUCUCCCAGUGCUACCUUAGCCGAUAUAGCGGAACAUAAGGUACCAAAACAUGGGAGCCGGGCAAACCCAACUAUUGACCCAAGACAUGAUUCGGAGCUGAUGCAUAUAAUGUUAUAAGUUCGGGGUGCCGAACUUCCACGAAGGUGUUCGGGCUUUUAUUGCCGUGUUACGGGGAAAACGAAGCCCCUGGCAUAUUUAAGGCAUAUCGCUAUGUACGGAUGUUGUUUGAAGAAGUGAUUUCGAUAAGAAAUAAUCAGCGGCAAAACAUCAUAUAAAUCCACAUGUUGUAUUUGAAUAUACGUCUAUGUGUAUGGGUACAAGUAAUGUGAUAAACAAAAAGGAGUUGUGAUAGCAGAACCUGCUGUGACCUAGGAGUUGUGAUAGCAGAACAUGUUUCCUUCCAAGCCAAGGAAAGUCCCAUCCGGACAAGGGACGAAGUCUUCAAUCUUGUAUCUUCAUAGUCCAACAGUCCGACUAAAGGAUAUAGCCCGGCUGUCCGAAGACCCCCUAAUCCAGGAUUCCCUCACCAGGCAAUGAUCAUUACAUAGGCAUGACGUCCAAGAUUAGUAGACCUACUCCUUCCUGCAUCUACUACUAUUACUGCACACAUCGAUCGCUACCUAGCAUGCAUCUAGUGUAUUAAGUUCAUGGAGAAACCGAGUAAUGCAUUAAGAACGGUGACAUGAUGUAGACGAGAUCCGUUUAUCUAUGGCGGUAUAUAUAGGUCCCAUAUUUUUAUCCUUAGUAGCAACGAUACAUGCGUGUCGGUUCCCUUUCUGUCACUUGGAUCAAGCACCGUAAGAUCGAACCCACUACCGGGCACCUCUUCCUAUUGCAAGAUAAAUAGAUCAAGUUAGCCAAACAAAACCUGUCGUGGAUUUGUCACGGCAGAUGUCCUAGUGUGAGGACUUAGUCGUGAGGCCAACACAUCUUUGUAAUAGAUUGAGAGAGGUUGAGCGGAAUCGAGAGACGCAACACAAGACAAAGAAUUAGACAGCUUCAGGCCCCAGGAAACAUCAUCUGGUAAUAGCCCUACAUGUUGUUUGUGGCUAGAUCUCAUUAUGCUCAUGAGAGAGUCACCGUAUAAGCCAACUCCCCCUUUGUGUCUAGCCCUAGAGACUGUUUCUUGUCCCUCUUGGGGUGCCCUACCCCUCCUUAUAUAUGUUGAAGGGGCGGGUUACAUGAUUAGUCCUAGUAGGAUUAGGAUUACUAUAUUACAAGUGGAGUCCUAGUCUUGUUUCCUUUUUAGGAGAAUAUUCUUUAUGCCUUUCCUAUUAAGCCGGCCCACCAUCACAUGAAUCGGCCUUCUGGGCCUUGGGCCUUGUCAUCCAUCUGACAUGUCGUUGGGGUCAUCAGUAAGUCACCAAAUACUCGUCGGGUCUCUGUGAGCCAUCACACCAGUGAACUGCCAUACACGUGUGUCGUCAAUCCUCUGGCGGUUACCAAUGAAAUAUCAACUCCGACCGGGUCAUAUAUCCGACCGGGUCAUACCGCGGGGUAUUUCCCCGACAUUAGCCCCCAGUUUAAUUUGGAUUUAUCCGUGUUAAACUGAUCUGCAAUAUAAACACAAGAGAAAAUUUGACAGGUUGUGAUCCGGGUUAAAUAUUCUUGUAAGCCGGCACCUGAUCAUCCUUAAGUCCUUGUCAUUUCCUCCUUCUAGAAAAUACGGGUCAAUAGGCCGGCUUCAUAAUCAACUUGCUUGUAGAAGAAAUAUUGUAAAUAAAGAAUCCAUUAGAGUCGGUCUUCAAUGCUCUGACUUGACAAAAAUAUUGGUCUUCAAAUAUUCAACUGAUAUUCAGCCGGCUUGAAGAUAUAAAACUUGCCGAUUUAUGAUUGCCAAAAUUGUUGGGUUAUAAACAAAUGAUGCCGGGUCAUGUAAUUGUUGCUGAUGCCGGAUUAAUCUUAUGAUGACACCGGGUCAUAAACUUCGCAGAUUUCUUCGAUAAUAAUAUAGUACAUGAUUUUCUCAAAACUGAGAAUUUGAAGUUAUUCCUCCCUUAUAUGCAUAUCACCUGUAGCCCCAAAUGCCGGGUUCUCAUGCUUCCAGCAACCGGGGACUUAUAAUUGCCUUAUGCUCAUAAACAUUUCAACCAGUGUAUCCCCCUAGGGCCGGGUCAUUAUGUAAUAAUGAGCAGGGACUUUAUAAAUAUGAUCAUGUAAACUUCAACAGCUACGUGUAGCCCCCAAGGGCCGGCUUAGUAAGAUAUUACUGAGUUGGGACUUUGUAUAUUCUUCAUUGAUAAUAACAUCAUAUGAUGUAAUCUCCACCAUGGGCUUAAACCCACGUCCACAAGGUUAAGAGCUUUGUACUCUACCAACUUAGUAGUGGAUCUUUCAAUAUAAUGGACUGAGGCUUGUGUACCUUGAAUUUUUGACAGGAGCAAUUGGUAGCCCCCAAGGGCCGGCUCAUUACAAUGGGAUGAGUCGGGUCUUCAAUAAGUUGAUCAAAAAAUGACUUUACAAAACCCAAAUAUCAAAGAACAAAUAUGAGGCUAUAAGAGAUCAUGCAUAAAAGUGAUCAAAGAAACUCAAAUACUUUCAUGGAUAUAAAAAGAUAGAUCUGAUCAUAAACUCAAAGUUCAUCGAUCCCAACAAACACACCGCAAAAGAGUUACAUCAUAUGGAUCUCCAAGAGACCAUUGUAUUGAGAAUUCAGCGAGAGAGAGAGAGAGAGAGGAAGCUAUCUAGCUACUAACUACGGACCCGAAGGUCCACAAAGUACUACUCACGCAUCAUCAGAGAGGCACCAAUGGAAGUGGUGACCCCCUCCGUGAUGGUGUCUAGAUUGGAUUCGGUGGUUCUGGACUCUGCAGCGGCUGGAUGAAUAUUUCGCCGACUCUCCUAGCAUUUUGGGAAUAUUGGGGUAUUUAUAGAUCAAAGAGGCAGUCCUGGGGCACCCAAGGUGGGCACAACCCACCAGGGCGCGUCUGGGCCUCCUGGCGCGCCCUGGUGGGCUAUCCACUCCUCGGGACUCCCCCCAGGUGCAACCAGGGCCCAACAUCUUCCUUCUGGUCCACAAAUAAUCUCUGUAAAGUUUUGUGGCAUUUGGACUGCGUUUGGUAUUGAUUUUCUGUGAUGUAAAAAACAUGGAAAAAAACAGCAACUGCCACUUGGCACUAUGUCAAUAAGUUAGUAGCAAAAAAUGAUAUAAAAUGACUAUAAAAUAUUAUGAAACAUCCAAGAUUGACAAUAAAACAGCAUGGAACAAUAAAAAAUUCUAGAUACGUUGGAGACGUAUCAGCAUCCCCAAGCUUAACUCCUACUCGUCCUUGAGUAGGUAAGUGAUAAAAACAGAAUUUUUGAUGUGGAGUGUUGUUCAUCAUGUCAUAUCAUAUUAUUUUGUUUAUAGCAUGGACAUUUGUACUUUUAUAUGAUUCAAAGCAAUAGCCUAGUUUUGACAUAAUAAUUUAGAUACUCAAGCAUAUCAACAAGCAACCAUGUCUUUCAAAAUAUUAACGCUAAAAUAAGUUAACCCUAGUCCAUCAUGCUCAAGCAUUGAUCCAUUCAUGAAACACACUCGAAUAUUAACUACACCCAAUACUUAAGCAUGAUCAUAUUGCCUCCUAGUUGUUGCUUUUAUAUAUAAGAGAAGAUGGGGACUCAAAAUAAAAAUUGCAUAAAGUAAAAGAUAGGCCCUUCACAGAGGGAAGUGGGGAUUUGUAGAGGUGCUAGAGCUGAAAGCAAAAAAAUUGAGAUAGAGUUCCCAAUACUUUCCAUGCAUAGAUAUAUCAUAGGCGGUUCCCAAACAGAAAAUAAAGUUUAUUCCUUUUUCCACCAUAAUUUUCACUUUCCAUGGCUAGCCGUAUCCACGGUUGCCCUCCAUACAACACUUUCCAAGGAAUUUAUUAUUUGACAACAUAAAGUAAAUUCAUUUGUUUUUGCAUUUCGGGACUGGGCAUCCCUAAUACAUUUUCCUUACUCUCGUGCAAUGACAAAUGAAUAAACACUCAUCUUGAGAAUAACACAUCUAGCUUGGAAAAUAGUAGCCACCCCUCACCGCUCCGUGAGCGAAACAAACACACAAAAAGAAGUUUAUUUUAGAAAUUAGAGAUGGCACAUGAAAAUUUGCUUAGAACCGCAAAAUAAUACCGCAUAUAGGUAGACAUAGUGGACUCAUGUGGCAAAACUUGUUUAAAGGAUUUUGGAUUCACAAGUAGAGGUCAUACUUAGUGCAAAAUGAAGGCUAGCAAAAGAUUGGGAAGCAACCAACCAAGAAACGAAUAAUCUCAUAAGCAAGCAUUAAGCAUAAUUAACACCGAAUAAUGCACCACAAGUAGGAUAUAAUUUUCAUUGCAUGAUUAUUGACUUUCAAGCAUGCAUAGGGAAUCUCAAACCUUAACACCAAUAUUCUUACUAAAGCAUAAUUACUCAUCAAGAUGACUCACAUAUCACAUCAUCAUAUCUCAAAACUACUACUUAGAAUCAAGUUUAUUUUGUCAAAUGAUCUUCAUGACAAUUUUUUUCUUUAUACUUCUUGCAUAUCUAUCACUUUGGGACUAAUUUUCAUGUGUUGCUUUUCAUAAGCUCAAACAAAUAUAGGUCAAGAUCAUGAGCAUAACAAAUUUUCUUUCUCUCAAAAUAAUUUAAGUGAAGCAAGAGAAAAUUUCUUCAAAAUUUUACUAACCCUCAAAUAAAUCUAAGUGAAGCAAGAGAGAAUUUCAUCAAAAAUAACAAGCACACCAUGCUCAAAAAGAUAUAAGUGAAGCAGUAGAGGAAGUCCAUUGCUCAAAAAAAUUUAAGUGAAGCAUAGACAACAAUUCUAACAAGUCAAGAUAUAAUUUUGGCUCUCUCAAAUAGGUGUGUCCAGAAAGGAUUGAUGACUUAAAAAAAACAAGCAAAGACACAUAUCAUACAAGACGAUCCAAGAAUAACAUAUAUCAUGUGACGAAUAAAAAUAUAGUCUCGAGUAAAAUACCGAUAGUUGUUGGAAGAAAGCGGGGAUGCCACUCGGGGGCAUCCCCAAGCUUAGUUGGUUGCUCAUUCUUGGAUAAUAGCUUGGGAUGCCUAGGCAUCCCCAAGCUUAGGCUCUUCCAUCCUUCCUUCAUCCAUCGUAAUAUAACCCAAAACUGGAAAACUUCAAUCACACAACACUCAACGAAGCCUUCGUGAGAUCCGUUAGUAUAAGAAUAAUAAAUCACUACUAUAGGUGUUGUAUUGAACCAAUUCAUAUUUUGUUUUUGUAUUAUAUCUUCUCUAUUCCAACUUUUCUAUGGCAAAAACUCAUCAAAGAAAACCAUAGAGCCAUCAAGCACACAACACAAAGAAAAUAGAAUCUGUCAAAACAGAACGGUCUGUAUAAAUCUUACUAUUUCGAAUACUUCUGUAACUUAAAAAACUCUGAAAAAUUAGGAAGACCUGAGAAAUUUGUAUAUUGAUCUACUGCAAUUGUAAUAGGUAUUUUAUCACUCUUUGGUAAAAAUGAAAAUUAAUUUGGUGAGCGUAAAAGUUUCUGUUUUUUCAGCAAAAUCAAACAACUAUUGCCUAAGAAGAUCCUAAAGGCUUUACUUGUCACAAACACUAAUUAAAACACAAAAAACACAAUCAUAAUAGUAUCAUAAUUAUGCUAACACUCAAAAAUAGGAAGCAAAAAUAAAAAAUAAAAUUUAUUCAUUGGGUUGCCUCCAACAAGCGCUAUAGUUUUACGCCUUUAGCUAGGCAUAAGGCAAGGUUCUAUGUUUUGUCAUCUUUGUCCAACUCUUCAAUCAAACACUUAGAAUCCUUCAAAGAUUUAACAUAAAGACUUUCAAUAGCAAUACUUCUAGGAGUUAAUUUAAAGAUUUCAUUCUUGCAAAAAGGAUCUCUUAUCACUUCAACAAAAUCAGGGUGGAUACUAAUCAUCUUAAGAUCUCCUUUAUUGCUAUCACUAGAAGUUACACCCUUGUUUCUGGAUCUCCUACACUUUACGGGAGUUUCCUCAAUAAUUUUAGUGGUAGUAAAAGCCGUGCUUAGAUUACUAAAGAUUUCUUCCAAUUUAUCGAUCUGAGAUGGACUUUCUUCUAUUCUUUCAUGGAUUAAGGUACCCCUCGCUUUUAACAACUUAAAAAUAUCGCCUGCUUUUGACCCAAGAUUAGUAGCAAAAUUAUGCAUCUUUUUAUGUAUAAUUUCCAUAUGAUCUUCAGUGAGUAUUUUCCUGUCGAUAGCAUCUAGUAUUUCCAUAACAUGCACAAAAGUCAAAAUUGUUUCAUUAACCAUAAGAGGUGGUGAGCCCACUAAAUUUCCCAUAGCAUUAAGAGCAUCAAAAGGGGGACUCAUUAGGAAAUUUCCACCGGUAAUUGUAUCAAGGAUGAAUCUAUACCAAGUGGUGAUGCCAACAUAAAAACAAUGCAGAAGCACAAUGGUAGAUUGCUUACAGAUAGAUCUAUUAUGAGCAUUGCAAAUUCUAUACCGAGCAUCUUCUAAACUUUCUCCUCCGCUUUGUUUAAAGUUGAGAACCUCGUUUUCGGGAGUGCAAGCAAUAGAGGAGGAAUUAUCCAUAAUGGCAAACAAGAUCUCACACACAAAAACAGUUCCGGCAAGGGCGAACGGAAAAAGAGAGGCUAAUAGAAUGGCAAUUUUUUGUGCAGUGGGGGCGAGGAAAACGAGAGGUAAAUGGUGAACAAUGUAAAUUGAAUGGAGGUGAGAUUUGCGAUUAGGAUCCUGGUUAUGUUGAAGAUCUUCCCAGGCAACGGCGCUAGAAACUCCUUUUGAUGUCGCUGGAAGCUAUGUCAGUAUUUCCCCAAAGAGGAAGGGAUGAUGCAGCAUAGCGGCGGUAGGUAUUUUCCUCAGAUAUGAAACCAAGGUUAUCGAACCAGUAGGAAAGCCAAGCAACACAACGUAAACAGCCCCUGCACACAGAUAACAAAUCCUCGCAACCCGACGUGUUAAAGGGGUUGUCAAUCCCUUUCGGGUAAUGGCGCCUCAAACCAUGCGUGGACGGGAGAAAGUUGUGAAUAGAUUGAAUAAAUAGAUCACAAAUAAAAUAAAGUGCAGAAAAGUAUUUUGUAUUUUUGGUUUAAUAGAUCUGAAAAUAAAGGCAAAUAAAAGAUAGAUCACAAAGGCCAAUAUAUGAGAAAGAAGACCCGGGGCCCUAGGUUUCACUACUGGCUUCUCUCGAGAAAAAUAGCAAACAGUGGGUAAAAAAUUACUGUUGGGAAAUUGAUAGAACCUCAAAUAAUUAUGACGAUAUCCAUGCAAUGAUCAUUACAUAGGCAUCAUGUCCAAGAGUACUAGACCGACUCCUGCCUGCAUCUACUACUAUUACUCCACACAUCGACCCCUAUCCAGCAUGCAUCUAGUGUAUUAAGUUCAUGGAAAAACAAAGUAAUGCAAUAAGAACGAUGACAUGUUUAGACAAGAUCCGUUUAUCUAUGGCGGUAGAUAUAUAUCCCAUCUUUUCAUCCUUAGUAGCAACGAUAUAUACGUGUCGAUUCCCUUUUUGUCACUAGGAUCAAGCACUGUAAGAUCGAACUCACUACCGGGCACCUCUUCCCAUUGCAAGAUAAAUAGAUCAAAUUGUCCAAACAAAACCCAAAUAUCGGAGAAGAAACACGAGGCUAUAAGAGAUCAUGCAUAAAAGAUAUCAGAGAAACUCAAAUACUUUCAUGGAUAUAAAAAGAUAGAUCUUAUCAUAAACUCAAAGUUCAUCGAUCCCAACAAACACACCGCAAAAGAGUUACAUCAUAUGGAUCUCCAAGAGACCGUUGUAUUGAGAAUUUAGUGAGAGAGAGAGAGAGAGAGGAAGACAGCUAGCUACUAACUAUGGACCCGAAAGUCUACAAAGAACUACUCACGCAUCAUCGGAGAGGCACCAAUGGAAGUGUUGAACCCCUCCGUGAUGGUGUCUAGAUUGGAUCUGGUGGUUCUGGACUCUGCGGCGGCUGGAUGAAUAUCUCGUCGACUCCCCUAGGGAUUUGGAAUAUUGGGGUAUUUAUUGAGCAAAGAGGCGGUCCGGGGGGCACCCGAGGUGGGCACAAAUUCUUUCAUCAAGAAAUUCUAUUUGAGAUUUAGCAACUUGUUCUAACUGAGUUAGAACCAUAGAAGCAAGAUUUCCAACACCUCUAACAUCAUUUGAUAUUCUAAAUAACAAGACACUCAAAUGAGCAAUCAUAUCAGAAUUGUAUCUCAAUUCUACCAUAACAUUUGCAUUGAAGUGAUCUUGUUUUCUAAUAUAAUUUUCAAACUCAUAAAGGCAUUGACUAGGAUGCAUAUUGUGAGGAUUGUCAUUAUCAUUGAAUUUCAUAAGAGAAUUUACCUCUACCACCUUAGGUAGUGGUCCUAUAUCAAGCCCAUGUAUUUCCUCAAUAGGAGGUAAAUUUUUAACAUCCUCAGCUUUACUACCCGUUUCCUUCAUAGAUUUCUUUGCCUCUUGCAUAUCUUUCGAACUGAAAUAUAAUAUACCCCUCUUCUUUGGAGUUGGUUUAGGCGGUGGUUCAGGAAUAGUCCAACCAUCAUAAUUUUUCAAUAUGUUAUUCAAUAAAUCUUCAGCUUGACCAACAGUUUGUUCCCUGAAAACACAACCAACACAACUAUCUAGGAAGUCCCUAGAAGCAUCGCUUAGUCCAUUAUGGAAGAUAUCAAGUAUUUUAGUUUUCUUAAGUGGAAGAUCAGGCAAAGAUUUAAGUAAUUGGAAAAGCCUCCCCCAAGCUUGUGGGAGACUCUCUUCUUUGAUUUGCACAAAGUUAAAUAUUUCCUGUAAGGCGGGUUCUUUCUUAUGAGCAAGAAAAUAUUUUUCAGAGAAGUAAUAAAUCAUAUCCUGGGGACUACGCACACAACCAGGAGCAAGAGUAUUGUACCAAGCUUUAGCAUCAACCUUUAAUGAGAACGGAAAUAAUUUGAGAAUAAAGUAAUAGCGAGUUUUCUCAUCAUGAGUAAAAAGGGUGGCUAUAUCAUUCAACUUAGUGAGAUGUGCCACAACAGUUUCGGUUUCAUAACCAUGGAAAGGAUCAGAUUCAACCAAAGUAAUUAACUCUGGGUCAACAGAUAAUUCAUAACCCUUAUCAUCAAUAAAGAUAGGUGAAGUAGCAAACUUAGGAUCACAUUUCAUUCUAGCAUUCAGAGAUUUUUCUUUAUACUUGCAUAAUAAUUUCUCUAGGUCAUCUCUAUCUCUGCAAGCAAGAAUAUCUAUAGUUGUUUCUUCACUCAUAACAUAACCUUCCGGUACCUUAGGUAGUUCAUAUCUAGGAAGACUAGUUGUAGUAGGUGUUUCUAGAGAUUCAGUUUCAAGCUCAUCAUCAGAUUCAACAACAUCAUGUCGUAUAACUCUACCAAUUUGUUUAUCAAGAAAUUCACCAAGUGGCACAUCAUCAUUAAGCAAGGUACUAUCAUUAUCAUAAGCAUUAUCCAUAGAAGAAGUAGCAUCGUCAAUAACUUGUGACAUAUCAGAAUUAAUAGCAUGUGGUGGUGGUGCAAGUUCACUUAUAACAGAAGGUGAAUCUAAAGUAGAACUGGAUGGCAGUUCCUUACCUGCCCUUGUCUUUGUGGGAAAAAUCUUAGUCUUAGCAUCCUUCAGAUUCUUCAUAGUGACAAUAUGAUAAUAAUCCCAAGUGAAUCGACAAAUACAGCUAUGCUCCCCAGCAACAGUGCCAGAAAAAGGUAUUGAUAACCCACAAUUAUAGGGGAUUGCAAUAGUUUUUGAGGGAAGAGUAUUCAACCCGAAUUUAUAGAUUUGACACGAUGGGAUCCAAAGAAUAUUUGAAGGUAUUAGCAGCUGAGUUGUCAAUUGAACCACACAUGAAUAUUAAUUAUCUGCAACAAAGUGAUUAGUAGCAAAGCAGUAUGAUAGUUUUGAUAAUAGUAGCAGCAGGAACGGUAAUGGUAACAGUGAGAGCAGUAAUUUGGUAGCAAGUGUAACAGUGAUGAUAGCAGCAGUAACUUAGCAAGAACAAUAUAGGAUAAAUUCGUAGGCAUCGGAUCGGUGACUUGUUGGAUGAUAUUCAUCAUGAGACAGUUAUAACCUAGGGCGAUACGGCACUACCUCCAUUUCAUCGGUAUAAUGUACGCAUGUAUUCCGUAAAUAGUCAUAUGUGCUUAUGGAAAGAACUUGCAUGACAUCUUUUGUCCUACCCUCCCGUGGUAGCGGGGUCCAUAUUGGAAACUAAGGGAUAUUAAGGCCUCCUUUUAAUAGAGAACCGGAACAAAGCAUUAACACAUAGUGAAUACAUGAACUCUUCAAACUACGGUCAUCACCGGGUGUGGGCCCGGCUAUUGUCACUCCGGGGUUGCCGGAUCAUAACACGUAGUAGGUGACUAUAAAUUGCAAGAUCAGAUCUAGAACAUGGAUAUAAUGGUGAUAACAUAAACGGUUCAGAUCCGAAAUCAUGGCACCCUGGCCCAAAGUGACAAGCAUUAAGCAUGGCAAAGUCAUAAAAAAUCAAUCUAAGAACAUAAUGGAUACUAGGGAUCAAGCCCUAACAAAACUAACUCGAUUACAUGAUGAAUCUCAUCCAACUCCUCACUGACCAGCGAGCCUACGAAGGAAGAACUCACUCUCGGUGGGGAGCAUCAUGGAAUUGGCGAUGGGAAAGGGUUGGUGAUGUCGAAGAACCAACACCCCACUCUCCGGAGCUCCAAACGGACUCCAGAUCUGCCCUCCCAAGGAAGAACAGGGCUUGGCGGCGGUUCCCUCUCGUGGAUCGUGAUAAUUCUUUAUCCCUGAUGUUGUUUCUAGAAAAUAGGAUUUUAUAGCGUUGGUUUCAGGAUCUGUGAGGCCACCAGGUGGGGACAACCCACCUGGGCGCGCCUGGUGAGGGGGGGGGGCGCCCUGGUGGGUUGUGCCCACCGAGGUGCCCCCCUUCAGUAGGUCUUGGCUCUAGAAAUUCUUAUAUAUUAUAUAAAAAUUCCCCGCAAAGUUUCGUUCCAUUCCGAGGACUUCUAUUUCUCCACAAAAAACAACAACAUGGUAGUUCUGCUAAAAACAAUGUCUGUCCGGGGUUAGUUUCAUUCAAAUCAUGCAAAUUAGAGUCCAAAACAAGAGGGAAAGCGUUUGGAAAAGUAUAUACGUCAGAGAAAUAUCACGGCAUCGUCACGGUGGUUGGAGACACGAAGGACGCGGUCUAGGCCCUCAAGCUCUCCUACAGGGCAACGGCGGCUUGACGCCAUGGAGGCUCAGGAGGCCGUGGUUGCAACGAAAAAGCAGUUGUUCUCUCAGGACUGAGCCGAGACAAAGCAAGUGCCUAUCGAUAGCGGGGUCUUGGGCCCCAUCUUCACCAUAGGUGCCGACCUCCCCUCAGCCCAACAAAGACGUAUUCGCAUGGGAAGCAUCUGAAUUGGUUGGUAUCACGAGGGAGGUGAUCGAGCACCACUUGAUGGUACGCCCCGGUGCGAAGCAAAAGGCACGGCGUCAGGCAUAAGAAAAGAAAGCGUUCGUCGUCCAAGGGAUUCGCGAGCUGCAAGAGGCCGGUGUGACACCCGGAUUAGUUAGCAAACCCAGUGAUCGUCCCCAAGAAAGGGGGAAGGAGCGCAUGUGCAUCGACUUCACGAGCCUCAACAAAACUUGCCGUCAGGACCCUUUCCUGCUCGCGUGCAUCGACCAAAUCAUGGAUUUCACUACCGAGUGUGAUCUGCUGUGCUUUUUUGAUGCUUUCUAAGGAUAUCAUCAAAUUAAUAUGGCAGUAGAGGACGUCGAGUAAACAACCUUCAUCUCCCUCUGCGGCGUGCAUUGCUUCACCUGCAUGCCCUUCGGACUACAGAAUGUUGGUGCGACCUUCCAGCGGCUAGUGCACAUCGCACUUGGGCCACAACUGGGGAGAAAUACACAGGCAUACGUCAAUGACAACAUGGUUAAGACACGGGAGGCAAGUGAUACGUCUCCAACAUAUCUAUAUUUGUUGAUUGUUGCAUGCUAUUAUAUUAUUCAUCUUGGAUGUUUUAUAAACAUCUAUAUGCUAUUUUAUAUUAUUUUUGGGACUAACCUAUUAACCUGGAGCCCAGUGCCAGUUUCUAUUUUUUUCCUUAUUUUUGAGUUUUGCAGAAAAGGAAUAUCAAACAGAGUCCAAAUGAGAUGAAAAUUUAUGAUGAUUUUUGAUGGACUAGAAGAAGCCCCCGAAGCACAAGAGUUGGUCCAAAAGUGUCCUGAAUCAAUGACAAGGUAGUAUCCACCCUGAUUUUGUUGAAGUGAUAAGAGAUCCUUUUUGCAAGAAUGAAAUCUUUAAAUUAACUCCUAGAAGUAUUGCUAUUGAAAGUCUUUAUGUUAAAUCUUUGAAGGAUUCUAAGUGUUUGAUUGAAGAGUUGGACAAAGAUGACAAAACAUAGAACCUUGCCUUGUGCCUAGCUAAAGGCGUGAAACUAUAGCGCUUGUUGGAGGCAACCCAAUGAAUAAAAUUUAUUUUUUAUUUUUGCUUCCUAGUUUUGAGUGUUAGCAUAAUUAUGAUACUAUUAUGAUUGUGUUUUUUGUGUUUUAAUUAGUGUUUGUGCCAAGUAAAGCCUUUAGGAUCUUCUUAGGCAAUAGUUGUUUGAUUUUGCUGAAAAAACAGAAACUUUUACGCUCACCAAAUUAAUUUUCAUUUUUACCAGAGAGUGAUAAAAUACCUAUUCCAAUUGCAGUAGAUCAAUAUACAAAUUUCUCAGGUCUUCCUAAUUUUUCAGAGUUUUUUGAGUUACAGAAGUAUUCGAAAUAGUAAGAUUUAUACAGACCGUUCUGUUUUGAUAGAUUCUAUUUUCUUUGUGUUGUGUGCUUAUUUUGAUGGCUCUAUGGUUUUCUUUGAUGAGUUUUUGCCAUAGAAAAGUUGGAAUAGAGUAGAUAUAAUACAAAAACAAAAUAUGAAUUGGUUCGAUACAACACCUAUAGUAGUGAUUUAUUAUUCUUAUACUAACAGAUCUCACGAAGGCUUCGUUGAGUGUUGUGUAAUUGCAGCUUUCCAGUUUUGGGUUAUAUUACGAUGGAUGAAGGAAGGAUGGAAGAGCCUAAGCUUGGGGAUGCCCAGGCAUCCCAAGCUAUUAUCCAAGAAUGAGUAACCAACUAAGCUUGGGGAUGCCCCCGAGUGGCUUCCCCGCUUUCUUCCAACAACUAUCGGUAUUUUACUCGAGACUAUAUUUUUAUUCGUCACAUGAUAUGUGUUUUUCUUGGAUCGUCUUGUAUGAUAUGUGUCUUUGCUUGUUUUAUUUUUUGUUUUAAGUCAUCAAUCCUUUCUGGACACACCUAUUUGAGAGAGCCGAAAUUAUAUCUUGACUUGUUAGAAUUGUUGUCUAUGCUUCACUUAAAUUUUUAUGAGCAACGGACUUGCUCUACUGCUUCACUUAUAUCUUUUUGAGCACGGUGUGCUUGUUAUUUUUGAUGAAAUUCUCUCUUGCUUCACUUAGAUUUAUUUGAGAGUUAGUAAAAUUUUGAAGAAAUUUUCUCUUGCUUCACUUAAAUUAUUUUUGAGAUAAAUAAAAUUUGUUAUGCUCAUGAUCUUGACUUAUAUUUGUUUGAGCUUAUGAAAAGCAACACAUGAAAAUUAGUCCCAAAGUGAUAGAUAUGCAAGAAGUAUAAAGAAAAAAAUUGUCAUGAAGAUCAUUUGACAAAAUAAACUUGAUUCUAAGUAGUAGUUUUGAGAUAUGAUGAUGUGAUAUGUGAGUCAUCUUGAUGAGUAAUUAUGCUUUAGUAAGAAUAUUGGUGUUAAGGUUUGAGAUUCCCUAUGCAUGCAUGAAUGUCAAUAAUCAUGCAAUGAAAAUUAUAUCCUACUUGUGGUGCAUUAUUCGGUGUUAAUUAUGCUUAAUGCUUACUUAUGAGAUUAUUCGUUUCUUGGUUGGUCGCUUCACAAUCUUUUGCUAGCCUUCAUUUUGCACUAAGUAUGACCUCUACUUGUGAAUCCAAAAUCCUUUAAACCAGUUUUGCCACAUGAGUCCACUAUGUCUACCUAUAUGCGGUAUUAUUUUGCCGCUCUAAGCAAAUUUUCAUGUGCCAUAUCUAAUUUUCAAAAUAAACUUCUUUUUUGUGUGUUUGUUUCGCUCAUGGAGCGGUGAGGGGUGGCUACUAUUUUCCAAGCUAGAUGUGUUAUUCUCAAGAUGAGUGUUUAUUCAUUUUUCAUUGCACGAGAGUAAGGAAAAUGUAUUAGGGAUGCCCAGUCCCGAAAUGCAAAAACAAAUGAAUUUACUUUAUGUUGUCAAAUAAUAAAUUCCUUGGAAAAUGUUGGUAUGGAGGGCAACCGUGGAUACGGCUAGCAAUGGAAAGUGAAAAUUAUGGUGGAAAAAGGAAUAAACUUUAUUUUCUGUUUGGGAACCGCCUAUGAUAUAUCUAUGCAUGGAAAGUAUUGGGAACUCUAAGUCAUUUUCAUUGGUGGGAUGAAUACACCGCUCAAAAUGUGUUUUAUCUCAAUUUUUUUGCUUUCAGCUCUAGCACCUCUACAAAUCCCCACUUCCCUCUGUGAAGGGCCUAUCUUUUACUUUAUGCAAUUUUUCUUUUGAGUCCCCAUCUUCUCUUAUAUAUAAAAGCACCAACUAGGAGGCAAUAUGAUCAUGCUUAAGUAUUGGGUGUAGUUAAUAUUCGAGCGUGUUUCAUGAAUGGAUCAAUGUUUGAGCAUGAUGGGCUAGGGAUAACUUAUUUUAGCGUUAAUAUUUUGAAAGACAUGGUUGCUUGUUGAUAUGCUUGAGUAUCUAAAUUAUUAUGUCAAAACUAGACUAUUGCUUUGAAUCAUAUAAAAGUACAAAUGUCCAUGCUAUAAACAAAAGAAUAUGAUAUGACAUGAUGAACAGCACUCCACAUCAAAAAUUCUGUUUUUAUCACUUACCUACUCAAGGACGAGUAGGAGUUAAGCUUGGGGAUGCUGAUACGUCUCCAACAUAUCUAUAAUUUUUUAUUGUUCCAUGCUGUUUUGUUGUCAAUCUUGGAUGUUUUACAAUCAUUUUAUAGUCAUUUUAUAUCAUUUUUUGCUACUAACUUAUUGACAUAGUGCCAAGUGGCAGUUGCUGUUUUUUUUCCAUGUUUUUUACAUCACAGAAAAUCAAUAUCAAACAGAGUCCAAAUGCCACGAAACUUUACAGAGAUUAUUUGUGGACCACAAGGAAGAUGUUGGGCCCUGUUUGCACCUGGGGGGAGUUCCGAGGAGAGGACAGCCCACCAGGGCGUGCCAGGAGGCCCAGGCGCCCCCUGGUGGGUUGUGUCCACCUCGGGUGCCCCAGGACCGCCUCUUUGAUCUAUAAAUACAAAAGUCGACGAAAUAUUCAUCCAGCCACCGCAGAGUCCAGAACCACCAGAUCCAAUCUAGACACCAUCACGGAGGGGGUCACCACUUCCAUUGGUGCCUCUCUGAUGAUGCGUGAGUAGUACUUUGUGGACCUUCGGGUCCGUAGUUAGUAGCUAGAUAGCUUCCUCUCUCGCUCUCUCUCUCUCUCUCGUUGAAUUCUCAAUACAAUGGUCUCUCGGAGAUCCAUAUGAUGUAACUCUUUUGCGAUGUGUUUGUUGGGAUCGAUGAACUUUGAGUUUAUGAUCAGAUCUAUCUUUUUAUAUCCAUGAAAGUAUUUGAGUUUCUUUGAUCUCUUUUAUGCAUGAUCUCUUAUAGCCUCAUAUUUGUUCUUUGAUAUUUGGGUUUUGUAAAGUCAUUUUUUGAUCAACUUAUUGAAGACCCGACUCAUCCCAUUGUAAUGAGCCGGCCCUUGGGGGCUACCAAUUGCUCCUGUCAAAAAUUCAAGGUACACAAGCCUCAGUCCAUUAUAUUGAAAGAUCCACUACUCAAUUGGUAGAGUACCAAUCUAUUAACCUUGUGGACGUGGGUUCAAGCCCCAUGGUGGAGAUUACAUCAUAUGAUGUUAUUAUCAAUGAAGAAUAUACAAAGUCCCGGCUCUUAACCUUGUCGCUGCCUUGUGGACCCCCCUGACGUGAAUCUGACGCAAAAAUUCCUGUAAAUCCUGAAACCUCCAGAAAUAAACUUAGAUCGGGUGUUCCGCCGCGGCAAGCCUCUAUUGCCAUGAAAAACCAAUCGGGAGCUCUUUCUGGCACCCUGCCGGAGGGGGAAACCAUCGCCGGAGGCCAUCUUCAUCAUCCCGGCGCUCACCAUGACGAUGAGGGAGUAAUUAACCCUCAGGGCUGAGGGUAUAUAAGUAUGAGUAGCUAUGUUUUGAUCUCUCUCUCGUGUUCUUGAUUUGGCACGAUCCUGAUGUACCGUGAGCUUUGUUACUAUAGUUGAAUCAUAUGGUGUUUCUCCCCCUCUACCUUCUUGUGAUGAAUAGAGUUUUACCUAUGAGGUUUCACUAUUAUCGAAAUGAAUACUAUUAUGGAUUUCAGACCACUUGAUGUAUGUCUUGCGUGGGAUACUUGUGGUGACAAUGGAGCGUUCUACUGAUUCACUUGAUGUACGUUUUGUCACUCAAUGCAUGAAUUCCCGAGGUGACAUUGGGGUAAUCUAUGCAUAGGGGUUGAUGCACCUUUGCAUCCUUGUUUCUCUGGUAUGAAUCUUGGGGCACUCUUUGAGGUUCUUUGUGUUGGAUUGAAUAUUAUGAAUCUGAAGUUUUUUGAUGCAUAUCGUAUAAUUGACCCACGGAUACUUGUGGUGACAUUGGAGUAUCUAGGUGACAUUAGGGUUGAUUGAUGUGUGUCCUAUGGUGUUAUUUUACUAUGAACUCUAGGGCUAUUUGUGACACUUAUAGGAAUAGCCCAAUGGAUUGAUCGGAAAGAAUAACUUUGAUGUGGUUUCGUACCCUACAAGAAAUUUCAUCUUAUGUUCUCCACGAUAGGAACUUUGGAGUGACUUUUUUCACACAUUGAGGGUUUACCUUAUGAUUUAAUUAUGUUAUCAUUGUUGAGAGAACUUGCACUAGUGAAAGUAUGAACCCUAGGCCUUGUUUCCAAGCAUUGCAAUGCCGUUUUUGCUCACUUUUGUUACUAGUUACCUUGCUGUUUUAUAUUUUCAUAUUACAAAACCUAUAUCUACCAUCCAUAUUACACUUGUAUCACCAUCUCUUCGCUGAACUAGUUCACCUAUACAAUUUACCAUUGUAUUGGGUGUGUUGGGACACAAGAGACUCUUUGUUACUUGCUUGCAGGGUUGUUUGAGAGAGACCAUCUUCAUCCUACGCCUCCCACGGAUUGAUACUGUCCUACAAAACUCUGCUCUUGGAGGCCCAACACAAGUCUAGAAGAAGAAGGUUACGUAGUAGACAUCAAGCUCUUUUCUGGUGUCAUUGUUGGCGAGGUUAGUGCUGGAAGGUAUAUCUUUAGAUCAUGCAAUUGCAUAUCUUGUUUUAUCACUAGUUCAGUCUAUAAAAUGAAACUAAAAAAUGGAAUUGAGGUUGCCUCACAUGCUUCAUCUUUUUAAUGAAUUUCGUGAAAAUGAUGGAAAGGGAACUUGUGCUCAAGUGUUAGAAGAAGACGUCUAUAGAAUGUUUGGCACUAAAUUUUUGAAUGAUGAGCAUGAUUGCUAUGUUAUUAGUAUGAAUUCUUUGAAUAUCCAUGAUGCUAAUGAUAUUCAAAGCCACAAUCUUGGGGAUUCUAUGUUUGAUGAAGAUGAUAUUUUUUGUCCCCCAAGUUUUGAUGAGAAAAUUUAUUAUGAUGAUAUCAUGCCUUCUAUUUAUGAUGAUUAUAUUGAUAAAUGUAGAUUUGGAAGAGUGUCAACUCUAGGUAAUAAUGAUCCCACUAUUUUGGAGGGUGUUGAAUCUUUUCACAAUAUUGAUGAAAGUGGAUUUGGAGAGGUCAUGACUUUAUUUUGUGAUGAAUACAUUAUUUCAGAAGAGGUUCCAAUUGAUGAUGAGAACAAAGUUGCUAUAUAUGAUUAUUAUAGUGAUGACAUAUAUGCUAUAAAUAAUAAUGAUAACCAUGAAACUUAUCAUCAUGAUUUUAAUUUUCAAUUGGAUUAUGCCUCACAUGAUAGUUAUGUUGUUGAGUUUGCUCCCACUAUUGCGAAUGAGAAGAAUUUUCCCUGUGUGGAGAGUAGUGAAAUUUCUAUGCUUGUGCAUCAUGAAAAUAAUGCUUUAUGUGAUGGUUAUAAUGUUGAAUUAAUUCAUGAUGCUACUGAAAGUUAUUAUGAGGGAGUAAUAUAUGCUUGUAGGAGUUGCAAUAAUAUCAAGUUUCCUCUCAAUGUGUUUAAAGUUUUGAAGUCAUGCUUGUUCUGCCUUCCUAUGCUAGUUGAUUCUUGUUCCCAUAAAUUGUUUGCUCACAGAAUCCCUAUGCAUAGGAAGUGGGUUAGACUUAAAUGUGUUAGUCAUAUGCUUCAUGAUGCUCCCGUUAUGUUUCAACUCUUAUCCUUUAUGUGAGCAUCAUUGACAUCAUCAUGCCUAGCUAAAAAAGGCAUUCAUGAAAAGCGCUUGUUGGGAGACAUCAUCAUGCCUAGCUAAAAAGGCAUUCAUGAAAAGCGCUUGUUGGGAGACAACCCAUGAUUAUGCUACUAUACCAAUCAUGUUUGCUUUUUCUUCAAUAAAGUGCCAAGUAAGACCUUUGGGAUGGUCUAUGGUGAUAGUUAAUUUGAUCUUGCUAAAAAACAAAAAACUUUUGCAUCAAGUAAAAUAAUUUUGAAAAAUCACAGAAGCGUGCUUUUGAUCUGAAUUUUGUACAAAAGAUUGAUAUACAAAUUUCCCAGGUUUUUCGAAUUUUUCAGAAUUUUUGGAGUUACAGAAGUGUGGAAAGUUUCCAGAUUACUACAGACUCUGUUUUUGACAGAUUCUAUUUUCGACGUGUUGUUCUCUUAUUUUGAUGAAUCUAUGAGUAGUAUCGGAGGGUAUGAACCAUGGAGAAGUUGGAAUACAAUAGAUAUUACCCCAAUUUAAAUAAAGAAUGUGCUCAUAAUAGUACCAUUAGUGGUGAUUUAAUUUCUUAUACUAACGGAUCUCAUGAGAUUUUCUGCUGAGUUUGUGUUGUGAAGUUUUCAUGUUUUGGGUAAGGAUUUGAUGGACUAUGGAAUAAGGAGUGGCAACAGCCUAAGCUCGGGGAUGCCCAUGGUUCCCCAAGGUAAUAUUCAAGGACAAUCAAGAGACUAAGCUUGGGGAUGGCCCAAAAGGCAUCUCCUCUUUCGUCUUUGUCUAUCGGUAAAUUUGCUCGAGGCUAUAUUUUUAUUCACCACAUGAUAUGUGUUUUGCUUGGAGAGUCUUGUAUGAUAUGAGUCUUUGCUUUUUAGUUUGCCACAAUCAACCCUGCUUUACACACCUUUUGAGAGGGACACGCAUGAAUUGUAAUUUAUUAGAAUACUCUAUGUGCUUCAUAUAUAUCUUUUGAGCUAGGCAAUUUUGCUCUAGUGCUUCACCUAUAUCUUUUUAGAGCACGGUGGUGGUUUUAUUUCAUAGAAAUUGUUGAACUAUCAUGCUUCACUUAUAUUAUUUUGAGAGUCUUUUCAAAUAGCAUGGUAAUUUGCUUUGGUUAUGAAUUUAGUCCUAAUAUGAUAGUCAUCCAAGAGGGAUAUAAUAAAAACCUUCAUAUAAAGUGCAUUGAAUACUAUGAAAAAUUUGAUUCCUUAUGAUUGUUUUGAGAUGUGAGGAUGGUGAUAUUAGAGUCAUGCCAGUGAGUAAUUGUUGAUUGUAGAAAUACUUAUGUUAAAGUUUCUGAUUCCCGUGGCAUGCACGUAUGUUGAACCGUUAUGUGAUGAACCCGGAGCAUGAUUUAUUUAUUGAUUGUCUUCCUUAUGAGUGGCGGUCGGGGGCGAGCGAUCAUCUUUUCCUACCAAUAUAUCCCCCUAGGAGCAUGCGUGUACUACUUUAUUUCGGCGACUAAUAUAUUUUUUGCAAUAAGUAUGUGAGUUCGUUAUGACUAAUGUUGAGUCCAAGGAUUAUAUGCACUCUCACCCUUCCACCAUUGCUAGCCUCUCUAGUACCGCACAACUUUUGCCAGUGCCAUGCACCCACCUAUUACCUUGCUCAAAACAGCCACCAUACCUACCUAUUAUGGCAUUUCCAUAGCCAUUCCGAGAUAUUUUUUCAUGCCAAUUCCACCUUUCCGUUUAUUAUGACAUGUUUCAUCUUUGUCAUAUUGCUUUGCAUGAUCAUGUAGUUGACAUCGUAUUUGUGGCAAAACCACCUUUCAUCAUUUUUUAUACAUGUCACUCUUGAUUCAUUGCACAUCCUGGUACACCGCCGGAGGCAUUCAUAUAGAGUCAUAUUUUGUUCUAAGUAUCGAGUUGUAAUUCAUGAGUUGUAAGUAAAUAAAAGUGUGAUGAUCAUUAUUAUUAGAGCAUUGUCCCAUGUGAGGAAAGGUUGAUGGAGACUAUGAUUCCCCCACAAGUCGGGAUGAGCCUCCGGACGAAAAAAGGCAAAAAAAGAGGCCAAUGAAGCCCACAUAAAAAAUGAGAAAAAAGAGAGAAGGGGCAAUGUUACUAACCUUUUUCCACACCUAUGCUUCAAAGUAGCACCAAGAUCUUCAUGAUAGAGAGUCCCCUAUGCCGUCACAUUCAUAUACUAGUGGGAAUUUUUCAUUAUAGAAUUUUUCUUGUAUAUUCCAACGAUGGGCUUCCUCAAAUUGCUCUAGGUCUUUGUGAGAAAGUAAGUUGGAUGCACACCCACUUAGUUUCUUUUUGAGCUUUCAUACACUUAUAGCUCUAGUGCAUCUGUUGCAUGGCAAUCCGUACUCACUCACAUUGAUAUCUAUUGAUGGGCAUUUCCAUGGCCCGUUGAUAUGCAUAGUUGAUGUGAGACUAUUUCCUUCUUUUUGUCUUCUCCACAACCACCAUGUUCUAUUCCACCUAUAGUGCAAUGUCCAUGGCUCAAGCUCAUGUAUUGCGUGAAAGUUGAAAAGGUUUGAGAACAUCAAAAGUAUGAAACAAUUGCUUGGCUUAUCAUCAGGGUUGUGCAUGAUUUGAAUACCUUAUGUGAUGAAGAUGGAGCAUAGCCAGACUAUAUGAUUUUGUAGGGAUAACUUUCUUUGGCCAUGUUAUUUUGAGAAGACAUGAUUGCAUUAUUAGUACGCUUGAAGUAUUAUUGUUUUAAUGUCAAUAUUAAUAUUUUAUUUGAAUCUUAUGGAUCUGAAUAUUCAUGCCACAAUAAAGAAAAUUACAUGGAUAAAUAUGUAGGUAGCAUUCCACAUCAAAAAUUCAGCUUUUUUAUCAUUUACCUACUCGAGGAUGAGCAUGAAUUAAGCUUGGUGAUGCUUGAUACGUCUCCAAUGUAUAUAUAAUUUUUGAUUGUUCCAUGCUAUUAUAUUAUUCAUCUUGCAUGUUUUAUAUGCAUUUAUAUGCUAUUUUAUAUUAUUUUUCAGACUAACUAUUAACUUAGAGCCUAGUGCGACUUUUUGUUUUUUCCUUGUUUUUGAGUUUUGCAGAAAAGGAAUAUCAAACAGAGUCCAACUGAGAUGAAAAUUUAUGGUGAUUUUCAAUUAACCAGAAGAAGCACAAGAGUUGGGCCAGAAGAGUCCCGAGUCAACGACAAUGGUGGAGGGCGUGCCCCUACCUUGUUGUUGCCUCGUGGACCCCCCUGACAUGAAACCGACGCCAAAAUUUCCUAUAAAUCCUGAAACCUCCAGAAAUAAACCUAGAUAGGGACUUCCGCCACCGCAAGCCUCUGUAGCCAUGAAAAAACAAUCGGGAGCCUGUUCUGGAACCCUGCCGGAGGGGGAAACCAUCACCGGAGGCCAUCUUCAUCAUCCCGACGCUCUCCAUGAUGAGCAUGGAGUAGUUCACCCUCAGGGCUGAGGGUAUGUACUAGUAGCUAUGUGUUUGAUCUCUCUCUCUCUCUCUCUUGUGUUAUUGAUUUUGCAGGAUCUUGAUGUACCGCGAGCUUUGUUACUAUAGUUGAAUGAUAUGGUCUUUAUCUGCCUCUACCUCGUUGUGAUGAAUUGAGUUUUUACCUUUGAUGUUUCACUAUUAUCGGAUUGAAUACUAUUAUGGAUUUGAGAACAGUAGAUGUAUGUCUUGCAUAGGAUACCCGUGGUGACAAUGGGGUGUUCUAUUAAUUCACUUGAUGUAUGUUUUGGCACUCAACUCGUGGAUUCCCGAGGUAACAUUGGGGUAAUCUAUGCAUAGGGGUUGAUGCACAUUUUCGUCGAUGUUUCUCCGGUAGGAAUCUUGGGGCACUCUUUGAGGUACUUUGUGUUGGAUUGAAUAUUAUGAUUCUGAAGUUGUUUGAUGCAUAUCAUAUAAUUGACCCACGGAUACUGGUGGUGACAUUAGGGUUGAUUGAUGUGUGUCAUAUGGUGUUAUUUUACUACGAACUCUAGGGCUAUUUGUGACACUUAUAGGAAUAGCCCAAUGGAUUGAUCGGAAAGAAUAACUUUGAGGUGGUUUCGUACCCUACAAGCAAUUUCAUCUUAUGUUCUCCGUGAUAGGAACUUUGGAGUGACUUUUGUCGCACAUUGAGGGAUGAGAGAAGUCCACAUUUCAACCCUCAACUAUCCACAUGGUUUGUUUUUCAACCUCGAUCUUUGAAACUAGUCGAAUUUAACCCUCAACUUGUCACAUAGUUCAAAUAACAACCCUUGACUCAGUUUUGGGCUGGUCAAGAGGUUUUGACCAAGUCAAAGCUGACUAGGAAGCCUAGUCAGCAUGCCAUGUAGACAUCCAUCCCAAUCUUAUCCCCCUUCUCUCUCUAUUUUGUUCAAACCCCCGACCUAGUCCACCCCAUCGCCGCCUGAUUCACAAGGAACGCCACUGCCCGCGGCCACCACCUCUAUCGCCGAUGACUGGAGAUUGGCGAUGUUGCCACAACAUUGCCAAGUUCCUUCUUCCCUCCCUCUCUUCCCCUUACGUUGCAGCAGCAGUCAGGACUUCCACUUGCCGUACUUGCUUUGCUUAGCACCCCUGUCGUCAUCAAGCUUCUACCGUUCUUCCCCGCUAGCACCUAGAGCCACCUAUCGCCGACCUGGGGAGCGAUGCCGGACAGGGGCUGGGUCGAUGCAUGGGACGUCGGGCCUCGUGAUGCGGUGACAUACAGACUAGAGCAGCAGCAACUUAGGUCCUCAUGGCCGACGUGCACUGGGCCUAGGUGCUAGUGGCCGAGAAGAGAAAUUACGGCGGCAGCGACAAUCCUUGGGAUGACGUGCGUGGCGCUGCUGGGGACCGCGUUGUUAGUUCGGGGUAUAUUUCAACCGGUUUUGAAGUUUGGGGUUGAAUUCUAAACUGACUGGUUAGUUCAGGGUUGUAAUGUGCACUUUCCUCUUAAGGGAUUGCCAUAUGAUUUAAUUAUGUUAUCAUUCUUGAGAGAAUUUACACUAGUGAAAGUAUGAAGCCUAGGCCUUGUUUCCAAGCAUUGCAAUACCGUUUUUGCUGACUUUUGUUACUAGUUACCUUGUUGUUUAUACAUUUUCAGAUUGCGAAACCUAUAUCUAGCAUCCAUAUUACACUUGUAUCACCAUCUCUUCGUUGAACUAGUGCACCUAUACAAUUUACCAUUGUAUUGGGUGUGUUGGGGACACAAGAGACUCUUUGUUAUUUGGUUGCAUGGUUUUUUUGACAGACCAUUUUCAUCCUACGCCUCCCACGGAUUGAUGAACCUUAGGGCAUCCACUUGAUGGAAACUUGCUACUGUCCUACAAAACUCUGCGCUUGGAGGCCCAACACGAGUCUACAAGAAGAAGGUUGCAUAGUAGAACCUUGCCAAAUUAGAAUAGGCACCUUACUGGCUGAACAGGAUAGGGCAUCUGCCUUUGACUCGUGGAGCUCAAAAUAGUCAUUAGGAUCGUAUUCUGAAUAUGAAUCUAUAGGUCGGGAGCAUGUGGGUUUCAUUGCAUCCACAAUGGACCUCCAUCCCUUGAUGCCAUGUUUGUUACCCAUUGAACUGUUCCGCAAUAUUCGUCCGAUGUGUGCAUUCUUAUAUUCAUUGUAAUUACGUACAAUAUAUGUAAUGCAUGAAAACACAAAUAGUAGUGAGAUUAUCUUUGUAAUGCAGACGAUAUUGUAAUAUAAUAGAGGCUCCCUGUAAACACUUGCAUGCUAUCACUGGAUUCUGAUGAGAGAGCCCAUGUGUGUUGUAAUAUGGUGAGUAGAUUAAUAUAAUCUGGCACAACUACACAAAAAAUAGGCUCCCUGUCAUCGAUCUUUUGGGCAAUGACGACAACACGGACAACGGCAUGGGAAUCGAUCUCUAGGGCAAUGUCCAUAGGAUGGACCGUGACACUAGAAUCGAUCUCUGGGGUGAUGUCCAUAGGAUGGACAGCGGCAUCGGAAUCGAUCUCCGGGGCGAUGUUGAUAGGACGGACCGCGACAUCGAAAACGAUCUCUGGGGCGUUGUCCAAAGUACAUGCCGCGACAUCGGAAUCAUUAAGGACAUCCACCGGCACCUGCACAAACCUAACAUAUUAGAAAGCACGUUGCAAAUAAUAAAAAACCACAACUAUGGUAAGCCAUUAUUUUUUACCUUGUGCAGCUCACCGGGGGAUCCCAUCCCUCCCGGGGCCAUCUCCUCGACCUCGAUGGGGGCCAUCACCUUGCCAGGGGAAUACUGCUUCUCAAUGGCGACUAUCUCCUAAAACUCGACCUUGAGCCUCGCAUAGAUGGCCAUUAGAGUUUCUGGGGUACCCACGGUGGGGCCUUUGCUGUUCUUCCAGCUUUCUUUGAGGAGUUCAUCCUCCAACAUCGUCAACUCUUUGGACAGUGCUUGUUUCUUGGAGUUUUUCAUCUCCAUGGUUUGGCCCACCAACAUGUCCAACUCAUUGGUCGGUGUUCUCUUCCUGGAGAUCGCUGUCUCUAGUGGGUUGUUUGCCAGCAACUCUUUGCCUAGUGCUCCAGCAUCCAUCAAUGAACUGACAAACAAAAAGCAAUUGAAAGGAAACCACAAUCGCAAUGAAAACGGGAAAAGAAUGGGUUGUGAGAAUCGGUCGGUGCUUCGCAAAAAAGAAGAUUCUUGGAAUGAAAAUAUAGUAGCAUCACUGAUUCGCCCACCUUUAAUUCAUCGGUACAGAAGAAAAAUGGUAGAAGUGAGUAGCCUGGAGUGAGGUUUUCUCUACUAUCUACUCUUAUAAAAAGCAGAGUUGGUGAUGAUAUUGUGCCUACCAUCCCGCACUAUGGGUCGUCCGAUCUAUAUCUAACGGAUUGGAAGGAAACUAUGACAAUUUACCCACACUCCUCUGCACAUUUGCAGAUAAGGACAUCCCUCGUUCAUCCUUUUCUCCAACUAGAUAUUGAUGUUUCGUGCAACGCACGGGCAUCUUGCUAGUUCUUCAAGAAAGGGGAGAAAGGGCUUCAACGAGCGUUCAAGUGAAAUGAUGGUUGCUUCGUCCAGUCCAACUUCGAGGCCACUUUACCACUUCUGGUAAAAGGUGUGAGUUUUGUGAUAUGACGGGUCAUGAUGGCCACACCGAGGUGACUGGUGAGUCUCGACUAUAGCACCACAUUGUGAUUUGGUGGAUGGCACGCGGGCCUGGAUGCUUUUGAUGUCCCGCAUGUAGAUAGAGCGGCUAGUCAUAUACGUACUCAAUAUUGUGUACCACGACCAAGGCAGAGAGGAAAACGAGAGGACUACGUAUUUAUUUACGGUGUAGAUUCACUCAUUUUACUCCAUAUGUACUCAUUUUGGGUGUAGUCUAGUCACUUGUUGAAAUCUCUAGAAAGGCAAAUAAUGUACUCAUUUCUGGUUUACAGGGCUAUACUAGCAAUUAGUACUACAAUAGUGGGCUCACGUAGCAAUUUUGUCUCAUGCAAGAGCCUGGCUAUAUGCAUGAUCCAAGGCUCCGCACCACGCCCCACCCCUACACAAAGACUGCCACACGAGCAUUCGCUACUACCACAUUCGGGUUGCGCUUGGCUCUUCGCCUAUUCAAUAAGAUGAACAAUGAUGUUACUACUACUACUACUUCUACAAUAUUGAAUCCUCUUCUGCACUGUCCACCGCGUGCGGGAGGGAUAGCUUGUUGUCGUAUAAGCAAAAGCAUGUCCUCGUCUGGGAGCCACCACGCGCAUGGGCGAGGGAGAAGGCAUGUAGUAGUAAAAUCAAGCUUCUCCUCGUUGUACGAGUUGACGUGACACAUCAUAGCACUGGCCCCACAUGAUUUCCUCUAAACUUGGCUAAAAGACCCGCAGUGUACAAUAUAUUUGCUGCAACCUCUAACAUUUACCCCACUACAAAUUAAAAUAUAUAUAUUCCUGUCUUGACCAGAUAAGCGUGCAAACUACAAUCACCAGGAUGACAGGUAGGGCUAGAAGAUUAUUUUAAUAAAGAAUGCUUCGCGACGGCCUCAUAGCAUGGAGGCGACCCCGACAAUUUUAAGCUUAGAGGCACGGUACAUGCUAUCCCACACUACUCAUGAAACUCCCACACACGCCUCUGACUUCCCGAAGAGGCUCUUCACCUCUUCGGGAAGUCGAACAAUGAUGUCGUACUAGUACAGUAUGCUUCUGGCCAUCUGACACUGAAUGAACUGCUGCAUGGCUACCACGUGCGGGAGGGAGAGCAUGUAGCGAAAGCUUCUCCUAGUCCUGCCAUCCACCACGCUCAUGGGCGAGGGAGGGAUGCAACUUCAUUGACUUACUGCUCCUGCCUUUGGGUCUAUGACAGAUGGGCCCAACCGGUGGGUGGCCCACCUGUCAUACUAACCAUAUGUUCAUGCAUGUCACAAAAAAUUACAUCUUUGAAAACUAUGUUCAAAUACGAAUCAAACAAUAUAAUUUUUGUUAACAUGAUCUAACAUUUUAUCAGUUAAAUAUUUGGUCAAAAUUUAGCACCAAUUACAAAGGGGCCCAAUAACUAUUGUACUCUCACAUUUUAUUUUGAGGAUACUCCCACAUAGAAAAUAUAAAUAAUAGUGCAUGUUGGGGCAGCCCAUGUUUCUGAUAAUUUUAGCCAUGGGCUUGUUCACAAAUUUCAUGAGGCGGAGGUUGUUCAUUUAAUGGAGGGUCUUGUACCAGACUUGAAGGAUACAAAGUGCGACCUGGCACACCGUAACACCACUUGGAAUAAGCGGGUAGCUAUCUCAAAAAACAAUCAACAACUCAAAAAAUACGGUGACCUUGCAUGUAUAGAAUUUUAAAUGAUUGUUUUAAUGGAGUGAAAAAGGAAAACUAUCCCACUAUGUAUAUAUAUAUAGGACGGAGCCUCCGCGCUUCCUUGCUAGGGUUGCUCUAUUCACACACUCUCAUUCUCUCCAGAUCUAAAAAGAUAGCGGUGGUAACACUGUCUUUCUAUCAUCAUCGCUGGUUAUAGAUCCGGACGUAUUCCCCUCCGUCGGUGAACGGGAAGAGGGGUAGCGUUUAGUCCAUGGUCAGCUACUAGGGAGGAAACCCACUACCGACUGCCCUUAUCUCUAGCCGAGCGCCGGCGCGGGAGGUCCUCCGAUCCCUUUGUCGUUGCCCUAGUGUGGGCGGAUCCGGCCUCCCACUGCCCUCCUAUCCACAUCCCGACGACCUUCAAGUAUAUCUUCCUUCAAAACCGCCCUAGCUCUACUUCCCCAGCUCGCUACGUUGCUGCAUGCGCAUCAUUUUCUACCUCUCAGCCCCUCUCGAUCGGAUGGUCCAAUGUCACCUAUUUUUUUCUAUUGUUAGAGGUAAAGGUACUUCAUGGAGUUGAAUCUUGUACUUGGUUCAAACAAGAAAUAAAGGGGGGAUUUAUUAUGUACAUCGAACUUGGUACAAACAAGAAGGAAAGGGGGUGAAAGUAGUACAGAAUGGUCAUCCAACCGGUCUCUUGGUCGAAAAUGGAAAUAUAGGGGAAACGUUGUACAUAGUGGUAUGACCAGGACUAGGUUUGCUAUCCACACAGAGGAGUAGGUGGCUAGAGUGAACAAAAGUGGGACCAACCCAGAUAUGUUUCUUGGAUGUUUGUUUCUCGGGGCAACAAACUCUGAAUCACCACUUUAUGCCCCGGUUUAGGUACAUGGUGCUGGACUACUGGUGCACCCACUGUCUCAUGCCCUUAUACUAAAUAUUUAGCUAUUCUUAAUCUAAUGCCCCUGGUAAAAUAAAGCCAUGCCACUGUUAUAAGCCAUGACAAGUUUAGCCAAAUGUUUUUGCCAGUAAUGGUUUGAGACUCUGAUUGUUUCCUCUGUAGCUUUUUUUGCAAAUUGGGAUAUCCAUUUCACCUAGUUGCUGUUGUGACCUUUUGGUGCACUACAUAAAACACUUCUUAAAAUAAGUGACAUUUGUGCUGUUUAAAUAGAAUGUCAGAAUGGAAUAGUUGGUUCAUUUCAGUGGAACUGCACAAAGGGAGAUAUGUGUUCCAAUCCUCAUCAUCCAUAUUGGCACCAUAACCUUCCUUUAGGUAAGAAUGAUAUUUAAUGCAUGUGUUCAUCUCUAUUUUGCGACUGCCAUGAGAAAAUAAUGCUAUUGUUUACUAGUACACUUGUACUCCCUCACUGACAAAACCAAUUCUGAAGUAGAAGGCCAAUCAUGUACUUGGUUUCACCAACUAGUGAGGAGAAAGAGAAGUAGAGCAUGACGAGGAAGAAGAAGAAGAAGAAGAAAGAGGAAAUGGAUAUCACAUGAUGGUACCGUCCUAUGUUAUCCUGACAUCUUGCUAGUGGUAUUCAAGGUAGUCAGAGUCGGGAUUCGGGGUCGGAUCGGUUUUCCUCACACAGAAUCGAUUCGUAAGAUCAAGUUGUGGAAUCGAGGAUUCUACUAGAUUUACUCAAAUAAGAUAUUUUGUAUGCACAGAAGAAAUUUAUAUGGGUUCUAUAGAGUUUUGACACUAAAUAUGGAGCAAAGAACAUACACAUCAAUGCUAGUUGUAUUCCACUUCUUUUUAUGGCUGACCUACCAUGUAGCUCGCAUGUAUGGAACAUAUAUGAGAUGGAAAUAUAUAGAACAUUUAAACCUUCAAUGCAUGAAAUUUACUAAUGUUCUUUUUAGAGUGUGUGAAUAGUCGAUCACUUGUUUAUUUGACCUAUAAUGCUAAACCUUGAAGGGUCUUGCUCUCCUUCUCCGAUCAAUCCUGAAGCAUCCUCCUUUUCACGCCAAUUCGAUAUGUUGACAAGCCUGAUCCUCAAUUUCGAUCUAGGGUUUCUAAGAGCUGGAUCAAAGGUGUCCGUGGCUGAGCAUUUGGACUUGGGAGGGGAAGAAAGGUCCAUGAGGUAUAUGAAAAGGUGUUUAGAUGAUGGCAUACUAUUUUGCUACAACUAAGCAAACGGCUUAGAUAAGUAAGUAGAAUCAGAUGUAGUCCAUAGCAUAGUCAGGAUUGUAUAGUUUUGUACAAGAUUCUAUGAUUUGGAUCGUGAGUCAACAUGGAUUCUACCUGAUCUGGAUUCAUAGUGGGAUUUGGAUCGACAUGCUUCCGUAGGGUCAUGAAGUCGUAGGAUUCUAGCAGUCAAAUCGGGAUUCUGACUACCUUGCCCCAUGCACUUGCUGACGGCGCGGGAAAGCAACCAGAAGGGGAAGACUGGACUCCGGGCCGGCUCCGACGUGCCUGAGCCUGAGGGAAGCACCUUCUACCCCUUCUUCAUGAGCAGCAUCGCCGCCGGGCUAGUUGCCCCCUUCUCUGACUUCUUAUACGAGGUCCUUGAUCACGUCGGACUACAAGCGCUACAUCUCCAUCCCAACUCCAUCCUUCUCUUGUCCAUCUUCUCCUACUAUUGUGAGGCGUAUCUGGGCGUGAUGUCGUCCGUGGCUCUGUUGCGCCACUUCUUCUUCCUCCGUGCCAGCGAGGGCCAUAUCUCCGGGUGCGCCAAUUUCAUCGCGGCCGGCAAGGCCAACUCGAUCUCAAACACCGGGAAGAAGGCCGACAACCUCAGGGCCAAAUGGGUCAUGAUGGGCGCCAAGUGCGUCCACCCGUGCUUGGCGCUGCCGACGGAUAGGCCCCAGUCCGACAAGGGGUGGUCCUACACGAAGCUCACCGACGAGCGGGCGAUGUUGGUGCUGGAGCAGACAAAGUCCGACCUGAAGCCUGGCAACGCAAAGGCAGCAAAGAUUAUAGGGGCCAUGCUCCUGAGGGAAUUACUAGUGCUACGCGUGGACCCGCUUCAAGCCCGCACGCGCCCAUUGUGGGAACUUGGGGAUGAGGAGGACAAUGUUCACUUGAGCUCGGAGGCCUUGUCCGAGGAGGAGCUGACCGCAGCUCUCCGCCUCCUGGUUGGGGACGAUCAGGAGUAUCCGCCGAAUGUCUUUACCCCUUGUUCCACCACAAAUACGGGGCGCUGAUCGUGGCCUCCAGGACGACCUUUGACGGGCGUGAACUGGUGCCGCCGGUGCUCACCAGGGCCCCUGCAGCACCGACGCUGGUGGAGCUGUCUUCUGGUGAGUCCCGUGGGGAGGAAGAAGAGGGGGAGCAAGACUCGGAGGUGACCCCCGAAGGGACGGGGGAGACCUCCCCUCUGAGUAAGGCUGUCAUCCUUCGUGCCUUUCCCAACGAUGAUGAGGCCGACGCUCACCAGGAGAAGGAGGAACAGGCCGUGAUCCCGACGAGGAGCAGGUCGGUGCUGAUCUCCUGAGAUUCUGCUGCUGCACCAGUGCUGGCUGGAGCUGCCUCCGACUCAACCGCUGCUCCUGCUUCAGCUUCUGGGGCUGGUGCGCCCGCGCCUCGACUCAUGACGCUCUCAGGCUUCAAUCUCACCAAGCGGAGGUGGACUACGUUGUGUGGACCAGUAAGUGCCCCGCCUCGCCUUGUUCCUGUUAUUGAUGCUCGUUUCCGACUCUUUUUCCUUGUUGUGUAACCAGGCUGUCGUCUGCAGCGAAGAGGGUAAGGAAGAGCGAGGUGGUGCCGCUUGAGUCGGUGUCGCCUCCUGCGACCGCGCCCCUCUCCAUGAGCAAAGGUGGGGAUGGUGCUCGUGCUUCUCUAGCCCGGUCAUCCUCGCGAGGCCCGGUGGAGCAUCCUUGGGAGGAGUCAACCCCCGAAGCGCCGCUGGCUUGGGAGGUGACGGUGUUCGGCACGGCUGAUAAGGUCCUAAAGGCUCAGGAGGCCUUGAUCUCCCAGGAUCUGGUGACAACGUCGCCCCCUUCUCAUUCUGCGUCCCUGGCCCCAGGUUCUUCUGCUUCCUCUGCCGUCUUGGACUGCGCCCUUUCGGAGAUGGCCCAGGUGCGUGAAGAUCUUCAGGGGGCGAACCCGCGCCUGGUGGCCGGGAGCCUAGAGCUGGCCUCUGGCUGGCUUCACUCUGACUCGGCGGUUCGAGCGUUGCUGAGCCAGGCCGCGGCGGCCUCUAAGAAGGAGAAGCAGGCCGCCUCCAAAGUCGCGGCCGACUGCGAGGCGGCACUGAAGAACGCCGAGGCCGCUCGCGGCUGCUGCCGAAAGCUGGAGGACGAGCUGAAAGGCCUGCGCGACCAGCAUGCGAAAGAAGCACAUGGCCGCGAGGCGAAGGAGGAGGAGAUGAGGGCUCGGGAGGAUGCCGUCAAGGGCCGCGACACCGAGCUAGGAGAGCUGGUGAAGGCGCAUGCCGUGGAGCGCAGCUAGCUGGAGGAGCUGGAGCAGAAGGCGAUGGUGAAGGAGGCCGAUCUUGACGCCAAGGCGAAGGUCCUGGGUGAAGACCGCGCGCCCUGCUCGCUCCUCGAGGAGAGGUCUCGCGUGGCAUUGAAGUCACUGUACGGGAAGGGCUUGGAGAGGACGCUGACUACCGACGAGGAUGGCCAUGCUCACGUGCUUCCCUUCUUGGUGAAGGCCCUCGAGGAAGUUGUGGAGGGCAUAGGUCCAUGGCGGAGACAUAGGCUCGCGUCCUUUCCUCAGCCGCACUAACGCGGGUCUUCAGCCACCUGCACCUUUGUGACCCUAGCGCUCGUCUUGACGAGCUACUGGAGCCUGUAGCUGAUGAACACUGCGCGGUUGCCGCCGCAACCAUGAAGGUUCAAGUGGAGGCCCUGCUGAAGAAGUUUGACGCCUUCACCCCCGUGCACUCGACCGGUGAUGCAGGUGAAGGCGACGCUACCUAGGAGGGGGCACCUCUUGUAGGUGCCGACGGUGUCCAGGGGUGACCGGUGGCUGCUUUUCUGCUUUAUUCCUGCAACAUGCAUCAUGCCUUGGAGGCAUUAAACUCACAUUUGAUAUUGUGAGAACAAUAUGUCUUGUAAUAUUUGCUUUGAGAUUUUGCGAUUUUCUCCCUAUCUGCUUUGUGUUCUGUGUCGGCAGAGCACGUCCCCGCGCAUACCUCAACCGCAGUUGGGCCAACCGGAAACCAGGAUGAACCAAGGAGAGGGGAUGCGUGACCAGUUAGGCUCCUGAGUCGUGAUGCUCAGGAGUUCCCCUUUAUGCGCAAAUAGCUUAUAGGAAGGAUACACGAGGAUAGGUUAAUGUUCUACGUCGGCAGAGCCCGACCCCGCGCAUAUCUCAACCGCCGUUGGGCCCACCGGAGUACAUGACGGACCAAGGAGUGAGAGGCUACUUGUAACACCCUCGAUGCGACUAUAGCUCCCACGUGUCGAGGCACGACUUAGAGACAUAAUCGCAUUGAAGGCAUAUGCCGCAAGUUAGGCAAUCUUCACAACAUCCCAUGUAAUAUAUAGAUAAUAAAAGGGGAGAUAACAUAGUUGGCUUACACUCGCCACGUCAAUCAAGUACAUAAAUAGCAUUACAACAUUCAACACUCAUGGCCCGACUUCGGUGCCAAAAUAAAAGAUAACCCAACAUGCGACACGGUCCCGAUCACCCCAACUGGGCACCACUACUGAUCAUCAGGAAAGGAAACAUAGUAACGUUGAGAGUCCUCGUCGAACUCCCACUUGAGCUCGAGCGCGUCACCGGGAGCAGAAUCAUCAGGCCCUGCAUCUGGUGUAAUAGUAAUCUGUGAGCCACAGGGACUCAGCAAUCUCGCACCCUCGCGAUCAAGACUAUUUAAGCUUAAAAGGUAGGGUAAGGUGAAAAUAUGUGGAGCUGCGGCAAGCGACUAGCAUAUAUGGUGGCUAACCUGUUUGCAAAAGAGAGUGAGAAGAGGAGGCAAAGCGCGAGCGAGAAUCUAGAGCACAACCUGCACAAGCAUUACUCCAACACCGUGUUCACUUCCCGGACUCCGCCGAGAAGAGACCAUCACGGUAACUCACACUGUUGAUUCAUUUUAAUUAAGUUAAGGUUCAAUUUAUCUACAAUCGGACAUUAACAAAUUCCCAUCUGCCCAUAACCGCGGGCACGGCUUUCGAGAGUUCAAAUCCCUGUAGGGGAGUCCCAACUUAGCCCAUGACAAGCUCUCACGGUCAACGAAGGAAUAGACCUCCUCCCGAGACGUUCCGAUCAGACUCGGUACCUCGGUUCUUCAAGACACUUCGACAGGUUAAAACAAGACCAGCAACACCGCCCGAAUGUGCCGACAAAUCCCGAUAGGAGCUGCACAUAUCUCGUUCUCAGGGCACACUCAGAUAAGCAAUNNNNNNNNNNNNNNNNNNNNNNNNNNNNNNNNNNNNNNNNNNNNNNNNNNNNNNNNNNNNNNNNNNNNNNNNNNNNNNNNNNNNNNNNNNNNNNNNNNNNNNNNNNNNNNNNNNNNNNNNNNNNNNNNNNNNNNNNNNNNNNNNNNNNNNNNNNNNNNNNNNNNNNNNNNNNNNNNNNNNNNNNNNNNNNNNNNNNNNNNNNNNNNNNNNNNNNNNNNNNNNNNNNNNNNNNNNNNNNNNNNNNNNNNNNNNNNNNNNNNNNNNNNNNNNNNNNNNNNNNNNNNNNNNNNNNNNNNNNNNNNNNNNNNNNNNNNNNNNNNNNNNNNNNNNNNNNNNNNNNNNNNNNNNNNCUCCGGAAACCCAAGGGAAAAGAGGCUAGGUGGCAAAUGGUAAAACCAAGGUUGGGCAUUGCUGGAAAAGCUUUAAUCAAGGCGAACUAUCAAGGGGUUCCCAUUAUAACCCAACCACGUAAGGUACGCAAAAUCCGGGAACAUAACACCGAUAUGACGGAAACUAGGGCGGCAAGAGUGGAACAAAACACUAGGCGAGAGGCCGAGCCUUCCACCCUUUACCAAGUAUAUAGAUGCCUUAAGAUAACAUGGCAACAUAAUGAUAUCCCAACAAGUAAAUAAUGUUCCAACAAGGAACGGUCUCCAAUCUUCACGUGCAACUAGCAACGCUAUAAGAGGGGCUGAGCAAAGCGUUAACAUAGCCAAUCAACGGUUUGCUAGGACAUGGUGGGUUAGAGGUUUGACAUGGCAAUAUGGGAGGCUUGAAAGCAAGUGGUAGGCAUCAUAGCAUUGUCAUAGCAAAAGAGCGAGCAUCUAGCAAAGCAAAGAUAGUAGUGAUUUCGAUGGUAUGAUCAUCUUGCCUGCAAAGUUGUCAGAGUUGCCUGGAUCCUCGAAAGCAAACUCAACGGAAUCCUCGUUAGCGAACUCGUCUCCCGGCUCUACCCAAACAAGACAAACAAGCAAAUGGAACACAAUCAACCACAUGCAAAACUCAAACAAUAUGAUGCAACGAUGGUAUGCUAUGCGGGAUGCAUAUGCAAGAUUUGACAAGGGAUGCAUGAACCUGGCCUCAACUUGGAAAACAAAGUGCGCUACUGGACAGAUGAGAUAAAAUAGCUUGAAAACGAUAUAAAGAAUGUCGGAAUCAGAGUUACGGUUUGGAAAUGGCAAGCGAUUCAAAUAUGACCACGAUCUGCAAUUUACAGCAAGUAGCCAUCUAAAAGCAAUGAGAUGAACAUGCUACAGCACUCAAACAUGGCAUCAAAAUACAUGGCAUGGAUACACACAAGAUGCUUAACAAAAGUCUAGCACUGAGCUACGACCAAUUCAUCCAUUAACAGGUUCAAACAAGCAUGGCAAAAAUGCAUAUGGUAAACAGAUUUCAGACUUAGUGAAAUUAACACUUGUCUGGAAUCUCAGAUCAGGUAGCACUCUUUGGAGCAACAAAACUACAUGCUACAGGACCGGAACAUGACAGAGUAAAACAUGGCAUGCAGCUACUCAAAAAUCUUAACAAAAGUCCCUUAGUGACCGUGAGCCAAAAGGGAUCAGAAAACAUAUUAGAAAGCAUUUGAAUAUAGCAAAAGCAUAAUCAGUUUUCAGACUUAGUGAAAACUGGCACAUGCUGAAACAGAUAUCAAGUAGGCAUGUUUACGAGCUCGAUGCACUCACUGCGGAGCAUGUCAUGAAAAGCUAAGUAUACAUCCAUCAAGAAUACACAAAAUGCAAGCUAGAUAUGGCAAGAAUAAUAACAUAGCAUGCACGGAUCAACUACAACAUCCCCGGCAAAAUUGCUAACAAGUAGACAAUCUGCCCGGAUUCACGAAGUAGCAAAAGUAGAGGUCGAUUGACUUAAGCUAGGGUGCUCCAUAAUUGCAAACAAAGACAUGGAUGGAUAGAGCACUACAAAAUUAAUAAAACAUCCUUACUGAUCAUCCUCAAAAGAGGCACGGAUCACUAGGAAACGACAUGAACAUAUGGCAAUAUGAGAUAAACAGGCCAAGGACUUAGUGGAAAUGCUAAGUCCCUGAAAACAGCAUUACGAAGUGCCUCACUUUGCAAGCUUGUACUAGUCACCACACACAUCAAAAAAAAAUACAUGGGUUGUACCUCUGGAAAGAUGGCAAAACCCUUAACAAAACAUAUGUAGAGCUCAUGGGCAUAUCAUGCACACAACAAUCAUGGCAAAAAUGACAAAUAUCUAAAUGGAGUAGCAGAUCUGACAAUUAUCUCAAGGAGCACUUUUCUAAAAGUAUUUCAGGCACCAAGAUGAACUCAAAUGAAAAUGAUGCAAUGAGAUGAAAUGAUGUACUCCCUGAGAUGAACAUUUGGAUAUGCUAUAUGCCAAAAACGGAGCUACGGAUGCAAAGUUACGGCGCGAUGAACAUGGGCAUAUGAACUAGGGUUUCGGGAGAGUCAACCCACGUUUUUGGAUCUAGAUCUGAGAUCUGGUGCACGAUUUACGAGGAUGGCCGGCACUGUUCACCGGCGACGGGGCUCGGCCGGAGGAAGCGGGCGAGGUGGAGGUCGGCGCGGGCCGGCGCCGGAGUAGAAGGCGGCGGCCCGAGGCGGGUGGAGCGGCGGUGGGGCGUGGCGNNNNNNNNNNNNNNNNNNNNNNNNNNNNNNNNNNNNNNNNNNNNNNNNNNNNNNNNNNNNNNNNNNNNNNNNNNNNNNNNNNNNNNNNNNNNNNNNNNNNNNNNNNNNNNNNNNNNNNNNNNNNNNNNNNNNNNNNNNNNNNNNNNNNNNNNNNNNNNNNNNNNNNNNNNNNNNNNNNNNNNNNNNNNNNNNNNNNNNNNNNNNNNNNNNNNNNNNNNNNNNNNNNNNNNNNNNNNNNNNNNNNNNNNNNNNNNNNNNNNNNNNNNNNNNNNNNGAGGCGCGGGGAAGUGGGGACCGGCCCGGGACACGUGGCGCGCCCUUAUUGGACGAGGGCGGAGGCGGCGAAAUGUCCGGCCGGAACGGACAUGUCCGGCGCGGCGCGAUGCGAAUUUUAGGGUUUCGGGGGAAGAAGAAGGAGAUUUUCGGGGGGGGGUCUUUAAAUAGGCAUAGAGGGAGCUAGGAGUGUCCAAAUGAGGUGCGGUUUUCGGCCACGCGAUCGUGAUCGAACGCUUUAGAUGAUUGAGAGGGUUUAGGUGGGUUUUGGGCCAAAAUGAAAAUUUGUUGGGCUGCAACACACACGAGGCCUUUUCGGUCCCUCGGUUAACUGUUGGAGCAUCAAACGAAGUCCAAAUGGUACGAAACUUGACAGGCGGUCUACCGGUAGUAAACCAAGGCCGCUUGGCAAGUCUCGGUUCAAUCUGGAAAUGUUUAAUCCCCACACACGAAAGAAACGUAGAAAUGACCACCGGAGGAGAACGAAGCGCCGGAAUGCAAAACGGACAACGGGGAAAAUGCUCGAAUGCAUGAGAUGAACACGUAUGCAAAUGCAAUGCACAUGAUGACAUGCUAUGAGAUGCAUGACAACGAUAACAACACAUGGAGACAAAAACCCGAACCCGAGAAAAUAAAAUAACUUAAAGCCGGAAACGGCAAGAGUUGGAGUACAUAUUGGGUAAGUUACAUCCGGGGUGUUACAACACUCCACUACUACGAAAGGAUCCCGUCCCAAGAUCUAGGACUGAAAGAACGCCGGGUACUCAGACCGGAGGUGAUCCUCACGUUCCCAGGUAGCUUCACGGUCGGAAUGGUGUGAUCACUUGACUUUGAGGAAUUUGAUUGACUUGUUGCGAGUCUUGCGUAUAGUCUCUUCAAGAAUAGCCACUGGGUGCUCACGAUAGGAUAGAUCAUCUUGGAGCUCAAUGUCCUCGAAUUUUACGGUGCGGUCAGGAGUCUUGAAGCACUUUCGAAGCUGAGAGACAUGGAACACAUCAUGAACAUUUGCAAAGUUUGAAGGAAGCUCGAGUUGAUAGGCGAGAUCGCCUCUCUUGCUGACAAUCUUGAAAGGUCCCACAUAUCUAGGGGCAAGCUUCCCUUUGAUACCGAAGCGACGAGUACCUUUCAUAGGAGAAACGCGGAGGUAAACAUGAUCUCCGAUCUCGAAAGCCAAAUCACGAUGCUUACUAUCAUAGUAGCUCUUCUGGCGGGAUUGGGCUGCUUUGAGGUUAUCUCGAAUGACUUUGCACAUUUCCUCUGCCUCUGUGAUUAACUUAUUACCCAAAAGCUGACAUUCACCGGUUUCAGACCAGUUGAGAGGGGUACGACACUUCCUGCCAUACAGAAUUUCAAAUGUGGCCUUGCCCGAACUUGCUUGAAAACUGUUGUUGUAGGAAAAUUCAGCAUAAGGAAGACAAUCCUCCCACUUCAUGCCGAAGGAGAUCACGCAAGCCCUGAGCAUAUCUUCAAGAAUCUGAUUGACACGCUCAACUUGGCCGCUAGUCUGAGGAUGUAAAGCUGUGCUGAAGCGGAUGUUGGUGCCCAUGGCCUUCUGAAAAGAUUCCCAAAACUUGGAGGUGAAGAUGCUGCCACGGUCUGAAGAGAUCACUUGUGGCAUACCGUUCAGAGAGACAAUUCGAGAGGUAUAGAGUUCCGCCAAUUGAGCUGCAGUGAUUGACUCUUUGAUAGGCAGAAAAUGAGCCACUUUGGUGAGUUUGUCGAUGACAACGAAUAUAGCAUCAUUGCCACGUUUGGACUUUGGAAACCCAGUCACGAAGUCCAUUUCAAUGUGGUCAAACUUCCAUUCUGGAAUGGCAAGAGGUUGGAGGAGACCCGCUGGCCUUUGGUGUUCUGCCUUCACUCUUCUGCAGACAUCACAUUCGUUCACGAAUUGAGCAAUCUCGCGCUUCAUUCGUGUCCACCAAUAAGCCUGCUUGAGGUCCUGAUACAUCUUCGUGCUCCCAGGGUGGAUGGAGAGGAGAGAAUUGUGAGCCUCGUUCAUGAUCACUUUACGAAGUUCACCUUUGGGCACGACAAUACGAUCCUCGAAGAAGAGAGUAUCCUUGUCAUCAAGGCGGUAGCACUUGUACUUGGGUUGACUCUUGGCAAUCCCAAUCUUCACCUUUUUCACCAUAGUAUCAAGAAGCUGGGCUUGGCGAAUAUGGUCUUCCAAGGUAGGAGAGACUUGAAGGUUGGCGAGGAAACCUUGAGGAACAACUUGCAGAUUAAGUUUGCGAAAAGCUUCACAAAGCUCGGGUUGAUAAGGCUUGAGAAUCAGACUUUUGCAAUAAGACUUCCUGCUCAAUGCGUCAGCAAUCACAUUGGCCUUGCCUGGAGUAUACUCGAUACUCGGAUUAUACUCUUGAAUCAUUUCGACCCAUCGAGUUUGCCUGAGGUUGAGAUUAGGCUGAGUGAAGAUGUACUUGAGACUCUUGUGAUCAGUGAAAAUGUCCAUUUUUCUUCCCAAUAGGAGAUGUCUCCAAGUCAAAAGAGCAUGCACAACUGCCGCCAACUCGAGAUCAUGAGUGGGGUAGUUUUCUCAUUAGGCUUCAACUGGCGAGAGGUAUAAGCAACAACUUUCUUCUCUUGCAUCAACACUGCACCGAGACCUUGGAGAGAGGCAUCAUAAAAGACCUCGUACGGUUUGGAUUCAUCAGGCAGGGUCAGAACUGGAGCAGUGAUCAAUUUCUCUUUCAAAGUGUUGAAAGCAAUGUCACACUCCGGAGACCAAACGUACUUGACGUGCUUCUGGAGAAGAUUUGAGAGAGGCUUCACGAUCUUAGAAAAGUUUUCAACGAAUCUUCGACAGUAGCUUGCGAGACCGAGGGAGCUACGGAGUUGCUUCACAUUCUAAGGAGGUUCCCAAUUCACAAUUGCAGACACCUUCUCAGGAUUCACCGCAAUGCCCUUGGCAGAGAUGAUAUGACCAAGAGAAAGAACCUCAUCGAGCCAAAAUUCGCACUUGGAGAACUUGGCGUAGAACUUGUGUUCCCUCAGCUUAUCGAGUAACAAACGCAAGUGCUUGGCAUGAUCUUCCUUGUUCUUCGAGAAAACUAGAAUGUCGUCGAGAUAGACCAAAACGAAGUCAUUGGUGUAGGCGUUGAAGAUGAAGUUCAUCAUGCGAGAGAAAGUCGGAGGAGCGUUGAUGAGGCCAAAAGACAUGACAGUGUAUUCAUAUGAACCAUAGCUUGUCCUGAAAGCCGUCUUGGGAAUAUCUUGCCCACGGAUUCGAAUCUGAUGAUAACCCAUACAGAGAUCAAGCUUGGAGAAUACUUGGGCACCUUUGAGUUGUUCGAAUAGCUCAUUGAUUUUGGGAAGUGGGUAUUUGUUCUUGAUGGUCUUCUUGUUCAAUGGAUGGUAAUCAACACAAAGUCGGUCCGUUCCAUCCUUCUUCUUCACAAAAAGAACACCACAACCCCACGGAGAAGAACUAGGCCGGAUGAGACCCAUUCUCUCUUGAAUAUCGAGUUGCUUCUUCAGCUCUUUCAACUCUUCAGGUCCGAGCUGGUAAGGACGCUUGCACACAGGUUCCGUGCCAGGCUCAAGAUCAAUGACGAAUUCAACUGGCCGGUGCGGAGGCAUUCCUGGAAGCUCUUCUGGAAAGACGUCUUGAUAUUCGCAAACGACUGGAAUUUGUGAGAUAGCAUCUAGUUCACCCUUCUCAUUGAGAGAAAACAGACGGAUAGUAUUAUCCCGAGCGGCAAAGACAAUUACAUCCUUAGACGAAUGAGUCAAUUGAAUCUGCCUGGCUACACAAUCAAGCUGAGCCUUGUGCUUAGAAAGCCAAUCCAUCCAGAGAAUAAGAUCAAUAUCCGAGUUACCAAGGAUCAUUGGAGAAGCCAGAAACUUGUAGUCACCCAACGUGAUAGUAACAUCUAGCACCUGCAGACUUGCACUCAAACGUUUGCCAGGAGAAACGAUAUCCAUUUGUUUGCCCAAAUGAGAAGAAACGAACUCAUGCUUGGUAAAAAAUGGCUUUGACAUGAAACAAUGCGAUGCACCAGUGUAAAAAAGAACUCUGGCGGGAAUAUCGUUAGCAGGAAGGUUACCCAUGAUGACAUCUGACGAGUCCUCUGCCUGAGCUGCAUUCAUCAAGUUGACCUUGCCGUGCUUGGGGUUAUGCUUGACCACAGCUGUACUUGCUGAUCUGACAGGAGGAGGAGGAGGAAGACGCCUCUAGUUGAAACAAUUGUUGGCAUAGUGACCCUUCUGUUGGCACUUGUUGCACGUGACCUCUGAAAGCGGACGGUGGUACGGAGCACUCGAUCUUGGAGCUUGAGAUGAAGUCUUGUUCUGAAAGCCAGGGUUGGGUGGGUGGGAAGAACCACUGCCACCUUUGCUCUUCUGCUAAAACGGCUGACGGAACAGAGGAGGAGGAAGCCAAUAUUUCUGCUGCUUGGCCACUUGAGUAGAGGAAGAAGGAGUAGCAUAUCUGACUCGCUUCUUGGAAGCAUCACACCUCACUUGAGCGGCCUCUUGCUUCAGUGCCAUGUUGUAGAACUCAUCGUACCUCAAGGGCUCAAAGAGAAUAAGAGCUAGCUGAAUUUCUUCUCUGAGACCACCCCUGAACUGGUAUAUCAUGCACUUCUCAUCAGGUACGUCCUGCUUGGCAAAGCGGGCGAGCUUCUGAAACAACUUGUUGUAGUCAUAGACAGACAAAGAGCCUUGCUUCAGGUUGCGGAAUUCCUCACGCUUGCUUUCAACCACGCUCUGAGGGAUAUGGUGAGCUCUGAAAUCUUGACGGAAUUCAUCCCAGGUAAUCACACGUCCUCCUCUGGAAUCCUUGUACUGCUGGAACCAUUUUGCAGCUUGAUCUUUGAGUUGGAAAGAAGCGAACUUGACGAAGUCCUCAGACCUGACGUUACUGCAAUCAAAAUUCUUGCACAGAUCCACGAGCCAAUCGUCAGCAUUGGUUGCCUCAGCACAAUUGCUGAAAGUCUUUGGCCCAUUAGCAAGGAACUGGUUGAGUGUGGCAAAGUGAUUCUGAUUGUUGCCUUGGUUCCCUUGGUUGCCUUGAUUCGCUUGAUUGCGCUCUUGAAGAAUUUGCAUGAUCAACUGCGUGUUUGUAUUGGUUGCAGCCAUCACAGCUUGCCAUGCCUCCGGAGGAGGUGGAGGUGGUGGCGGAUCUUGAUUCUGAUUGGUGCUCUUAGCGGGAGCCAUCCUGAAGAGGUUGACCACCGUUAGCACAUAGACAGAUAAAAUGAAGCUGAAUCCAACGGAAUGAAAAUUGCAACAUAAAGUCUUCACACCCGAACAAAAUGAACGAAUGCAUUCCUCUUGAAAUGGUCACAUAUCCAUAAAUUGAGAAGCCACGUAGAAUAUAGGUAGAGAAAUAAAUCAAUAAGGUACGGAUCAAGAACGAAUACUCGGUAAGAAAUCCCAAUCUCAAACCAAUAUCCGUGGAAGAAGAACUAGAGCUACAAGAAUUCCCACCUAUGAAACUCCCGAACCUUUCCGGUUAUGCAAUCAGGUGUUGGGGAAGCAUAAUAUCUCACCCAAAUCUAGCAAAUCCUACAUCCAGAUGUAUCCAUCCUUCAAAACAUAACCGAGAAAAACUUCGGAAACCAUCUACCUCAACCUUCGAAAAGCAUCCAUUAUACAAGUUAUGGCGAUACUCCCGAACUCCCGCCCCAGUAGUGGGUGGCGUCGAGGUUAUCUCACCAAUGAACUGCAUAAAAGAGAUUUUCAAUGUCGGCGUACUAAACUCAGGUAUUCCAGAACUGCAACGAUAAAAUUAUGACGACAACACCUCAGAGCUCAACUCCCCGGGACACUUCCACAAAACCCCUGACAGGAGGCACCAAGACAAUGUUCUCAUCAUAAAACCAUCGAAAUGAUUCCAAGAUACCCGCGUGAUCCUAAAAUUUUUUUAGUGAAAUUUGAGAAGAGAAGAGUCAAAACUCUACGUCAGGAUGCCUUACCAGAGCGAUGAGGAGACUGGGAAGUAAAAAGAAUUCCUAAACUCUUCGAUAUAUAAUUCCUAAAUGACUCAAAACAUUUUUCUAGACACAACUCGGCUGCUAAAAACGAUCAAGCAAUGGGGUUCCUAACGUCGGGGAAGGCUCUGAUUACCAACUUGUAACACCCUCGAUGCGGCUAUAGCUCCCAUGUGUCGAGGCACGACUUAGAGACAUAAUCGCAUUGAAGGCAUAUGUCGCAAGUUAGGCAAUCUUCACAACAUCCCAUAUAAUAUAUAGAUAAUAAAAGGGGAGAUAUCAUAGUUGGCUUACACUCGCCACGUCAAUCAAGUACAUAAAUAGAAUUACAACAUUCAACACUCAUGGCCCGACUACGGUGCCAAAAUAAAAGAUAACCCAACAUGCGACACGGCCCCGAUCACCCCAACUGGGCACCACUACUGAUCAUCAGGAAAGGAAACAUAGUAAUGUUGAGAGUCCUCGUCGAACUCCCACUUGAGCUCGAGAGCGUCACCGGGAGCGGAAUCAUCAGGCCCUGCAUCUGGUGUAAUAGUAAUCUGUGAGCCACAGGGACUCAGCAAUCUCGCACCCUCGUGAUCAAGACUAUUUAAGCUUAAAAGGUAGGGUAAGGUGAAAAUAUGUGGAGCUGCAGCAAGUGACUAGCAUAUAUGGUGGCUAACCUGUUCGCAAAAGAGAGCGAGAAGAGGAGGCAAAGCGCGAGCGAGAAUCUAGAGCACAACCUGCGCAAGCAUUAGUCCAACACCGUGUUCACUUCCCGGACUCCGCCGAGAAGAGACCAUCACGGUAACUCACACUGUUGAUUCAUUUUAAUUAAGUUAAGGUUCAAGUUAUCUACAAUCGGACAUUAACAAAUUCCCAUCUGCCCAUAACCGCGGGCACGGCUUUCGAAAGUUCAAAUCCCUGUAGGGGAGUCCCAACUUAGCCCAUGACAAGCUCUCACGGUCAACGAAGGAAUAGACCUCCUCCCGAGACGUUCUGAUCAGACUCGGUACCUCGGUUCUUCAAGACACUUCGACAGCUUAAAACAAGACCAGCAACACCGCCCGAAUGUGCCGACAAAUCCUGAUAGGAGCUGCACAUAUCUCGUUCUCAGGGCACACUUAGAUAGGUCAAGCUACGAGUAAAACCAACCCUCGAGUUUCCCCGAGGUGGCCCCGCAGGCUGCCUGGUUCGGACCAACAAUCAGAGGAGCACUGGCCCGAGGGGGGGUUAAAAUAACAUGACCCUCGGGCUCCGGAAACCCAAGGGAAAAGAGGCUAGGUUGCAAAUGGUAAAACCAAGGUUGGGGAUUGCUGGAAAAGCUUUAAUCAAGGCGAACUAUCAAGGGGUUCCCAUUAUAACCCAACCGCGUAAGGAACGCAAAACCCGGGAACAUAACACGAUAUGACAGAAACUAGGGCGGAAAGAGUGGAACAAAACACUAGGCGAGAGGCCGAGCCUUCCACCCUUUACCAAGUAUAUAGAUGCAUUAAGAUAACAUGGCAACAUAAUUAUAUCCCAACAAGUAAAUAAUGUUCCAACAAGGAACGGUCUCCAAUCUUCACCUACAACUAGCAACACUAUAAGAGGGGCUGCGCAAAGCGGUAACAUAGCCAAUCAAUGGUUUGUUAGGACAUGGUGGUUAGAGGUUUGACAUGGAAAUAUGGGAGGCUUGAAAGCAACUGGUAGGCAUCAUAGCAUUGGCAUAGCAAAAAAGCGAGCAUCUAGCAAAGCAAAGAUAGUAGUGAUUUCGAGGGUAUGAUCAUCUUGCCUGCAAAGUUGUCAGAGUUGCCUAGAUCCUAGAAAGCAAACUCAACGGGCUCCUCGUUAGCGAACUCGUCUCCCGGCUCUACCCAAACAAGACAAACAAUCAAACGGAACACAAUCAACCACGUGCAAAACUCAAACAAUAUGAUGCAACGAUGGUAUGCUAUGCGGGAUGCGAUGCGGGAUGCAUAUGCAAGAUUUGAUAAGGGAUGCAUGAACCUUGCCUCAACAUGGAAAACCAAGUGUGCCACUGGAUAGAUGACAUGAAAUUGCUUGAAAACGAUAUAAAGAAUGCCGGAAUCGGAGUUACGGUUUGGAAAUGGCAAGCGAUUCAAAUAUGACCACGAUUUGCGAUUUACAACAAGUAGCCAUCUAAAAGCAAUGAGAUGAACAUGCUACAACACUCAAACAUGGCAUCAAAAUACAUGGCAGGGAUGCACUCAAGAUGCUUAACAAAAGUCUAGCACUGAGCUACGGCCAAUUCAUCCAUUAACAGGUUCAAACAAGCAUGGCAAAAAUGCAUAUGGUAAACAGAUUUCAGACUUAGUGAAAUUAACACUUGUCUGGAAUCUCAGAUCAGGUAGCACUCUUUGGAGCAACAAAACUACAUGCUACAGGACCUGAACAUGACAAAGUAAAACAUGACAUGGAUCUACUCAAAAAUCUUAACAAAAGUCCCUUAGUGACCUUGAGCCAAAAGGGAUUAGAAAACAUAUUAGCAAGCAUGUGAACAUAGCAAAAGCAUAAUCAGUUUUCGGACUUAGUGAAAACUGGCACAUGCUGAAACAGAUAUCAAGUAGGCAUGUUUACGAGCUCGAUGCACUCACUGCGGAGCAUGUCAUGAAAAUCUAAGUAUACAUCCAUCAAGAAUACACAAAAUGCAAGCUAGAUAUGGCAAGAACAAUAACAUAGCAUGCACGGAUCAACUACAACAUCCCCGGCAAAAUUGCUAACAAGUAGACAAUCUGCCCGGAUUCACGAAGUAGCAAAAGUAGAGCUCGAUUGACUUAAGCUAGGAUGCUCCAUAAUUGCAAACAAAGACAUGGAUGGAUUGAGCACUCCAAUAUUAAUAAAACAUCCUUACUGAUCAUCCUCAAAAGAGGCACGGAUCACUAGGAAACGACAUGAACAUAUGGCAAUAUGAGAUAAACAGGUCAAGGAGCCUGAAAACAACAUUACCAAGUGCCUCACUUUGCAAGCUUGUACUAGUCACCACACACAUCACAAAAAAUACAUGGGUUGUACCUCUGGAAAGAUGGAAAAACCCUUAACAAAACAUAUGUAGAGCUCAUGGGCAUAUCAUGCACACAACAAUCAUGGCAAAAAUGACAAAUAUCUAAAUGGAGCAGCAGAUCUGACAAUUAUCUCAAGUAGCACUCUUCUAACAGCAUUUCGGGCACCAAGAUGUACUCAAAUGAAAAUGAUGCAAUGAGAUGAAAUGAUGUACUCCCUGAGGCGAACAUUUUGAUAUGCUAUAUGCCAAAAACGGAGCUACAGAUGCAAAGUUACGGUGCGAUGAACAUGGGCAUAUGAACUAGGGUUUCGGGAGAGUCAACCGACGUUUUUGGAUCUAGAUCUGAGAUCUGGUGCAUGAUUUACGAGGAUGGCUAGCACUGUUCACCGGCGACGGGACGCGGCCGGAGGAAGCGGGCGAGGUGGAGGUCGGCGCGGGCCGGCGCCGGAGUAGAAGGCGGCGGCCCUAGGCGGGUGGAGCGGCGGCGGGGCGUGGCGGCGGUGGCCGGCGAUGGAGACCACGGUGGCGGGGCGCGGCGGGGCCUGCCGGCGACGGAGUGAGAUCCGGCCGAUGAUGGCGGAUGCGNNNNNNNNNNNNNNNNNNNNNNNNNNNNNNNNNNNNNNNNNNNNNNNNNNNNNNNNNNNNNNNNNNNNNNNNNNNNNNNNNNNNNNNNNNNNNNNNNNNNNNNNNNNNNNNNNNNNNNNNNNNNNNNNNNNNNNNNNNNNNNNNNNNNNNNNNNNNNNNNNNNNNNNNNNNNNNNNNNNNNNNNNNNNNNNNNNNNNNNNNNNNNNNNNNNNNNNNNNNNNNNNNNNNNNNNNNNNNNNNNNNNNNNNNNNNNNNNNNNNNNNNNNNNNNNNNNNNNNNNNNNNNNNNNNNNNNNNNNNNNNNNNNNNNNNNNNNNNNNNNNNNNNNNNNNNNNNNNNNNNNNNNNNNNNNNNNGGUAGGAGUGUCCAAAUGAGGUGCGGUUUUCGGCCACGCGAUCGUGAUCGAACGCUCUAGAUGAUGGAGAGGGUUUAGGUGGGUUUUGGGCCAAAAUGAAAAGGUGUUGGGCUGCAACACACAUGAGGCCUUUUCGGUCCCUCGGUUAACCGUUGGAGCAUCAAACGAAGUCCAACUGGUACGAAACUUGACAGGCAGUCUACCGGUAGUAAACCAAGGCCGCUUGGCAAGUCUCGGUCCAAUCUGGAAAUGUUUAAUCCCCACACACGAAAAAAGGUAGAAAUGACCACCAGAGGAGAACGAAGCACCGGAAUGCAAAAUGGACAACGGGGAAAAUGCUCGAAUGCAUGAGAUGAACAUGUAUGCAAAUGCAAUGCACAUGAUGACAUGAUAUGAGAUGCAUGACAACGAUAACAACACACGGAGACAAAAACCCGAACCCAAGAAAAUAAAAUAACUUAAAGCCGGAAACGGCAAGAGUUGGAGUACAUAUGGGGUAAGUUACAUCCGGGAUGUUACACUACGUGACCAGUUAGGCUCCUGAGUCGUGAUGCUCAGGAGUCCCCCUUGACAUGCAAACAUUCUCCAUACCUUUGCCCUCGCCGAGGCUCGGCUGAGGAGGGGCGUGCGACGACCAGGUCCGAGGGACCUGGUUGGGCGGCGUACGCUUGGGCGUGACCCGGGCGCCGCCCCCGUGCCCAGCCCCCUCGCGCGGCUCUCCCGAGGGGAGGCGUUGCGGUGAGGCCGGACACUAAGCUCUGAGGCUCCCUGAGGUUGGUAUGGCCAUGAGGCCGCCCCCAGUUGUUUAUCACCAGCGCGGGAGCGUAGUGCUUCCGCUUGUGCACGGGCAUAGCCGCUCCUCGGCAGUGUCGACGGCCAGCGCGGAGCAUGGUGCUUCCACUGGGGCAUGGGAGGGGGACUCCCUACUGCAGAGAGCCCCGGGGCAUGUACAACCCCGCCCUGACACGCAGCUUGCACGACAGGGCUAGACAAGGUGUAUCUGGGCACUCGUGAGCCACCGCAGGACUCACGAGGCCCUACCUCAAGGCGGAUUACGCCUAGUCUUGGUUCUUGUUUGCUGUUUUGGUCUUGCGAGGAUGUUAGACAACCUGUGCCAAACGAAUCUCAUGAUGUCAUCGUGUGAGAAAGAUAAGAACCAACAGCCCCAGGAAGUGACGUGAACGGGGAUGGCCCGCCAGACAGAGCUCAGCCGCUGGGUUUAUCAACACUGCAGGGACGGGCCCGAGCACAGACGCCGUGCUUAACUUAGUCAGCGAAGGGUCUUGAAGAAAGAUGGCCGAUGCGCGGCUCCUAUGGUGGGCGACAAUCAAGCAGGUGAUAGUCAUAGAUAGAUUAAGCAUGGAAAGCAACCUAGCACAGGUAAAUGCAGGGAAGAUGCAUGCCACUGGGCCAGGCCCGAGCGGCUUGGGGAUGAUGCAGCCCGAGGGGCGCCCCCAACAAGAUAAGCUGAAGACAUAAAAAUGGAUACAUGCCACAGGGAUGGACCCACGCGGCCUGGGAAUGAUGAAGCCCUGGGGGCGCUCCUAGAUGAAUGAACUUGGAAAAUAUCACCUGGUUCUAUUGGUGAAGGAGAGUUGGGGCAGUUGAAGGUGUGCGGCGAAGGGGCUGCUCCUCGUGAGCCACCGGGGCCCUGAGCCUCGGGAGGCUCUGGGGGUCCGGGUGGUUCCUUGACGACCAUCUUCAUCUGCGUCAGCACAGCGUGGUGCCUGGCCUCCUGAGCCGCCAGGAUGCUCCGCAGGUUGCGUUGAUAGGCAGUCGCCACGCUCAGCAGGCCAAAAGGCAUGUAGACACAGCUGUGAGGUGGGCCCUCGCAGCGUCCAACGCACGAAAGCCAGAAAAGCUCCUCAGAGGCGUCCCGAUUGAGCCCUAGGACGUUGAUGCAAAUGUGCAGCCCGGCAUCCUCGCCUGGAUGGGGAGCUGCGCCUGGUAAGUGGCAGCCGCCGCGCAUGGCCCUUGCGUCUUGAAGUUCCUGUGUGGUCUUGGUGAUGAACUCCUAAACGGUGGGCACUCCUUGCCCGGUGUUCUCCUGAGGGAAACGUGCCGUGAAGCACACAUCCAAGUGGUGCCCAAGCGCCUCCCUUGUGUUGUUGGCAAAGUCUGAGUCCCUCCAGAAGAGAGCCCCCGAGCCCUGCCCGAGAGGGGCGCUGGGCGCACUUUCCUAUGCGAUGGAGGGAGGCACCCCAGGCGCGGGCGCCAAUCCUGACGAGGCGCCGCUUGCGUGAGGCCCUGUGUGGCGCUGCUGCUUCUUCUUAUUGGGGUGGCCUCAGGAAGGCGCUCGCCCUGGCUAUCGAGGUCGUCAAUUGCUGCAGCUUGGAAGGCACGCUCGAGGGAGCACACCACGUAUCUUUCCUCGCACGGGACUGUGAUGAUUCCGCCGCUUCCCGGCAUUUUGAGGACAUUGUAGACUUGAUGGGUCACCGCCAUGAACUUGGCCAGAGCUGGAUACCCGAGGAUGGAAUUGUACGCCUGGCGGAUGUAGGCGACGUCGAAGUCAAUGAGUUCGGUGCGGUAGUUGUUGCAUUCUCCGAAGGUAACGAGGAGGCGGACCUGCCCGAUCAGGGUAGUAGAGCCGUCGGUCACUCCUAAAAAAGGUUUGGUAGGCUAAAGCUGGUCAUAUGGCACUUGGAGGUUGUCGAUCAUGUUGACGGACAGGACAUUGAGCCCUGCGGCACCGUCAAUGAGGGUCUUGGUAAGUUGCACAUUGCUGAUGACUGGUGAACAAAGCAUUGGGAGGACGCCAGCAGUAGCCACACACUUGAGCUGAUGUGCCGAACUGAAUGUGAUGGGGCACCUGGACCAUCUGAGUGGGCAUGCGGCCAUCAGCUUGGGGAGGACUGCAUUCACUUUGCAAGCAAACUGUUUGAAGAUACGCUGCGAGGCUAGGGCUUGAGCUCGGCCCAAGAUGCAGGCGAUAGCGGCGGCUCCUGGAAGCCCCAUUCCCCCUUGUCUUGAUGGUGGUCGUCAUUCCUUCUGGGUGGUGUCUGUAGUGGAGGAAGGCCAGCAUUGCCUUCAGGAUGAUCCUCACGAGGCUGGUCCCUCUAGGCGCCCUCGCGAGGCUGAUCCUGCCAGCGGUCCUCACGAGGCCAGUCAUGCCACUCCUGGCGCGGGCCACGGUCGUCCCAGUGUCCUCCACCAUGUCCUCCUCCUCGGCCGUAGCCCCGGUCGCUGCGCUCGGGGCUUCGACCGAACGUCCUUCUCGAAUGGCUCUGAGCUCUUGACAGUCGCUGGUGUUGUGGGUAUGCAAGUUAUGGAAGGCGCAGAACGGUCGGCUGCUCUUGGAUGACUCGGGAAGAUCUCGGCCGCGCUUGGUGUCUAGCUCCGCCAUGAGCAUGGACACUCCCCAUGCGCUUCACUUCCUUGGCCUUGGCUUUCUUCUCCUCCGGGUCCGCAACAGGAAGCUCGAGGAGGGAGGGGCGCCCCUACUCAGCUCUUGCACACUUGGUCGCGAUGUUGAAUAGCUCCAAGGUCGUGCACAGCUCCUCAUGGAUGGCGAGCUCCUCCUUCAUCUUGACGUCGCGGACGCCAUCGGAGAACACUGAGAUGAUGGCCUCGUCGGUCACCUUGGGGAUCCUGAUUCGCACAUUGUUGAGGCGCUAGAUGUAGUUCUGCAUGGUCUCUCCUGUUUGUUGCUUGAUACGGUGCAGGUCACCCGCGACCGGGGGGCGGCCGUGAGUGCCCUAGAAGUUGGCGAUGAAGCGGUUGCGCAUCUCGUCCCAGGAGGAAAUCGAGCCUGGAGGCAGGUUCAGGAACCAGGAGUGGGCGCCAUCCUUGAGAGCCAUGGGAAACCAGUUCGCCAUGAAUUUCUCAUCGCCGUUGGCCACCUCGAUGCUCAUCUCGUAGAGCUAUAGGAACUCCGCGGGGUUGGGGGUGUCGUCGUAGCAAGGAGGCAGAUCUUCCUUGAACUUGCCCGACCAGGCAACGCUACGCAGCUCGGGGGUGAAGGCGCGGCAGCCGGCCGUGGUCAACGGGGCCCGUCUUGGAGGUGGAACUUGGUCUUGGCUCCCGCGUGCCGCUACGACAAAUGGCGCGGGGCCUUGCCGUAGCAGACGAUCCUGGCGCGGUGGUGCGAGGAGUGGUAGAGCGUUCUCUUGCGGUCGAGGGACUUCUUGACAGCUUCUUUCUUAACGCACAGGCGCCGGACACGGUGGGUCGUGCCGUGGAGCCGCGUGCCUUGGCACUACGGUGCCGUCUUGGUGUGCAGAGGUGGCGGAGGUGCUUCAUGAGCUGCAUCGCCCGUGGCUGGCGGAGGGCGAGGCAGAGAGUGGGACGGCGCAGGGGAGCCCCCCUGCGGCGUGGACAAGCUCGGUGAUGCGGUCAAGCCAGUCCUUGUAGAGGUCGUCGACUGGGCGGUAGCGCAGGAGCUCGUGCGCCAUGAGGAGCACGGCCCGUGCGUUCGUGGGAACACGACGAGCGUGAGACGAUGAACCAUCAGGAGUCAGUGAUGGAGUGGCGGUGCGUCCGUCCUGUCGCACCGAGGGGUCCAGUGAAGAUGCUUGCUGCUCGUUCCCCGCCGGUCUGCUGGCGGCAUUGGCGGCAGGAGACGGAGAGCGACAGGGUGGCCUGCCGACAAGGGCCGUCUGAGCAACACGGGUGGCGAGGGCAGCCCGGUGCUCGGUGCGGGCGCGGCGUGCAUCCGCCACAUAGACGAUGAAGCGGCGAGACACAGAGCGACGGAAGGGAAGCUUCGGCGCACCCCUACCUGGCGUGCCAAAUGUCGGAUCACGUGUUCUAGCAAAACCCUUGAGGUUCAAACACUGGGGUGUGCGCGAAGAUUCCCCCCUACCGAUCCACGUCCUAGCUUGGCUAAGAUCUUACGAACUAACUUGACGAACUCGCAACGCAAAGGACACAAGAUUUAUAGUGGUUCGGGCCACCGUUGUGGUGUAAUACCCUACUCCACUGUGGUGGUGCUGGAUUGCCUCUUUGGCUGAGGAUGAGCAGUACAAAGGGAAGAACAACCUCCUGAGAUUGAGGUGUUCUUGUGCUUGGCGAACUUGUGCGUGUGAGGAUUUGAUUCUCUCCUCUCAAUCGAUCAAUCGAUCUCCCUAGCUAUGGUGGUGGCUAGUCCUAUUUAUAGAGGCCCUGGUCCUCUCCCCAAAUAUUGAGCGGGAAGGGAGCGAACAACAGCCAAUUUCAAAGGGGACAGCUAGUACAAGCUAUCCUGACAAAAGCAGUGUUCGCCUGCCAAAGACUCUGGUGGUGACGCCGUCUUGGGCUCCACAGUGACCUCUGUCUUGUCGUCCUGCUGGUCUUGGUCUCGUUGCACGGAUAUGGAAACCUUUGCUUGACACCUCGGUACUCCGCGCCUGCGCUUGCCGCCUUAGCACCAAAGAGGAAACAAGGAUGCUGUGCAUGCUCGCGCCCGCCUGGAGCCCGCCUGGUCUCGAUCGUCAUGGCUCACGUCACUAGAACCUCACGAGGUUUGCCGUGCCUUGAACUAUCCGCCCCUCAUGAGCCAUCCUAGCGAGGCCGCUCCUGAGGAGGUCUUGCGUCGUCCGCCUCGCAAGGCUUGGCCCCUCGCGAAGGUCUUUAUUCCUUGCUGAUGAAGACGGCCUGUACAAGCCUACUAGCAAAGCCACGCCAUGGGCCGCAGGCAGGGAAGUCUAGGGACCCCCAUUCCCAAAACACCGACAACAUUGCUUUGUUUGUCUUAUGCUUCGGUUUCCCUCCAGCGUCCCUCCUCUGCCUUGUUAAGUGUGGCCGGGGCGCGGCUCUGACUGCCCGUGCACAAGUAAAGGGGUCAAAAGGAGAGCCCCUACUUUUGUACACCGACACUCCGCCACCCCCACCCCCGCCACACCCACGUCGAGUUUUCUUCAUUCGACAAGGCCCCACCACCGCCCCCACAACCACCAUCCCCAGUCGAGCCCCUUCCUUCGCACCGGCGAACUCUGGCGAGCUCUUAAAAAUCGACUGACCCAAUUUUGAAAUUUAGUCUAUUGUCAUUUAGCUAUUGUUGAAUAUAAAAGGGGAAAACCAUAAGCAUUGCGAGUAUAGUGUUGAGCGUGGCAUGGCGGACCUGAAGGUGCAAUCCGGACAAAGGCAACUUCGCAACCAAUGUUUGCUUUCAACUAACAAGUAAGUGAUGGAUAAGAAAUCAGAGUAAAGCAGUGGCGAUCAAUUUUCUCUGCUGCGAUAAAUAAGUUGAGCGGAUAUGAAAGAGUACCGCCUUUGGUGCAGCACCAUGUAUGCAUUUGUUGAGAAUUUGACGGUGCUAUGGUAGCGUGGAAGAAGAUCUAGGAGGGUUGAUGGUGGCGGUGGGGCGCGGUGGACGAGACGGUCGUAGGAGCGGCGCUGGCAAGGUGGACGAUGACGGGGAUGAAGCGAGAGGACGGGAUGGAAGGAUCUCGGUCUGAAGCCGUGGAUGAGAGAGGUCGAUCUCUUGUAAUGGACGACGGCGUCGGGGUGUCAUCUCCGGCAUGGUGGAGGAGGAUGGCGGUGGAUGGGGUGGCAGACGGAGGAGGCUGGGGUGGAGAGGGUGUUUUGCCGCCCACGGAUUACGAAUGGGGAAAUGGAGGGAGAGAGUAAGGAGGAACCAUGUCUUCAGGGCGCGCUUGUCUCAAAUGAGAAGAAAUUUACAAACUUAUCCCCCGUUUAAAAUUUCCUACAUCACAACAAUAUUAGUCGGUUGGGGAUAGGACGGUUAUCUCACAUGCACCGAAUAUUUGCCGACGAGAGUUUGUUUUGGUGCCCACCGUGUAUGAAUCGUGGAGGGAGUCAAUUUCGGCCGAGGAGACACUGUGUUUUGGCACCCACCGUGUAUGAAUAUGGGUGAGAGGUGUUUAUGUCAUGUUUGAGUGAAAUUACAAACCUACCCCUAUCGAAAGCUAUAGAAAUCGAGCCGAUAGCCUUUGUAUGUCAGGGAUAGGCCGUAAUUUCCAUCUCUCAGAUUUUGGUUUCGGGAGGUUACUUCAAAUUUCCCCACUUCGUUCAAAUUUUUGCAGAGCAAGAGUGCACGUUUACCGUGCGAACUCAAUUUGAAUCUAGUUUGUAUUGUAUUUUUGUUCGGGCAGGAUCCAUUUUUGAUUGGAAUAAAAUUCUAUAUACAUCAUUUUUAUAUAUACUUUCAAAAGCACAACACCCUUUAUACAUAAAUAUGGUUUACAAAUGGCAUGAUCUCAGAUUCAUAUGGUUGUAUCCAUGUUAAUUUCGACUUUCAAGUAUUUGAAACCACUUUAUAUUGAAAUCCAAUGUAUGCAUUCCUCGCUAACUGUCUCCAAUUAAUGUGUGUUUCAUGCAUUUUUUUACUUCUCGGACAUGUAUAAUGUGUUUCACACACGCAAAAUAUAGUGUAGUCCUGUUUAGACAUUAAUUGCAUAUAAACCAUGCAUUGUAUCUAAUUAAAGAAUCUAUGGAUCACUAAUAUUGAUAAACUAUAUAACAUUACACGUGUCCCCAAAUUCCAAUGAAUAUGCAUGUUUGAUACACCAAUUUGUGUUAUGAUAUUAUCGAUGUCGUGAACUCUAGUUUAAAAAUUUGAAUCCCCUUUAAUCAAGAUAUUCGUCUCCUAUAGCUAUCACUCAUGCUUAUAUAGGAGUAUCUCUCUAGACCUAUACGUGUGCAUUCUCUCUCAGGUAUCUCUCAUGCUACAUGUAUCUCGACAACGAUCUUUCAACUUCAUAACACACUAAGGGUGCUCUCUCCCUCGACCUUCAUCACUCUAUGUCUCCCUAAGUAUAUCUCGCUCCCAGCUAUGUGUCUCUAGCUAUGAUUCUCCAUGGGAAAUCACUUUCCCUCGCACAAACACAAACUUCAUCUCCCGGGGUCUCAUUUCUCUCUAUUAUUCCCCUAUGUGCCACUCGCACACCCCCUCUCACACAGAGAUGUCUUUCACUCCUUAGGUAUCAGAAGCUACGAGUCCUCCUCUAAAAUAUAUCUUUCUCACACACAAACACAAACUCUGUCUUCCAGGGUCUCAUAUCUCUCCACCAUUCUCUUGUAUGUAGCUCACACACACUCUCUCUCCCUAGAGAUAUCUUGCAUUCCCUCAUAUGUGCGUCUAGCUAUCACUCUCGUUGUGAAAUAUCUUUCUCUCUUGCAGACACAAAACUCUGUCUCUCGGGAUCCUAUUUCUCUCUGAUAUUUGUUUGUAUGUGACUCACAUGCACCCUCUCUCUAUCUCUCUCACACCCAGACACAUAACUCACCCUUCUGAUACACUUGACUCCUAUCUCUAACACACACUAGCUAGCAUCUUUAUUUUUCUAUUUACCUGUUUCUCCAUCAACCUUCUUUCUCGCCCUCACUCUUGCUUCCUAUCACACACACUAUAUAUGUUUCUCUCUACAUGCAGUCAUGUGCCCUCCUUUUAUCUUUCUCUCACACACACAUAACUUCACCCUCUGAACCACCCGGCCGUCAUCUCCAACACUCAAAGUAGGCAAUGUCCGUCUAGCUAGCAUCUCUAUCUCUGUAUCUAUCUGUAGUUUCUCCGUCAACAUUUAUUUCUCACACACACUGUUGCUUCCUAUCAUGCACACUAUAUAUGUCCCUCCGUACAUGCAUCUAUAGGUUGAUCUCUUUUGCAAAAUCGUUGUGUCUCGCUCCCUCUGCUCGCCAUAGAUGCAUGCUCCAGCCCACACCACUAUCUCUUAAAGACAAAAACACAUGCUCAAUUAUCGGGCCUUCUUCCCUACACUCUCACAUGCAUACAUAUUGUCAUACUGAUCCGUCGCUCCCACGUCGUUGAUCUCAUGACUUAUGUCUUCUUUGUUUUAUCUCGAUCAUGUGUGUGUGCGCACACACACACACACACACACAUCCCACGUAUUCAUGUAUACCUCUCGCAGAUGCACGUUCAAGGUCUCCUAUGUCUCCAUACGUAGUUAAUUACCCUCAUCCCUAACGCCACAUCGAAUCGUUCUCUUCUUGUGUGCACAUAACUUCCACCUGGAUGGGUAAAACACACACUAACACUUAAACAAUCUCCUUCUAGCUACCCCCUCUCUCACUCUUCCCCUAUAUCCCCGAAACCAAAAAGACCAUCCCUUCAUUUAAUUCCCGCCUACAUGCCCCAUCGAUAUAUAGUAGUCUUCCUCGGUGUCUCUCGAAUAAACACGUUCUCUCGAUGUCGACUCCUCUCACGCGCACACUCCUUCUCUUCCCUCUCUACGGGCCUUUUCUCUCUCACACCCCCUCGUUGGUGGCCUUUGCCAUAAACACAACCUCUCUAUGAUGAAUCCACACACACUUAAAUUUCAUUCGCUACCGAGGACUCCGUGUCACACAGACACACACACGCACGCACACACCCACCCACCCACCCACCCCCCCACACACAGACACACUAAGACUCCAUCUCACACACACAUGCUAUAGCCGGAGCAUGUGUACCUACCACCCUUCGUCCAACCAUACACAUAUGAUAAACAAUCUGUCGAGGGUUGGGUGCGACAUAUGCCAAAGGAUGGCUUAUCAUGGUGGGAGCAAGUAGAACGUCGCUGAUGCCUGGAAACGGGAUGAGGCGUAGACACGAACGCCGGCGUACUUUACCCAGGUUCGGGGCUCUCCUAGGAGAUAACACCCCUAGUCCUGCUCUGCGGGGCCUUCGCAUGAUCACUAAGACAAAAGUGGUACAACGGUGCUCCUCGAGCUGUUUGGUAGAGGUGGGAAAGGGCAAGGCUGGCUCUCUACUCCUCUAGGUCUAAGUCUAGUCCUAACAGGCUCGGAACCCUUUGCAUGGGUGCCCUGGGGUGUUUAUUUAGACCUAUCCCCUGGGGUACAAUGGUAAUCCAGCUGGGUGUAGGGCCCAGUUGUCAGUCUCUUUUUCCGUCGGCUUCUCCGCCGGCUGCUGGGGCGCGCCGCCUGGUGGGCCCUGCCGACUGGUUAGGUACGGGGCCGACAGGCCGCCUCCGCCGCUCUCGGGUCUUGUCGGCUGCUGAUCACUGUAGCCGUGACACUGAUGACCCAGGCUUGGUCAGGGGAUCAUGGCUACAGCUUCGCCGUCUAGCGGGUGAUUACUGUAGCCACUCUGCGUCUUGUCUGGUUAGUGCCGUGUGGGACCCAAGGAAGGGGCGGGCCGACUGCUGGGGGCCGACCUCCGUCGAAUCCGACUUGUUGGGCUCUAGCCAUCUUCCGGACUCUGCUGAUUGGUGGGGCCCGUCGUCCUUGGGUCAUAGCGAUAGGCCGUCGUGGGAGCAGGCUCCGCCUACUUGUGGUGAUGUCAGGAGUGGCAUGGCAAUAGUGCCGCGUCAGGCGGAGAUCUCUGCCGGUAUGGUGCACUGUGGCCACGCUCGUCCCUGGAUCGGGGGGGGGGGAUGGUCUACACUUAGCCACCCCCUGUCUUGUCUUUCUUGAUGAGGGCGCGGGCUUUGUUGGCGCCAUGGGCCGACUGCUAGGGGCCUGCUUCUCUAGAAGCCGCCAACUAGGAAUCGGCUGGUCUUGAAGUCGGUCUCUGGAACUCAGCCGUCUAUGGGCAGCCGACUAUUCCUUCAGCCGGCCACCAGAAGGCGGCACUUCAUCUUGGUGUCUUGAGGAGCGCAACCAGCCGCGAUGUCUUGAAAGGUUCUAGGCCUUGGGUUAGCCUACCCGUGGCCCAUUACACCGACAACAGUGGACGAAGCUGGUGAGGUGCCGCGGCUGAGCAGCCGAGGAGCCCCAACAGUUUUCUUCUCCGAGUGCCUGAGGUGGAGCUUCGUCCGACUUCUGCCGGGCCGACUGGUGGGAGUCGGCUGUGCCCAUUCUGACUUAUCCAAACUUCGAAUGCGUCGGCGGGAACCAAGUGGUGUGCUAGCUAAGCCUCCAGGCCGCCGCCUGUUGUGGUCUUGUCACGUGGCGCCGAGCGGCCGAGCCAGUCUGCUAACCCACACCGUGAUGGGACACACCUACGGGCGGGGCCCGCCACUACCAUGCCUCGGCGCGUGAGCGGAUCCGCUGUGGCCGAGGUGGGCGGUUAGGGUCCCCGCGGAGUUACUGCGUGCAGUAUUUGCACGAUAAAAGUGGGAUCAUGGGCGCAGUAAAUCCCAUGAUUGCCCCCUCGGCUUCGCAGCCCAUAGGCCUAUAAGUAGGGGGAGGAAGGGGAGCAGCGGAGCACGCGUGUCCAUCCUCCCUAUUCUUUCCUCCUUAUUAUUCCUCUCGUCGAAGCGCCCCCAAGACACGUUGAGCGCCGUGGUGGUUCGUCUCCGAUGAGCUCAUCCUCCAACCCCACGCCCCCCAUGGCUCGCUCCGGUGCAUGGGAUGGCUCCGAGGUUCAUGAUGACCACAUCGACUUCCUCCGCCAGACGCGGCGGCUCCCCAGCGAGGACCACGUGAGGGUCCGCCUCGCGCUGAGGAGGGAAAUUUCGCCGGCGCCGGAGGAGGGAGAGCGGGUCGUCUUCCGCUCGCACUGCCUCCGUGGCCUUGGCUUGUCGGCGAGCAGCUUCUUCCGAUCCUUCCUCGAGUUCUACGGUCUCUAGCCGCACCACCUCACCCCGAACAUGGUGGUGCUGCUGUCCGCCUUCGUCACCUUGUGCGAAGGCUUCCUCGGUGUCCUCCCCACCAUCGAGCUCUGGGGGGAGUUCUUCUACAUCCAGCUUGGCACCCUUGUUGCGUGCAUGCUAGCUCAAUGCAGCGCGUUCAUCGCGGUGCAGAGGCGGCUGGCCGAGAACUCGUUUCCUGCCAUCCCGCUGAUCAAGUCGGUGAAGAUGUGGCAGCGGUCGUCUUUCCACGUGAAGAGCAUCUUUACGGAGGGCGACUGGGUCAACUUGCCGGCUUACGAAGCCGGCCCGCCGGCUGGGAGGCGGCCCAACUGGUCGUAUCGGCCCAAGACGCUAUCGCCCUCCGGAGUCGCCGCUAUCGCGCGGCUCCGAGUGCUGACACAGUCAGAGGGCCUGACCGGGCCCGAAUUGCUAUCCGCCUUCGUGGCAUGCCGAGUGCUCCCGCUCCAGAGCUGCACUCACAUGAUCUGCCAGAUGAGCGGACAUCGUGACCCGAGUCGGCUGUGCACCAAGGAGAUGCCUCAUGCAGAGGUAGCUCACAUGGUGAACUACCUUGCGAACUGCGAGCUCAUGGAUGAGUGGCAGUUUGGUAAGGAGCCAUAUUCACGCGCCAACCCCCGCCUAUUGUAAGUCGUCUGUCUUUUUCUCUGUCUCUUUGUUGCCGACUUCGUGUUGUCCAGCCUGACCAAUCGGCCUUUGAACAGAGUCCCCUCCUCCAGUCGGCAGCCGGCCCCGCGGGGCCAGAGCGCCAAUUCCUCCUCGACCGAGCGGAGAGCGACGUCGACGACCCCGAUCUGGGGGCUGCAGCCUUGGAGGACGAUGCCGAGGGAGGAGGAGGCGAAACAGGCGGCCCGAGGCUCGGAACCAGCCUCGAGGACUGGCCUGAUGAUGACGUGGGGGAAGUCGCCCCGCGCCACUAGCCAGGAGCUGGACAGCCGGGCACGAGCUCGCUUGCCGUGCCGGAUGCCCAAGGCGGCGCAAAGAAGCGCAGGGCCGCGCCGAGCUUGUUCGGCAGCCGGCCGAAGAAGCCCAAAGGCUCGGCCGCGACGACCAAGCGGGAUGAAGCGGCCGCAAAGGCCAUCCGCUUCCGCAAGGACGUGAAGAAGCCGCAACUGGUUUCAGCGUAAGCACCACCUUUAUCUUGUACCUUCAUUUUUUUUCCAUGUUGACUCUGUCUGAGUUUCUUCACUCCAUUUCCCUUGAUCUAGGGCUCCGCUCUCUCUUGAGAAAUCGGCCGCCGCCUCCAUCGUGGGGUCGGCAGAGACUUCCACCACCACUCGGCGGAUCGAUCCUGCCGCCGACCUUCGGGAGGCGAGGGAGUGGAACACGCGAGAAGUGCGCAAAGAGCAGGAAGCCACCCAUCGGGAGAAGGCGGAGGCCGCCACCCUGAAGAAACUGGCGGAGGCCGAGGCCGCCGACGCGGCGAAGAAGCAGGUUGAAGAAGUCGCGCGCCGCCAGUCGCUGAUUUUCGUCACUUCCCUGAACUCCGCGCCGCCACCCCCGGAGUUCGUGGCGCAGAAUGGGGAAACCAGGGGCGAGCACCCGGUCAUGGAGAGGGACGGAAGCGACGUCGCCAUGCCGGACGUGAAUGUGCCUCCACCGCCCCCGUCUAGGAGCGUGCGAGGCGAGUAGCCGGCGGACCAGCCGGUGCCGCCGACUGAAAACGAGGUGGCGACAGGCCCGACUCUUGAGGUCGGCACACCGACGCGUCGCCGAUUUGCAAAGGCGGCUUCGGCGCCAUGCCUGCUGGAGACUGUCGCCGCGAGAUCCUUGAUCCCGGACACCGAGGCGACCAGCGCCGUGCCCCAGGGGUGGGUGCGGGUUUGCGGGACAGGCCCUCUAAACAAGGCGAUGCUAGAUGUUCAAGCCAAACUCCGCGCCGAAGUCGACGGCAUCAAGAACUGCAACAACGUGUAUCUGGCGUCGCGAGAGGCCAUCCGCGUAUGCUUCUUGUUUCUUUGUGUUUUAACUCUUGUAUUGCUUCGCGGGGGCGCGUCCGCGCACCCACUGGGUGUAGUCCCCAAGUUCUGGGCCGACUGCUGAGUAGGCGGCGUGAAACUCUAACUAGUAGGCUCUGAAAGCCAAUAUCCUUGCUGCAGGAUUAUCAUAACCUCCGCGCGGCCUCCUACAACUCCAGGGUCCAGGAGUUGGAUCAACGCGCUGCCAACUUGUCAGAGAGCCGGAGUAAGUCCUCUUCCAUCUGCAGGGGCGCGCUGGCACACCCGCGGGCUGUAGUCCCUGAGAUCCAGGCCGACUGCUGAUUAGUCGGGCCAGAUCUUCCUGGUGACUAUUCUUCUUUCUAUUGAUUUUGAUGACUCCUUUCUCCGUGGGUGCACGCCGGCGCACCCGCGGGCUGUAGUCCCCGAGAUUCGGGCCGACUACCGAACAGUCGGGCCGGAUCUCCCCGGCGACUCUAGCCUCUUCUCUGUUGGCAACUGAUGCCUUCCCUUCUUCUUUCUUCCGCAUAAGCCAACGCCAUCCUUCAACGGCAACUAGGUGAAGCCAACGCCGCGCUGCGUGCCAAAGAGGCGGACUGUAGCAAGCUGGCUGAAGAACGUGACCGGCUGGCCAUGCAGUUGGCGGAGCAGGCAGGGCUUCUCCAGAAGGCCCAGAAGGAGAUGGAGGACAAGGAGACGUGUCUUCUUACCGAGUUCGAGAUCAAACGCUCCGCCUGGACCGACAAGGAGGCGAUGCUGACGGCUGGCUUUGGCGAAAUCGAGGAUUUGGUUGGUGGUAGGCGACCUUCUUUACUCUUCUUUUACGUCGCCAUUCUCUAGUCAAGCCGGCUUCUUUCUCUUUGUUCUGACUCUUUUGCUUAAUCCUGGCAGACUUCUUUCCAGGCCACUCUGGUGCCGCCAACGAGGCUAUCGAGGCCGACCGCAGAGAACGAAUGGCGGGGGGUGAAGCGAUCGCUGCCAAUGCCCCUCACACCCUUCGCGAGCAGCUUCUCAGCAUCAAGGCCCGUCUUCGGCCGGCUCACCAAAUACUGCGCCGGCUUUAGCAUGUCGGCGCCCAGGUGAUCGUCGCCCUGUGGCCUAACAUGCCGGCACCGCGCACUCCCAGUCGGACUGUCGACUGGCUGGAGGUGGCGGCCGGCCGUCUUGAGGCCUGGAAGGGCUCCUCGACCUGGGCUGGAGCGCGCCGGGCCUUGGAGUUCGUCAAGGCAUGGUACCAUGGGCUGAGUCUAGCCCAGCUAGCCACAUUCCGGCUGGAGGCUCAGGAGGAAUUGGUGGUCGUGGAAGAUGACCUCGUCAAGCGUGCGGCGUCAAUCACCGAAUACACUGACACCAGCGUCUUUGUCCCAGAGCGGGUUGAGAAUGGCGCCGAGGCGUCGCCGGAAUGGUUCGGGCUGAACUCGGAAGACGGCAAGGACACGGCGGAGGUGAUCGACUCCAGCGGCGAGGAAGAAGGCGAGGCGUAGGAGGAAGGCGAAGAGGAGGCGCGAGAGGUCGGAGCGGACGGCUAUCCCCAGCUCGACCGCGCCUCCAGCAACGAGCCACGCCCAACCGAGCUGGCUACCGCUGGAGGCGACCAAGCGGAGACUGACCAGUCAGCCGCUCCACCAACUGACGUCGCCGAUUCCUCCGAUCCACCGAACCCGUCCGCCGCUUCCUAGGCCGCUAGUUUAUCCUUUUUGCACAAUUCCACCCGCGGGUUGUAUCUUAAACUUGUGUUUUGAAGAUCGACCAAGGGCCUUUGUUAUGUAAAUAUUUUUCUGAGUUCUAUCUUUUAUUGUUUGCUGCUCUUUGGGUUUUUCCUUUGCCCCCUUCCUUGGUUGUCGUCUGGCCAGCCGAACAGCCACUUCUGCGGACUGUGGUUGGGUCAAGUACUUAGCUACUUCUGGGAAGGCAAGUACUUAGUCGUUUUUAGAACAUUCUAGCAAGUUAAGUAGAAGCUGGCAGGCCGACUGCUCAACAGUCGGUCGUAGAAGGAGGGAAGCCGGCUUAAACUAUGCACGUGCUUUGUGUCCUUAGCCAUUUUUCAUGUGGACACCCUUUUUGCCUUGCUCCUGCCCACAAGACAGUCGCUCUGCAAGCUGCGGCUUUUGGCAGGAGACGGCUUAAGUGCCAACACAUUACUUGUCUGGCUGUAGGAAGCAUUUCAUAGUACAAGGCGGCAAGUCCCCGGGCUGACUAGUCGGACCCGGUGCCAACCGGCAUAAAGAAAAUGACAUGCUCAUAGGCAUAAUUCCUAUCAUAAAGAUAAAAGAGGGCAGUGCCCGAGCUCUUCUCGGGGGACCCAGAGUCUUCGUACUUUAAUACAAAAGGUAGCAUGGUACAUAUUGUAUCAACUGUAAAAUCUUCGGAGGAUAUUUGCAUUCCAUGGUUGCUCCGUCUCCUUGCCGGAGUCGUCCCUCUUGCGCACUCGAGGCUUCUGAGCGUCGAUCAGGUAGUAGGAGUCAUUGCCCAACACCUUGCUGAUGAUGAAGGGGCCUUCCCAAGGCGCUGAGAGCUUGUGCUCGCCGGCUGUUCGCUGGAUUAGCCGGAGCACAAGGUCUCCUUCUUGGAAAGAUCUUGGCUUGACCUUCCGAUUGUAGUAUCGGUGCAGGCUCUGCUGGUAUAGCCGGCCCUCUUCCAGCAGAUCGACACCGUCUUGAUGUGCUUCUUCUGCCUCCUCUUCGAUGUACAUGGUGACUCGAGGGGAGUCGAAUUCUAUGUCCCUUGGGAUGACGGCUUCGGCACCGUAGACGAGGAAGAAAGGCAUGAAGCCGGUUGACUUGUUCGGAGUUGUACGCAGGCUCCAGAGGACGGCUGGCAGCUCGUCGAGCUAGCAGCCGGCCGAACGCUCCAUAGGCUCGACCAGUCGGGGCUUGAUGCCGGACAAAAUGAGGCCGUUUGCUCGCUCCACCUGGCCGUUUGACUGCGGAUGGGCAACGGAUGCUAAGUCCAGUCGGAUGCCCUGCGUCGCGCAGAAUCGGGCCAGGGCGCCUUUGGCAAAGUUUGUGCCAUUUGUCAGUGAUGAUAAUUUGCGGUAUGCCAUACUGGACGGUGAUGUCGUUGAUGAAAGUCAUAGCUGUCGGACCAUUCAGCUUCUUGAUUGGUUUUGCUUCUUUCCACUUGGUGAACUUGUCCACCGUGACAAGCAGAUGAGUCAUGCCACCUCGCGCUAUUUUGAAUGGUCCCACCAUGUCCAGGACCCAGACAGCAAAGGGCCAGGCAAUGGGAAUAGUCUUGAUUGCAGAAGCCAACUGAUCUGGCUUAACGGAACUUCUGGCACCCUUUGCAUUUCUGGACCAAGUCUUUGGCGUCUUCUAGAGGAGUCGGCCAGAAAAAACCAUGGUGGUAAGCUUUGGCAACAAGUGCUCUUGAAGCCGCAUGGUGGCCACAUUCUCCUUGAUGGAUGUCUUUGAGGAUUGCUUGGCCUUGCUCCGGCUUGACACAGUGGUUGUAGACACCGGUGACACUGCGCCUCACAAGCUCUUUGUUGACUAUGGUGUAUGCUGCUGCCCGGCGUUGCACUCGCCAGGCAGAGAUCUCAUUAGUCGGUAGCUCUUUGUUUACCAGGAAGUUGAGGAUGGGCUGGGCCCAUGAAGGUGCUGCGAUUUCUUCGACUGCUAGGACUGCAACUUGGACGAGGGCGGUUGGGCCGGGAGGCGGCGAGUUGGAGUCGGCUGCCGCUUGCUGGGUCGAUGAAGUCCCCGGGCCGACUGCCACAGUCCCCGAGCCGGGCUCUGAAGUCCCCGGGCUAAACGCUGCAGUCCCCUGGCUGGGUUCUGAAGUCCCUGGGCCGGGUGCGACUGCCGCUGCCCCCGGCCCGCCUGCUGGAAUUCCCGUGCCGGCUGUUGGAGCUCUCAAGUCGGAUCGGACUGCUUCAGGAGGAGCCGACACGAAGAUAGAAUCCGACUCUGGCGAUGGCUUGACAGACGGCUUGAGGAGGCAUUGUAGGGCGACACCGGUCGGUAUUUCUUGACGGGUGGAGACGAUUCAUGCCAAGGCAUCUGCUUGCUCAUUGUCAUUUCUUGGCACAUGGAGAAACUCGCACCCCUCAAAAUAUCCACUAAGUUGCUAUACGAGGAAGCGGUAGCUCGCCAUGUUUGCGUCUUUGGCAUCCCAGUCGCCUGAUGACUGCUGGACCACCAAGUCAGAGUCACCAUAGCACAGGAUCCGGCGAAUGCCGAGUUAUUUGGCAAGCCGAAGCCCAUGAAUGAGUGCCUCAUAUUCAGUGACGUUGUUGGAGGCGGCAAAAUGGAUUUGCAGCAUGUAUCUGAGCUUGUCACCUUUGGGAGAGGUGAGGAUGAUGCCGGCUCCCAAACCGGUGCGCAUCUUGGAACCAUCAAAAUGCUUCUGCCAAUGGGUGGAGUCGGGAGAUGACGGCAGGUACUAGGUCUCGGCCCAGUCGACAAGGAAGUCGGCCAGCGCAUGUGACUUGAUGGCGGUGCAAGGCUGGUAGUAGAUGGUGUAGGGGGCCAAAUCGAUGGCCCAUUUGGCCACUCAUCCUGAAGCAUCCCGACUUCCAAUGAUCUCGGCCAGUGGAGCUGUGCACACCACAGUGGUUGGGUGCUCUUGAAAAUAAGGCUUCAAUUUCUUGGCGGCAAAGUGCACGCCGUAGCACAUCUUCUGGUCGUGGGGGUAGUUUUUCUUGGAAGCUGACAACACUUCACUCAGGUAAUACACCGGUCUCUGGACUGGUAGUGCCUUGCCUUCCUCCUUGCAUUCUACCACCAUGACUGUGCUGACCACUCGGCUGGUGGCGGCGAUGUAGAGGAGCAUGGGCUCCUUAGGAGUCGGAGCCGCCAGGACAGGUGGAGUAGUCAGCAUCUUCUUGAGCUGGAGAAAAGCUUCAUCCACCUUGUCAUUCCACUCGAAAAAAUGGUCUUCUUCAUGAGCUGGUACAGGGGAAGAGCCUUCUCUCCCAGCCGACUGAUGAAACGGCUGAUGGAUGCCAAACAGCCGGUGAACUUCUGCACACCAAGUAGUAGGGUGGGCACUUCCAUCUUCUCGAUGGCCUUGAUCUUCACAGGGUUGCACUCUAUACCGCGCUCUGAGACCAGGAAUCCAAGAAGCUGGCCGGCUGGUACUCCAAAGACGCAUUUCUCCGGGUUGAGCUUGAUUUGAAAUCGGUGUAGGUUCUCAAAGGUCUCCUUGAGGUGUUCCAGCAGCGUUCCACGCUUCUUCAUGUUCACCACAACAUCGUCCACAUAAACGUGGGCGUUUCUGCCGAGCUGUUUGAGGAGGCACUUCUGCAAACAAUGUUAAAACGUGGCGCCAGCAUUCCUUAAGCCGAACGUCAUGGUCAAGUAGCAGAAGCCUCCAAAUUGUGUGAUGAAGGCGGUCUUCAGUCUGUCGGCCGGGUUCAACUUGAUCUGGUGAUACCCUGAGUAUGCAUCCAAGAAACUCAAUAGCUCACAUCCAGGUGUGGAGUCUAUCACUUGGUCAAUUCUCGGCAAAGCAAAUGGUUCUUUGGGGCAGGCUUUGCUGAGGCUGGUGUAAUCAAUACACAUGCGCCACUUCUUGUUUUCCUUCAGCACAAGGACUGGGUUGGCCAGCCAUUCUGGAAAGAACACUUCCAUGAUGAAGUCGGCUGCCAACAGCCAGAUUAUCUCUUCUCCAACGACUCUUCUCUUCUCUUCUAACAAGCAGCGCAAGGGCUGCCUGACUGGCUUGGCAUCAGACAGGACAUGUAACUUGUGCUCGGCGAAAUCCGUCGGAACACCCGACAUGUCUUUAGGUGCCAUGCAAAUAUGUCCCGAUUCUCACGGAGGAAAUCGACGAGCUCGCCUUCCUAUUUGUUGUCAAGGUUUGCACCUAUGACAGCGUACCUCUUCGGGUGGCUCCCGGUCCAAGGGUAUCUUCUUUGUCUCUUUGGCCGGCUUGAAUGAACUCUCGGCUUCCAACUCCUUGGGGUUGGCUGACAUCUUCGGUUACUUGCUUGCCAUUGCCACAACUCGGUCAAGGAGCCGCUUCUCGGCCGCGAUCACGAGGGAUUUGGCAAGACGACUGCUAUCUGUCGCACAAGCGGACGACUUCUUGUAGUCACGGCUAUGGUCAGAAUUCCCUUAGAACUCGGUAUCUUCAUCUUGAGGUAAGCGUAGUGGGGGACCGCCAUGAACUUGGCCAGUGCAGGCUGGCCAAGUAGUGCACGGUAUGGGCUCUCGAGGUCCACCACCUCAAACCAUACUGGCUCUCAUCGGAAGUGAUCCUUGUCUCCAAAGAGGAUGUCUAUCUGGAUCUUGCCGAUUGAUGAGCAGGAAAGGCCAGGAACUAUGCCAUGGAAUAAAGUUCGACUGAGCUGAAGCGGCCUUUAUUCGAUUCCUAACUUCUCCAUGGUAUGUUUGUACAGAAUGUUGAUGCUGCUGCCGCCAUCUAUCAGAAAUCGGGAAAACUGAGCAACUCGCCUAUCAGUGGCAAAGGUGGCUUCUAGGACCAGGGCGUAGGAGCCGGGGUUGGGCAUUACUUCCGGGUGGUCAGCUCUGCUCCAGCUGAUGGGCUUCUCGGACCAAUGCAUGGACUCGGGGGUCUCCGAUGCCACUGCAUUCACUUCUUGCUGUCGUUAUCGUCUGCUGUGCUUAUCGUCGGCCACACUGAUGAACACGACAUAAGCUCCCUGCUCUUCAGGGUACUCGUCUUGUAUGGCGAACAGUUUGGCAAUGGCCACGCACACUUCUGCUACACCGAGCCAAGGCGGGUGGGCCCAGCGGGAGCCGGCGUGCCGCCCACAGCAUGGUCCAUCUCGCGCCGGUAGGAUUCCGACAGGCAUCUCAUGCUAGCCAGCUUCUUGGCGCCCUCGACGAGCUGGAUGCGGCAUGCUUCUAGCAUAUCGGCGUCGACGUCUUCUGUGAUGGGCCCCGUCAGGUCUUGUAGUGCCGCGUUGAGCGGAUCGAGAGCACCUCCCCCGGAGUGUUCCCUGUGGCCGAUGACAAGCACUUCCGUGACGGUGCUUUUGCCGCAUUUCACGCAAGGGGGCGGCUUGUCGUAGACCACCAUGUUGGUGAGGAAUGCGUCAAGUGAUGCAAUGUCGGAAUCGACAAGCAUCGGGUCCGUGGAGCCAACGGAUUCCAAGUCCAUAGCGGGCUCGCUGGCUACAUGGAGCUGGUUAAGGAGGCUGACGUCGCGGCUUUUAGGGCCAUCAUUGCCCGGAUCGGACGCCGGCUCGUCGGAGAGGCGAACCUCGCCAACAAGGUCGGCGAGGCAGCUCCUCGUGCAGGCGAUCUUCGCGCCAUGCAGCGCGUCGACACAGACGCCGUCUGGCGUGCCGGGCUGACUACGCUCGCCAGGGAGGAAAAGGGUUCCCGUCCAGAACGGGUCUCCGGACGACGGUGCACCUCGCCCCAUAGUGGGCGCCAAAUGUCGGGGGUUGGGUGCGACAUAUGGCAAAGGAUGGCUUAUGUAACGCCCCGAGACCUUUGUGCCAGGUGUCUUCCAAUUAUUCACUGUUGUUGCCUUGUCAUUUGUUUGCGUGUCUUGCAUUUCAUAUCAUGUCAUCAUGUGCAUCGCAUUUCCAUACAUGUUUGAAUCAUGCAUCCGUGCAUUUUCCCCGUUGUCCGUUUCGCAAUCCAACACUCCUAUGUCCUCUGUCGCACCCUUUUGCCUGUUUUCGUGUGCGGGUGUUAAACAUUCUCCGAUUGGACCGAGACUUGCCAAGCGGCCUUGGUAUGCUACCGGUAGACCGCCUGUCAAGUUUCGUGCCAUUUGGAGUUUGUUUGAUACUCCAAUGGUUAACCGAGGAACUGUAAAGGCCUCAUGUGUGUUGCAGCCCAACACCUCUCCAAAGUGGCCCAAAACCCAUCCAAGCCUCCUCCUUCCUCUCGGUCGUUCGAUCACGAUCGUGUGGCCAAAAACCGCUCCUCAUUUGGACUCUCCUAGCUCCCUCUACCUAUAUAUAUAUGUGAUCCUCUCCGAAAUUUCGCGCAGUACAAACCCUAGCGUCUUCCUCCUCGCACCGCCGGACAUGUCCAACCGCGCCGGACAUGUCCGCCGGACAUGUCGCUACAGCCAAUCGCGUGCCACCACCUCAGCAGAGCCGCCGCUCCAAGCCAGUGGCAUCGCGCCACGUGUCCUGCUCCACCUCGCCAGCUUCCCCGCAGCCGCACGGGACCGUGAGCCCACGGCCGGCCCGCGUAGGCCCGGAUCCCCGCCAUCGCGCCAGUUCCAAUUUCCCGCUCGAGGGGAGGAGCCCCUCGAUCCUGCAGCUCGUAGCCGGCCUCGCCGGGGCCCGCUGUGCCACCGCCGGGGAUCAUCUCUCAGGCGAGCUCUCCGCCGCCUGGCCUUCUUCACUUCCUCCCCAUGCUCUCUCUCAUGCCGUCUCUCUCCUUCAUAGGGCAACCACCGCCAAGGAGCCUCGGGUCACCUAGUACCCCGCCCGCCGCCGCCGAUGGCCGGAUCCACCGGUUCCUGGGCGGAUCUACCGGUUCCCGCCUUGCUCUGGUAUUCUCCUCGCCUCCCUUCCGACCGGUGUUGGUGCCAUCCUGCCAUGGCCGCCUCCACUGCUCGAGCAGGAGGAGGACGAACACCCGCUCGGGCUGCCUCCUUCGUCGUGUGGGCCCAGCCCAGCUUCGGUGGCCCACCUCCUCGCCGGCCUGCCUCACUUCCUCCUCUCUGGGCCGAGCCCAUAUUGUGAGCACCCCCUUCUAUUCUCUGCCCGAUGCACGCUUUAGAUAUUCAGCGCCCGCCUGUUUUUUUUUCAAAACGGCCAAGUCGCAAGGAUCUUAGUAAUUUUAUGCCCCUGCUCAUCGCAUCAUAACUUCAUCACCGUUCCUCCGAUUUGUGCGUGUGGCAUAUCAAAUUGUUCGUCUCGAUGUCCUCUUCAUUUCAUUCCAUUGCACCAUGCUUGUUUGAGUUUAUAUUGAUGCCCUAAAUGCUGUUGCAAGAGUGCUAUGUAAUGUUAGUGUUUGUUUCUUAACAGAUUAUGGACAUUUGUCAUUUUUGCCAUGAUUAAUGUGUGCCUCCUAUGAGUAUGAGCUCUACAUGUGUUUCGUUAUAUGCCAGGUCAUCUUUACAGGGGUAUAUGUCAGGUAUUUUUGUGAUCAAUGUGGUGACCAGCACAAGCAUGCAAAGUAGCUCUCGUGAUGUUGCUGAUUUUAGGGACUUAGAAUUCUUCUAAGUCAUUUUCCUGCUGUUAUUUUCAUGCCAUGUAUUCAUGUUGCUACAGAGUGAUCCAUGCCUCUUUUGAGCAUGUUAAGUAAGGAUGAUUUUGCGAUAUUGUUAUGCUCUAUCCAUCCGUGCCUUUGUUUGCAAUAAUGGAGUCCCCUAGCAUUACUCAAUCUUGCUCUACGUUUGCUACAAAAUGUUCCUGGCAGACUGUUUACGUGUUAAUCAAUUUUGCCAAGGUUGUUGUAGUUGAUCCAUGCAUGCUAUGAGAUGGUUCUUGCCAUUUUUAGCUUAUUGAUCAUGUCUUCUUGCUGGGUGUAUGCUUAGUUUGUCAUGCAAUGCCUUGUGGUGAGUGCAUCGAGCUCGCAAACAUGCCUUCGUAAUUAUGUUUAUGCCAUGUCUAGUUUUCUGCUAAGUCUGAAUCUGUUAAUGAAACUUGCUAUGUUUACAUGGUUUCCACUGUAUUUUGUGAUUCCUUUUGGCUUAUGGUCAGUAAGGGACUUUUGUUAUAUGCUUUGAGUAGAUUUAUGCCAUGCCUUGCUUUGCCAUGAUAUGUUCCUGUAGCAUGUUGUUAUCUUGCUCUAAACAUUGCUUCCUGAUGUUAAGUCUGAGAUGCUAUUAUCUUUUGCUCUUUUGCCAUGCUUGUUUGAACCUGUUAUUGUGUGAUUUAGCCUUAGCUCAGUGUUCCUCUUUUGUCAAGCAUCUUGAGUAGUUCACUGCCAUGUGCUUUGUUGCUAUGUUGGAGUGCAGUAGCUUAGUUUCUUGUUGCAUUUUAGAUGGCAUCAUGUUGUUAAUCGCAGCUUUGUGCCAUUAUUGUUUUGCUUGCCAUUUGCAAACCAUGCAUCCGAUUCCAGUGAUAUUUAUACCGAUUUCGACCGAAAUCAACUCAUCUUUCCAGCGGCACUCUUGGUUUUCCAUGUUGAGGACUGGUUCAAUCUUUCCCUUCCGGAGCACGCAUAUGCAUUGCAUAACACAUCCCGCAUAUCAAGCCAUGUUUUGCAUCAUGUUGCUUGCGCAUUGCACCGUGGUUGAUUGUCGUUUCCUUUGCUUGUGUUCUUGAUUUGGGUAGAGCCGAGAGAAGAGUUCGUGUUCGAGGUACCCGUUGAGUACGCUUACGAGGAUCAAGCUUUCGUCUUCUUGGAGAACUUUGAAGGCAAGAUGACCAUACCCUCGAAAUCACUUCUAUCUUUGCUUGCUAGUUGCUCGCUCUUUUGAUAUGCCUAUGCUGCGAUACCUACCACUUGCUAUAUCGUGCCUCCCAUAAUGCCAUGUCAAACCUCUAACCCACCUUGUCCUAGCAAACCGUUGUUUGGCUAUGUUAACGCCUUGCUCAGCCCCUCUUAUAGUGUUGUUAGUUGCAGGUGAAGAUGGAGUUUGUUCCUUAUUGGAACAUGGAUAUUUGUUGGGAUAUCACAAUAUCUCUUAUUUAAUUAAUGCAUCUAUAUACUUGGUAAAGGGUGGAUGGCUCAGCCUUAUGCCUGGUGUUUUGUUCCACUCUUGCCUCCCUAGUUUCCGUCAUACCGGUGUUAUGUUCCUUGAUUUUACGUUCGUUACGCGGUCAGGUUAUAAUGGGAACCCCUUGAUAGUUCGCCUUGAAUAAAACUCCUCCAGCAAGGCCCAACCUUGGUUUUACCAUUUGCACUAACAACCUAUCACCUUCCCUUGGGUUCUGCAGACUCAAGGGUCAUCUUUAUUUUAACCCCCCGGGGCCAGUGCUUCUCUAAGUGUUGGUCCGAAAUGGGCAGCCUGCGGGGCCACCUCGGGGAAACUUGAGGGUUGGUUUUACUCGUAGCUUGACCUAUCCGGUGUUUCCUUGAGAACGAAAUAUGUGCAGCUCCUAUUAGGAUGUCAGCGCAUCGGGCGGCUUUGCUGGUCUUGUUUUACCAUUGUCUAAAUGUCUUGUAACCGAGAUUCUGAGCCUAAUCGGGUCUUCCUGGGAGAAGGAAUAUCCUUCGUUGACCGUGAGAGCUUGUGAUGGGCGAAGUUGGGACACCCCUGCAGGGUUUUAAACUUUCGAAAGCCGUGCCCACGGUUAUGGGCAGAUGGGAAUUUGUUAAUGUCCGGUUGUAGAGAACUUGACACUUAACUUAAUUAAAAUGCAUCAACCGCGUGUGUAGCCAUGAUGGUCUCUUUCCGGUGGAGUCCAGGAAGUGAACACGGUGUUGGAGUUAUGCUUGAACGUAAGUAGUUUUAGAAUCACUUCUUGAUCACUUCUAGUUUCACGACCGUGCCUUACCUUCUCUUCUCGCUCUCAUUUGCGUAAGUUAGCCACCACAUAUGCUACCACUUGCUGCAGCUCCACCUCACUACCUUUUUCCUACCCUUAAGCUUAAAUAGUCUUGAUCGCGAGGGUGUGAGAUUUCUGAGUCCCCGUGACUCACAGAUUAUUUCCAAAACUAGUUUGCAGGUGCCGAUGAUACCGUGCAGGUGACGCAACCGAGCUCAAGGAGGAGCUCGAUGAAGAUCUUGUUCAUUGUGUUGUUUUGUUUCAGUUGAUCAGUAGUGGAGCCCAGUCGGGACGAUCGGGGAUCUGUAGCAUUAGGGGUGGUCUUCUUUUAUUUCGGUUCCGUAGUCGGACCUUGAUUGUAUUCUGGAUGAUGUAAUGCUUUAUUCAUGUAUUGUGUGAAGUGGCGAUUGUAAGCCAACUAUGUACCUCUUUCUUAUUCAGUACAUGGGAUGUGUAAAGAUUACCCCUCUCGCGACAUGCCUACAAUGCGGUUAUGCCUCUAAGUCAUGCUCCGACACGUGGGAGAUAUAGCCGCAUCGUGGGUUUAAUAGCUUAUCAUAGUGGGUGCGAUUAGAACGUCGCCAGUGCCUGGAAACGGGAUGAGGCGUAGACAUGAACGCCGGCGUACUUCACCCAGGUUCGGGGCUCUCCUAGGAGAUAACACCCCUAGUCCUGCCCUGCGGGGCCUCCGUAUGAUCACUAAGACACAAGUGGUACAAUGGUGCUCCUCGAGCUGUUUGAGGUGGGAGAGGGCAAGGCUGGCUCUCUACUCCCCUAGGUCUAAGUCUAGUCCUAACAGGUUCAAAACCCUUUGCAUGGGUGCCCUGGGGGUUUAUAUAGACCUACCCCCCAGGGGUACAAUGGUAAUACAGCCGGGCGUAAGGCCCAGCUGUCAGUCUCUUUAUCCGCCGGCUUCUCCGCCGGCUGUUGGGGCCCGCCGCCUGGUGGGCCCCGCCGACUGGUCAGGUACGGGGCCGACAGGCCACCUCCGCCACUCUCGGGUCUUGUCGGCUGCUGAUCAAUGUAGCCGUGACACUAAUGACGUAGGCUUGGUCAGGGGAUCGUGGCUACAACUCCACCGCCUGGCGGGCGAUUACUGUAGCCACUCUACGUCUCAUUUGGUUAGUGGCGUGUGGGAUCCGAGGAAGGGGCGAGCCGACUGCUGGGGGCCGACCUCCCUCGGGUCCAACUGGUCGGGCUCUAGCCGUCUUCCGGGCUCUCGCUGAUUACUGGGGCCCGUCGUCCUUGGGUCGUACCGACAGGCCGUCAUGGGAGCAGUGCUCCGCCUGCUUGUGGUGAUGUCAGGAGUGGCGUGGCAACAGUGCCACGCCGAGCGGUGAUCUCCGCCGGUAUGGUGCACUGUGGCCAUGCCCGGCCCUGGAUCGAGGGGAGGAUGGUCUACACUGUAGCCACCCCUGUCUUUUCUUUCUUGAUGAGGGCGCGGGCUUUGUUGGCGCCAUGGGCCGACUGCUAGGGGCCAUCUUCUCUAGAAGCCGCCAACGGGUAGCCGGCUAUUCCUUUAGCCGGCCACCAGAAGGUGGCACUUCAUCUUGGUUCCUUGAGGGGCGCAGCUAGCCCCGAUGUCUUGAAAGGUUAUGGGCCUCGGGUUAGCCUACCCGUGGCCUAUUACUCGGACAAAAUCACCUCAAUUUACUUGUAUAACAUGGAAAAAUUCCACUUUUCUUUAGUACUUAGCAAACUUAUCAUCUCUACUCUUGUAAAAAAAACGAGUUGGUGAUGAUGGUGUGCCUACCAUCUUAGAAUAUAGACCUUCCGAUCUAUAUCUGAUGGGUAGAAAGCAAACUAUGAUAAUUUUACAAAAGAUACCCGCACCUCUCUCCACAUUUCCAGAUAAGGCCUUGCCUCGUUCAUCCUUAUCUCCCACAACCUCAUUGCUGAGCAAUUAAAAAAGAAGUCUCUAGAAGAAACAUGGUGGCCGCUGCCACCUGCCAUCGCCGUCCAUCCCCAUGCCUCCGCCCAGUCCGACCACCAGUCACCACCACGCUCCACUCCUCCUCACCUUAUCUCUCAUCUUUAAUUUUUUCGAUGAAAUUCUCGAGAUACCAUUUUUCCGAUAAAAUUCUCGAGAAAUCAUUAGUUUUUACACGUGGGAUUACUCCUGCAUGGGUCAAUCACAACAGGCGUUUUGUAAAAAAAUACAUCUUGAUGUUCCAUGCAAUGCACACGCAUCUUGCUAGUAAUUGUAUAACGCAAAUCACGAGCAGGAAGUGACAUUUUUUACACAACCACAUUAACAUGGCCACGUAAAUCACUAGCUAAAGUGUAAUACCAUUAUACUUAUAUCCCGAUGCAAAAGGUUGAGUACAUGACCGAAGAGUAGAGUCGCACACACGCACUCCGUCUCUCAGAAUCUCACACACACACCAUUUACGUGCCGCCCCUUAAGAAGACACAUAUGUUACAAUUUGUGCACCCGUGGGUACACGUGAUGGUGCGCAUUUAUCUAAGCUAGACGGCGAACCCAAACAGUAGCUGCAUUCAUUCCCCUCCCACCGCCUCUUCUCUGGUCGGCGUCGCCCGGUAGCCAUGGCCCGGCGGAAGGUAACGACAUACACCAUACACCCGCCGGAGCGGCGCUUUAAUUUGGAAAUUUUAGUGGUCAUGCAUGCAUUUUUUUGUGCUAGCACUCCUAUAUAAGUACGACCGGUCGUUUCCCACGGACGUGCAUGGGUGGUGGAAGAGGAAGGAGAAGGGAAGCGAGCUAUGGUGUAACGUUUUUACCACAGUUUCUUACGAAACUGAGUGCAAUAAUAGUGUAGUUUUGCAAACUACCAGUACUACACCUGAAACGGUUCAAAACCAAUACCACCACCACGCCUGCGUCUGACCACCCUAGCCGACCCAACCCCCCUCCCUUGCCAGCACACGAUUCCCACGUGAAACGUUCAACGUCACUAUAGAUCGUCAGUGUCGCAUUAAUGCCAGGCCAGAGCGGAGGCGACCUCUCAUCGGUGCCGGCUUUGAAGCAGCGCGACGGCCGCGAGAGCGCCGCUUCCCGGUGCACGUGACUGCUCCGCUUCAAGGCUAGCCAUAGUUUGGAUGAGUCUCCAUCGUGGGGAACCACACUAGCUGUGAUGAUAUGGACUCUCGCUGUCCACAGUUAUGAAUCAUUCCAUCUAUGAAGAACACAUGGGACUGGAACUAUGAGACGGACAUGUACCUAGGAGUGGACGUAUGAACCUGAGUAAUGUAGUGCAGUAAGCGAAGUAGAAAGGCACAAAUCUUACAUUCUUAAGAAGUCGAUCCCCACCACUACCAAUUCUGUCAACAUGGACAACGUCCACAUCAGCUUCAUGCCACAUCAGUGUUCACAUGAGGCUUAACAUGCAUGUGAUGCCAUGUCAUCCUACCAUUACCAUCUCAUAGAUCUUUACUUUAUCAUGGAAAAAAUAGAUCUUUUAUUUAUCAAUAAAACGUUCGAUUUAGUGUGCAUCGCUCCUCUUCCAUCUUCUGUAGCCGACGAUACACAUCGUCUUCCAUCUUUCAUAACUGACGCAACAUCUUCUUAUCCUCAACCCCCUGUUUGCUAUGCACAUCUCCUCACUCCAAUCGAAAUCUUUAAUAACCUCCAUCAGCCAUCCGCACCGCCCAAGCCGGCGGCAAUCUCUUCCUCCGUGCCACCCAAGAUGGAGGUAUUCUCUUCAUGCGUCCACAUAGGUGGUUCCUGCCUUAACCGUCCGUCCGUGCCAGCCAAGCCGGCCGCACAACCGCCGGCCACCAAUGUCUAAAGUGGCGCUCCUCCAUUGACGUAAGUGCGGCCGCCUCGCCGCAACCUCAUGGCGCAGCACGCCUUAGUUUCUAUCUCCCUCCAAAGCAUCUGGAUCCAUUCCCUUCCUGUAGUAUUGUUGUUUGGGAUGGCCCUGUGCACCCGCCUCUCUUUGAUUUAGAUGCAGGCCGGCCGCACGCUGCUGGCAAUACGGUAGUUCUUACUCCAUUGAACAAAACGAGGUAAUCACGCAUGUUUCUUCUAUGUCUGAGCAUUCAGACCCUUAAUGUUGCAUUCUAUUUCCUUCUCCUUCCUUUAUUUUUGUUCUCUGGGAUGGCCCAUCUAGCUGCCUCUCUUGAUUCAUGUUCAACCUUCCGACUGCCAGCAAUUCGGCACUGUUGCUAGAUUUUUGCUGCAUUUUUAUUCUUGUACACAUAUUAACUCUUUGCAUUUUGUGACGAGAUAAUUCGCUGUAGAUUUCUUACGGCUAAUGUAGCUACUUCGUAAUUAUCUCUGUACUACACUGCUACUAUCCGGAUGUACUACCAAUAACUUGGUUUGUUUGUUUAUGCUUGCAGGUAUACAGUCCAGUCUACACUUUUUGUUAUAUUUUACCCAAAGCAAUAUGACCUCACACAAAAGUGGACUGCUAUUGAAUCAUAAUCUCACAUGUGAAUGAUUGACAAUUUUUUCUCUAAUCUUGAUUGGGGCUAGUAUUUAUAACUGCAAAACUUUGCUCACUUUCAUGUUUGUUGCUUGGACUUCUCACACCUGUAAUUUGUUUUAAUUUAUAAAUUGUUUUAAUUUUCAAUAAUAUCAUUCAUCAAUUAUGUAACACUGAAGUAAAGAUUGGCUUCGACAUUAUCUCUGUAUUAUCCUAUGAUCGGGGUGUUCUAGCAAGAAAAAGAUUUAUUCAUUUGUGCUUGCAUGUAUACAGUGCACUCUACACAUUUUUAUAUUAACCCAUAUGAAUAUGACACAAACACUGACCCUGAUAACCUCUCUACACUUGAAUAAGGAUGUCAAAUACGACUGACAAAAUAUUUUCUUGUACUGUAAUCUUGAUCAUUGAAAAAAUUCAGUCACUUUUAGGCAGGUACUUAACUUAAUAUUAUUCAUCUGAGUUAACUGGUACCUGUGUCGCAACAUUGUACCAAUUUUGUGUCAUUGCAAAAUAACAUGUGCACUUAACUUUUGCUCAUUGCUUAUUUUUAUAUACCAAUAGGUCACUGCAGGUUGGGUUAUCUGUUUGUGAACUUAUAUUUUUCUUUUUG
RNAcentral lists this long non-coding RNA (254549 nucleotides) under Triticum aestivum (bread wheat). Its description in RNAcentral is "long non-coding RNA (TAES_LNC020612)". The stretch from base 133441 to 133555 matches the Rfam family "MIR1120/MIR1122 microRNA precursor family". The record is from RNAcentral. Lineage: Eukaryota; Viridiplantae; Streptophyta; Magnoliopsida; Poales; Poaceae.